UUGCGGUAGCCGUGUCGGCUGACGAAUGUGAGGGUGAUCGACAGGCCAUGAUCAAGGAGUGUGCUAAGUAUCAACAAUGGUCAGCAAACCCGAAGCUAGAUCCGUCGGACGCAUGCUGCGCCGUGUGGCAGAAGGCAAACAUCCCAUGCCUUUGCGCUGGUGUCACCAAGGAGAAAGAGAAGAUAUAUUGUAUGGAGAAGGUUGCCUACGUUGCCAAUUUCUGCAAGAAGCCGUUCCCACAUGGCUACAAGUGCGGAAGUAAGUGAAAUAUAUUAAGGGAAUUAUGAUGAUCGGUAUUGCAUACAUGCAGUUUUGAUAUUUGUUAUUCUUCGGAUUCACACAAUUUUGAUUUUAGUUAUGCAUUUUAUAUGCUUAUUGUUCUAUUCUGAUCAUACGUUGGGUCAAAUUGAAUGGUCUUGCAGGUUACACAUUCCCUCCUCUGGCGUAGUGACUCUAGUUUAGCUAUGGGAGGAGGAGCGUUGGCUUUUACAUUCCAUGUGCCUGGCCUCACAAUAGGUUUCCUUCCAGAUCUGUAAUUCGUGAGGUUGUGCUCAGAAAAGUUUAUGUUAAGCACUUUGUAUGAGAACGUUUGUGAAACUAAUAAAGCCUUCUCCUCAAAUUGUCUAAAUUAUGUUUGUUCAUAUAUCAUAUUUUGGUUCUACUAGAAAAUAUGUGCCCGUGCGUUGCAACGGGAGAAAAACCAUCAGAUUAUGCAUAUGUGGUAGAGAUUAAAAAAAAUCUGAAACAUACGCCAGGAUGAGAUCGGGACCUUCGAAAUGUGAUUUCAUAAACUACGUCUAAAUCAUGUCAUGAUGAGAUAAGGAACUUCUAAAAAGAAUUUUUUUUCAAAAGCUAAAAAUGUGAUGGUCUCAUCACGACUUGAUUUCCUAAGGCACCACAACAAAAUAUCUUAUAGCUGAGAAAACUGUAUUGAUUUACCCUACCUGAGCUAGACUAAUGAAUGGUGUAUCUCGCCUUCACCGAGGGUCACGGUGUCUACCCUAACUAGUAAAACUAUAGUACCAGAAUAAACAUAGAUGUGUAUGGAGGCAAAUUAGAUAUUUAGUCAUUUUCAUACAUCUUACAAAAACUAAUCCGUAGGAAGUUUUGUCAAUUUUUUUGGGCUCAAUGCUGUGCAGAAUAUGGAAACCUUUUUUUACGCGACUCACAUGUACUAAAUAAAAGCAUAAAACAACCUCUACAUAUAAAAAACCCUCUAUAUAAGCAGGUAAGUUUUGUUCGUUAUUUGCAGAUCUGUUUGAUUCUAAAAUUUAAAUUUUUUCAAAUUCCCGAAUAAGUUUUGAAUACAUGAUCAUUUUUUCUAACAUCAUCAGUUUUUUUUUGCGAACAUUUUUUCAAAAUCAUGAUUUUUUUUAAAUGCAAACAUUUUUCAAAAUACUGGACAUUUUAUAUUUUUCCAGACAUUUUUUGAAUUCAUGAAAAUUAUAUGAUUUCGCAAAAACAAUGUGAAUAGUUUUUUAAAAUACUGGACAUUUUAUUAUUUCCUAAAAAAUUAUCGAUUCACGAACAUUUUAUGAUUUCUCCAAUAAAAUCCAAAACUGACAACUUUUGGAAAUCCCAAAUUAAUUUGAAGAAGGAAAAAUAGAAACAGGAAAAGAAAAAAGGGCCAAGUCAUGAGUUUUUUUUUGCGAACAUUUUUUCGAAAUCAUGAUAUUUUUUUAUAAAUUCAAAUUUUAAGAAAAAUACUGGACAUUUUAUGAUUUUCCAAAUAUUGUUUGAAUUCAUGAUAAUUUUAUGAUAUCGCGAAAAUUAUGCGAACAGUUUUUUUAAAUACUGGACAUUUUCUGAUUUGCUAAACAUUUUAUCAAUUCAUGAACAUUUAUGAUUUCUCAAACAAAAUUCAAAACUGACAACUUUUGGAAAUCCUGAAUUAAUUUGAAGAAGGAAAAACAGAAACAGAAAAAGAAAAAAGGGCGACAUGGCCCGACCCAUGAACACGUGCGGGGUGGAGGAGGCAUGCUCGAUGUAAAGAGAGAAAAGUAGAGGAAAAAAGGGUAGUACCUGGGAUCAAACCAGGGUCCUCGGGGUGAAAGACAGCGGCUCCAGCCAUUGUUGUACGCGUGUCCUUCUGAUAUAUGUAAGGGUAUCAUCGCAUAAGAGAUGAAUCCGACGACGACAACUAGAAAAAAUUGAAUCGUUUUCUUCACUCAUUGAUGGCAUUGUGGGUAAUUUAUGGCAACUUCGGAGGUAAUUUUCAUGACGUACCGCUAGAGGCAAUAGCCGCUUUAUUAUUAGGUAAAGAUUUACGACUUGUGGUAGGUGAAGGGGUCAAAGAUAUUAGAAGUUGGUGUUGUUAAAGCAACAACUUUCAUGUGUUUUCUUAUAUCCAAAGUUAAUGGGAACAUUUAUGCCCGAGCUCAACCAGUUUUUCGCCUUAGUAACUUUCAUUCCUAGCUGAUGCAAAGGUCCAAGUACAACCUAGUUUGCUAAAAGUGAGGAGACGGAUGGGGAAGGGGAAGAGAAAGACAAGUGGCAUAUUUAGUUAGUUUUACGAUUUCAGCCACAAAUCCAGUGUAGUUAGAUUCAACCAGUCUACUUAGAUUUCUGUGAUGCGUGCAAUGUCUAGUUUGUCAACCAAUUUUUUAUCAUAUGACUUUUCUUUUAAAUGAAUUGGUGAAAUUUUAAUAAUUUUUGAAAAAUGAUACGACCAUCACAAAAGUUUGUAUUAUUAAUAUAUUUAAUCACCUCGUUGGAGUGUGACUUAACCCUGUUUUGGGAUCACUAUGGUAGAAGUGGCUUGACUAGCAACUAGGCCUAGCCUCAAGAAUAUCAUUUUCCCGACAAAGUGAAGUGUUUCGACUAGCAGCUAUCCCCCUUAAGGUUCUUUUCAGCUCAUUCUUCUUUUGCUUAAUAUUGGACUUUCAUUGGCUUGGGAUUGACGGUUACCCAAAAAGGCUUCCACCCUGCUUUAUAUAUAAAGCAACACAGCCGAACUGAUAUAGUGUGAUGAGGAGAUCCACUUAAAAAUUAGAUCAAAGGAGAAUGCAUGAAUACAUGAGAGUCCACACCAUACCACAAAUAAACCUACACUACCAACAAGGAUGAAGACUCGCCGCCAAGGGAAACCGCCAGACCAUGUUUCGCCGGUCACACCAAGUUCCCACUGGAGAGGACCUCCCGUCCUCCCACUUAGGAUCGUGAAGCCUGAGACUGCUUGCGGAAAACAAGGCCCGCGGGUGGAACAAUGAGGACCCGCGUAAAAGAAUAGGAGGAAAGUGAAUCCGCCCACGCCAGAGCCAAGGAAGCUCUAAGUCCGGAUCUGAAAAUGCCCGCCAAUGACGGUGAGGUGCACACCAGAGGUAACAUGGGAUCCACAAUGACGCCCUUAAUAGGGAGACGACACAACAUGUCACAGUCGUCGAGACCGAGGAACCGGUCAAGGGUUUUUACCCGAAGCCCUGGCUCGGCGAGACGAACCUCAACGACACCCCCUAGAGGUACGUGACACCCGCAGGCAUCGCCAUCGCAAAUGCCAAAGCAUAAAUUAAAUCUUUAGCCUGGAGCAUCUCAACCUCGCCAAACCGAGGACUCUCGAUCACCUGCCCAACAAGAAGGAAGACAUGCCGCCACCAAACAGAACCUCCACAGCAUGAUCUGGAACCGUUGCUGCCAAGGCACCGCUGAAACCAGGGUUACCCAAUGCCACAUCCUCUGCCACCCACAUGACCAGAAAAGAGACCAUCUGCAUGCCAAGACGCCUAAUGAAAGCCGAAUUGGCGGACCGCCAACAAAGGUCGUCACCCUGACAUAAAAAAUAACCCACCACCUAGCACACACCAGUCACACCGUUGGCCGACAUGGAUACAUCCGACAGAGAGGACACACUACAACCCCUGUCUGCGCCUCCCGUCCUUUAGCCAAGAGGCCAAAACCAAGGAGGACCACCCGAUGACGGAAACACCACCUUUGAGUGGACAGGGGCGAUGGCCUCCUGGCCACAACCACCCAUCCGCCUCGGCGGCCACCACCCCCAAUCAAGGCAGGCAUCGGGCCCGAGAACCCCGUUGGGCCAUGGAUCUGGCUUGUAGCAGAAUCGAAUUCGGUGAGACACUAGGUCAAGGCAAGGAAAACGCAGGUCACAUAGAUGAAGCACCAUCAUCCGAAGUGGCAAAGAUCCUUGGAGAAGCGAGGAAGCCCCGCCGGGGGUGCCUCGACAACCCGCAGCCAACGGCGCCCUGAUCUGGGUGCACGAGAACCGCCACCGCCAUGGGCGACCGCACCAUGCAGCCCACUAUGCUGGAGACCAACACCCACGACCCAGCUGCCAAUGUCUGCCACCAUGUCGUAGACGCCAUGUGAGACUAGGUAGGAUCCUCGGGUAGGACUUUCCUACCGAGACAUCUGUAACAUAGACUUGGACAAGAAGGCUUUAGUUCUCAGAGAUAGCGCCGCACCAAAGUGCAUGCGUGAUUUACCUUUUUUUCUUUUACUAGUAAAUAUGCUCGUGCGUUGCAACGGGUUCACUGUAGAGCAAACACUUAGUCCUCCUUCUGUGAGUCGGUGAUGGGGAGCAGCGGGUCAAAUGAGAUCUUCAUCUGCACCUCGGGUCGCACACAAACACUGACCAUACAUGACCAGUAGACGACACUAACUUGGGAACUUUCAUACAAAUGGUGAUGGAGUGAUCUAAUUAUACAUACUUCACACAGAUUGAUAAUAUACAUACCGCGAAACCACCGUCAGAACUUUACUAAUUUAAUUUUUGCAAACAACAUCAAGCAAUUGUAUAUAUAGACCAAAUGAACACCAUUUGUGAUAAUGAACACUGCUUAGUUAGUCUCGGAGAACAAUUGAUAUGUACACCAAGUUAAGAACAACAUCGACAGGGCUACGUUAGCAGCAUAAGAUAGUCCAACAUGUGCAAAAAGAUUACCAAUAUCUUCCUAAUUUAUCCAAGAACUUUGCAAACUAACCAUCUUAGUCUGCUGUCAAGAAUAGCACAACAAAAGCAAGUGAAGAUGGCUGUAGUUGCAUACGUAGAGUAAAAACCAUAAAGCCUACGUUUUAACAAACCCCUGAGUCCAAGCCGAGGUGAAAUAUAAUACAGUUUACUCAUUUCUUAAACUUAAUACAUUUAACUCUUCAGCUUGAACAUGUAUCUUAGAAAUGCAUCAGUUUAUAAUCUGACCAAGUAAGGCGAACUCAAAAAAUAAUGUACGUAUGUUUUGAAUCAGAACCGGUGUUUAGCAAACAACCAAACUUAUAAAUUACUGCAUGCUUCUUCAUGUUGUGAGCCAUAUAAUAUUUUUCAGUUAGUCCUAUCCUCUCAAGAGACAUAGGGACUGAAUUAUCCCGCGAAAACAUAUACUUAAAAGCAUGAAGCAUGUGAACACCUAUUUGCAGCAAGGUGAGUCCUAAAGCACAGGACAAAAGCAUUAGCUACUAAUACAUGUAGGAACUUCCCAAGUAGAAGAAAAUCAAAGGGACUAAUAGAAACACUUGCUUCCCUGUCAAUUGAUGCCUAGUGGCUCCGAAGAACUACUAUGCCCAACCCUGAAGCAAAAUUACAUCUACAUUAGUAGGAAAUGAAGGUUAAGUCAUAUGCAAAGGAAGAAAUUGAUUGGCGCAAAGCUCAAGAGUGGAUUUUUGUAAAGGAAAUAGCAAUUAAAAUGGUCUUCAUUUUAGCAAUAUCUUCUUUAAUUAUUUCCCUCGAUUUGUCAUAUCAGUAGUGUGUUAUAAGAGGCCUCAUCAAGUUCUAUUAUCUCUGAGCAUACCGAAAAACUUAACUAUGAAGUUUAACCUCUCCAAACCAUGAUUGAAUAGCAUGACACAUCUCUACUUAUGCGGUAUACUGAAAGUCCAAUCCUCUAUCUGUAUUCUAGCUUGAGCGUGCAUGUGACAUUGACGAUACAUGACGGAUCUGCUACGUGGAUAACAAGACAUGUAUUAGAAGAAUAACAUACUCUUAGUUUUCUGAUUGUAGAUUAUCUAUCAGAGGAAAUUUCUUGGCAACCAACAAAUAUUUUCUAAACAAUAUUAGGUUACUGCAAAAACGAAAUUGAGGAUCCCCAAAUCCAAAUUGCAGAUCCCCAUUUGGCCAGGUCUUUACCUAAAGAAGCAACAUCAAAAGAGGAAGAAUUCAAUGACUGGCUAAUUACCUCCAGGAGCAGCAUCAGUAACUCCUUUUGUAAAUUUCUGUAAAUAAAAUCAACUAACAUACAUAACAGAAAAUAUAGGAAUGAACACACACGCUAGCUUGUUUUUAAACAAACAUAUUCAUCCAAUGGGGUCACUGAAGCAUCCUGUAUUUUUUUUAACCAGUGAACUCAUCUCAUACAUCUUCUUUUACGAAUUUAGUCUUCUGCUGUCAAGUACAAACAGAAUCCAUAUAUGUAGGAGGGCAUGUGUUGCUUGUCAGUCAAAUGUAGUCUACUGACGGCAACAACUAUGUUGGCUACAGUAAACUGACAAAUUGACAAACAGAUGAGACCCAUCAAAUGCUUCAAAAGUACCUGCGGCAAAUUAGGUCUAGGCGAUAGCUGAUGGUCUUCCUCCCAAGUUGGCGGAGGCUAUCGCAGAUGGCCUUGCGACGAAGUCGACGAAGAUGACGGCUGCAAAGUCAACUGAUACGGUAUAUUACAGAGAUGUCAAAACCAAUUAAAUGCACUCCACUGAAUACACCUCCUAAUCCUAUUUUGCUAGGUGCAGCAAGCAUAUCUAUUCACAUGUAUGCAAUUAAGCUAAUUGAUAACUAAAGAAAGAGCAGAAUAUAUGAAACUUCAAGAAUUACUCCAGCAUCAUGCCCAAGGAUUACUGUAACCAAGUUGAAGCCACCAUGUUCAGGUAUAUGUAGUCAGCAACAUGAAAUUUCUUGGUUCAAUCCUUGGCUAGUAACAAUAAUUUUGCGGAAAGAAACAAACUGAAACAGGGGCUUGUAUCAUAUCAUCCAAACUGAAAUAGUGAGCAAUCGGAAGUAGCACCAAUUUUCACAAAAAAUAAACUGAAACAGGGGUAGAUCCGAGUGGUGCAAAUCAGUUACAUUCAUUAUACAUCAGUGCAAACAAAGGAAUAUCGAUUGAAUUCAUGCAGCAGCGACAUGCAUGACCUUUGGUAACAUCUAAAUUUAUCAAAUCAACCAUGUAUUCGAACUUAGUCUUACCAAUACACAAUGUUUUUUUUUUGGUAUAAAAAAUUAUGAUUGUGUAACAUCUUCUUUUGGUAUAAAAAAUUAUGACCCAUUAAAUAUGAUAAUUCGAACUUAGUCUUACCAAUACACAAUGUUUUUUUUAAAAUCUCCACUGAUGAUUAUAAUCACAACGCAAAAGAAUUCAAUCGACACAAAAAAGUCAGUCACACAUCAAAUCUUGGGGCAUGCAUAGCCUGUUGCAUUUGGGAGAUGGGCUGCAGGGAGCCCUUUGUUUCAGUGAUCUAUUCCAGAUCCUUUCAGUACUAAGUUGGUAAGUUUAUUCAGUACAUGGAUUUUGUCUCAGCCAUCAUUUAUUUCAGUGUAUGUCUCUAUAUACUGCAUCUCUGUUUGGCUGCAUGCUCUGUUUCUAGAGCGGGGCAGUAGCUACUCCACUUCACUUUUCUUUGUGUAGCAGCAGAAGCAGAUUAACAUAUUCCACUUCCGUGCAAAGGGUAGCAGCAACGGAUUAACAUUAUAAUCUAUUUUGUUUGAUGUGUCAAUAGAUUAACAUUAUAAUUCUAACUACACCCACCCACCUCGUAUCAGUUUCAGAAUAUGGCCAGCAUGCCUCCUCUCUCUUUAAGAACCAGUCACUUAACUCUGAAUCACUUAGCAGUAUACAUUAUUAUUUCCCUGUUCUUAACGCAAUCACUUGAAGAAAGCCAACAUGCUUCACGACUAUAUAAAUGCCCGUGUGUGGUAUGACCAAUCUAGUAUGUACACAAAUGAACAAUCCGACUAAGCACAUUCAAAUUCCAACCAUUCAAGGUAUGAAUCCAUUGGUUCUAAGUAUCAUGUAAUUCCAUCUAUUAACCACCAAAUACUAACCAAUGGGAACCCGUGGAAUUUAGAAAAAAAGAUUAAACCUGAGGAAAUAUUGAGCGGUCCUUCUUGCAUCGUGGCAUUGGGCUAGGGUACCACUGCCAUGGCGCCAUACCACAUCACAGCUUCACCAAGGCAAGGAGCCGGCUUGAAUCAACUUUUUCAUUGCCGCUGGAUCACUGUUUCCCUUCAGGACUGGCAUGCAGAAGCUGGGGAGGCCUCGAUAGCAAUCUUGCAGUCAGAUUUGUACCCGUCCGGAGGAGGAUACAUGGAUGUGUUGCGGCCGUGAAUGUGCCCAUGAUCUCGACCGGUGUAGCGCCAGGGAAGUGGCCGACGUCAAGGUGCAGGAGGCAGAGCCAGUGCGGGAAGGGUCGCCGUCUUGCGAGGGUCAAGGCGCUCGAGGAUUCCACGAAGGAGGUUGUCGGGGAGUGCUGCUGCUUCUUCCAUUUGUUGGAACUCCUCAUCGUCCCUCGAACACCUCCGCUGUAUGCGAUGUCCUCGUCCUGUUCGCCUGUGUGUUCGUCUCCAACGGCAGCUGGCGAGGUGGCUGCGGGGCUCAACCGCUUAGGGGGCAUGGCGAGGCGUCUAGGACGGCUAGCUAGGUCGUAGAGAUUGGGGAUUUGGUCUCCGGCAGCGGCUGGCAAGCUCGCCAGGGCCACGAAGGCGGCCAGCCCCAUCAGCACAAGAUCCACGACGGCUCGGAGAUGGUGGUGAUGGAAAUAUGCUAUAGAGGCAAUAAUAAAAUGGUUAUUAUUAUAUUUCCUUAAUCAUAAUAAAGGUUUAUUAUUCAUGCUAAAAUUGUAUUGACCGGAAACUUAAAUAUAUGUGUGGAUACAUAAAUAAAUAUCGUGUCCCUAGUGAGCCUUUACUAGACUAGCUCGUUGAUCAAAGAUGGUUAAGGUUUCCUAACCAUAGACAUGAGUUGUCGUUUGAUACGGGAUCACAUCAUUAGGAGAAUGAUGUGAUGGACAAGACCCAACCGUUAGCAUAGCAUAUGAUCGUUCAGUUUAUUGCUAGUGCUUUCUUAAUGUCAAAUACAUGUUCCUUCGACCAUGAGAUCAUGCAACUCCCGGAUACCGGAGGAAUACCUUGUGUGCUAUCAAACGUCAUAAUAUAACUGGGUGAUCAUAAAGAUGCUCUACAGGUAUCUCCGAAGGUGUCUGUUUAGUUGGUAUGAAUCGAGAUUGGGAUUUGUCACUCCGUGUAUCGGAGAGGUAUCUCUGGGCCCUCUCGGUAAUACACUUCACAAGAAGCUUGCAAGCAAAGUGACUAAGGAGUUAGCUGCAAGAUGAUGUAUUAUGGAACGAGUAAAGAGACUUGACAGUAACGAGAUUGAACUAGGUAUAGAUAUACCGACGAUCGAAUCUCGGGCAAGUAACAUACCGACAGACAAAAGGAACUAUGUAUGUUGUCAUAAAGGUUCAACCGAUAAAAGAUCUUCGUGGAAUAUGUAGGAAUCAAUAUGGGCAUCCAGGUACUGUUAUUAGUUAUUGACCAGAGGGGUGUCUCGGUCAUGACUACAUAAUUCCCAAACCCAUAGGGUCGCACGCUUAACGUUCCUUGACGCCAGAGUAGUAUUGGGAUAUUUGAUGAGUGGUAACCAAAUGUUGUCCGGAGUCCCGGAUGAGAUCCCGAACGUCACGAGGAGUCUCGGAAUGGUCUAGAGGUAAAGAUUUAUAUAUGGGAAGUCAUAUUUUGGGUUCCGGAAAAAAGUGCAAUUUUUUCAAUAUUGUACCGGGAAUCUUCCAGAAGGUUCCGGAGGAUUCCGGAGGGGUACGGAAGUCCACAAGUGGGUUCACCACGACCCAAGGGCUAGAAUGGGCUGCGGGGAGGCGCCCUGGCCUUAUUGGGCUAGGCGCACCAAGUCCGUAAAAGCCCAUGUGGCUAGGGAAGGCAAAAAAAGGAAGGAGUCCUAGUAGGAAUAGGAUUGGACUUGGAGUCCAAGUCCUCUCCCCUUAGUUGUGCCCUAGGGCUUGGAGGGGAUGUUUCCCACGCCCCUCCACCUAUAUAUAGAGGGGAGGGGCGCCCCAAGAGGACACACCAAGCCCAUGGCGCCCCUCUCUCUCCCGUUACUCCGUAGUUCCACCGCCUCGUCCCGGCGACGCUUAGCGAAGCGCUGUCGGUGCUCCACCACCACUAUCACCACCACGCCAUCGUGUUGGUUGUGAUCCUAUCUACUUAUCCUCUCCUGCUUGCUGGAUCAAUAAGGAGGAGACGUCAUCAAGCCACACAUGUGCUAAACUCAGAGGUGCCGUCCGUUCGGCACUAGAUCGGUUCGAUCGUGAUCGGUUCGCGAAGAGUACGACUACAUCAACCGCGUGAUAAACGCUUCCGCCUAGCGAUCUACAAGGGUACGUAGAUGCUCUUCCCCUCUCGUAGCUAUGCAUCUCCAUGGAUAGAUCUUGCGUGUGCGUAGAAUUUUUUUGUUUUCCAUGCAACAUUCCCCUACAGUGGCAUCAUGAGCCAGGUCUAUGCGUAGAUGAUAUGCACGAGUAGAACACAAAGGAGUUGUGGGUGGUGAUGUUCAUACUUGUCGGGGGAAACGACACCUACGGGAUCAUGGGGAAUCCAUUUUGCUACGGUUGGCGGGCGUGGGGCUGUGGAAAGAGCGGGUUUGAAAGAUAAACGCAGGGGGAUUAUCCAGGUUCGGGCCGCAAGUGAUGCGUAAUACCCUAGUCCGGCUGGUUUAUGUUUAUCUGGUCUUCUUGGACUAGCUACAAAGCGUGCAGGGUCCAAAAAGUCUGAAUCGCCUCUCAGUACGCCGCAGGCCUCCUUUUAUAGUCAAAAGGGGCUGGCACAGUGGCACACAGGAGGUGGAAAGUUGUACGGUAGUCGAUUCUAUCUCCUGGCACCGUAGGACAAACGCAUUUAAUGUGCUGCCGACGUGCUCUUCUUGCUUUAUCGGGGACGGCAAGGAAGCUCGUCCCAGUUGUCGCCGCCUCACCUGGCUUCGACGCGCGUCCAAGCUGACGAGGCAUGUAGCGCCAUUCUGGCUGGCUGGCUGUUGAGUUGGUGUGAUGGCAGAGUCUUCACGAAGAUCUGCAUGCCACCACGCAGGUGCUUGGUGAGUUGGCCUAGAGGCCGUACGUCGCCACACAGGUGCUCGCCUAGUUGGUGGGCUAGCAGCUGCGUGGGAACGGCCGUGGAGUCUUGGCAGGUGUGGUCCUGGUUGUGGCCCCGCGGAUGUCUCCGGCAAGGGUCUUGCCGCGGCCCCGGCAAGGGUCUUGCCGCGGCCCCGGCAAGGGUCUUGCCGCGGCGUCGUGGGCGUCCCCGACAAGAGUCUUGCCGGGGGUUCUCGUGGGUAUCCUCGGCAAGGAUCUCGCCGAGGAUACCUGUCGGUGUACAAAAGGAGGGGCGCACUUUUGUACCCCUUUACCUGUGCACGGGCAGUCGGAGCCGCGCCCACGGUCACACCAAGAAGAAUAGGGGAGGUGAGCCAAGGUAAGACCGGAGCCCAAGAUAACCAGAGCAACGCCAAGGCCAAGACCACGAAGAGCAGAGGGACGAAGCAGGUUCCCCCGGCAAGACCCUUGCCGGGGUAGCUCGCCCCACACGAACAGAGCGAGCCACCCUUGAGCCCACGGUCCCCAACACCAUCAUCCACGUGGGGCCAGGACUCGGGAGGCACCUCUGUGGUGGCAUGCAGAUCUUUGUGAAGACAUAUUCAAGAUCAGAUGAGGAUUAGAAGACAGCGAUCCUCGGCAAGAUCCUUACCGAGGAGAGCCACAAGACCCCCGGCAAGAUCCUUGCCUGGGACGACAGCGCUCCACGACAAGACCCUUGCCGGGCCCCCCGGCAAGGCUCUCGCCGAAGAUGCCAACAGGGCCAAUGCCAGGCCCGCACCAGCCAAGUCUCCACCGCCGUUCGCAUGCAGCUGCCAGCCCAAACCAGCUGGGCAGGCACCUGCGUGGCAACAUGCAGCUUCCAGGCCAACUCAGCAGGCGCCUGCCUGGUGGCAUGCAGAUCUUCAUGAAGACCCUACCACCAUGCCACCUCAGCUGCCUGCCUGCCUACAUGGUGCCGCACGCAUCGCUAGCCAGGGCGCGUGUCAAAGCGAGGAGGAGCGGCGACGGACGGGACGGGCCUCACCCCCGUCCCCGAUAAAGCUAGGGGACACCUCGGCGGCGCAUUAAAUGUGACUUGUCCUGUAAUACGAGCGAUAAUCUCGCGAUACUGUACGCCUUUCCACCUCCUGUGUGCCACUGUGGCAGCCCCUUUCGACUAUAAAAGGAGGCCCAUGGCAUACUGGAGAAGGAUUAGACUCUUUCGAACCACACGCUCAAAACAGCUAGUUCGAGAGCUCAAGAACUCUCUAAAAUACACCCACCAAAGCAGGACUAGGGUUUUACGCAUCCCCGCAGCCCGAACCUGGGUAAACGAUCCUCGUGCUGGUUACUAAUCCUGCUCUUCUUGCAACCCUGCGCCCCGGCAACCGUAGUAGGGAUUCUUGUGAUCCCAUAGGUAUCGUUCCUCACCGACAUCUUUGGCGCGCCAGGUAGGGGGCACAAUUGUGAGAAUCUGGUCUAGUAGCUAGCCCAGCAGUUCUUCGUCGCAAUGGCUCCCAAGAAGAAGACGGCCACGGCGAUCGGCUUGUUGGGAGCCGAACGGCCCGUGCCGGUGCGGACGAGCAGUGGACCGGUUGCAGACAGGACCCGGGCCGUGGUCCGCGAGCACCAGUAUCGCCCUGGCAGUCAGAGCCUGGCGAGCGGCGUCGUUCGCGUGCCAGACGACCGGCCGGAUGUCGCCAGAUCCCAAGACGGAGCUGGGCCCCCUGUAGGCGGCGCGGGGCCCUCCAGGGGUGUCAUUGUGCCACCUCCGGGCGGCGCAGCGACCUCCGAGACGCCCACACCGGCGACCAUUGCGUGCUCUUCCCAUGGUGUGCGCGCCGAGUAGCGUCACCACGCUGGUGACCCUGGGCACCGCCGUGGGAAGAGCCCUGUGCAUCAUCCGCGGGAUGAAGGGGUUCAGCAUGCCCGCCGAAGUGCUGGCGAAAAUGGCACGCAGCCGCUGGGUCGUAACGGAGCUCCUUCUAACGCAGUUAGGAGUCGAAGCGCGUCGCGAUCCACGCAGCUGUCGCCGCCGCCCACGCCAGCAGAAGCUUUGGCGCGCGCGCAGCUGCUCCUUGACUUCCCUCUUGCCGCAGAGAAGCUCGACGAGUGGAGGGCCACCAUCCGGAGCCUCGUCGUCGUCGCCAACAAAGACGAUGCGCGACCGGCGGGGCCCUCGGGUCGGCACUCCACUGAGCCGCCACGUGCUGGCGCUGGGAGGACCGGGGGAGCUUGUGACACCCAAGUUUUUAUUUGGAUUUUUCAAAAGAUUUUUAUUUUUAACUUGAGGGGAGUGAUUUAAAUUUUUCUUCAAGAGAACUCCCCCUCUCAAAUAUUUUUCUUUAUGGCAAAAGUUUUGUUUGGAUUCACCCAAGGUCUGUCUUUAGUCUUGGAAGUUCUUGCCUUUCAUUUGGACUCAAGACAAAAUGUUUUUCAUUUGGGAGAAUAACUUCUGAAAAUCUUUUUGAAUUUGCACUAUGGCUUUUGGAAAGUCCUUUGCCACUUUCAACUAUUCCUUCUUGCCAUGGCAUUAGUGCAAAUCCUCUCCCCUAACCCUUCCCUCACCUUUGGAUCAUGAUUUGCAUCAAAUCCAGCAAGUUGAACCUCCCCAUGUGAUUAUUUCCAUUCAAAUUCUAUUCACAUAAAUUUCUGUCUUCUCUUCUAGCACUUGGAGAUUUACAAAGGGACUCCUUUUUCUGUUUUGAUUUUUGCCACCAAACCUUUUUCCCCUCCUAGUCCUUUGAACCCUCAACCUAGAACCAUGAAGAUCCACUGGUCUUCAGUUCAAAAUUUUCAAACUACACCUGCUGCAAGUUUGGACCAGAUUUGCCAAAUUUGAUGAAAUUCAUUCAAAACUCUCUCCAAAAAUUCCAAGUAAAAUCAUGCAGCCUCUGGGUGCAUUGAGUGGUCAUCUCACCAAGUUACAGCUCCAGAAAAAUUUAUCUCAUAGCCAAAACCUUCUGUCGAACACCUGUAGUGCAUGGUCAUGUCAAAUUCAGAAAAGUUUCAGAGAUUCAGUUCAGUGCUCACUGUCGUUUUCUUCAGAGAUGGACUUCGAUCUCGCCAGUGCCACCGCGUCGCCUUGCUCCUCGUCCCCGCCCUCUUGUUCCUGCACCGCACGAACGCCCGGCGCCUUGCAGGCGUCGGCGACGAGCAGCAGAAGGUGCGCCGCCCCGUGACCGACGCCGGCGGCGGCUUUGCGGACGCCAGCGGGAGACACGGCGCUGACGAUGCCACCCAGCGCCGCCCAAACCACCGGAGCCCGCCGCGUGGCCUUCCACUCCCCCAAAUGCGCUGCCGCUCUCGUCGUGAACCGCAGGGCGCGGAGCGCGCUCUCUGCCGCCGUUGAGCCCGUGCGGUCACCUCACCGUGGACCGACGCCAUUACGCCGAGACCAGCCCCGCUUAGCUGUGGAACAACUCCAGUAAUCUCCACUGAUGCUGCCUGGCCGCUCAAACCACCUGCCAAUCCACUGCUCCGCUGUAAUCGCUCGCCGGAGAUUCUCCGUUCACGGCCACCCCGUCGAUCUGCCUAUAAAUAGAGGCCCCGAGCUUCAACUCGAGCACCCACCAGCCCUGCACUCCCCCUAAAGCACGCCUAGCCACUGGAAGAGCCCCGAGGAGGUCUCCUUCCUCGACUCCGGCCGCCGCGACCCGCCACGGGAUCCAGCCCAAUUCGCCCCCGUGUGUGCUCCUCCGCCUCCAUUCUCUUGCCAGUAGCUUCACCUUGCAUCCCUCGUUCUGACCCGCGCCUCAAUUCGUAGUUUGCAGCCCUCCACCGGAGUUCCCCAUCCUCACCCGAGCCGCCGUCCGCCGGAGAAAGUGUCGCCGUCGACGUGGUGCUCCCCGUUGGACGAGUCCACCACCCACCGACGCGGAAGAAGACGCUGAAGCUCUUGGUACCCUCCGUUUCUCCUAACUCGCCAUGGUUCGACGCCGGCAUCCACCAGUCUUCGGGCGCCGGCGAGCCUUUCAAACCUGACAUGUGGACCCCGCGUGUCAGCCUCUGUUCUUUUAUUCGCGAACCGUUUUCUGUUGGCGCCUUCGGGCAAAAUACGCUUUCUCUCUUGCGCUUGCGCAUUUCCAAACGAACCGUUUUCUGUUUUCUUAGUUAAAACCCUGGAACUUUUCUGUUUCAUUACAGAUAAGUCCCUGGACAGAAACCUUUAUAACGUUUUAAUAAAAAGGUAUUUUUGAGUGAUUCUUUUUCUGACAUUCUUAAAAUUUUGUCUAGUUUUUUAUGGGAAUUAUUUGAAAAAUAUUUGGCAAAGUUUCUGUGCAUGUGUUGGUUUUCACGAUAGUACCCGUUUCGUGAUUGCCGUAGGUUCCGGGAGAGGUGACGGAGCCGCGAACUUCACCGAGCUAGACUCCGACUUCUCCGAACCAGGCAAGCAUGUUUUGAACAUUUGAUAUGGCAGGUGUUUUGCAUGUUUGCGUGAAAGUUGGUGCGUGGCAUAUGAGUGUCGGUAAAUACCUCGUUGCUUGUAAGGCAACUACCCGGUUGUUCCAAAGUCGUGAUGAUCUCUGAUGAGAGAUGGCCAAAUCAUGUGGUGACAUGAAGGGCAGCAAGGUGGUACUAUUGUAGCAUGCCAGCCUUGCGUCAUCCGACUUUCUCCGACGUUAACGUGGUUGGAGCCACGUUAUCGUUCUUCCUUUUUCGCACGUUCCAAAGUUGCGAUGAUCUCUGAUGAGAGAUGGCCAAAUCAUGUGGUGACAUGAAGGGCAGCAAGGUGGUAUUGUUGUAGCAUGCCAGCCUUGCGUCAUCCGACUUUCUCCGACGUUAAUGUGGUUGGAGCCACGUUACCGUUCUUUCCCCCUUCCGUGCUACCACAUGUCUCAUUGCGAGGGAUGCGGUUUAGUAAGUUGGUAACCUCUUUCCGUGUACACACCAAACAGAGAGGCCGGGAUGAUGGUACCUUGGCCCAGGAUUAAAGCCAGUCAUCCGGUCAGGGGGCAUGGGUGUUUCCGGUUGGGACCGAGAGGGGGGGCACCCCCUUAUAGCGCGCGUAUAGAAAUUUGAUCCCAUGCUACGCGAGGUUGUAGCCUCCCCGUCUCAAGGUUUUUCUUGAACGAUGCCGAGGGUGAUCCCUGGCUUCGGAAGGUUAAAUUGGGUGUGUACUGGUUAGACGUGUUUCUUCCAAAACACCGUAGACGGAACUAGUCCUCGUGACUACUGAAAUCCGUUGGCUGUGGUUAAGUACAAACUCUGCAGAGUCAAUUCUUUCCAAAUCAUCGUAUCCAUGAUCAAGUACUGAAACCAUUAUAUCCAUAUCUAUCCGCGUGGAAAACUUGUCCCCGGUGAACAAGCUCAGGUGGUAAUCCAGAUUUAUUGCUAUUCCUGUGAAUGGACUAACUUUAUAUUUGUUUCAUGCUCGUGAUAAAUUAUGUUCCCAAACUGUUGUAUUAUUGAGCUGUGUUAUAAGCCCUUUAUGUGACGUCGCACAGACGUCCGACUGUGGCGUGUUUUUGUUUCUUACCUUAAAUAUAAGCCCUUUAUGUGACGUCGCUCAGACGUCCGACUGUGGCAUGCACCGUCCUUAUUUUCUGUUAUAAGCCCUUUAUGUGGUGUCGCCUCGACGCCCGACUGUGGCAUUAUUAUUCCGCAUUUUCCGCUCGAGGAGUCUUUCAGACACUCGUUUGGCACCAGUAUUAUUAUUCCGCAUUUUCCGCUCGAGGAGUCUUUCAGACACUCGUUUGGCACCAGUAUUAUUAUUCCGCAUUUUCCGCUCGAGGAGUCUUUCAGACACUCGUUUGGCACCAGCAUUAUUAUUCCGCAUUUUCCGCUCGAGGCGUCAUUCAGACCCUCGCUUGGCACCCAGCUUUUACUACCUCUAUGUCUGAAUCGUACUGGUUAACUUAUUCAUGUACUUCAUGUUCGCAUUUGUUAUAUCUUAUGUCCGAACUGUCUUGCGAGUACUUUCAUAGUACUCACCUGGCUUGUUGAUUUGGCCAGAUGUUGACGAAGGCGAUCUCUUGGAUGAAGAGUUUGAUAGCGCGUCCGAUGCCUAGAGGAGUCCCAGUCAGUCCUGCGCGAUCCCGGAUUUUGGUCACUUGUAUUGUUUACGCUUCCGACACCCGCAAUAAGUCUUCUCGAGCCUCACUCCGACGCUCGAAGAGCUGUAGUCUUCUGGAAUCAUAUCACUCGCUUCGCGAUGGUAUUUCCACCACCGUUAUUAUCGUGAGUUAGUAGUUUGCCACCCUAUCCGCCGUAUUGUUUAUCGGCGGGCAUGUAAUAAAUUGUUGGGCAGUCUCUGCUCAACCUUGUAUUAUAUUUAGUACUCCUGGUAUUUUCUUCUGUGACCAAGAUAAUUGUCUAUCAGUGAGAAGAAAUUCUUCCUCGCUGGUCCGUAAAAGGGAUUGGUUUCUCAAUAAUUAUUUUAUUGAAAAACCGGUCGUGACAAGCUUGGUAUCAGAGCCAGGCUGACUGUAGGAAGCCACUAGGUGCGAUCGCUAAUCGGUUAUUAGCGUCUUUUGUGCUUUUUCAGCAUUUUACAAUUGUAGCUAUUUUCUAUUGGUCAUCAUAAAUUUAUGACAUGACUACUCAGAAUUUUUGCCUACUUUUGUAGAUGGCUGGCAGCAGCUGUGAGAAUCGAGUGUUCACCAACGUGCCCGAGGGGUUUGUCAAGCUCCUCGUCUCCAUCACCAAGCUCGCGAUCGGGCCAGCAGCUCGCCCGGAGUUCACACUCUAUCAGCACAAGCUCAGUGACGACGUGUCUAUGCACCAAGCCGUGGUACAGUUCAGGGGAGGACGAUCUGCUGCUCGCCACUUCCGUUUUACGGGAAGGGCCAUGCCUACAGAGAGGCAUGCCAUGCAGAUGGCUGCCCGUGAGGCGAUAGCUCGCCUUCGGGACAUCCUUCCUACGAUGAAGACUCGUCGCUACCGCUACCUCCCAUGCCAUGUGCCGUACACCAGCCACUAUGCGUUUGCCUGCCAUCGGGGAGAAAGAGACGAAGCCAUCGAGAUGGUUGUGGAGUAUCUCAAGGCUCUGGAGGAGUCUUUCGACAACCUCGUAGAUGAUCUUGUGGCCACCCGCAUGGACUUAGUCCGGGGCGGUCCUGCCAGCAGGAAGGAGCUUCUCCACACGGCGCCGCCUCUGACAUUCGUCUUGUCUUCAGCCUCGUAUGCACCGGCCGUUUUGGCCACUGCUCGCCGUCUGCCUACCACUGAGGAGUUCGACCGAGUCAUCGCUCCUACUCCAGUCAGAGCCGCACCGCCUGCCGCACGCGCUCUGCCACCAGUCGCCCCCGCACCAUCACCGCAGCGCAGCGUCACGCGCCAGGAGCCAGCUAGAGAGGAGGUGGAGGUUGACUCUCCUGGACCGCUGAGCCUUGCCAUCGGCAAGGGGAAGGAGAUCUUCACCAUCUCCGACUGAGAGCACCGAGUAGCCGCGUAUUAUGUCUGCUUGUAUGAUGUGCUGUUUUAUUUGUACGCUAGUUUUAAUAACAUGUCAGGAUUGUGUACGCGCAUCCUGAGUGCUGUAUCAUGUGUUUGCUUUUCGCAUGUAAGUUUUAUGUUAAGCACUUCUUCUCCAUGAAAAAUCAUUUGUGUUUCUUUGAAAACCUUGAACCAUUUUAAUUGUUGCCCUUGCAAGAUUUUUUUUUGGGGCUACACAGUUUCUCAUGGGUUUUGCAAAUAAUACCCCAGACUGGAAAUAUGUCUCGCCCAUGGACUCGCUCCAUGCCCAAUCAGCCAGAAGAGGUUUACGGGACACAGACCAGCAACAAUUUCACUCAGGGUCAGUCCAGCCAACAAGACAGCGAAGCAGCACUGUCUCAAGUAUGCCGUCUCUUCGAGCAAAGUCAGCAACAACACCAAGAGAUGAUGAACCAUGUCAUCAACAUGGGAAACCACCAUGAACACUAUCAACCACAUUCCAAGUUAUCCGAGUUACAGAAGACUCGCCCCUCAACUUUUGCUCACACCGAUAGGCCGCUGGAAGCCGAUGAUUGGCUUCGUGAGAUUGAAAGGAAACUGAUUAUUGCUCAAUGCUCAGAUCAUGAGAAGGUGCUUUAUGCACCACACUACCUUACUGGAGCAGCCGCAGCAUGGUGGGAAAACUUCCUACACAUGCAUACCAGGGAACACAACAUCACCUGGGAAGAGUUCAAGGAAGGCUUCCGUGGGGCACACAUCCCCAGGAGCAUCUUAAAGAUCAAGAAGAGAGAGUUUGAUGACCUGAAGCAAAGAGGCAUGUCUGUGACAGAGUACAAUGGUCAGUUCACUCAGCUGUCUCGUUAUGCCUACGACGAGCACAUGACAGAAAGCAAGAAAAUGGAAAAAUUCCUGGACGGCCUGGCACCAGCGCUAAGAUGCCAACUGAUUGUACACACCUUUCCGGAUUUUAAGACGCUGGUGGACAAGGCCAUCACCUUGGAGAAUGAGCGCCGUAGUCUGGAAGAUAUCUGUACGCGGAAAAGGGACAAGACGACUCUUGCCCGCAGCAACCGAGGCAAGACUGAGGUCCCAAGGACAGACACAAGGAGAUCCACGACUACCGAGCCAAGGCCCGUCGGACAGUUUCAUGCCAGGGACAAGGAGUUCACAUACCGUCCAGGGGUCACCUGCUAUGCUUGUGGUCAACAAGGGCAUUAUGCUCAACAGUGCCCGAAGCCAAGAGACUCGGCACCCAAGCCGAAUAAUGGUGGAAACAAUCCAGCCCCCAAGCGCAACAACUUCAAUCCCAACAACAACCACAGGAAGGGUCACCUAAACCAUGUGACUAGGGAAGAAGCGCAGAAUGCCCCAGACAUCGUGCUCGGUACGUUCCCUGUCAACACAGUACCUGCCACGGUUUUGUUUGAUUCUGGAGCUUCCCAUUCGUUUGUUUCGAAGAGUUUUGUUUCGCAACAUGGUUUUCCGAUACUCCCCUUGGAAAAGUCUAUGGUCAUCAAGUCCCCCGGAAAUAAGCAAAUCGUCCAAGGUUACUGCCAAGGAGUGGUCAUUGAGUUCGAAGGACUACAAUUCCACGCGAAUCUCAUCGUGUUGGAAAGUAAAGGACUGGAUGUCAUUUUAGGGAUGGACUGGUUGACCACCAACAAAGGAUUCAUCGACUGUUUCCAUCGGACAGUGAUUCUCACUCACCAUCACGGCAAGACAAUAAGAGUUUCCGCUCAAGAAAGGCCACGAUCACAGAAACCAAAACUGAACAAAAUGGACAUUGCAGAACUGAGAAAUGUUCCAGUGGUAUGCGAGUUCCCUGAUGUGUUCCCGGAAGAACUACCAGGCAUGCCACCAGACCGAGAGAUCGAAUUCAGCAUUGAACUAGCACCUGGCACCGCUCCCAUUUAUAAGAAGCCGUAUAGAAUGGCACCCUCGGAAUUGGUGGAGUUGAAGAAGCAGAUAAAGGAAUUAUUGGACAAGGGGUUUAUACGAGCCAGCUCCUCACCAUGGGGUUCGCCUGUGUUGUUCGCCAAGAAGAAGGAUGGGACACUGAGACUGUGCAUAGACUAUCGAGCCCUCAAUAUGGUCACCAUCAAAAACAAAUACCCGAUGCCACGGAUAAAUGAUUUGUUUGACCAGCUCGCACAAGCUAAGGUAUUUUCAAAGAUUAGUUUGAGAUCGGGAUACCAUCAACUGAAGGUACGGACAGAGGAUAUCCCCAAGACAACAUUCACUUCCAAAUAUGGGUUAUACGAGUUCACAGUGAUGCCUUUUGGUCUAACGAACGCCCCCGCAUAUUUCGUCCACCUCAUGAACAAAGUGUUCAUGAAAUUCAUGGACAAAUUUGUGGUGGUAUUCAUUGACGAUAUUCUGGUUUACUCAAGGACACCCGAAGAGCAUGCUGAGCACCUCAGAAUUAUUUUGGGAGAAUUGAGGAAGCAUCAGUUGUAUGCCAAGUUUAGCAAAUGCGAAUUUUGGCUAAGACAAGUUGGUUUCUUAGGCCAUAUACUGAACCAAGAAGGCGUAGCCGUAGACCCAGAAAAGGUCAAGGCCAUACUGGACUGGAAACCGCCCGCCAACGUCACAGAUGUGCGGAGUUUCCUAGGAAUGGCCGGAUAUUACAGAAGAUUUAUUGAAGGAUUCUCCACUGUGGCGAAACCUAUGACCCAACUACUCAAGAAGGACAAGAAAUUCGUAUGGACGGAAGCAUGUGAGCAGAGCUUCCAAGAACUCAAGAAAAGGCUGACAACCGCACCAGUCUUAACUGUGCCGGACAUACACAAGAGUUUUGAAGUAUAUUGUGACGCGUCCCGAAAAGGUCUCGGAUGUGUACUAAUGCAGGAUGGCAAAGUUGUCGCAUAUGCCUCCAGGCAACUGCGAAAACAUGAAGAAAAUUACCCAACACAUGACUUGGAGCUAGCAGCAGUCAUACAUGCACUCAAGGAGUGGAGGCACUUUCUGUUGGGAAAUCGUUGUGAAAUAUAUACGGACCAUAAGAGCCUCAAAUAUAUCUUCACACAGCCAGAGCUGAAUUUACGCCAACGACGCUGGUUGGAACUGGUCAAAGACUAUGACGUCGGCAUCCACUACCACCCAGGGAAAGCAAAUGUAGUGGCCGAUGCCCUUAGUCGAAACCCCAGCCCGGACAAUGACGGUCCGCAAAACUUGAGGCCUGAGUUUCAGCGAGAGUUCGCUAGGCUCAACAUGAUGUUAGUCUCCGAGGGCACCGUAUCAAAUCUGGAGAUACAACCCACCUUGGUGGAACGAAUUAAGAAGGCUCAACAGGGACACCCCAGCAUCGAAGGCAUAAAGAAGAAAAUGAAUCUUAGUAAGACUUCAGAGUUCGUCACAGACAGUGAAGGAACAUUGUGGUACCGAAACAGACUUUGCGUACCUAACAUUGAGGAACUCAAGCAGCAGAUCUUGACGGAAAGCCACACCGCUCCAUAUUCGAUCCAUCCUGGGGGAACCAAAAUGUACAAGGACAUCCAGGAAAGAUUUUGGUGGCACGGUAUGAAAAGAGAUAUAGCCACAUUUAUUGCUUGUUGCGAUUCAUGUCAGCGUACCAAGGCCGAGCAUCAAAAGCCAGCAGGGCUACUCCAGCCAAACAGAAUGCCGGAGUGGAUGGGAUGAAAUAGGAAUGGAUUUCAUCGUUGGACUACCCCGAUCACAACGCGGAAAUGACGCCAUAUGGGUCAUCACAGACCGACUAACCAAGGUUGCUCAUUUCGUUCCCGUGAAGACUACCUACUCCACACAAAGACUGGCAAAACUUUAUCUCUCCCGUAUAGUUUGCUUGCAUGGAGUCCCAAAGACUAUAAUAUCAGACCGAGGCACCCAAUUCGUCUCCAAAUUUUGGGAUCACCUACAACAAGCUCUGGGCACACAACUAGCUUUCAGUACAGCAUACCACCCUCAGAUAGAUGGACAAACGGAACGUGUAAACCAAAUCCUAGAGGAUAUGCUAAGAGCCUGUGUACUCACCUAUGGAUCCAGUUGGGAAGAGAGUUUGCCGUAUGCCGAAUUUGCGUACAACAACAGUUACCAAGCCAGCUUGCAAAUGGCACCCUUUGAAGCCUUGUACGGACGGAGGUGUCGUACCCCACUGAAUUGGUCAGAAACAGGUGACAGCCGUAUCUUCGGCCCAGAUAUGCUUAAAGAGGCCGAGGAAAAAGUUAAACAAAUCAGGGACAGACUCAAGACGGCGCCGAGCCGACAAAAGAGCUACUAUGAUCAGAAGCAUCGUGAGGUCAGCUUUGAACCCGGUGAUUCCGUAUACCUCCGAGUAUCUCCUAUGAGGGGUCUGCAACGGUUCAAAAUUAAGGGAAAGCUAGCCCCAAGAUUUAUUGGACCAUUUUGUGUGAAGGCACGAAGAGGCACGGUAGCCUACCAACUAGACCUACCCAAGGAGCUGUCAGACGUCCAUGACGUAUUCCACGUCUCGCAGUUGAGGAAAUGUGUGAGUAACCCGGAGAAACAUGUACCUCAUGAGGACAUUGAUAUGCAACCAGAUCUCACCUACAGAGAAAGGCGAGUAAAGAUUUUAGAAGAGUCUGAACGGAGGACCCGUCAGAAAACGACAAAGUUUUUCAAGGUCCAGUGGAGCAACCACACUGAGGAUGAAGCCACAUGGGAAAGGGAAGAUUUCCUCCGAGCAGAGUAUCCAUAUCUAUUUGAGGAUCAGCAGAAAUCUCGAGGAUGAGAUUUUUCCUAAGGGGGUAGGUGUUGUGACACCCAAGUUUUUAUUUGGAUUUUUCAAAAGAUUUUUAUUUUUAACUUGAGGGGAGUGAUUUAAAUUUUUCUUCAAGAGAACUCCCCCUCUCAAAUAUUUUUCUUUAUGGCAAAAGUUUUGUUUGGAUUCACCCAAGGUCUGUCUUUAGUCUUGGAAGUUCUUGCCUUUCAUUUGGACUCAAGACAAAAUGUUUUUCAUUUGGGAGAAUAACUUCUGAAAAUCUUUUUGAAUUUGCACUAUGGCUUUUGGAAAGUCCUUUGCCACUUUCAACUAUUCCUUCUUGCCAUGGCAUUAGUGCAAAUCCUCUCCCCUAACCCUUCCCUCACCUUUGGAUCAUGAUUUGCAUCAAAUCCAGCAAGUUGAACCUCCCCAUGUGAUUAUUUCCAUUCAAAUUCUAUUCAAAUAAAUUUCUGUCUUCUCUUCUAGCAAUUGGAGAUUUACAAAGGGACUCCUUUUUCUGUUUUGAUUUUUGCCACCAAACCUUUUUCCCCUCCUAGUCCUUUGAACCCUCAACCUAGAACCAUGAAGAUCCACUGGUCUUCAGUUCAAAAUUUUCAAACUACACCUGCUGCAAGUUCGGACCAGAUUUGCCAAAUUUGAGGAAAUUCAUUCAAAACUCUCUCCAAAAAUUCCAAGUAAAAUCAUGCAGCCUCUGGGUGCAUUGAGUGGUCAUCUCACCAAGUUACAGCUCCAGAAAAAUUUAUCUCAUAGCCAAAACCUUCUGUCGAACACCUGUAGUGCAUGGUCAUGUCAAAUUCAGAAAAGUUUCAGAGAUUCAGUUCAGUGCUCACUGUCGUUUUCUUCAGAGAUGGACAUCGAUCUCGCCAGUGCCACCGCGUCGCCUUGCUCCUCGUCCCCGCCCUCUUGUUCCUGCACCGCACGAACGCCUGGCGCCUUGCGGGCGUCGGUGACGAGCAGCAGAAGGUGCGCCGCCCCGUGACCGACGCCGGCGGCGGCUUUGCGGACGCCAGCGGGAGACACGGCGCCGACGACGCCACCCAGCGCCGCCCAAACCACUGGAGCCCGCCGCGUGGCCUUCCACACUCCCAAAUGCGCUGCCGCUCUCGUCGUGAACCGCAGGGCGCGGAGCACGCUCUCUGCCGCCGUUGAGCCCGUGCGGUCACCUCACCGUGGACCGACGCCAUUACGCCGAGACCAGCCCCGCUUAGCUGUGGAACAACUCCAGUAAUCUCCACUGAUGCUGCCUGGCCGCUCAAACCACCUGCCAAUCCACUGCUCCGCCAUAAUCGCUCGCCGGAGAUUCUCCGUUCACGGCCACCCCGUCGAUCUGCCUAUAAAUAGAGGCCCCGAGCUUCAACUCGAGCACCCACCAGCCCUGCACUCCCCCUAAAGCACGCCUAGCCACUGGAAGAGCCCCGAGGAGGUCUCCUUCCUCGACUCCGGCCGCCGCGACCCGCCACGGGAUCCAGCCCGAUUUGCCCCCGUGUGUGCUCCUCCGCCUCCAUUCUCUUGCCAGUAGCUUCACCUUGCAUCCCUCGUUCUGACCCGCGCCUCAAUUCGUAGUUUGCAGCCCUCCACCGGAGUUCCCCAUCCUCACCCGAGCCGCCGUCCGCCGGAGAAAGUGUCGCCGUCGACGUGCUGCUCCCCGUUGGACGAGUCCACCACCCACCAACGCGGAAGAAGACGCUGAAGCUCUUGGUACCCUUCGUUUCUCCUAACUCGCCGUGGUUCGACGCCGGCGUCCACCGCAGUCUUCGGGCGCCGGCGAGCCUUUCAAACCUGACAUGUGGACCCCGCGUGUCAGCCUCUGUUCUUUUAUUCGCGAACCGUUUUCUAUUGGCGCCUUCGGGCAAAAUACGCUUUCUCUCUUGCGCUUGCGCAUUUCCAAACGAACCGUUUUCUGUUUUCUUAGUUAAAACCCUGGAACUUUUCUGUUUCAUUACAGAUAAGUCCCUGGACAGAAACCUUUAUAACUUUUUAAUAAAAAGGUAUUUUUGAGUGAUUCUUUUUCUGACAUUCUUAAAAUUUUGUCUAGUUUUUUAUGGGGUUUAUUUGAAAAAUAUUUGGCAAAGUUUCUGUGCAUGUGUUGGUUUUCACGAUAGUACCCGUUUCGUGAUUGCCGUAGGUUCCGGGAGAGGUGACGGAGCCGCGAACUUCGCCGAGCUAGACUCCGACUUCUCUGAACCAGGCAAGCAUGUUUUGAACAUUUGAUAUGACAGGUGUUUUGCAUGUUUGCAUGAAAGUUGGUGCGUGGCAUAUGAGUGUCGGUAAAUACCUCGUUGCUUGUAAGGCAACUACCCGGUUGUUCCAAAGUCGUGAUGAUCUCUGAUGAGAGAUGGCCAAAUCAUGUGGUGACAUGAAGGGCAGCAAGGUGGUACUGUUGUAGCAUGCCAGCCUUGCGUCAUCCGACUUUCUCCGACGUUAACGUGGUUGGAGCCACGUUAUCGUUCUUCCUUUUUCGCAUGUUCCAAAGUUGCGAUGAUCUCUGAUGAGAGAUGGCCAAAUCAUGUGGUGACAUGAAGGGCAGCAAGGUGGUAUUGUUGUAGCAUGCCAGCCUUGCGUCAUCCGACUUUCUCCGAUGUUAAUGUGGUUGGAGCCACGUUACCGUUCUUUCCCCCUUCCGUGCUACCACAUGUCUCAUUGCCAGGGAUGCGGUUUAGUAAGUUGGUAACCUCUUUCCGUGUACACACCAAACAGAGAGGCCGGGAUGAUGGUACCUUGGCCCAGGAUUAAAGCCAGUCAUCCGGUCAGGGGGCAUGGGUGUUUCCGGUUGGGACCGAGAGGGGGGGCACCCCCUUAUAGCGCGCGUAUAGAAAUUUGAUCCCAUGCUACGCGAGGUUGUAGCCUCCCCGUCUCAAGGUUUUUCUUGAACGAUGCCGAGGGUGAUCCCUGGCUUCGGAUGGUUAAAUUGGGUGUGUAUUGGUUAGACGUGUUUCUUCCAAAACACCGUAGAUGGAACUAGUCCCCGUGACUACUGAAAUCCGUUGGCUGUGGUUAAGUACAAACUCUGCAGAGUCGAUUCUUUCCAAAUCAUCGUAUCCAUGAUCAAGUACUGAAACCGUUAUAUCCAUAUCUAUCCGCAUGGAAAACUUGUCCCCGGUGAACAAGCUCAGGUGGUAAUCCAGAUUUAUUGCUAUUCCUGUGAAUGGACUAACUUUAUAUUUGUUUCAUGCUCGUGAUAAAUUAUGUUCCCAAACUGUUGUAUUAUUGAGCUGUGUUAUAAGCCCUUUAUGUGACGUCGCGCAGACGUUCGACUGUGGCGUGUUUUUGUUUCUUACCUUAAAUAUAAGCCCUUUAUGUGACGUCGCUCAGACGUCCGACUGUGGCAUGCACCGUCCUUAUUUUCUGUUAUAAGCCCUUUAUGUGGUGUCGCCUCGACACCCGACUGUGGCAUUAUUAUUCCGCAUUUUCCGCUCGAGGAGUCUUCCAGACACUCGUUUGGCACCAGUAUUAUUAUUCCGCAUUUUCCGCUCGAGGAGUCUUUCAGACACUUGUUUGGCACCAGUAUUAUUAUUCCGCAUUUUCCGCUCGAGGAGUCUUUCAGACACUCGUUUGGCACCAGUAUUAUUAUUCCGCAUUUUCCGCUCGAGGAGUCUUUCAGACACUCGUUUGGCACCAGCAUUAUUAUUCCGCAUUUUCCGCUCGAGGCGUCAUUCAGACCCUCGCUUGGCACCCAGCUUUUACUACCUCUAUGUCUGAAUCGUACUGGUUAACUUAUUCAUGUACUUCAUGUUCGCAUUUGUUAUAUCUUAUGUCCGAACUGUCUUGCGAGUACUUUCAUAGUACUCACCUGGCUUGUUGAUUUGGCCAGAUGUUGACGAAGGCGAUCUCUUGGAUGAAGAGUUUGAUAGCGCGUUCGAUGCCUAGAGGAGUCCCAGUCAGUCCUGCGCGAUCCCGGAUUUUGGUCACUUGUAUUGUUUACGCUUCCGACACCCGCAAUAAGUCUUCUCGAGCCUCACUCCGAUGCUCGAAGAGCUGUAGUCUUCUGGAAUCAUAUCACUCGCUUCGCGAUGGUAUUUCCACCACCGUUAUUAUCGUGAGUUAGCAGUUUGCCGUAUUGUUUAUCGGCGGGCAUGUAAUAAAUUGUUGGGCAGUCUCUGCUCAACCUUGUAUUAUAUUUAGUACUCCUGGUAUUUUCUUUUGUGACCAAGAUAAUUGUCUAUCAGUGAGAAGAAAUUCUUUCUCGCUGGUCCGUAAAAGGGAUUAGUUUCUCAAUAAUUAUUUUAUUGAAAAACCGGUCGUGACAGAGCUGCAGCCACGGUGCACUCUCCUCCUCCUCGCCAGCCGCCGCGGGCGUCGGCCCGUCGUGACGACGCUUGUGAUAACAUCUCCAUAGCGUCGUCCGACCCGCGGACCCUCCGCGACCAGUGCUAAGUUCUUCGAGAACGGGCUCACGAAGAUGCUCGGACCACCAUCGUGCACGGUGCGAUACACGCCACCAGUCGGACAAGCGGGCGGGACCCGCUAUGGACCGCCCAGCACCGGGGGGCUCCGGCGGCCUACCUUACGAGGUGGGCUGCCCGGCCUUUACCCGUGAGCUGCGGCAGUUCCAGUGGCUGUCCCACCGCACGUUCAAGCCUAACGUCGGCGAGAAGUACACUGGCAAGACCCAUCCGUCCGAGUUCCUCAGCAUCUACACCAUCGCGAUGCAGGCUGCCGGAGCUCGCGACGACAAGCUGCUUGCCAAUUAUUUCCCGCUGGCACUGAAGCCCAAUGUUAUGUCUUGGUAGCACUUGCCUGCGGAUUCCAUUUCUUCUUGGUCGGAUCUGUGCCAUGAGUUCGUUGGCGCCUUCACAGGAGGCCACCAAGCUCAUGGCCAGGCCAGUGAUCUGCAUAUCAUUCCCCAGAAGGAAGGGGAAACCCUGCGCAAGUACAUCCAGAGAUUCAGCCGGGUGCAGUACAACAUCCCCGACAUUCAUCCCGUCGCUGUGAUCAAUGCGUUCCAUCAGAACGUGCGCAACCACAAGAUGCGCGAAGAGCUAGCGAUGACCAAGGUUAACGAUGUGGCCGAGCUCUACGUUCUGGUCGAUAGAUGCGCCCAGGCUGAAGAGGGAAGGAAGUACCCUGGCGAAGAUGCCGGUGCGGAAACCGACUCUACCGACGAAGACGCCGCCACCCUGAUGAAGAAGGGCCGGCGUCGCAACAGGAAACGCAAGGGCAAGGUCGUACUUGCCGUCGAGGGGUCUGACGGCACCAGCGCUGCCAAAAAGGUCAAGGUAGACGGCCCCGACAAGGAGAUUGCUGGGUGCGCAGCUUGCCGGGCCUUAGCAGCUACCGACAAGCCAGGAGGCUCCGGCAAGCAGUGCUGCAAGAUCCACCGCACCAAGGGCCACGACCUUCGGAACUACUGACAAGUCGAGCCGCUUGCUGAAAAGCAAAGGGCCGAGUACGAAAGGCGGGACAAGGGGAAAGGUCAGGACGGUGCCGAGGGAUCCGGCAAGAAGCAUGGCGGCCAAGGAAGCCGCCCCGGCAAGGAUAAUGUCAGAGUAAAUGACCACGAGUAGCCUAACCGACUCCCCCUGGCUCAUCAAAAAAUUAUCAGGCCGAUCGAGCCUUCAAGCACCCAAAGCAUGGGGCCGCCUUCCCCUGGCCGGCCAUCUCACAGGCCGACUGCUGGAAGGCGGCCCGACCUUGAAACCCUCCUGAAGAGAGCCAAAAGAAGGCCGACUCCUAGAAGCCGGCAAGAAGGUCGACUCCAAGAAGCCAGCCACAAGAAGGCCAACUCCAAGAAGCCGGCCACAAGAAGACCGACUCCCGGCAAGCGGCUAAGAUUGCACCCUCCAGGAGAGCACCCACAUAACGGUGACAAGACCGGGCGUGGCUACUGUAAAGUGUGCCACCCCCGAAUCCCGGAGCACGCAUGGCCACAGUGCGCCGUACGGGUCGGCCAUCCCCCGUCCGGCGCGGCACUGUAGCCAUGUUGACCAUGACGCCACCCAUGACGGGUUGUCAGUACGGCCCGCGGGCGGUGGGCCCCUACAGCCAGAGAGACGCUCGAAGGCGGUCAAGCCCCCUUAUAGUCGGCCUGGGGUGUAGCCGGCUCCCAAUAGCUGGCUACCUCACUCCCUCGAAGUAUGUGCAUCAUUAAGAAGACAAGAUGAGGUAAGGCUACAGUGAGAGUUCGCCGGAGGGCGGCACUGUAGCCAUGCUUACCUCAGCAAAGCCCUUGUCAUCAGGGGCGAGGCUACAGUAACCAGCAGCCAGCGGGACCCACCAGUCGGCGGGCCCCAGCGGUCGGCGGAGAAGCCGGCGGAUACAAAAACUGACGGCCUGGACCCACAUCCAGCCGGAUUACCAUUGUACCCCUGGGGGGUAGGCCUAUAUAAACCCCCCAGGGCACCCAUGCAAAGGGUUGAUCUCUUAGAGUUUCAGACACCACGUAGAGAGAAGAUGAUAGCUAGCCUUGCCCUUCUUCCUCCUCUAGCAAAACAGCUCAAGGAGCCACUUGUAGCCACUUGUGUUGAUCUAGUGAUCAUGCGGAGACCCCGCAGAGCAGGACUAGGGGUGUUAUCUCCACGGAGAGCCCCGAACCUGGGUAAGAUUCGCCGGCGUGCAUGUCUUCGCCUUAUCCCAUUUCCAGGCAUCAAUGAUGUCUUACUGGCUCCCACAAUGAUAAGCCACCCGUUGGCAUAUGUCGCACCUACCACCCGACAUUUGGCGCCUGCCAUGGGGCCAGGUGCACCGUCGUCCGGAGACCUGUUCUGGACGGGAACCCAUUUCCUUCCCAGCGAGCGUAGCCAGCCCGGCACGCCUGAUGGCGCUUGCCCCGACGCGCUGCAAGGCGCCGACGACGCCUGCACGGCGAGCUGCCUCGCCAAUCUUCUUGGCGAGGCUCGCAUCUCCGACGAGCCUGCGUCCGACGCGGGCACAGACUACCCUGAGAGCCGCCUCGUCAGCCUCCUCGACCAGCUUCACGUCUCCAGUGAGCCUGCUGUGGAUUUGGAGUCGGUCGGCUCCACUGACCCGAUGCUUGUCGACUCCGACACGACAUCGCUUGACGCCUUCCCCACCAACGUGGUGAUCAUCGACGACCCUCUUCCUCGAGCCGACAGUGGCAGUAGCGCUGUCACUGAGGUGCUGGUCAUCAGCCAUGGUGCCACCUCAGGCGAGAACGCCCACGACGCCCUACAAGCAGCGCUACACGACCUGUCCGCCCCCUUCCCGGCCGACGCGGACGCCGAGACACUGGAGGCACGCCGCCUCGCCCUCAUCGCGAAGGGCCAGAAGAUAGCAUCCAUGAGACGCCUCACUGAGGCUCACCAGCGCGAAGUCGACCUCGCCGCCUUUGGUACGCCGCCUCCUGGCGGGCCGAGCCAAGCCGGCAUCGUCAAGAAGCGCGGUGCGACCAUCGCCAGCAUGCUCGGAGCAGACUGCCCAGUCUACGCCAUGCCACUCGAGAACCUGUGUGCCGCUCAGGCGGCCGUAGACGAGCUGAACGGGCUGGGGGCCGACGAGCUCCCCUACAUGACUAGACGCAUCCAGCAGCUGAUCGACGCGGCCGCAGAGCGGCAUGAAGCCGGCGCCAGCGCAAAAAGUCCUCCCCCACGCCGAGAGCACGCCGCGACAUCCUGGACGCCGACUCCAAGCGGCGCCCGCGCAAGAAAAGACAAAGAGCCGGCUGCUAGCCGCAGUCGGACUCGUCUCACCAUUGAGCGCGACGGAGAAGGCCGCCCCCGAGCUGUGGAACGACAAGGCAAUCCGCCUCCUCCCCCGCCUCGUGGGGAGAGAUAUCCCACCCCGCCGCCUGUCACGCAUCCGACUCUCGGCGACUGACUAGGCCACCGCGAAGGAGUCGGCAAGAAUGACGCCCGCCAUCGGAUCGACCGCCUAGCGCGAUCCCUGGCGCUAGAAGAAGAAGAUGAUGUCGGCCCGCCUUGCUUUGGCCCCCGCAUCCGCGACGAGCCCUUCCCCAAAGGGUUCUCACUCCCAAGAGACACGCCAAAAUACAACGGCUCCGUGAAGCCGGAAGACUGGUUGAUCGACUACUCCACCGCAGUCAACAUAGCAAACGGCAACAGGCGCGUUGCCGUGAAGUACGUCCCGCUCAUGCUUCAAGGCACGACACGCACUUGGUUGAACAGCCUCAAGCCCUACAGCGUCAACAGCUGGCUCGACUUCACGGAAGUCUUCAUCCGCAACUUCACCAACACAUACAAGCGGCCUCCGAAGCCUCGCCAGCUUUCCUUGUGCGUCCAAGGGCCUAGCGAAUCAACUCGCGACUACCUCACGCGUUGGGCCGAGCUCCGCAACUCCUGCGAAGGGGUGCACGAGGUUCAGGCCAUAGAGUACUUCACCGCCGGGUGCCGAGAGGGCACCCUCAUCAAGCACCGACUCCUCUGCGACGAGGCGACUACCCUCGACGAGCUGCUGAUCAUAGCAGACAAGUACGCCACGGCCGACUCUUCAAUGAAGAGCGAGCUUCGAGUGGAUGCCUCUGGAAAGGUGCUCGCUCCGGCUCCCAAGACGCCGGCUGGAGACUCCAAUCGACGCCCGCACCCGAACAACCACAAGCGCAAGGCCCCUAUGCCGCCUUCCAGCAGCCGGCAAGUAGCCACAGUCGAAGACGAACAACCUGAAGAGCGGCCCGUGCCCAAGAAGCAGAAGGGCGGCAGGCCAGCUUGGCAGCCGGCUUUCUCCUACGAGAAAACCCUUGAUGCCCCCUGCAAGUUCCACAGCGGCGCGAAGCCGUCCAACCAUACGACUCGGAAGUGUCAUUGGCUCACGCGAAUCUCCAAAGGCGAGGGACUGGUGCCGCCUCCAGCUCCUCAGCAGCCGGCUGCUCGACCAGCAGUUGGAGCCAUUCAAGAUGAGUUCCCGAACGAGCAUGCCGCCUACGUCGUCUUCAUAAGCCAAGCUGAAGACAGAUGCAGUCGGCGCCUCCAACAGCAAGAAGUCAAUGCGGUCGCCUCCAACAACCCAGAGUUUAUGCAUUGGUCUGAGAAGCCUAUCAACUGGAGCCGGGCUGAUCACCCAGAGGUGAUGUCGUCUCCCGGCUCUUAUGCGUUGGUAUUGGACGCCACCCUCGCGAUAGAAAGACGAGCUGCCCGUUUCUCCCGAGUACUGAUUGACGGAGGGAGCAACAUCAACAUACUGUACUGUGACACCAUGGAGAAGCUGAACAUCAAGACGAAGCAACUCAUGCCAAGCCGGACUGUGUUCCAUGGCAUCGUACCCGGCCUGGCCUGCUCACCAAUCGGCAAGAUCAAGAUAGAUGUUCUCUUCGGAGACAAGGAUCACUUCCGCCGAGAAGCAGUCUGGUUUGAAGUGGUGGAUCUAGAGAGCCCUUACCACGCGUUGCUUGGCCGACCUGCCUUGGCCAAGUUCAUGGAUGUGCCCCACUACGCCUACCUCAAGAUGAAGAUGCCGAGUUCAAAGGGGAUCAUCACCAUAGCCGGAGAAUACAAGAAAUCCUCCGAGUGUGCUGCAGCCAGCAGCCGGCUGGCCGAGUCCCUUGUGAUUACCGAAGAAAGGAAGAUGCUGGACCGAGUCGUGGCCAUGGCCGAUAAGUAGCCGGCCCUGUCCCCUGACCCCAAGGAAUAUGAUGCUCAAGGCUCCUUCCAGCCGGCCAAGGAAACAAAGAAGAUACCUCUGGACCCGGAGAACCCGGAGAGGUUUGCUGUCAUUGGUGCAAACCUGGACAGCAAAUAGGAAGGCGAGCUCGUCGAUUUCCUCCGUGAGAAUCGGGACAUCUUUGCAUGGUCCCCAAAGGACAUGCCGGGUGUUCCGAAGGAUUUCGCCGAGCACAAGUUACACGUCCGAGCAGACGCAAAACCAGUCAAGCAACCCCUCCGCUGACUGUCGGAGGAAAAGAGAAGGAUUGUAGGAGAAGAGAUAGCCCGGCUUCUGGCAGCCGGCUUCAUUAUGGAGGUGUUUUUUUCCAGAAUGGCUUGCCAACGCGGUCCUGGUGUUGAAGAAAAACAAUAAAUGGCGCAUGUGUAUAGAUUACACCAGCCUCAACAAAGCCCGCCCCAAAGAUCUGUUUGCCUUACCUCGAAUCGAUCAAGUGAUAGACUCCACAGCCGGAUGCGAGCUGUUGAGUUUUUUGGAUGCUUACUCAGGCUACCAUCAGAUCAAGUUGGAUCCAGCCGACCGCCUGAAGACCGCCUUCAUCACACCAUUCGGAGCUUUCUGCUACCUGACUAUGACAUUCGGCUUGAGAAAUGCCAGUGCCACUUUUCAGCGUUGCAUGCAGAAAUGCCUCCUCAAGCAACUUGGUAGAAAUGCCCACGUCUAUGUAGACGAUAUUGUGGUGAACACGGAGAAGCACAGCACCCUGCUGGAAGACCUCAGAGAAACAUUUGCCAACUUGCGCCGGUUUCAGAUCAAGCUCAACCCCGAGAAAUGCGUGUUCGGAGUACCAUCCGGCCAGCUUCUAGGAUUUUUGGUCUCCGAACGCGGCAUCGAGUGCAACCCAGUGAAGAUCAAGGCCAUAGAGAGAAUGGGGAUUCCUACCAAGCUGCGAGAAGUCUAGAAGUUUACCGGGUGCCUAGCCUCCCUGAACAGCUUCAUCAGCCGGCUGGGAGAAAAGGCUCUCCCUCUGUACCGACUCAUGAAAAAGUCCACCCACUUCGAGUGGAACGACCAAGCAGACCAAGCUUUUCACGAGUUGAAGAAGAUGUUGACCACGCCGCCUGUCUUGGCGGCGCCGACUGAGAAAGAGCCCUUGCUCCUUUACAUUUCCGUGACUAGCCGAGUGGUCAGCACAGUUAUUGUGGUCCAACGCCCAGAAGAAGGCUGAGCUCAGUUAGUCCAGAGGCCGGUGUAUUAUUUGAGUGAAGUACUGUCCACCUCGAAGCAAAACUACCCGCACUACCAGAAGAUGUGCUAUGGAGUGUACUUCGCCGCCAAGAAGCUGAAGCCCUACUUUCAAGAGCACCCCAUCACGGUCGUAUGUACUGCCCCGCUUGCCGAGAUCAUAGGCAGCCGGGAUGCAUCCGGCCGGGUGGCCAAGUGGGCCAUUGCGCUGGCUCCUUACACGAUCUUCUACCAGCCUCGCACCGCCAUCAAGUCCCAAGCAUUGGCCGACUUCCUUGUCGACUGGGCCGAGACCCAGUACCUACCGCCAGCUCCCGACUCCACUCAUUGGCGGAUGCACUUCGAUGGAUCCAAGAUGCGCACCGGCUUGGGAUCCGGCAUCGUCCUCACCUCUCCCAAGGGCGAUAAACUCAGAUACACAUUGCAAAUUUAUUUUGCCGCCUCCAACAACGUGGCCGAGUACGAGGCGCUCAUACAUGGGCUCCGGCUAGCCAAAGAGCUUGGCAUCCGCCGGAUCCUGUGCUAUGGCGACUCGGAUUUGGUAGUCCAACAAUCAUCUGGUGACUGGGACGCCAAGGACGCAAACAUGGCGAGCUACCGAUUCCUCGUUCAGCAAAUCAGCGGAUACUUUGAAGGAUGCGAGUUCCUCCACGUACCACGGGCCGACAACGAGCAAGCAGAGGCCCUGGCACGGAUCGGCUCCACCCGACAAGCUAUACCAACUGGCGUCUCCCUCCAACGACUCCUCAAACCGUCUGUCAAGCCGUCUCCAGAAUCAGACUCCAUCUUCGUACCGCCUGCCCCUGAUGCAGUCGGAUCCGACUUGGGGAACCCAGCAGGCGGCUCGGGGACUUCGACAGGCGGCCCGGGGACUGCCGUAGUCGCACCCGGCUCGGGGACUCCAGAACCCGGCCCGGGGACUGCAACGACACAACAGGCGGUGGCCGACUCCAAUUCUUCACCACCCAACCCACCCACCCGGGUCGCAGUAGCCGUAUUGGCGAUAGAAGAAGUCACAGCUCCAUCAUGGGCCCAACCCAUCCUCAACUUCCUGGUAAACAGAGAGUUGCCGACUGACGAGAUCUCGGCAAGACAAGUUCAACGCCGAGCCGGAGCAUACACAGUAAUAAACAGAGAACUCGUUAAGCGCAGCGUCACUGUUGUCUUCCAGCUCCGCGUCGAGCCAGAGAAGGGCAUAGCAAUCCUUGAAGACAUCCACCAAGGCGAGUGCGGCCACCACGUGGCCUCAAGAUCACUUGUCGCCAAAGCUUUCCGCCGACUGCUUUGGAAGACGCCAAGGAAUUAGUCAAAUGCUGCAAAGGGUGCCAAGUCUUCAGCUCCAAGCAACACCUGCCGGCUUCUGCACUCAAGACCAUCCCCCUCACCUGGCCCUUUGCCGUCUGGGGGUUGGAUAUGGUGGGCCCAUUCAAGACAGCGCGCGGCGGCAUGACUCAUCUGCUUGUCGCCAUGGACAAAUUCACCAAGUGGAUUGAAGCGAAGCCAAUCAAGAAACUGAACGGGCCGACUGCCAUGACAUUCAUCGAAGAUAUCACAACCCGGUAUGGCAUACCACACAGCAUCAUCAUCGACAAUGGCACGAAUUUUGCCAAAGGAGCACUCGCACGUUUCUGCGUGACACAGGGCAUCCAACUGGACUUAGCGUCCGUUGCCCACUCGCAGUCAAACGGCCAAGUCGAGCGAGCAAACGGCCUCAUCCUCUUCGGCAUCAAGCCCCGACUGGUCGUACCACUGGAGCGUUCGGCCGGCUGCUGGCUCGAUGAGCUGCCGGCUGUCCUCUGGAGUCUGCGUACUACCCCGAACAAGUCAACCGGCUUCGCCCCUUUCUUCCUUGUAUAUGGUGCCGAGGCUGUCAUCCCAACUGACAUCGAGUUCGACUCGCCUCGGGUCACCAUGUACACGGAGGCGGUCCGCCAUCUACCAGCAGGGUCUGCGCCGUUACCACAACCGGAAGGUCAAGCCAAGAUCCUUCCAAGAAGGCGAUCUUGUGCUCCCGCUGAUCCAGCGAACAGCCGGCCAGCACAAGCUCUCGGCCCCUUGGGAAGGCCCCUUCGUCGCCAGCAAGGCUCUAGGCAACGACUCCUACUACCUGAUCGAUGCACAGAAGCCGAAGGCAUGCAAGAGAGAUGAUUCCGGCAAGGAGUCGGAACGACCAUGGAACGCCAAUCUCCUCUGAAGAUUUUACAGCUAAAUGCAGUAUGUACCACGCUACCUUUUGUAUUAAGUACAAGACAAAGGGCCCCCCGAGGAGCACUCGGGGACUACCCUUCUUUAUCUAUGUAUGAUGAGUGUCAUACCUAUGAAUGCAUUAUUACAUUUGAUUUUCUGUCCGGCACCGGGUUCGACCAGUCGGCCCGGGGACUUGCCGCCUUGAGCUAUAUUAAAGUUCUACCUGCAGUCAGACAAGUAGUGUGCCGGCACCCAAGCCCUCUCUUGUUGAAAGUCACAGCUCGAAGAACCGACUGUCCGACUGGCAAGAGUCAAAGGCAGGAAAGGAUGCCCACACGAAAAACGGCUAAGGACUAACGAACUUAUAUAACACAAGCCGGCCUCCCACCCCGCCAACCGGCUGUUAGAACAGUCGGCUGGCCGGCUUCCGAUUCACCUUACUACAAUCUAAAAAAGCUAGAGUACUUGCCCUCCCAAACGGCCAAGCCCUUCCCCAGCCACAGACUACAGAGCAGCUGUCCGGCUGGGAAGGCGGCAACCAAGGAGGGCGGCAAAGGAAACAACCAAAAAGAUGAAAAGCAAAUACAAUCGGAAGGCAAGCACAUGCAUGAUUAUAUUUACACAAAAGGCCUUCGAAAGGCCGGCAUUCAACAUAGUUUGAAUACACACCCAGUGGCUGGAACUACGCAAAUUUAACAGAAUAUUGUUCAAAGAGUAACAAAACAGGAAAGUAAAGGCGGCAGAUCAGGCUAAAGGUGCAACAGGCGAGCCGGGCAGGUCAGUGGAGGCGGCAAUGCCGGCUGGAGGAGUGGCCGGCUGGCGAGUCUCGGCUUGAUCAUCGCCGUCUGUAGGCGCGCACUCGCACGCGCUUCGUUGCUGGAGGCACGAUCAAGCUGAGGCUGGCCGGUCGCUCCACCGUUUGGCACGGCGUCUUCACCAUCCUCUCCCUCCUCCUCUUCGCCCUCGUCGCUGGAGUCGAUCUCCUCCGCCGAGUCCUCACCAUCUGCUGGGUUUAGCCCGAACCAUUCCUCCGGCUGAGCAAUGCCGUCAUCAUCCACCUCAGGAGCAAAGGCGCUGGUGUCGGUGUAGUCGGCGAUUGCCGAGGCACGCUGGAUGAUAUCCGCCCGCACCGCCUCCAGCUCCUCGACGGCCUCCUGCCGCCAGGUGGCCAGCUGGUCCAAGCUCAGCUCGGGAUACCAAGCUUUGACGAACUCCAGCGCCCGCCUGGCGCCUGACCGAGCUGCAGAAGCCUUCCAGGCCUCGAAGCGGCCAACCGCUACCUCCAGCCAGUCGGUAGUCCAACUGGGGAUACGGGGAACCACCUCGCCGGGCCAGAGGGCGGCCAGCACUUGCGCCCCAACACGCUGAAGACGGCGGAGCAUGCGGUGAGCCGGCUGGAGGCAGGCUUGGAUCGCCAGAAGCUGCUCGUCAAGCGACCGGCGAGCGUCCGGCGCGAUCUCAGCACCAGUAUGCCUUUGCACCUCGCGGUGAGCCUCGACGAUUUGGUUGGCGGCAGUGGAGUAACCAGGGAAGUACUCUGCACAAGUAAGAAAGCAAGAGAGAAAACACAAUCAGAAAAUGGACCAAAUGGCAGGCGGCAAGCGAAUGAACGAAGAAGGCAGCCUACUGUCAACCAAAUCUUUGAUCUGGCCGUAGCCGUUGAUCAGCGAUUGCCUUGCCUCAGCCCAGCCCGCUGCCUCGAUCUCGUAUUCGGCUUGGAGGGCGGCCUCGCUGUCCUGUGCCGCCUUCAGGGCCGCCUUAUGGCUCUCCUCCUGGUCGGCCAGCCUCUUGGCCAAGCGGUCACGCUCCUGGGCCAAGGUGUUGCACUCGGCUUCCUUGGCGCGAAGGGCGGUCUGGGCCCCACCCAACUGCGCCCUCAGGUCGGCAUUGGCCUCUGCAGAUAUGGCAAAGAAAAAAGCAAUAAGAGAAGUCGCCAGGAAAGAUCGAGCCCGACUGCUCAGCAGUCGGCCCGAAUCUCGGGGACUACACCCAGUGGGUGCGCUGACGCGCCCCCUGUUGGGGAACGUAGCAAUAAUUCAAAAUUUUCCUACGUGUCGCCAAGAUCAAUCUAGGAGAUGCUAGCAACGAGAGAGAGGGAGUGCAUCUUCAUACCCUUGAAGAUCGCUAAGCGGAAGCGUUACAAGAACGCGGUUGAUGGAGUCGUACUCGCGGCGAUUCAAAUUGUGGAAGAUCCGAUCUAGCGCCGAACGGACGGCGCCUCCGCGUUCAACACACGUACAGCCCGGGGACGUCUCCUCCUUCUUGAUCCAGCAAGGGGAGAGGAGAAGUUGAGGGAGAACUCCAGCAGCACGAUGGCGUGGUGGCAAUGGAGCUCGUGGUUCUCCGGCAGAGCUUCGCUAAGCACUACGGAGGAGGAGGAGGAGUUGGAGGAGGAGAGGGCUGCGCCUUGGGAAAGGUAUGGCUGCCCUCCCACCCCUCCACUAUAUAUAGGGGCAAGGGAGAGGGGGGCCUGGCCCCUCAGAUCCCAUCUGGUGGGAGGGGCGGCGGCCAGGGAGGGUGGCUUGCCCCCCAAGUCAAGGGGGGCGCCCCCUCCAGGGUUUCCCCCAACCCUAGGCGCAUGGGCCCUAGGGGGAGGUUGGUGCCCAGCCCACUUAGGGGCUGGUUCCCUUCCACCUACAGCCCAUAAGGCCCUCCGGGGUAGGUGGACCCUCCCGGUGGACCCCCGGAACCCCUUCGGUGGCCUCGGUACAAUACCGGCAUAACCCCGAACACUUCCGGUGACCGUAUGAUGACUUCCCAUAUAUAAAUCUUUACCUCCGGACCAUUCCGGAACUCCUCGUGACGUCCGGGAUCUCAUCCGGGACUCCAAACAACCUUUGGUAACCACAUACUAAUUCCCAUAACAACUCUAGCGUCACCGAACCUUAAGUGUGUAGACCCUACGGGUUCGGGAACCAUGCAGACAUGACCGAGACGUUCUCCGGCCAAUAACCAACAGCGGGAUCUGGAUACCCAUGUUGGCUCCCACAUGUUCCACGAUGAUCUCAUCGGAUGAACCACGAUGUCGGGGAUUCAAUCAAUCCCAUAUAAAAUUCCCUUUGUCAAUCGGUAUGUUACUUGCCCGAGAUUCGAUCGUCGGUAUCCCAAUACCUUGUUCAAUCUCGUUACCGGCAAGUCACUUUACUCGUUCCAUAAUGCAUCAUCCCGUGACUAACUCAUUAGUCACAUUGAGCUCAUUAUGAUGAUGCAUUACCGAGUGGGCCCAGAGAUACCUCUCCGUCACACGGAGUGACAAAACCCAUUCUCGAUUCGUGCCAACCCAACAGACACUUUCGGAGAUACCUUUAGUGUACCUUUAUAGCCACCCAGUUACGUUGUGACGUUUGGUACACCCAAAGCAUUCCUACGGUAUCCGGGAGUUGCACAAUCUCAUGGUCUAAGGAAACGAUACUUGACAUUAGAAAAGCUCUUAGCAAACGAACUACACGAUCUUGUGCUAUGCUUAGGAUUGGGUCUUGUCCAUCACAUCAUUCUCCUAAUGAUGUGAUCCCAUUAUCAAUGACAUCCAAUGUCCAUGGUCAGGAAACCAUAACCAUCUAUUGAUCAACGAGCUAGUCAACUAGAGGCUUACUAGGGACAUGUUGUGGUCUAUGUAUUCACACAUGUAUUACGGUUUCCAGUUAAUACAAUUAUAGCAUGAACAAUAGACAAUUAUCAUGAACAAGGAAAUACAAUAAUAACCAUUUUAUUAUUGCCUCUUGGGCAUAUUUCCAACAGUCUCCCACUUGCACUAGAGUCAAUAAUCUAGUUCACAUCACUAUGUGAUUGUAAUGAAUCCAACACCCAUGGAGUUUGUUCAGAUCUCGCUUGUGAGAGAGGUUACUAGUCAACGGGUCUGAACCUUUCAGAUCCGUGUGUGCUUUACAAAUCUCUAUGUCAUCUUAUAGAUGCAGCUACCACGUGCUACUUGGAGCUAUUCCAAAUAACUGCUCUACUAUACGAAUCCGGUUUACUACUCAGAGUCAUCCGGAUUAGUGUCAAAGUUUGCAUCGACGUAACCCUUUACGACGAACUCUUUUCCACCUCCAUAAUCAAGAAAAUUCCUUAGUCCACUAGUUACUAAGGAUAAGUUCGACCGCUGUCAUGUGAUCCAUUCCUGGAUCACUAUUGUACCCCUUGACUAACUCAUGGCAAGGCACACUUCAGGUGCGGUACACAGCAUAGCAUACUGUAGAGCCUACGUCUAAAGCAUAGGGGACGACCUUCGUCCUUUCUCUCUCUUCUGCCGUGGUCAGGUCUUGAGUCUUACUCAAUACUCACACCUUGUAACACAACCAAGAACUCCUUCUUUGCUGAUCUAUUUUGAACUCCUUCAAAAUCUUGUCACGGUAUGUAUUCAUUUGAAAGUAAUAUUAAGCGUUUUUGAUCUAUCCUUAUUGAUCUUGAUGCUCAAUGUUCAAGUAGCUUAAUCCAGGUUUUCCAUUAAAAACACUUUUCAAAUAACCCUGUAUGCUUUCCAGAAAUUCUACAUCAUUUCUGAUCAACAAUACGUUAACGACAUAUACUCAUCAAAAAUCUAUAGUGCUCCCACUCACUUCCUUGGAAACACAAGUUUCUCAUAAACUUUGCGUAAACCAAAAAUCUUUGAUCAUCUCAUCAAAGCGUACAUUCCAACUCCGAGAUGCUUACUCCAGUCCUUAGAAGGAUUGCUGGAGCUUUGCAUACUUGUUAGCAUCUUUCAGGAUUGACAAAACCUUCUGGUUGUAUCACAUACAACCUUUCGUCAAGAAAAUCGUCGAGGAAACAAUGUUUUUGACAUCCUAUCUGCAAGAUUUCAUAAAUAAUGCAGUAACUGCUAAUAUAAAUCCAACAGACUCUUAGCAUCGCUACAAGUGAGAAAAUCUCAUCGUAGUCAACUCCUUGAACUUGUCGGAAGACAUCUUAAUGACAAGUCGAGCUUUCUUAAUGGUGACACAUACCAUCAUUGUCCGUCUUCCUUUUAAAAUCCAUCUGCACCCAACAGCCUUACGACCAUCAAGUAGUUCUUCCAAAGUCUAUACUUUGUUUUUAUACAUGGAUCCUCUCUCGGAUUUUAUGGCCUCGAGCCAUUCAUCGGCAUCUGGGCCCACCAUCAUUUCUCCAUAGCUCAUAGGUUCAUUGUUGUCUAGCAACAUGACUUCCAAGAUAAGAUUACGUACCACUCUGAAGUAGCAUGCAUCCUUGUCGUCAUAUGAGGUUUGGUAGUGACUUGAUCUGAAGUUUCAUGAUCACUAUCAUCAGCUUCCACUUCAAUUGGUGUAGGUGCCACAGGAACAACUUCCUGUGCCCUGCUGCACACUAGUUGAAGUGACGGUUCAAUAACCUCAUCAAGUCUCGACCAUCCUCCCACUCAAUUCUUUCGAGAGAAACCUUUCCUCGAGAAAGGACACGAUUCUAGAAAUAAUCCCUUUUGCUUCCAGAUCUGAGACAGGAGGCAUACCCAACUGUUUUUGGGUGUCCUAUGAAGAUGCAUUUAUCCGCUUUGGGUUCGAGCUUAUCAGCCUGUAACUUUUCACAUAAGCAUCGCAACCCCAAACUCUUAAGAAACGACAGCUUAGGUUUCUCUAAACCAUAGUUCAUACAGUGUCAUCUCAACGGAAUUGCGUGGUGCCCUAUUUAAAGUGAAUGCGGUUGUCUCUAAUGCCUAACCCAUAAACGAUAGUGUAAUUCGAUAAGAGACAUCAUGGUAUGCACCAUAUCCAAUAGGGUGCAGUUAUGAUGUUCAGACACACCAUCACACUAUGGUGUUCCAGGCGGUAUUAGUCGUGAAACAAUUUCCACAAUUUCUUAAUUGUGUGCCAAACUCGUAACUCAGAUAUUCAUCUCUAUGAUCAUAUCAUAGACAUUUUUAUCCUCUUGUCACGACGAUCUUCAACUUCACUCUGAAAUUACUUGAACCUUUCAAUAAUUCAGACUUGUGUUUCAUCAAGUAAAUAUACUUAGCAUCUACUCAAAUCAUCUGUGAAGUAAGAACAUAACGAUAUCCACUACGUGCCUCAGCACUCAUUGGACUGCACACAUCAAAUGUAUUACUUCCAACAAGUUGCUCUCUUGUUCCAUCUCACUGAAAACGAGGCCUUUCAGUCAUCUUGCCCAUGUGUUAUGAUUUGCAUGUCUCAAGUGAUUCAAAAUCAAGUGAGUUCAAACGAUCCAUCUGUAUGGAGUUUCUUCAUGCAUAUCUACCAAUAGACAUGGUUCGCAUGUCUCAAUCUUUUCAAAACCGAGUGAGUCCAAAGAUCCAUCAACAUGGAGCUUCUUCAUGCGUUUAUACCAAUAUGACUCAAAUGGCAGUGCCACAAGUAUGUGGUACUAUCAUUACUAUUUUAUAUCUUUUGGCAUGAACAUGUGUAUCACUACGAUCGAGAUUCAAUAAACCAUUCAUUUUAGGUGCAAGACAACACAUAUCGUCAUCUCACCUUUAGUUAGUCUCCGUUUAUUCCGCAGCUUUUAUUUCGAGUUACUAACACUUAGCAACCGAACCGGUAUCUAAUACCCUGGUGCUACUAGGAGUACUAGUAAAGUACACACUAAUAUAAUGUAUAUCCAAUAUACUUCUGUCAACCUUGCCAGCCUUCUCAUCUACGAAGUAUCUAGGGUAGUUCCGCUUCAGUGACCGUUCCCCUCAUCUCAGAAGCACUUAGUCUCGGGUUUGGAUUCAACCUUGGGUUUCUUCACUAGAGUUGCAACUGAUUUGCCGUUUCAUGAAGUAUCCCUUCUUGCCUUACCCUUCUUGAAACUAGUGGUUUUACUAACCAUCAACAAUUGAUGCUCCUACUUGAUUUCUACUUUCACGGUGUCAAACAUCGCGAAUAGCUCAAGGAUCAUCAUAUCUAUCCCUGAUAUGUUAUAGUUCAUCACGAAGCUCCAGUAGCUUGGUGGCAAUGACUUUCGAGAACCAUCACUAUCUCAUCUGGAAGACAACUCCCACUCGAUUCAAGCGAUUGUAGUACUCAGACAAUCUGAGCACAUGCUCAACGAUUGAGCUUUUUCUCCCUUAGUUUGUAGGCUUAAGAAACUUGUCGGAGGUCUCACACCUCUUGACGUGGGCACAAGCCUGAAAUCCCAAUUUCAGCCCUUGAAACAUCUCAUAUGUUCCGCGACGUUUCAAAACGUCUUCGGUGCCUCAAUUCUAUACCGUUUACAUUACGCACUGAACUAUCACGUAGUCAUCAAAACGUGUAUGUCAGAUGUUCGCAACAUCCACAAAUGACGCUCGAGGUUUAGCACACCGAGCGGUGCAUUAAGGACAUAAGCCUUCUGCGCAGCAUUGAGGACAAUCCUCAAUUUACGGACCCAGUCCGCAUAAUUUCUACUAUCAACUUUCAACUAAAUUUUCUCUAGGAACAUAUCUUAAACAGUAGAACUAAAGCGUAAGCUACGACAUGAUUUGCAAAGAACUUUUGACUAUGUUCAUGAUAAUUAAGUUCAUCUGAUUAUUUAAUGAACUCCCACUUAGAUAGACAUCCCUCUAGUCAUCUAAGUGAUACAUGAUCCGAAUCGACUAGACCGUGUCCGAUCAUCACGUGAGACGGACUAGUCAUCAACGGUGAACAUCUCCAUGUUGAUCGUAUCUACUAUACGACUCAUGUUUGACCUUUCGGUCUCUUGUGUUCCGAGGCCAUGUCUGUACAUGCUAGGCUCGCCAAGUCAACCUAAGUGUUUCGCAUGUGUAAAUCUGGCUUACACCCGUUGUAUGCGAACGUUAGAAUCUAUCACACCCGAUCAUCACGUGGUGCUUCGAAACAACGAACCUUCGCAAUGGUGCACAGUUAGGGGGAACACUUUUCUUGAAAUUUUAGUGAGGGAUCAUCUUAUUUAUGCUACCGUCGUUCUAAGCAAAUAAGAUGUAAACAUGAUAAACAUCACAUGCAAAUCAUAAAGUGACAUGAUAUGGCCAAUAUCAUCUUGCGCCUUUGAUGUCCAUCUUCGAGGCGCGGCAAGAUCAUCUUCGUCACCGGCAUGACACCAUGAUCUCUGUGACACCCAAGUUUUUAUUUGAUUUUUCAAAAGAUUUUAUUUGACUUGAGGGAGGUGAUUUAAAAUUUUCUUCAAAAGAACUCUCCCUCUCAAAUAUUUUUCUUAUGGCAAAAGUUUUAUUUGGAUUCACCCAAGAUCUGUUUUUGGUCUUGGAGGUUCUUGCUUCUCAUUUGGACUCAAGACAAAAUGCUUUUCACUUGGGAAAAUGCCUUUUGAAAAUCUCUUUGAAAUUUGCACCAUGGCUUUUGGAAUAGUCCUUUGCCACUUUCAACUUUUCUCUCUUGCCAUGGCCUUAGUGCAAAUACUCUCCUAAACCUCCCCUCAUCUUUGGAUCAUGUUUGGCAUCUAAUCCAGCAAGUUGAACCUCCCCUAUUCAUUUUCCAUUUAAAUCUCAUUCAAAUAAAUUUCUGCCUUCUAUUCUAGCCAUUGGUGAUUUACAAAGGAACUCCAUUUUCUGUCUUGAUUUUCACCCCCAAACCUUUUUCCCCUCCUAGUCCUUUGAACCCUCAACCAGGAUCCAGGAAGAUCCACUGGUCUUCAGUUCAAAAUUUUCAAACUACACUUGCUGCAAGUUUGGACCAGAUUUGUCAAAUUUGGUGAAAUUCAUUCAAAUUCUUUUCCAAAAAUUCCAAGAAAAAUCAGGCAGCCACUAGGUGCAUUGAGUGGUCACCUCACCAAGUACCAGAUCUAGAAAAUUCAUCUCAUUGCCAAAUCUUUCUGUCGAACACCUCCAGUGCAUGGUCAUGUCAAGUUCAGAGAUUCAGUUCAGUGCUACUGUCGUUUUCUUCAGAGCUGGUUGUCGAUCUCGACAGUGCCUCGAUGUCGCCUUGCUCCUCGUCCCCUCCCCCUUGUUCCUGCACCGCACGAGUGCCUGGCACCUUGCGGACGUCGGCGACGAGCAGCAGAAGGUGCGCCGCCCCGUGACCGACGCCAGCGGCGGCUUUGCGGACGCCAGCGGGAGGCACGGCGCCGACAGCGCCACCCAGCGCCGCCCAAACCACCGGAGCUCGCCGCGUGGCCCUCCCGUCGUGAACUGCAGGGCGUGGAGCGCGCUCUCCGCCGCCGUCGAGCCCGUGCGGCCAUCUCACCGUGGACCGACGGCAUUACGCCAAGACCAACUCCGUUUAGCUGUGGGAUGGCACCAGUAACGUCCACUGAUGCUGCCUGGCCACUCAAACCUCCUGCCAAUCCACUACGUCGCCGUAAUCGCUCGCCGGAGAUUGUCCGUUCACGGCCACCCCGUCGAUCCGCCUAUAAAUAACGGCCCCAAGCUUCAACUCGAGCACACACCAUCCCCGCACUCCACCUAGUGCACGCCUAGCCACUGGAAGAGCCCCGAGGAGGUCUCCUUCCUCGACUCCGGCCGCCGCGACCCGCCACGGGAUCCAGCUCGAUUCGCCCCCGUGUGUGCACCUCUGCCUCCCAUCUCUUGCCAAUAGAUUCUCUAUGCAUCCCUCCUUCUGACCCGCGCUUCAAUUCGGUCUUUGCAGCCCUCCACCGGAGUUCUCCACCCUCACCCGAACCGCCGUCCGCCGGAGAAAGUUUCACCGUCGACGUGGUGCUCCCCGUUGGUCGAGUCCACCACCCACCGACGCGGAAGAACAAGCUGAAGCUCUUGGUACCCUCCGAUCCUCCUAACUCGCCGUGGUUCGACGCCGGCGUCCAUCGCAGUCUUCGGGCGCCGGCGAGCUUUUUAAACCUGACACGUGGGACCCCCCUGUCAGCCUCUCUUCUGUUUCCCCACGCGAAACGUUUUCUGUUGGCGCCUUAGGGCAAAUACGCUUUCCCUCUUGAGCUUGCGCAUUUCCAACCGAACCGUUUUCUGUUUUCUCAGUUAAAACCCUGGAACUUUUCUGUUUCAUUACAGAUAAGUCCCUGGACAGAAACCUAUAUAACUUUUUAACAAAAAGGAAUUUUUGAGUGAUUCUUUUUCUGGCAUUCUUAAAAUUUUGCCUAGUUUUUUAUGAAAUUUAGUUGGAAAUUUUUUGGAGAAGUUUCUGUGCACGCGUUGGUUUUCACGUUAGUGCCCGUUUUCGUUAUUGCCGUAGGUUCCGGGAGAGGUGACGGAGCCGCGAACUUCGCCGAGCUAGACUCCGACUUCUCCGAACCAGGAAAGCAUGUUUGAACAUUUGAUAUGAUGAGUGUUUUGCAUGUUUGCUUGAAAGUUUGUGCGUGGCAUGUGAGUGUCGAUAAAUACCUCGUUGCUUGUAAGGCAACUACCCGCAUGUCCCGAAGUUGCGAUGAUCUCUGAUGAGAGAUGGCCUAAUCAUGUGGUGACAUGAAGGGCAGCAAGGUGGUACUGUUGUAGCAUACCAGCCUUGCGUCAUCCGACCUCCUCCGACGUUAACGUGGACGGAGUCACGUUACCGUUCCUUUUCCCGCAUGUUCCAAAGUUGCGAUGAUCUCUGAUGAGAGAUGGCCUAAUCAUGUGGUGACAUGAAAGGGCAGCAAGGUGGUACUGUUGUAGCAUACCAGCCUUGCGUCAUCCGACUUUUUCCGACGUUAACGUGGACGGAGUCACGUUAUCGUUCUUUCCCCCUUCCGUGCUACCACAUGUUUCAUUUGCCAGGAUGCGGUUUAGUAAGUUGGUAACCUCUUUUCGUGUACACACCAAACAGAGAGACCGGGAUGAUGGUACCUUGGCCCAGGAUUAAAGCCAGUCAUCCGGUCAGGGGGCAUGGGUGUUUUCGGUUGGGACCGAGAGGGGGGGCACCCCCUUAGAGCGUGCCUAUAGAAAUUUGAUCCCAUGCUACGCGAGGUUGUAGCCUCCCCGUCUCAAGGUUUUUCGUGAACGUUGCCGAGGGUGAUCCCUGGCUUCGGAAUGCUAAAUUGGGUGUGUACUGGUUAGACGUGUUUCUUCCAAAACACCGUAAACGGAACUAGUCCCCGUGACUACUGAAAUCCGUUGGCUGUGGUUAAGUACAAACUCUGCAGAGUCAAAUCCUUCCAAAUCAUCGUAUCCAUGAUCUAGCAGUGUAAUCUUUGUAUCCAUAUCUAUCCGCGUGGAAAACUUGUCCCCGCUGAACAAGCUCAAGUGGUAAAUCCAGAUUUAUUGUUAUUCCUGUGGAUGGACUAACUUUAUAUUUGUCUCGUGCUUGUGAUAAUUUAUGUUCCCGAACUAUUGAAUUAUUAAACUGCAAUAUAAGCCCUUUAUGCGACGUCGCACAGACGUCCGACUGUGGCGUGUUCUUGUUUCUUACUUUAAAUAUAAGCCCUUUAUGUGAUGUCGCUCUGACGUUCGACUGUGGCACGCACUGCCUUUAUUUUCUGUUAUAAGCCCUUUAUGUGGCGUCGCCCCGACGCCCGACUGUGGCAUUAUUAUUCUGCAUUUUCCUCUCGAGGAGUCAUUCAAACACUCGUUUGGCACCAGUAUUAUUAUUCUGCAUUUUUCUUCUCGAGGAGUCUUUCAGACACUCGUUUGGCACCCGUAUUAUUAUUCUCGCAGUUUCCUCUCGAGGAGUCUUUCAGACACUCAUUUGGCACCAGUAUUACUAUUCUGCAGUUUCCUCUCGAGGAGUCAUUCAGACCCUCGCUUGGCACCCAGUAUUUAUUAUCUCUAUGUCUGAACGCACUGGAUAAAUUGUUCAUAUGCUUCAUGUUUACAUUUGUUAUAUCUUAUGUCCGAACUGUCUUGCGAGUACUUUCAUAGUACUCACCUGGCUUGUUGAUUUGGCCAGAUGUUGACGAAGGCGAUCUCUUGGAUGAAGAGUUUGAUAGCGCGUUCGACGCCUAGCGGAGUCCCAGUCAGUCCUGCACGAUCCCGGAUAUUGGUCACUUGUUUUAUAUACGCUUCCGCCACCCGCAUUAAGUCUCCUCGAGCCUCACUCCGACGCUCGAUGAGCUGUAGUCUUCAGGAGUCAUAUCACUCGCUUCGCAGUGAUAUUUCCACCACCGUUAUUAUCGUGAGUUAGUAGUAUGCCACCCUUUCCGCCGUCUUGUAUUAGCGGCGUGCAUGUAAUAAAUUGUUGGGCAUCCUCCGCUCAACCUUGUAUUAUAUUCAGUACUCCUGGUAUUUUUCUUCUGUAACCAAGAUAUUGUCUACCAGUGAGAAGGAAUUCUUCCUUACUAUUCCGUAAAAGGGAUUGGUCUCUCAAUAAUUAUUUUAUUUAAAAACCGGUCGUGACAAUCUCCAUCAUCGUGUCUUCAUGAAGUUGUCUCGCCAACUAUUACUUCUACUACUAUGGCUAAUGGUUAGCAAUAAAGUAAAGUAAUUACAUGGCAUUUUUCAUUGACACGCAGGUCAUACAAUAAAUUAAGACAACUCCUAUGGCUCCUGCCGGUUGUCAUACUCAUCGACAUGCAAGUCGUGAUUCCUAUUACAAGAACAUGAUCAAUCUCAUACAUCACAUAUAUAUAAUUCAUCACAUCCUUUUGGCCAUAUCACAUCACAUAGCAUACCCUGCAAAAACAAGUUAGACGUACUCUAAUUGUUGUUGCAUGUUUUACGUGGCUGCUAUGGGUUUGUAGCAAGAACGUUUCUUACCUACGCAAAAGCCACAACGGUGAUAUGCCAAUUGCUAUUACCCUUCAUAAGGACCCUCUUCAUUGAAUCCGAUCCGACUAAAGUGGGAGAGACAGACACCCGCUAGCCACCUUAUGCAUCAAGUGCAUGUCAGUCGGUGGAACCUGUCUCACGUAAGAGUACGUGUAAGGUCAGUCCGGGCCGCUUCAUCCCACAAUGCCACCGAAUCAAAAUAAGACUAGUAACGGUAAGCAAAUUGAACAAAUCAUCGCCCACAACUACUUUGUGUUCUACUCGUGCAUAGAAUCUACGCAUAGACCUAGCUCAUGAUGCCACUGUUGGGGAACGUAGCAAUAAUUCAAAAUUUUCCUACGUGUCACCAAGAUCAAUCUAGGAGAUGCUAGCAACGAGAGAGAGGGAGUGCAUCUUCAUACCCUUGAAGAUCGCUAAGCGGAAGCAUUACAAGAACGCGGUUGAUGGAGUCGUACUCGCGGCGAUUCAAAUCGCGGAAGAUCCGAUAUAGCGCCGAAGGGACGGCGCCUCCACGUUCAACACACGUACAGCCAGGGGACGUCUCCUCCUUCUUGAUCCAGCAAGGGGAGAGGAGAAUUUGAGGGAGAACUCCAGCAGCACGACGGCGUGGUGGUUCUCCGGCAGAGCUUCGCUAAGCACUACGAAGGAGGAGGAGUUGGAGGAGGAGAGGGCUGCGCCUUGGGAAAGGUAUGGCUGCCCUCCCACCCCUCCGCUAUAUAUAGGGGCAAGGGAUAGGGGGGCCGGCCCCCUCAGGUCCCAUCUGGUGGGAGGGGCGGCGGCCAGGGAGGGCGGCUUGCCCCCCAAGUCAAGGGGGGCGCCCCCUCCAGGGUUUCCCCCAACCCUAGGCGCAUGGGCCCUAGGGGGAGGUUGGUGCCCAGCCCACUUAGGGGCUGGUUCCCUUCCACCUACAGCCCAUAAGGACCUCCGGGGCAGGUGGACCCUCCCGGUGGACCCCCGGAACCCCUUCGGUGGCCCCGGUACAAUACCGGCAUAACCCCGAACACUUCCGGUGACCAUAUGAUGACUUCCCAUAUAUAAAUCUUUACCUCCGGACCAUUCCGAAACUCCUCGUGACGUCCGGGAUCUCAUCCGGGACUCCGAACAACCUUCAGUAACCACAUACUAAUUCCCAUAACAACUCUAGCAUCACCGAACCUUAAGUGUGUAGACCCUACGGGUUCGGGAACCAUGCAGACAUGACCGAGACGUUCUCCGGCCAAUAACCAACAGCGGGAUCUGGAUACCCAUGUUGGCUCCCACAUGUUCCACGAUGAUCUCAUCGGAUGAACCAUGAUGUCGGUGAUUCAAUCAAUCCCGUAUACAAUUCCCUUUGUCAAUCGGUAUGUUACUUGCCCGAGAUUCGACCGUCGGUAUCCUAAUACCUCGUUCAAUCUCGUUACCGGCAAGUCACUUUACUCAUUCCGUAACGCAUGAUCCCGUGACUAACUCAUUAGUCACAUUGAGCUCAUUGUGAUGAUGCAUUACCGAGUGGGCCUAGAGAUACCUCUCCGUCACACGGAGUGACAAAUCCCAUUCUCGAUUCAUGCCAACCCAACAGAAACUUUCGGAGAUACCUGUAGUGUACCUUUAUAGCCACCCAGUUACGUUGUGACGUUUGGUACACCCAAAGCAUUCCUACGGUAUCCGGGAGUUGCACAAUCUCAUGGUCUAAGGAAACGAUACUUGACAUUAGAAAAGCUCUUAGCAAACGAACUACAUGAUCUUGUGCUAUGCUUAGGAUUGGGUCUUGUCCAUCACAUCAUUCUCCUAAUGAUGUGAUCCCGUUAUCAAUGACAUCCAAUGUCCAUGGUCAGGAAACCAUAACCAUCUAUUGAUCAACGAGCUAGUCAACUAGAGGCUUACUAGGGACAUGUCGGGGUCUAUGUAUUCACACAUGUAUUACGGUUUCCAGUUAAUACAAUUAUAGCAUGAACAAUAGACAAUUAUCAUGAACAAGGAAAUACAAUAAUAACCAUUUUAUUAUUGCCUCUAGGGCAUAUUUCCAACACCCCCACGUGAGAUAAAAGAUGAAGCACUUACUCCGGCUCUCAGUUAGAUCAGCGGUCUUCUGGGUCAGCUCCCGAGCCUGGGAGUUGAAGGCAGCCGCGCGGAGGUUAUGGUAGUCCUGCAAGUCGGACAGAGAAGCGAAUAAGAACAAGAUAAGAAAUCAAAGUCUACUAAGAAGUUCCAAGCCGCCUGCUCAGCAGCCGACUCGGAACUCGGGGACGCGCCCCCACGGAAGAAAUCAAGAUCAAGAAACAGAAAAGUGGGAAGACUCGCCCGAAUGGCCGUCCGUGUCGCGAGGAACUCCUGAUUGUACUGCCUUAGCACGGCGGCCUGGGACUGAACCGGUUCCGGACUUCUUGCCACUACUGGAAUCAGCUAAUUUGCCAUCUGCCAGAUCUUUGCCGUCUGCUAGCUGACGGCAAAGAAGCUCUUUGCCAUCAGCUACCCAAAAGCAGACGGCAAAGAAAAGGCUGACGGCAAAGAAGCUCGUUGCCAUCUGCCAGCUCUUUGCCGUCUGCCAGCAGACGGCAAAGAAUCUUUGCCGUCCGCUGGCAGACGGCAAAGAGUGAGGUGGCCCCCACCCCCCGCUCGUUUGAAAAAAUCUUAACGGCCCACCUCUUUGUCGUCCGCUAGCAGACGGCAAAGAGGCAAAAAGGCGGACGACAAAGGCUGGCGGACNNNNNNNNNNNNNNNNNNNNNNNNNNNNNNNNNNNNNNNNNNNNNNNNNNNNNNNNNNNNNNNNNNNNNNNNNNNNNNNNNNNNNNNNNNNNNNNNNNNNNNNNNNNNNNNNNNNNNNNNNNNNNNNNNNNNNNNNNNNNNNNNNNNNNNNNNNNNNNNNNNNNNNNNNNNNNNNNNNNNNNNNNNNNNNNNNNNNNNNNNNNNNNNNNNNNNNNNNNNNNNNNNNNNNNNNNNNNNNNNNNNNNNNNNNNNNNNNNNNNNNNNNNNNNNNNNNNNNNNNNNNNNNNNNNNNNNNNNNNNNNNNNNNNNNNNNNNNNNNNNNNNNNNNNNNNNNNNNNNNNNNNNNNNNNNNNNNNNNNNNNNNNNNNNNNNNNNNNNNNNNNNNNNNNNNNNNNNNNNNNNNNNNNNNNNNNNNNNNNNNNNNNNNNNNNNNNNNNNNNNNNNNNNNNNNNNNNNNNNNNNNNNNNNNNNNNNNNNNNNNNNNNNNNNNNNNNNNNNNNNNNNNNNNNNNNNNNNNNNNNNNNNNNNNNNNNNNNNNNNNNNNNNNNNNNNNNNNNNNNNNNNNNNNNNNNNNNNNNNNNNNNNNNNNNNNNNNNNNNNNNNNNNNNNNNNNNNNNNNNNNNNNNNNNNNNNNNNNNNNNNNNNNNNNNNNNNNNNNNNNNNNNNNNNNNNNNNNNNNNNNNNNNNNNNNNNNNNNNNNNNNNNNNNNNNNNNNNNNNNNNNNNNNNNNNNNNNNNNNNNNNNNNNNNNNNNNNNNNNNNNNNNNNNNNNNNNNNNNNNNNNNNNNNNNNNNNNNNNNNNNNNNNNNNNNNNNNNNNNNNNNNNNNNNNNNNNNNNNNNNNNNNNNNNNNNNNNNNNNNNNNNNNNNNNNNNNNNNNNNNNNNNNNNNNNNNNNNNNNNNNNNNNNNNNNNNNNNNNNNNNNNNNNNNNNNNNNNNNNNNNNNNNNNNNNNNNNNNNNNNNNNNNNNNNNNNNNNNNNNNNNNNNNNNNNNNNNNNNNNNNNNNNNNNNNNNNNNNNNNNNNNNNNNNNNNNNNNNNNNNNNNNNNNNNNNNNNNNNNNNNNNNNNNNNNNNNNNNNNNNNNNNNNNNNNNNNNNNNNNNNNNNNNNNNNNNNNNNNNNNNNNNNNNNNNNNNNNNNNNNNNNNNNNNNNNNNNNNNNNNNNNNNNNNNNNNNNNNNNNNNNNNNNNNNNNNNNNNNNNNNNNNNNNNNNNNNNNNNNNNNNNNNNNNNNNNNNNNNNNNNNNNNNNNNNNNNNNNNNNNNNNNNNNNNNNNNNNNNNNNNNNNNNNNNNNNNNNNNNNNNNNNNNNNNNNNNNNNNNNNNNNNNNNNNNNNNNNNNNNNNNNNNNNNNNNNNNNNNNNNNNNNNNNNNNNNNNNNNNNNNNNNNNNNNNNNNNNNNNNNNNNNNNNNNNNNNNNNNNNNNNNNNNNNNNNNNNNNNNNNNNNNNNNNNNNNNNNNNNNNNNNNNNNNNNNNNNNNNNNNNNNNNNNNNNNNNNNNNNNNNNNNNNNNNNNNNNNNNNNNNNNNNNNNNNNNNNNNNNNNNNNNNNNNNNNNNNNNNNNNNNNNNNNGAGACCGACACGACACCCCGACCCCCGACACCUCCCGAAAAGGUGUUCUUUGGCCUUCUAGAAGCCGACGGGGUCAUAUAUUUGUGAAUUAUUAGUUAGGUCAUAUAUCUUUCGAUUUUGUUAUGAAAAACAUCAUAUAUAAUUGUGUUGAUCGGGUAGUUUUAAAUGUGCAGUUGUUUCAUCGCUGCGAGGUUUGGUGUUCGACGACCUCGCCAUCCGUUUGACGAGCUCUGCCCCUUCGUUCAUGGGUGAGCACAAAUGACAUGUCCUCCUCCCCCAUUAAUUAUUUGAUCUAUUCCGAUGAAACUUGAUAGCUAGAUAUAUAUGUGUCUUGAAUCAUCAGUAUGCGUAACCAAUAUGUGUCUCCCGUUUGAAAGCGUCAUAGUUAUAAAUAUGCAUGCAUUUGCAUAUUUAUAACCUUGAUUCUUUCGAAUUAUCCAACGCUAUCCAUGGACAGGCCGAGUAUGUUUAGAUUGGGUUCGUUUUCCCAUAUGCUUUGCUCCGGAUCCGACGCAUAAAUUUCAUCAGUGCCUCCCCUGUUGUUCUCCGGGUACACAUCCUCUCUGUUUAUUGCAGAGACGUGUAUCAGGAGAACAGCGGGGAGGUGCUGCCGAAAUUUUGCGUAGGAUCCGGGGCAUAGCAUGGGAAAAUGAACCCAAUCUAAACAUACUCGGGUGGGAUUAGGACCUAUCAUUACCUAUUAGAGUGUAGGUUGCAUGGACGUAAUAAAAUUGACAAAGUAGAUCAACUCAUGAAUACAUACAUGGUGAAUUAUAUAUAUAUAUAUAUUUGUUGUGUGUCUAGUAGCUCUGAAAGUCAAGAUGAGUGAUCGUGCGUGGAUGUACACCGGUCACACUGGUCAGAACAAAUGGAGCACUGAAUGGUUCACAAAAACCAAGGGGUUUGUGCGAGCCGCAUUUGCAAAUGGCCAGAGGAAAACCUGGUGCCCCUGUUUACGGUGCGGCAAUUGGGAAAAGAGGACAGAGGCUAAAAUGGGCAAACACCUGCAGAAGAGUGGUUUUAUGCCCGAUUAUACGGUGUGGACAUUUCGUGGUGAGUCUGCCCAACGUGACCGAGCUGAGGUGGAUCGUCGUCGCACCGACAAGCAUGGUACCGGGAUGGAAAACAUGGUGCAAGACUUUGAUGAUGCUCGGGAUUCGGACGAGGAGAUGGAGGAAUCUGCAAAGGCCUUCAAUGAAAUGUUGGAGUCUUCAAAACGUCCGCUCCAUGAGCACACUCAGCUUUGUCAGUUGGAUGCCAUCUCACAAGUAAUGGCUCUGAAGGCUCAGUUCAACUUGGGCAGAGAAUGCUACGAUGCAAUGAUGACAGUAUUUGGACGCUUUCUACCCAAAGGCCAUGUAAUGCCUGCAAACCUAUACCAGUCGGACAAAAUCCUCCGUGCACUGAAGAUGCCCUAUGAUAAGAUACAUGCCUGUGAGAAAGGAUGUGUCUUGUUUAGGCUUGACUAUGCGGACUUGAACUAUUGUCCCAUUUGCAAGUCUUCCAGGUAUGUUGUGGUAGACAACGGUAUGGGUGAGAAGACACAGACCAAAAUCCCCGUUAGUGUUCUUCGGUAUAUGCUAAUCGUACCAAUACUUCAACGUCUUUUCAUGGUCGAAGAGACGGCCAGACAGAUGACAUGGCACAAAACGGGCAAACGAACCGAACUAGAUGCAGAUGGGAAUCUGAUGAUUGUACACACAUCGGAUGGUGUUGCGUGGAAAAAGUUUGAUGAAUUACCUGGUGACAAAGCGGCAGAUCCGAGGCAUCCUCGAGUCGGCAUCAGCACGGAUGGGUUCAGUGUGUUGGCCCGUAUACAGUUGUUGGCCCGUAUUUGUCUUUCCACUCAAUCUCCCCCCCCGGACAGAUUAUGCAAAGAAAGAACAUUUUCCUGACGUUGAUAAUUCCAGGGCCAAACUAUCCGGGGAAAAAUAUGAAUGUGUACAUGCAACCGCUUAAGGACGAAUUGCAAGAAGCCUGGGAUAAUGGGUUCAAGACAUACGAUGCCUAUAGCAAACGGAACUUCAUAAUGCGUGUCUGGUACAUGUACUCGACGCAUGACUUGCCGGCGUAUGCGCUAUUCGUUGGCUGGUGUGUGCAUGGAAGGUUCCCGUGCCCCACAUGCAAGGGAGCUCUUCAGUUUCGUUGGCUUCAGGCCGGUCGCAAGUUUUCUUGCUUCGACAUGCAUAGACAGUUCCUGAAUCCUCGCCAUAAGUUCAGGAAAGACAAGAAGAACUUCAUCAGAGGUAGAGUUGUCAAAAACUCUGCACCACAUGCAUUGACAGGCCAACAGACCCUGGAUCAGUUAAACGCUCUCGAGCCAGAUCCAGAGCGUCCAGGGUACUUCAAGGGGUAUAAUUCUAAGCACGCCUGGACUCACAAAACAUGCUUAUGGGAUCUGCCUUACUUCAAAGACCUCCUUUGCCCACACAACAUCGACGUGAUGCACACUGAGAAGAAUAUCGCCGAGGCACUUUUUGGUACAUUGUUCGGCAUAGAUGGGAAGUCAAAGGAUAAUACUAAGGCUAGAGUCGAUCUGGAGGCGCUAUGUGAUAGGCCGUUACAAAACAUGAAAGAACCGAAAGGAAAGCAGAACUGGACGAAGCCAAAGGCAUGGUUCAAUCUUGGAAGGCCAGCUAUGAGGGAAAUUAUCUUGUGGGUGAAAAUGCAGUUGAUGUUCCCCGAUGGGUAUGCAACGAAUCUACAGAGGGGAGCCAGUCUUGAUAAAUUGAAGAUAUUUGGUCUUAAGAGUCAUGAUUGGCACAUAUGGAUUGAGCGGGUAAUGCCGGUGAUGUUGCGUGGCUUCAUCCCUGAGGAUGAAUGGCUAGUACUGGCAGAACUCAGCUAUUUCUUCCGUGUUCUUUGUGCGAAAGAACUAUCGCCUGGCGUGCUAGAAGAAAUGGAAGAGUUGGCGCCGGAGUUGAUCUGCAAGUUAGAGAAGAUCUUUCCACCGGGCUUCUUUAAUCCAAUGCAACAUUUGAUUUUGCAUCUCCCGACCGAGGCAAGAUUGGGGGGGCCCGUGCAAAAUCGUUGGUGCUACCCAACUGAGAGGAUGCAGAAGACGCUUCGACAAAAAUGUAAAAAUAAACGUAGAAUUGAAGCAUCGAUGGCUGAGGCAUUCAUCACUGAGGAGGCGGCAAACUUCGUGACAGCACACUACGAAGCCAAAAAUCGUCAUUUGCAUAAUCUGAAGCCUCGGUACAAUGCUGACGACCCUAAAAAGGGUGGAUCCAACCUCAGCCUAUUCAAAGGGAAUCUCGCACCAGCCAGUGUUUCAAAUCCAGUAUCUUUGGAUAACGAACAAUGGCGGACCAUUUUGUUGUAUAUCUUCAACAACCUGAUAGAAGUGCGGCCGUACAUCGAGUAAGUUCUCGGUACAUAGUUUCGCAACUUCUAUUUCCUUUGAACUACUCUUAUUCCCGGAUAUUUCAUACAGUCGAUACGUCGCCUUAUUCUCGUAUGGAGCGGUGAUCCAAAAGGAUUCUGUCGAAGAGUAUGAGCUUCUCGCAAAGCAAGGAGGCGGCUAUCCCGGUUUCAUCUCUUGGUUCAAACAAACGGUAAUUUCUAUUAGACUUGUAGGCUAAUUUGUAGGCGGCUAUCCCGGUUUCAUUCGCUAAUUUGUGCGUAAUGCAACAAUCCUUUCAUAUUAAACUUGUAGGCUAAUUCAGAGUCUAUGGACGCCGAAUUGAGACAAGUCGCUAAUGGUUUUGACUAUAAGGUCCGUUCAUUUGACAAAUACGACAUCAACGGGUAUCGCUUUCGUACCUAUGGCAAAGAGCUAUCUAUGGCCGACCGAAAGUCUACAAAUUGUGUUGUAUCUGCUAUCGGCGAAGGAGGUACCAAGUAUUCUGGGAGAGUUGAAGCAAUUUAUGAACUUCUAUUCUAUGGUGAAAACCCACCGAAUGUCGUAGUCUUCAAAUGUUAUUGGUUUCAUCCGAAGGAGACUAGAAGGACUCAUGAACAUAUAGGGCUAGUUGAAAUCAACCAAAGCACCCAUUUAGAUGUUCCUGAUGUCUAUAUUACGGCUCAACAGGCGACCCAAGUAUUCUAUCUACCAUGGGCCUGCCAAACUAAUCCAAAUCUGAAAGGUUGGGAUGUCGCUUAUGAAGUGCCGCCACGUGCUAGACUAUCUCCCCCAAAGGAAGAGGAUUAUGAACCUCACAUUAACCCAGACACAUAUGAAGGAGAAUUCUUCCAAGAGACACGUCUUUCCAAAAAGCGUUUCAAGAACCGCUAUACUUCACCCCAAAACAUUGAAGUAGACAGCGACAGUGAAUCCGACAUCACCCCAGAGGAGGAACAAGAAGAGCCGGAACAAGAAGAGGUUACUGCUGCGGAUGACCUGUCAUUGCUUGACCGAUUACGUCAAGGUGGCCUUGCACAUGAUGAUGCCACUGAACCCAAUGAGCCCGUCAUUGAUUAUAGUAAUGAUGAUGAUUAUGCAUUUAUUGAUGAUAUUGAUCGAGAUUAUUAGUAGUGUCAGGUAUUAAAUUUUUUAAUGUUGUACUUGAUGAUGAUACACUUAAGUGAUACACAUAUUAUUAUUCAUGUCGGUCUUUUUUUUAUGUUGUACUAAUUUUGUUUACUGUUUGUCAUGGCAGGUGUUGAAAGAUGGUGGGCGCUGGUCGGGAGCGCGCCAAGGCCCCUUCUUCGUCGGCGCGUGGUCUGAGGUCUUCGAUUCCAGACGUACCUCUCCGCCGAGCGUUGCUGGACAGUAUGUCCACACCGCCGGGCCCUUCUUCGUCGACCACGGUGCCCAGCAGGGGACGAGGUAGGAAGAGAGGAGGUGGGGCACGUGGUCGCGGGAGAGGAGGUAGGGUGACUGCUACGGCGCCUUCCUCGCCGCCACCCCCAGCUGUUUCACCCGAGCACGUGACUGCUAGGGUGGACUCGUCCGAGGAGGAGGCUACACAAACUCCGGUCCACGAGCCUCCGGUCCACGGGUCUUGGGCCCACGAGCCUCGGGUCGACUGGCCUUCGGCCCACGAGAGUUCGGCCCACGAGACCCCGGAGGAGCACACGUCCGGAUGGGGUACCUGGCCGGAUCAGCCCGAGGAGACGAGUGGCCAUGCUGAUGAUGGCGGGGAGCCGACUGAUCUUGAGGAGGAGGGUGGCACCGUCUACCAGCGUGGUGCUACACGGCUCCCGUCCGUGCCGCCGACCCGCGAGCAGAGGUGGUUGAUCUUCCCUUAUGGGGAGAGGUACGUAAGUGCAUUUAAUAUUUUUGUACCUUCUACAUUCACGUUUCUUCAAAUAACUAAUGCGUUGGCCUUGUCAUGCUGCAGGGGUUGGGACCACCAUCAUAGUGUCCACCGGCCCAACUCCGUCCUUGGAGUUCUUUGCCGGCAAAACUUCCCGGGGUUUGUCACGUUGCCUGGUGAGGGUCGGCUUCCAGAGCUUGGGUUGAGCUGGGAGCACUAUGUGGCUGCACCGGCCCCGCCGGAUGUCAUUAUCGACGGUGUCGUGUGCGACACGAGGGCAGACAUGGUGAUCAGGACGUUCUGGGUAAUUUCUCCUUUACACAUUUCAAAAUCUUCAACUAGCUAGUUAUUAAUUGUACUAAUCAAUAUUGUCUCAUUUGAUUGCAGACAUUCUACAGGUGUGAGGAGGGAUACGAGGAGGACAGCGCAAAUGUUAUCCAGAACGUCUGCAAGCGCCUACUCCAGAACUUACGGCACGAGGCUCGGGUGCGGGCUGUUCGAGACUACUACGCCUUGCGUGGUAUCAAGAAGACCAAGCCGGCGUGCCGCGAUAAGUUCCUGAGUAAGGAGCAGUACAUGAAGGUAAUUCUUAAGGCCUUCUACUUAAGUUCCUUCAUUUAGUAAUUCUUAGCCGGAGCGCUCAAGUUUCUAUUUGCUAACUUAGGCGCCUCCGAGAUGGUGUGCGGAUCGGAUGGAUUGUUGGGAGGUGUUGGUCGAUGAGUGGUGCUCACUAGAAUGGCUAGCCCUCCACAACCAGGCCAAGGACAAACGUGCCCAAAUGGAAGGUGUGCCACACCAUCAAGGCAGCUCAAACUUAUAUCAGUUCGGGCGCAACUGGGUAUGUGGUUUGCUUCAUGAUUCAUGCAAUUCAUUCAUCAUGCUAGCUUGAGCCCUUUAAUUACUAAUUUUCAUUGUUUCUCUCUUUCAGGCACGCCACAAUAAGGCGGAUAAGGUGCCAGAGGUGUACGACCUGUAUGCCAUGGCCCACACUGGCUCUUUCAAGAAAGUCAAGGCUUUCUCUCAGUCUGACCUCGAUGAUGCAAACAACUUCACCAACAUCUCCUCCCACAACAAGCUCGUGAGAUAUAGAGAUGAGGGGAAGGUGAGGAAAGGGGAGGACUUUAACCCGAGCCAGGGUCCCAUUGAUCCAGAGCUGGUGAUGAUAUCUAGUGGCGGGAGGUCCCAUGGCUCCAUAGCCAUUAGAGAUGGACUUAUCCGUUGUCCUAGCACUCUCCCGGAGAUCAAGGCGCGCCAGUCCAGCUCCGCUCCUAAGAUAAGGCCUCGUGAACGGCCAGUGCAACUCGCCAUCAAGGUUAGUGAUACGUACUUAGUUAUCUUUCUCCAUUACAUUGUGUGCGCUUCCAUCAAUGAUUACAAAUGGUCAUGUGAGUGGUGUUGCAGGCUGCUAUACAGACUGAGAGAGAUAGAACGGAGAAACUUCUGGCGGAGGCGGCGGAGAGGCAGCGGGAGAUGGAGGAGAGGACGAGAAAGAUGAUGGAGGAGGAGAGGGCACGGAAUGACAUGCAGGCAAGGGCCAUGUACGAGCUCCUUGUGGUAAGUUUCUUCUGCAGAUUACUUGCUAGUCUUAACAUUUGAGUCUCAUUACUAACUAGUAUGACUCUGUUCUGAAAACCAAAUGUGCAGUCUGUGUGCGAGAAGUCCGGUCAGCCCGCUCCGCCGAUGCCAGUGAUUGCUCCUGGGAGCACGGUGAGUUUAGUUUGAAUGGACAUUACUUGGUAGUCUUAACAUUUGAGUGUUGUAAUGCUAACGAGACAUUGGAAAUGAUCUUUGGUGCAGCUUAACUCCAGAAACGCAUCGCACGAUCCUUCUCCAGGUAGCGGCACUAGCCACCCCGCUCCUACACCUCCCUGAUCACGGUAAGUUUCUCUAGUGUUUUGCUUAACAAAUGCAUAAAGACCUAGACUUAGCUUUAUUUCCUCCAAUAUGCUUACCAUAAUGACCUAGAGUUAGCUUAUUUUCCUCCAAAAUGACCCAUUUUACCUAGGUUAGCUUAUAAAUGAUGCAGUUCAUCCAAGUUAGCUCAAAAAUGACCCAUUUUACCUAGAUUAGCUCCUAAAUGAUCCAUUUUACCUACGUUAGCUUUAAAAUGGCCCAUUUCACCUAGGUUAACUCCAAAAUGACCCAUCUUACCUAGGUUAUCUCAUAAACGAUCGAUUUCAACUAAUUUAGCUCAUAAACGAUCCAUUUGACCUAAGUGAGCUAAAAAACGAUCCAUUUCACCUAAAUUAGCUCUUAAAUGAUCCAUUUCACCUAAGUUAGCUCAAAAAGAUCCAUUUCAACUAAAUUAGCUCUAAAAUGACCCAUUUUACGUAGAUUAGCUCCUAAAUGAUCCAUUUUACCUACGUUAGCUUUAAAAUGACCCAUUUCACCUAGGUUAGCUCCAAAAUGACCUAUUUCACCUAGGUUAGCUCCAAAAUGACCCAUCUUACCUAGGUUAGCUGAUAAAUGAUCCAUUUUAUCCAAGUUAGCUCUAAAAUGACCCAAUUUACCUGAGUAGCUCCUAGGUUAGCUUAUAAAUGAUCCAGUUUAUACUUCUUGUUCUAGUCUUCUUCUUGUUCUAGUCACCUAUUUCUAACUUUCUUAUUUACCAUUUUGCAGAUUUCAUUCACUUCAUGGAAGCUAGCUUGCUAUGAUGGAGUGCUUGCUUUUCCUUUGAUGAAACUUUGCAUUGUAUCUAGCUUGCUAUGAUGGAACUUGCUAUCUUGAUGAAACUUUGCAUUGUAAUAUAUAUGGAUGGAACAAUGUGUAUGGAUGGAACUUGCUUAUGUAUGAACAAUGUGUAUGGAUGAAACUGAUGUGAUAUGUGAUAUGUGAUAUGAAACUUAUGUGCUGGAUAUGUGAUAUGGAAAUAUAUCUAUAUAUGUCAUAUAUAUUUUCUGUGCAAAUUGUGGGAUUUAAUAAAAAACAGAAAAAACAGCCAAUAUGCAGGCUCUUUGCCGUCUGCCACCGACGGCAAAAGAGCUCUUUGCCGUCUGCCGCGGACGGCAAAGAAGCCACGUGGCAGCCAACUGUGCUUCCUGGGAGCUGACCCAUUUGGUCAGUUUGCCUACAGGGGCAGACGGCAAAGACUUUGCCAUCUAUGGCAGACGGCAAAGAACCUGCACUUUGCCAUCUGUGGCAGAUGGCAAAGACCAGAGAAAUUUUGCCGUCAGCGGCGAACGGCAAAGGUCUCCCGUUAGCCACUUAACGGACUGACAGCGCAAUUAUUGCCGUCCGCCCUCUUUGCCGUCCGCCGCAGACGGCAAAGAGCCUUUGCCGUCCGCCGCCAGGAAGCAGACGGCAAAGCAGCUGUUUACCGUAGCCUUCUUUGCCGGAGCCUUUUGCCGUCCGCGGCUGACGGCAAAGGUCUUUGCCGUCUGCCUUUUGAGCCUUUGCCGUCCGCCGUGGCAGACGGCAAAGUAGCUGUUUACUGUAGUGUGCGCUGCCACGUUCACCACGGCCAUCCCACCACCUGGCGUCCACCUCGAGCUAGCGCUGGCCGUCUCUAGAUCCUGGGCCGAUGAGCUAGAGCCCGCGGCCUUCUGCGGGUCCGGCGCCGAAGUCGCCUUCCCCGCGCGCUGGCGCGAUGGCGACCGGACCACCAGGUCCGUCCUCGCAGCCGGCUCACCUCCAGCCGGCUGCACGGGCGGCGCGUUAGGCCGGCUGCCUCGCUCCGCCCCAGUCGGCGAUGGCGGUGCCGCCUCCCUCUCCCGGACGACAACGUCGUCCUCCUCCCUCUCCAUCCCCGGCGGGUCGCCACCGGCUUCCUCCGGCGGGGGCUCCGGGAUCACGGGCGCCACGGCACGCAGGGGGACGACAAACAAGGCCCCGGCCGCAGUCUCUGCGGCUGCAGCCUCCGCCUGAGCCUUGGCCGCCGCGUCGGCUUGUGCCUUCGCCGACUCCUCCGCCAUCUCCUGCGCCGCCUUGGCAGUGGCCGCCCUCAGCUCCUCCGCCUCCCGCUCCUCCCUUGCCUCCCACGCGUUCCGCUCUGUUGCCGCUUGAAGCUCGGCAUGGGGGUCCACGCGGCAGGUGCUUGUGGAUCCUCCCGCCGAUCCAACCACGGAGGCGGCAGCGGUCCGCUCAAGAGAGAGCGGAGCCCUGCUUGAUGAAUCAAGACAAAGACUUAGAAGAAGUUUAUCGACAAAAAAGAAGAAGGAAUAUGCGAGAGAAUCGACACUGACGCCGAAACCUUUUGUGGCUGCUUCACCACCUUGCGGAAGCGGUCCGCCUUCGCGGCUACCUCGUCCCGUUUGGUCGCCGCCGCCGUGCUCUUGGGCCUCUUCGGCCGACUGCCGAAUAGGCUUGGCGCGGCCCGGCGCUUCUGCGCGCCGCCUCGAGUAGCCGGCGCGGUAGACGAGCCCGCGCCAUGGUCGGCGCCGGCUGGGGGCGCGGGAUGAUUUCCGCCUCAUCAUCAUCCGGCUAGUCGUCGAAGCUGGCUCCAACAUGGAGCCGCCUGCUUCGCCGCCUGCUUCGCUGCCUCCCCCCUCGGUGUUGUCUUCCAUAGCAGCCGCCCCCAAGUCGGGGUCGUCCAAGUCAUGCGCCACCCGGCCGGGGAGAAAUUGGCGCUCCGCCCCCGCUGCCCUGGCCGCCGGCCGAAGGAGAGGGCUCUGCCAAGACAAACCGACUGGUCAAAGUCGGCCAAGAGAAACUUGGUGACAAAAGUAAAGAAGAGAAGAUAAAGAAAACUUACCAUAGGCCGGGGAUGGGCACGGGAGUACGGCUCCUUGCCAAACUGCCACUCGUCGGUGAGCUUGCAGUUUGCGAGGUAGUUCACCAUGAGAGCUACCUCGGAGUGAGGCAUCUCCUUGGUGCACAUCUGACUCGGAUCAAGUUGGCCGCUCAUUUGACAGAUCAAAUGAGGCCGGCCUUAGAGCGGGAGCACCCGGCGCACCACGAAGGCGGCCAGCAGGUCGGACCCGGUCAGGCGCUCCGACUGGAUGAUUACCCGGAGUCGGGCAACGGCGGCGGCUCCAGCCGGCGACAGCGUUCUGGCCCGAUAGGACCACUAGGGCCGCCUCCCAGCCGGCGGGCCGGCUACAUAAGCCGGCAAGUUGACGAAGUCGCCUUGCGGGGCGACGUUCUUCCUGUAGAAGUAGGAUUUUUGCCAGAGCUUCACCGACUGGAUCAGCGUGAUGGCAGGGAAGGGGUUGUCGGCUACCGGCCUCUGCACCGCGAUGAAGGCGCCGCUCUGAGCCGGCACGCCAUGCAUGCGGGUGCCGAGCUUGGAUUGGAAGAAUUCCCCCCAAAGCUCGAGGGUGGGAAGGACGCCAAGGAAGCCCUCGCACAGAGUGAUGAAGGCAGACAACAGCACCACCAUGUUUGGAGUGAGGUGGUGUGGCUGGAGCUGGUAGAAUUCGAGGAAGGAGCAGAAGAAGGCACUCGCAGGCAGGCCGAGGCCGCGCAGGAAGUGUGAGCGGAAGAUUACCUGCUCACCUUCCUCCGGCGCCGGCGAGAUCUCCUUCUUCAGCGCAAGACGGACCCGCACCUGGUCCUCACCGGGCAACCGCCGCGUCUUGCGGAGGAAGUCGAUGUGGUCCACGUGGACAUUGGAGCCGUCCCAGUCCCCGCCGUGCUGCAUGACGGCAAGAAGCUGAUGAAAGAGGGCGCUGCGACGACGAAACCACGGCCCCGCGGCGGCGAAGCUGCGGGGUAGUGCAAAGACUAGAGGGACGGUGCGGCGGCGAGGGGCUGCGGCGACGGAGAGAAAGAAGAAGAAGAUGGCGGAGCGAGGGUGAGCGUGCGAGCAUCUGCGGCUCCCCCUCCUCCCCCUAUUUAUAGCCUCGUGCGGCGGAGCCGAGGAGGCGAGGCGUGGGGGGAACGUGGGAUUAACUGCGCCCACUCCCCCACGUCCCGCGAUAAUUGUGCCCUAACGGCGUGCGGAAACUGCCGUUGGAAGGCGAAUGGCCCGUUUUCGGCCACAGAAGAUCCACACCCGGGCCGAGGCGUGGAAGUGGCGGGCCCCGGCCUGCGGCGGCGUCCCGUCAUGCGCGUGGGGUGGCAGGCUCUCCCAGCCGGAGGGUGCCACGUGGUGCGCGGGCGGCAGGCGGCCGGCCCGCAACCAGGCGCGCGCGCCAGCUGAUUCCCGCCUUCAGAUUUUGAGGCCUCACCAAGACGGCGCACCUGAUCAAAGCCGGCUCCUAGCUGCUGGCUCCUCAAGAUAGGAAGCUGAUUAAGCUUCUCGUCCUCCUUUCAGCCACGAAGCCCAACCAGCUUCGGGGACUACUAUCGGAGUAAAUGACCACGGGUAGCCUAACCGACUCCCCCUGGCUCUUCAAAAAAUUAUCAGGUCGAUCGAGCCUUCAAUCACCCAAAGCAGGGGGCCGCCUUCCCCUGGCCGGCCAUCUCACAGGCCGACUGCUGGAAGGCGGCCCGAUCCUGAAACCCUCCUGAAGAGAGCCAAAAGAAGGCCUUCUCCAAGAAGCCGGCAAGAAGGCCGACUCCAAGAAGCCAGCCAGAAGAAGGCUGACUCCAAGAAGCCAGCCACAAGAAGACCGACUCCCGGCAAGCGGCCAAGAUUGCACCCUCCAGGACAGCACCCACAUAACGGUGACAAGACCGGGCGUGGCUACAGUAAAGUCUGCCACCCCCGAAUCCCGGAGCACGCAUGGCCACAGUGCUCCGUACGGGUCGGCCAUCCCCCGUCCGGCGCGGCACUGUAGCCAUGUUGACCAUGACACCACCCAUGACGGGUUGUGUAACACCCCAAAAAUUUGACCUUGUUUUGUCAAUUAAAAUUUUGCCAGGAAAUUAAAAAAUUUAUUUUUCUGGAUUUCUCCUUUGAUUUCAGAACCCUCUUCCUUUUAAUAUUGUGGGUUUUUACCUCAAAUGGAAAACUUUCCAAAAGUAUUAUUGGAACUUGCAUGCCCUCUUCAAAAAAAACAAUCCUUUAUCAGUGGAUUUAUUUGCAUAAUUAUUUUUCAUGGGCUUUACUCUUUUAAAAUGAUCUUUCAGAAAAUUUGGAGCCCCUUUUUGCACUUCAACCAAUUGAUAAAUGCUUUUAAAAUUUUCACCAAAAUUUGGGGAGGUCAUGUGAGGUUUCCACAUCACUUUUAUGCAAAAAUACCUUUUGGUUAUUGGAGAUUUUGAGCUCUACAUCAAUUUUUCAAAUCUGGUCCAGUAGGUAUUUUUGUACUACAACCUAUUUAAAUAUUCUUCUAAAAAAAUUUCCAAGUGUUUGGAGAUGUCAGUGGAUACUUAUUAUUCAACUUCAUGCAAAAACCCAGUGAUGUUCUUUGAAAAUUUUGAGUGAAACAUCUUCAUUUUCAUUCUGGUCCAGUUUGGUGAUUUGUACUGCAACUCCAUUUUAUUUUGCUCUAGUGCCCAUGAGCUUUUUCCCUACUUGUAGUCCUCCCUACCAAACACUUAAGUCCAGGAGAUUGGACUCAUUGGAGUAUGUUUAGUGCAUGCAAUGAUAGCUUUUAGUUUCUGCCCAAAACUGGUUUUCUCAAAUCUUGCACUAACAAGUUCUUGUUUUUGCCAAACUAACCUUACCACCUUCUUGAGCUCCUAAAGAGACUAGGAUCUGGAGAGUUUGGCCACCCCAAGAGUUGCCUAGAUGCCCAUGGCAUUCUGUCGAACACCCUGUGUGCAGGAACAGUUUUGGCAUGUCUGCUAGCUUGCAUUGUGGACUUGAGCCCCUGACCCAUCCAGCAUGUCCAGUAACCUCCUAGCUAUCCCUAACCCUGGCCUGUUUACUACCCACAUCACCCAAGCUCUCUAGAGCGCGCUGGCAUUUCGUCGAACACCUGGUGUGCGUGCUCUGGGCGCGCCCAGAGCGCACGUUUUGCACGCGCGCGCACUGAGCCGCCGCGUCGCACUACCGCCCUCGUCGCGUCCCGUCUCUGGCCCCUGCUCGCCUGCUGAACCACGCCAUGCACUCGCCCACUCACCAGUUCCCUCCAAGCACUCCCUGGCGCCCUACAGCGCCGCCUUGGCGGCACGCCGGCGUCGGCAACGGGCUCUGCCGUGGACGGCGCCGCCCACACCACCCGCGCGCGCCAGCUGCCCCCUGGGAACAGCCCGAGCUCAUCCACUUGCUCGUCGGCACGCGCUCGUCGCCACCAUGACGUCCUGCAGCUACAGAACAGCGACUCGUCGUCGAUCUUAUCCACCGCCGCGGGAGCCAGCCCCGACGCGCUAUAAAAGGGGACCCCGAGCUCAACCGAGCACUCAAGCAACCCCAGGCCACCCCCAUAGUACUCCCGCAGCCAGCAAUCGAUGGGGAAGGACCUUCUUCCUCGUCUCCGGCCAGUUCGGCCGCCGCCGAGCUCCGGUACAAUACUUCGCAGCCAGGCCUUCCCCCGCCUAUCCAACGCCACCAGACGUCUCCCCAUGGUCUUGCGGAGCUGCCCAGCACCUCAGCCUCGACCAAGGCCCACCAUAGCCCGAAGCUCACUUUGCUCCCGAACCUCCGUCCGCCGCGGAGCUCGCCGCCGGUGACUUCCUCCGUCCCCGCCUGCCUAGCGCCCACCGGGAGGACCGCCCCGGUCUGGCGGAUCCAUCCCUGCCCUCGGGGCCCCAUGGGGAACUGCUGUUCGCCGACGGCGAUCGCCGGAGGCCGCCACCAUUCGGGCAGAGAGAAAGGAGGGAGAGGGAGACCAGUCAAACCUGACCAGUGGGUCCCCUGGACCCACUGUCAGUGACCCGCUCGCCCGUCCUCUCUGGUUAAGUCGAAGCGCAAAGUCCGGAGUACGUCUCCUCUGCUUCAAAGGCGUAUUCUUCCCCGAAGCGUUUUCCUUUUUCUGAUUUAAAAAAAAACAAACAGAGAUUUGACCAGACUUUGACCAGCUAUACCUUUUAAAGUAAAACUCCAAAUGAGUUGAUUCUUUUUCCUACCUCUCUCAAAUUUCAUCUAGUUUAUUUUAAGAUUUAUUUCAAAAAUAUUUGGGACAACUUUUUGUACUGUAUUUGAAAUGUGUGUUAUUUGGAUAUUUCUCAAAAUAGGAUUUUGGAGAAAAGGCAACCUUCAAAAAAUGCACCCCACAUGCAUACACUUGAAGGCAAGCAUUCUAAACCCUGGUUUAAUAUUUUUGGAUGUUGUUGAUACGGUUACAACAUCACCUUGACCUGGAGCAUACGCUAUUUUAUGUGAUGGUAAGAUCAUACGCAUGAGUGCAUAAGUGGAGAUUUCUUUGAUGUUAUAAACGGAUAUGCUGGUGAUAGUGAUCAUCCUCGUAAGCUUCUCAUGCAUGCCGGAAGGAAGUUGGGAAAAUCGCGGUCUUGGGUAGAUGCGAGCUUGUCCCUAGUCCCUCGUUGAGACGAGUAUAUCCGGUAUGGCAUGGUGGGGCUUGAUGAGUGUUAAGCUUAUCUGUUAUUGGAAAUAUUUUUGUUAUGCUAAUCAUGCAGGGAACACUUGAACCUCCUGAGUCGGCCUUAGAUCGAGUCUUGUCCAGUAACCCCCACACUUGCUUCGUACUACCACUUGUCCCUGCCAUAGGUAGGGUACGGUUCAGUAAGUUGUCAACCCCUUUCUAGCACACACCAUACAGAGAGGCCGUGAUGAGGGUCCCGGGGGCAUGGGUGUUUCCGGUUGGGACCGAGAGGGGGGCACCCCUUAGAGCGCGCAUAUAUAAAUUUGAUCCCAUGCUACGUCGAGGUUGUAGCCUCCCCACUUAGAGUUUGGCUUGACAGGUGUUGUGGGUGAUUCCAGACACCGGUGAGUUAAGCUGGUGUGUGUAGGUCAGGCGUGUUUUCAAUUAAAAGACCGUAGAUGGAAUUAGUCCCGAUGGACUAAAGAAAUCCGUUACCCGUGGGUAAAGAGUACACCCUCUGCACAGAUUAUACACCUAUUCGAAUAGCCGUGUCCAUGGUUAAGGACUACAGUCUGGGAUAGGUCAAGUGUCGGUCUUAGUGUCGGUCUUCGGAGGAAAAACUGCUAAACCAGAACUUUGAUUAUGAACUAUGACACAUAUGGAUUAUGAUCAUUAUUAUUGUGGACUAACCAUUUACUUUGUUUGAAUUAUUGAGAAUCCCUGGGACUGUUCUACCUCCUGGAUAUUCACUGUGAUUAUCCUUUAUAAGCCCUUUAUGUGGUGUCGCUCAGACGCCCGACUGCGGCAUGCUUGUUAUUUAUUUAUUCUUUAUAAGCCCUUUAUGCGGUGUCGCUCAGACGCCCGACUGCAGCAUGCUUGUUACUUAUUUAUUCUUUAUGAGCCCUUUAUGCGGCGUCGCUCAGACGCCCGACUGCGGCAUGCUUGUUAUUUAUUUAUUCUUUAAAAGCUCUUUAUGAGGUGUCGCUCAGACGCCCGAUUGUGGCAUGCUUGUUAUUUAUUUAUUCUUUAUAAGCCCUUUAUGCGGUGUCGCUCAGACGCCCGACUGCGGCAUUGUUAAUUUAUUUGCACCCCUUAUUCGAGGAGUCAUUUCAGACACUUGAUCACUGCAUUCUAUUUAUAUAUUGCAUAUUCUUAUUUUACCCGCAUGCGUUCAUCAUGGACUUCGCAUAUUUCGUGACUGACGUGAUGGUCAUAGAAUAAUUUCGGAGCAUGAUUACCCCUUGUUAUAUGUUAUACCCGUGUUCCAAAUGUUUGCGAGUACAUUCAAACGUACUCACUGGCUUGUCCCUGGCUAUUGUCUUGGCCAGAUUUCUUGCAUGGAGAAGAGCGUUACGACGACAGCCCCGGAACCCUUGUAAAGGUGAUAGCAACCUCGCGAACAUAGGAGUUACCCUGGUCAGCUGUUCUUGUGGGAAAUGGAGUCCCAUAGACGCAGAUGAACCUCAAACCGCUUCCGCCAUCAACCACUAGAGACCAAGUGUUGUACUCAUAGGCCACAAUGGUCUUGUACUACAUAUUUUGUAGUUUGCUUGGAAUUCUUGUAUCAAGUUGGUGCCUCAUCAGCUAACAGUAAUCCUGGGGCUGGUGAGCACAAGGGCCGUUUUCUGGAGAAUGAAUAUCCCGAAAAUCCGGUCGUGACAGGUUGUCAGAACGGCCCGCGGACGGCGGGCCCCUACAGCCAGAGAGACGCUCGAAGGCGGUCAAGCCCCCUUAUAGUCGGCCUGGGGUGUAGCCGGCUCCCAAUAGCCGGCUACCUCACUCCCUCGAAGUAUGUGCAUCAUUAAGAAGACAAGACGAGGUAAGGCUACAGUGAGAGUUCGCCGGACAGCGGCACUGUAGCCAUGCUUACCUCAGCAAAGCCCUCAUCAUCAAGGGCGAGGCUACAGUAACCAGCAGCCAGCGGGUCCCACCAGUCGGCGGGCCCCAGCGGUCGACGGAGAAGCCGGCGGAUACAAACACUGACGGCCUGGACCCGCAUCCAGCCAGAUUACCAUUGUACCCCUAGGGGGUAGACCUAUAUAAACCCCCCAGGGCACCCAUGCAAAGGGUUGAUCUCUUAGAGUUUCAGACACCACACAGAGAGAAGAGGAGAGCUAGCCUUGCCCUUCUUCCUCCUCUAGCAAAAUAGCUCAAGGAGCCACUUGUAGCCACUUGUGUUGAUCUAGUGAUCAUGCGGAGACCCCGCAGAGCAGGACUAGGGGUGUUAUCUCCACGGAGAGCCCCGAACCUGGGUAAGAUUUGCCAGCGUGCAUGUCUUCGCCUUAUCCCGUUUCCAGGCACCGGCGAUGUCUUACUAGCUCCCACAAUGAUAAGCCACCCGUUGGCAUAUGUCGCACCUACCACCCGACAGACAAACAGCAAGAGAGGCCUCCCCGGGGCCAUGACAAGAGACAAGAAGACGAUGAUCACGACGAGGAUGACGAGUCCGGUGAGCAAGAGUUCCAGAAGGCUACGGAGGCCAUGUGCGUCGGUGGUGGUGCCUCGCUGCAUACUUCUCACCGCCAGCUCAAGCAGUGGGCUCGUGAGAUUACGGCAGUGGAGCCGUCGUUCGACGAUCAGAAGCCGCUAAAGUGGUCCAGCACGCCCCUCAUCUUUGACACCGAGGACCACCAUAACCGCACAACCGCGGUCGGGUGUUUGCCAUUGUUGGUCUCACCAAUGAUAUGCAACCUCAAGGUGAACAAGAUGUUGGUUGAUGGCGGGGCCGGCCUGAACUUGAUCUCGCCUGUCGUGAUCAAAAGGCUACAAAUUCCUGAAGGACACCUUGAGGAAACGGGCACGUUUCAAGGGGUCAAUACGGGGAGGAGCCAGCCGAAGGGGAAGGUCACACUGCCCAUGACGUUUGGAGGAGAGUUGAACUACAGGACGGACAGGAUCACCUUUGACGUGGCCGAGAUCCCCUUGCCCCACAACAGGAUCCUCGGCCGCCCGGCACUAGCCAAGUUCAUGGCAGCAUCACACUACGCCUACAACAUGCUAAAGAUGCGCGGGCCGUUGACCAUCAUCUCCGCCCCCUCCGACAAGAAGGACGCGCUGAUCUGCGCCGACCAACUCUACCGAGAAGCAGUUGCAGCAGCUGCCGUCAAGGCACCUGCUCCGGCCGCCGAAGGCCGAGAAGGGAAGAGAAAGCCCGGCAAGACCUCUCGCACCCACUCCGGAAGCACGCCUCUUCGGAGUGCUAUGCUACCGUCGAGGACGUGCCAGAGAGCUCUACCGGCAAGAGCAAGAAAUCCAAAGCCGAGCCACCGCAGACCAAGAAGAUGUUCGCCGGGGAGGAUGGCACGGGAGGGGCCCUCACCAUAGGCUCCACCCUCAACAGCAAAUAGGAAGGCGCGCUCAUCACCUUCCUGCGGGCGAACGUCGACGUGUUUGCGUGGCAAGCAUCCGACAUCCCCGGUGUUCCCAGGGAGCUGGUUGAGCACCACCUAGCUGUCUGCCCUCAUGCGCGGCCCGUCAAGCAGAAGGUCAGAAAGAAGGCUCUGGAGAGGCAGGAGUUCAUCACAGAGGAGAUCAGGAAGUUGGAAGCGGCAGGUUUGGUGAGAGGAGUGCUCCACCCGACGUGGCUGGCCAAUCCGGUAGUGGUGCGCAAGGCGAAUGGGAAGUGGAGGCUGUGUAUUGAUUACACAAAUAUCAAUAAGGCUUGUCCUAAGGACCCCUUCCCGUUGCUGCGCAUCGACCAGAUUGUUGACUCCACGGCCAGGUGUGAUCUGUUAUCAUUCCUCGACGCCUACUCGGGCUACCACCAAAUCUUCAUGACAAGAGAGGAUGAAGAAAAGACAGCAUUCAUCACCCCAUGUGGUACGUAUUGCUUUUUACGGAUGCCUUUCGGGUUGAAGAGUGCUGGCUCGACGUUUGCAAGAGCAGUCCAAAUUGGUUUUGAACCUCAGCUCCAUAGAAAUAUGGAGGCAUACAUGGAUGACAUAGUGGUCAAAACCAAAGACAGGGCAACUCUUGUGCAAGAUCUGGAAGAGACAUUUGCCAACCUGCGCAAGAUCAACAUCAAGCUGAACCCUGAGAAGUGUGUCUUCGGCGUUCCGUGCGGCAAGCUUCUCGGGUUCUUUGUGUCGCAGUGUAGGAUCGAGGCAAACCCAGACAAAAUCAAGGCUAUUGAGCAAAUUGAGGCGCCCAAGCGGAUCAAGGAUGUGCGUCGGCUCACCGGCUGCGUCACCGCCAUGAGCCGAUUCAUCUCCAAGUCCGCCGAGCGCGCCCUUCCUUUCAUCAAAAUCUUGAAGAAGGCAGGCCCAAUGGAGUGGACCCCAGAAGCCGAGGCAGCAUUGCAGGAUCUGAAGGAAUACCUUUCCUCCACGCCAAUACUGGUUGCACCUAAACCACAAGAGCCGUUGCUGCUGUAUCUGGCGGCGACAAAUCAAGUGGUCCGCGCCGCACUGGUGGCACGGAGGGAGGUUGACGAGGAGGCAGUGGCGGCGGCAGAACCAGCGGAUGGCGAACCAAAGAUUCCCCCGGCAGGGCCUAGUGCCGGCAAGGCGAGGCCCCCGGCAGAGUCUGAUGCCACCAAGGCAGUGCCCGCGCGGUUGAGUGAGGUGGUGCAGAACAAGAAGAUGAUGCAGCACCCGGUUUACUUUGUCAGCUCCCUCUUGCAGGGAGCUAGAUCGAGGUACUCCGGUGUGCAGAAAUUGCUCUUCGGCCUCCUUAUGGCCUCGAGGAAGUUGCGUCAUUACUUCCAAGCCCACGAGAUCACUGUCGUCACCCGCCUCCCGUUGCAACGGAUACUACAUAACCCAGAUGCAACCGGAAGGAUUGUGGAAUGGGCCUUGGAGUUAUCAAGUUUUGGUUUGAAGUUUGAAAGUACCUCGACAAUCCAGAGCAGAGUCUUGGCGGAGUUCAUUGCAUAAUGGACCGCAAUGCCUGACGAAGAAAUCCAGGAGACCACUCUCCCCGGCAAGGAAGCAGACCACAACUGGAUCAUGUACUUUGAUGGGGCUUUCUCGCUGCAAGGCGCCGGUGCCGGUGUGCUGCUCGUCGUGCCCACCGGAGAGCACCUCAAGUAUGUGAUCCAGAUGCACUUCCCUAGGGAGAUGUCCACCAACAACACUGCUGAGUACGAGGGAUUGCUCGCCGGUCUCAGGAUCGCGACAGACCUCGGGGUUAAGAAGCUCAUCGUCAGGGGUGGCUCGCAGCUUGUUGUUAGGCAGGUCAACAAGGAUUAUGAGAGCCCAUUGAUGGAGGCCUACGUAGAUGAGGUGAGGAAGCUAGAGGAACACUUUGACGGUAUCCAAGCGGGGCACGUCCCCCGAAUGGAGAACGACAUCGCCGAUUACCUGUCAAAGCGUGCUGCAUUCAAGCUACCUGUGGAACCAGGUACCUUUUUGCUCCGGUUAACUCAACCAUCCGUCGAGCCAUCAACGGGGCAGAACAAGCGGAGGAAGUCAGGUCCCGGCAAGUACUUUCCUACCGAGCCCCCUGGGGCUGCCGGCAAGGGUGCUACCGCGGACGCUGGGCCUGCCCAAGAGCAACUGGCUCCAGCAGGGCGUCAAGCCCUGGCGUAGAGACAGCCGCUCCCAUGGCGGAAGAGAUGCCUUUGGUCCUUGUCGUCGAGCCCCAGGCUCCGGCAUGGGCGCAGCAUACCGUCCAAUUCCUCCAAACAGGGGAGCUUCCUGAGGAGCAGGAAGAAGCGGAGAAAGUAGCCCGUUGGUCCGCCCUGUACCAGUUCGUCGAUGACGUCCUGUACAGGAGAAGGCCGAACGGUGUGAAACUGAAGUGCAUCCCCCGGGAGGAAGGACUGGAGCUGUUUGCAGAGAUACAUGGAGGCAUAUGUGGCUUCCACAUAGGGUCGAGGGCCCUUGCCGGAAAGGCAUUCCGGCAAGGUUUCUUCUGGCCCACCACCCUCCAGGAUGCGACGGCACCAGUAACCAAGUGUGAAGCGUGUCAGUUCCAUUCAAAGAAGCUUCAUCAACAAGCUCAAGCCCUUCAAACAAUCCCUCUCUCCUGGCCAUUCUUGGUCUGGGGGCUCGAUAUACUGGGCCCUUUCCCCCACGCUGUCGGGGGCUUUGAGUACUUGUACGUUGCAAUCGACAAGUUCACAAAGUGGCCGGAGGUGGAAGCAGUGAGAAAGGUGACUGCUCAACCAACCGUCAAGUUCUUCAAGGGAUUGGUCUGCCGUUUUGGUGUGCCAAACAGAGUCAUCACCGACAACGACACGCAGUUCACAAGCCACACCUUCAUGCAAUACAUUCAAGACCUCGGUAGCAAGGUCUGUUUUGCUUCCGUGGCACACCCACGAAGCAACGGCCAAGCGGAGAGGGCAAAUGCUGAAGUGUUGCGAGGCCUGAGAACGAAGACCUUUGACAAGCUGCACAAGAGUGGAAGGUGCUGGAUUGAUGAGUUGUCGGCGGUUCUUUGGUCGAUCAGGACGACGCCAAAUCGAGCCACCAGCCAGACACCUUUUGCCCUCGUAUACGGGGCAGAAGCAGUUCUCCCCACGGAACUCAUAUACGGGUCACGUCGAGUGCUCGCUUAUGAUGAGCUUGAGCAAGAGCAGUUGCGCCAAGAUGAUGCGACGCUCCUUGAGGAAGAUCGUCUUCGGGCGGCUGUGAGAGCAGCACGCUACCAGCAAGCCUUGCGCUGCUACCAUAGCCGCAAGGUUCAUGCCCGAAGCUUUGAGGAAGGCGACCUUGUUCUUUGGCGCGUUCAGUCGGCCAAGAAUUCCAACAAGUUGACGCCAAAGUGGGAAGGCCCUUAUCGGGUAAUGCGAGUCACCAGGCCCGGCACAGUCUGCCUGGAGACCGAAGAUGUUGUCCCAGUGAGCAAUUCUUGGAACAUCGAGCAUCUUCGCAAGUUUUACCCGUAAGGCGCGGCUUGCCGGGCCUCCCGGCAAGCCACCUUUUGUACAAGCUUUGCCGGCAAGGCAUGUAACCCUUCGUACAAAGCCAGGCGCAGACCCUGAGCAUAAAUAAAUGAAGCACUGGCGCCCUAAGUUAUAGCAUGCAUGCUAGGUUGAGUCUCUUCCUUGGUUAGGGUUGAUAGUGCUUAGCGGCGACUAACCCCUAGCCUAGAGGUCAAGUGCGCGUCUAUCUGUUUCUUUUCUGUCCUCCUUUGGUUCGCAGGGCACAUGAGCACUUCUGCUGAGCUACUUGGAAGAAAGGAAACGGACCGGCAUCCCGAGCCCUGCAAACCAGAGUUGCCGGGGGCUGUAAGCACAAGGAUCCAACCAUGGCAAGACAUGGUUGCCGGGGGCUGCAGAUCCAGAUAAGUCUUUCAUCCUCUAUCAUGCAUUUCGGAACGGAACUGGGAUAUGUGAAACCUCGUUUUAUUUCUAGGCCAGCGUGCUCCCCUUUUCUAUACCCAAGGAUUAUCUCCUGGGCCCGAAUUUGGUUGUAGUCGCGGUGGCAAGGAAGUAGAACGAGGAGCCUAAGCCCGCUUCAUCGCUGCCUCCGCCAAGGGCACGAGAAUGGCCGAGCGAAGUGGGGGGACCGCAAGGCCUGUUGCCGGGUGAAAACGUCUAUCUUAAAUUGUAACAAGGAUUCACUCCUUGUCGCGGGGUCUACCCACGAAAGAAAAACCCGGCAAACAUCCCUUUUUCAUUAAAAACAUCCCACACAAGUACAGUCCGUACGGAAUGAAAAACAUGAACAAGGGGGAUUACAAGCUUUAAAUUUGACAAGGCCCGAUGGCUUACAGAUUAAAAAAGAGAUGAGAUGCCCCUGAUCCCUUUCUUGUCCCUCUCCUAAGGAGGUAGGUCAAGGAGGCGAAAGGGCAAAAGGGGCGCCUAGGCGAGCUACGAGCAGCAGAAAGCACCAUGACAACACCUCGGUGGCCGCCCACGGGUGGGCCGGUGAUGACGGUGCCGGGAAAGGAGCUGGAAGACGAGGCGGCAGGACCGGCAAUAUGCGAUGAAGGUGUCUGUGCCCGCGUACUCCGAGUUGACGGCCUUGCUGCCCGCCCUCUUCCUCUUCUGUAGCCUCCCGACGCCAGCCGCCCAAGGAGACGGCCCCGAGAAGUUCAAGGAGCUGGCCCCAGCCCCGGCAAAACUCUGCUGGAGGAGCGGCCAGGUGCAGAUGCUGCUUCUGCCGCACCCGCCCAGGCGCGGGGCGUCCGACGCCUAGUCGGACUCGUCCCCGUCAUCUGCCCCGCUGUCCUCCUCGUCACUUUCGCUCGAGGAAGAGCUUCCAUCAUUGGAAUCUCCGUCGGAGGAGCUCUCCAUGCAGCACUUCAGGCGAGUCCCGAAGUCUCCGAAGACCUUGACGGAGAGCAGGCCAUCCUCCAUUAAUUUGAAGUAGAGGACGAGCCCCGCCGUCAGGCUGUGGAUGCGAGCGAACGUCUUCCAUCCGCGACGAAGGUACAUGACCCGAGGAGCCGGGAAGUCGACGUCGACCCGCGUGCCCCCAUUCCCAUAGCCCCUCAUAUGCAAUCUGAGGGAUUGUGGCGGGUCACGCUCCAUCUCCCGAGCAAACGGGGCGGGAAGACGAAGACGGCGAUGCAGAGGCCGGCGCAGCCUGAUGAAGAACUCGCGGGGCUGGUCCCCGACAUGGCCUUCCAUCGGAAAAGGCAUCAUUGGCGGGGGCGAAGCCAGCGCGCCGCCCCGUUCUCCUCUUCCUCGAAGCACUACGACCUCUGCCCCGGCCUCGCCCAUGGCCUCGCCCCCUCCCCCUUCCCCUCGCGGCCGGCUCCACCAUCGCGGGCUCAGGAGGGGGAGGGACGCGCUGUCGAGCAGCGAACCUCGCCGCCACCGGCGAAGGACCAGGAUUCCCUUUCUCCAUGGCGAGUGAAAGGUGAAGGAAAUAUGCCCUAGAGGCAAUAAUAAAGUAUUAUUUAUUUCCUUAUAUCAUGAUAAAUGUUUAUUAUUCAUGCUAGAAUUGUAUUAACCGGAAACAUAAUACAUGUGUGAAUACAUAGACAAACAGAGUGUCACUAGUAUGCCUCUAAUUGACUAGCUCAUUAAUCAAAGAUGGUUAUGUUUCCUAGCCAUAGACAUGAGUUGUCAUUUGAUUAACGGGAUCACCUCAUUGGGAGAAUGACGUGAUUGAGUUGACCCAUUCCGUUAGCUUAGCACUCGAUCGUUUAGUAUGCUGCUAUUGCUUUCUUCAUGACUUAUACAUGUUCCUAUGACUAUGAGAUUAUGCAACUCCCAUUUACCGGAGGAACACUUUGUGUGCUACCAAACGUCACAACGUAACUGGGUGAUUAUAAAGGUGCUCUACAGGUGUCUCCAAAGGUACUUGUUGGGUUGGCGUAUUUCGAGUUUAGGAUUUGUCACUCCGAUUGUCGGAGAGGUAUCUCUGGGCCCACUCGGUAAUGCACAUCACUAUAAGCCUUGCAAGCAUUGUAACUAAUGAGUUAGUUGCGGGAUGAUGUAUUACAGAAUGAGUAAAGAGACUUGCCGGUAACGAGAUUGAACUAGGUAUCGAGAUACCGACGAUCGAAUCUCGGGCAAGUAACAUACCGAUGACAAAGGGAACAACGUAUGUUGUUAUGCGGUUUGACCGAUAAAGAUCUUCGUAGAAUAUGUGGGAACCAAUACGAGCAUCCAGGUUCCGCUAUUGGUUAUUGACCGGAGAGGUGUCUCGGUCAUGUCUACAUAGUUCUCGAACCCGUAGGGUCCGCACGCUUAACGCUACGAUGACAGUUUCAUUAUGAGUUUAUAUGUUUUGAUGUACCGAAGGUUGUUCGGAGUCCCGGAUGUGAUCACGGACAUGACGAGGAGUCUCGAAAUGGUCGAGACCUAAAGAUUGAUAUAUUGGACGACUAUAUUCGGACACCGGAAGUGUUUCGGAGAAGUUUCGGAAAAAACCGGAGUGCCGGAGGGGUUACCGGAAGCCCCCGGGGAAGUAUUGGGCCUUAGUGGGCCUGAGGGGGGAGAGAGGGCAGCAGCCAGGAGGUGGCGCGCCCCCUCCCAUGAGGAUUCCUAAUUGGACUUGGGGAGGGGGGCGCAGCCCCUCUUUCCCUCUCCCUCUCCCUCUCUUUCCUUCCCCCCCUCUCUUCCUAGUAGGACUAGGAAAGGGGAGUCCUACUCCUACUAGGAGGAGGACUCCCCCCCUCUCCUUGGCGCGCCCAAGGAAGCCGGCCUCCCCCUUGCUCCUUUAUAUACGGGGGCAGGGGGCACUCUUGACACACAAUUGAUAUACGAUAUUUUAGCCGUGUGCGGUGCCCCCUCCACCAUAUUACACCUCGAUAAUAUCGUUGCGGAGCUUAGGCGAAGCCCUGCGUCGGUAGAACAUCAACAUCGUCACCACGCCGUCGUGCUCACGAAACUCUCCCUCAACACUCGGCUGGAUCGGAGUUCGAGGGACGUCAUCGAGCUGAACGUGUGUUGAACUCGGAGGUGCCGUGCGUUCGGUACUUGAUCGGUCGGAUCGUGAAGACGUACGACUACAUCAACCGCAUUGUGUUAACGCUUCCGCUUCCGGUCUACGAGGGUACGUGGACAACACUCUCGCCUCUCGUUGCUAUGCAUCACCAUGAUCUUGCGUGUUCGUAGGAAAUUUUUUGAAAUUACUACGUUCCCCAACAGUGGCAUCCGAGCCUGGUUUUAUGCGUUGAUGUUAUGCACGAGUAGAACACAAGUGAGUUGUGGGCGAUAUAAGUCAUACUGCUUACCAGCAUGUCAUACUUUGGUUCAGCAGUAUUGUGAGAUGAAGCGGCCCAGACCGACAUUACGCGUAUGCUUACGCGAGACUGGUUUCACCGUUAUGAGCACUCGUUGCUUAAAGGUGGCUGGCGGGUGUCUGUCUCUCACUUUAGUUGAACCGAGUGUGGCUACGCCCGGUCCUUGCGAAGGUUAAAACAGCACCAACUUGACAAACUAUCGUUGUGGUUUUGAUGCGUAGGUAAGAACGGUUCUUGCUAAGCCCGUAGCAGCCACGUAAAACUUGCAACAACAAAGUAGAGGACGUCUAACUUGUUUUUGCAGGGCAUGCUGUGAUGUGAUAUGGUCAAGACAUGAUGCUAUAUUUUGUUGUAUGAGAUGAUCAUGUUUUGUAACCGAGUUAUUGGCAACUGGCAGGAGCCAUAUGGUUGUCGCUUUAUUGUAUGAAAUGCAAUCGCCAUGUAAUUGGUUUACUUUAUCACUAAGUGGUAGCGAUAUUCGUAAAAGCAAUAGUUGGCGAGACGACAACGAUGCUACGAUGGAGAUCAAGGUGUCGAGCCAGUGACGAUGGUGAUCAUGACGGUGCUUCGGAGAUGGAGAUCCCAAGCACAAGAUGAUGAUGGCCAUAUCAUAUCACUGAUAUUGAUUGCAUGUGAUGUUUAUCUUUUAUGCAUCUUAUCUUGCUUUGAUUGAUGGUAGCAUUAUAAGAUGAUCUCUCACUAAAAUUUCAAGAUAAAAGUGUUCUCCCUGAGUAUGCACCGUUGCGAAAGUUCUUCGUGCUGAGGCACCACGUGAUGAUCGGUGUGAUAGGCUCUACGUUCAAAUACAACGGGUGCAAGACAGUUUUGCACACGCGGAAUACUCAGGUUAAACUUGACGAGCCUACCAUAUGCAGAUAUGGCCUCGGAACACGGAGACCGAAAGGUCGAGCGUGAAUCAUAUAGUAGAUAUGAUCAACAUAGUGAUGUUCACCAUUGAAACUACUCCAUCUCACGUGAUGAUCGGACAUGGUUUAGUUGAUUUGGAUCACGUAAUCACUUAGAAGGAUUAGAGGGAUGUCUAUCUAAGUGGGAGUUCUUAAGUAAUAUGAUUAAUUGAACUUGAAUUUAUCAUGAACUUAGUCCUGAUAGUUUUUUGCAAAUUAUGUUGUAGAUCAAAAGCUCGCGUUGUUGCUUCCCUGUGUUUAUUUUUGAUAUGUUCCUAGAGAAAAAUUAUGUUGAAAGAUGUUAGUAGCAAAGAUGAGAUUGGAUCCGUGAUCUGAGGAUUAUCCUCAUUGCUGCACAGAAGAAUUAUGUCCUUGAUGCACCGCUAGGUGACAGACCUAUUGCAGGAGCAGAUGCAGACAUUAUGAACAUUUGGCUAGCUCAAUAUGAUGACUACUUGAUAGUUUAGUGCACCAUGCUUAACGGCUUAGAAUCGGGAUUUCAAAGACGUUUUGAACAUCAUGGACCAUAUGAGAUGUUCCAGGAGUUGAAGUUAAUAUUUCAAGCAAAUACCCGAGUUGAGAGAUAUGAAGUCUCCAACAAGUUCUAUAGCUAAAAGAUGGAGGAGAAUCGCUCAACUAGUGAGCAUGUGCUUAGAUUGUCUGGGUACUACAAUCGCUUGAAUCAAGUGGGAGUUAAUCUUCUAGAUAAAAUAGUGAUUGACAGAAUUCUCUAGUCACCAUCACCAAGUUAGUAGAACUUCGUGAUGAACUAUAGUAUGCAAGGGAUGACGAAAGUAAUUCCUGAGCUCUUCGUGAUGCUGAAAUCGACGAAGGUAGAAAUCAAGAAAAACAUCAAGUGUUGAUGGUUGACGAGACCACUAGUUUCAAGAAAAGGGCAAAGGGAAGAAGGGGAACUUCAAGAACGGCAAGCAAGUUGCUGCUCAAGUGAAGAAGCCUAAGUCUAGUCCUAAGACUGAGACUAAGUGCUUCUACUUCAAAGGGACUGGUCACUGGAAGCGGAACUACCCCAAGUAUUUGGUGGAUAAGAAGGAUGGCAAAGUGAACAAAGAUAUAUUUGAUAUACAGAUUAUUGAUGUGUAUUUUACUAGUGUUCGUAGCAACCCCUCGGUAUUAGGUACUGGUUCAGUUGCUAAAGAGUAGUAACUGGAAACGGGAGUUGCAUAAUGAACAGAAACUAGUUAAGGAUGAAGUGACGAUGUGUAUUGGAAGUGGUUCCAAGAUUGAUAUGAUCAUCAUCGCACACUCCCUAUACUUUCGGGAUUAGUGUUGAACCUAAAUAAAUGUUAUUUGGUGUUUGCGUUGAGCAUGAAUAUGAUUUGAUCAUGUUUAUUGCAAUAUGGUUAUUCAUUUAAGUUAGAGAAUAAUUGUUGUUCUUUUUACAUGAAUAAAACCUUAUAUGGUUACACACCGAAUGAAAAUGGUUCGUUGGAUCUCGAUCGUAGUGAUACACAUAUUCAUAAUAUUGAAGUCAAAAGAUGCAAAGUUAAUAAUGAUAGUGCAACUUAUUCGUGGCACUGCCAUUUAGGUCAUAUUGGUGUAAAGCGCAUGAAGAAACUCCAUGCUGAUGGGCUUUGGAAUCACUUGAUUAUGAAUCACUUGAUGCUUGUGAACCAUGCCUUAUGGGCAAGAUGACUAAAACUCCGUUCUCCGGAACGAUGGAGCGAGCAACUGACUUAUUGGAAAUAAUACAUACUGAUGUAUGCGAUCCGAUGAGUGUUGAGGCUCGCGGCGGGUAUCGUUAUUUUCUGACCUUCACAGAUGAUUUGAGCAGAUAUGGGUAUAUCUACUUGAUGAAACAUAAGUCUGAAGCAUUUGAAAAGUUCAAAGAAUUUCAGAGUAAAGUGGAAAAUCAUCGUGACAAGAAAAUAAGGUUUCUACGAUCUGAUCGCAGAAACAAAUAUUUGAGUUACGAGUUUGGUCUUCAAUUAAAACAAUGUGGAAUAGUUUCGCAAAAUUCGUGCCACCUGGAACACCACAGCGUAAUGGUGUGUCCGAACGUCAUAACGUACUUUAUUGGAUAUAGUGCAAUCUAUGAUGUCUCUUACCGAUUACCACUAUCGUUUUGGGGUUAUGCAUUAGAGACAGCUGCAUUCACGUUAAACAGGGCACCGUCAAAAUCCGUUGAGGCGACACAACAUGAACUAUGGUUUGGCAAGAAACCAAAGUUGUCGUUUCUUAAAGUUUGGGGUUGCAAUGCCUAUGUGAAAAGGUUUCAUCCUGAUAAGCUCAAACCCAAAUCGGAGAAAUAUGUCUUCAUAGGAUACCCAAAGGAGACAGUUGGGUACACCUUCUAUCACAGAUCCGAAGGCAAGUCAUUCGUUGCUAAGUAUGGAUCCUUUCUAGAGAAGGAGUUUCUCUGGAAAGAAGUGAGUGGGAGGAAAGUAGAACUUGAUGAGGUAACUGUACCUGCUCCCUUAUUGGAAAGUAGUUCAUCACAGAAACCAGUUUCUGUGACGCCUAUACCAAUUAGUGAGGAAGUUAUUGAUGGUGAUCAUGGAACUUUAGAUCAAGUUAUUACUGAACCUCGUAGGUCAACCAGAGUGAGAUCCGCACCAGAGUGGUACGGUAAUUCAGUUCUGGAGGUCAUGUUACUUGACCAUGACGAACCUAUGAACUAUGAGGAAGCGAUGAUGAGCCCAGAUUCCGCAAAAUGGCUUGAGGCCAUGAAAUCUGAGAUGGGAUCCAUGUAUGAGAACAAAGUGUGGACUUUGGAUGACUUGCCCGAUGAUCGGCAAGCCAGAGAAAAUAAAUGGAUCUUUAAGAGGAAGACGGACACUGAUAGUAGUGUUACUAUCUACAAAGCUAGACUUGUCGGAAAAAGGUUUUUGACAAAGUUCAAAGUGUUGAAUACGAUGAGAUUUUCUCACUCGCAGCGAUGCUUAAGUCUGUCCGAAUCAUGUUAGCAAUUGCCGCAUUUUAUGAAAUCUGGCAAAUGGAUAAACAAAACUGCAUUCCGUAAUGGAUUUAUUAAAGAAGAGUUGUAUAUGAUGCAACUAGAAGGUUUUGUCAAUCCUAAAGGUGCUAACAAAAUAUGCAAGCUCUAGUGAUCCAUCUAUGGACUGGUGCAAGCAUCUCGGAGUUGGAAUAUACGCUUUGAUAAGUUGAUCAAAGGAUAUAGUUUUAUACAGACUUGCGGUGAAGCCUGUAUUUACAAGAAAGUGAGUGGGAGCACUACAGCAUUUCUGAUAAGUAUAUGUGAAUGACAUAUUGUUGAUCGGAAAUAAUGUAGAAUUAUUCAGCAAAGCAUAAAGGAGUGUUUGAAAGGAGUUUUUCAAAGAAAGACCUCGGUGAAGCUGCUUACAUAUUGAGCAUCAAUAUCUAUAGAUGUAGAUCAAGACGCUUGAUAAGUUUUUUCAAUGAGUACAUACCUUAAUAAGAUUUUGAAGUGGUUCAAAAUGGAACAAUCAAAGAAAGAGUUUCUUGCCUGUGUUACAAGGUGUGAAAUUGAGUAAGACUCAAAGCCUGACCAUGGCAGAAGAUAGAAAAAGAAUGAAAGUCAUUCCCUAUGCCUCGGCCAUAGGUUCUAUAAAGUAUGCCAUGCUGUGUACCAGAUCUAUUGUAUACCCUACGCUGAUUUUGGCAAGGGAGUACAAUAGUGAUCUAGGAGUAGAUCACUAGACAUUGGUCAAAAUUAUCCUUAGUGGAAUAAGGAUAUGUUUCUCGAUUAUGGAAGUGAUAAAAGGUUCGUCGUAAAGGGUUACGUCGAUGCAAGUUUUGACACUAAUCUAGAUGACUCUAAGUCUCGGUCUAGAUAUAUAUUGAAAGUGGGAGCAAUUAGCUAGAGUACCUCCGUGCAGAGCAUUGUAGACAUAGAAAUUUGCAAAAAUACUUACGGAUCUGAAUGAGACAGACCCGUUGACUAAAAUUAUCUCACAAGCAAAACAUGAUCACCUUAGUACUCUUUGGGUGUUAAUCACAUAAGCGAUGUGAACUAGAUUACUGACACUAGUAAACCCUUUGGGUGUUAGUCACAAGACGAUGUGAACUAUGGGUGUUAAUCACAUGGUGAUGUGAACUAUUGAUGUUAAAUCACAUGGCUAUGUGAACUAGAUUAUUGACUCUAGUGCAAGUGGGAGACUGAAGGAAAUAUCCCCUAGAGGCGAUAAUAAAGUAUUAUUUAUUUCCUUAUUGACCCAUCGAAAAAGGCAUCAUUGGCGGGGGCGAAGCCGGCGCGCCGCCCAGUUCUCCUCUUCCUCGAAGCACUACGACCUCUGCCCCGGCCUCGCCCACGGCCUCACCCCCUCCCCCUUCCCCUCGCGUCCGGCUCCACCACCGCGGGCUCAGAGGGGGAGGGACGCGCUGUCGAGCAGCGAACCUCGCCGCCACCGGCGAAGGACCAGGAUUCCCUUUCUCCAUGGCGGGUGAAAGGAAGAAGCGGAAGCAGGAGGACAUAGAUGACAGCAGAAUGUGGGAUGCCAUCCCCCCUUCCCCCUCCUUAUAAAGGGGCGGGGUCGGGGCUCGGCCGCCUCGCUCGGCCAAUCCAGCCACCAGAGGCGCAGGGAACCGGGACCGACCCGCUGCCCCAACCAGCAACGGCCCGGUUUCCCGCCUCCACCGCCUGCCACCCCAAGUGCAUGGAGGACGCGUGGCGAACAUGCAGAAUCGAGGGGACGGGUGAGGAGACCUCUCCCCACCCCGUAAUCAUGGGGUGUGGAUGCCUUGAAGACCGCGACCCGGCCCCGCGCGGUAAAUGAGCCGCACCUCCACGCCUCCCUCUUUUUAUGGGGAAGGCGCGAGCCGCCUCUUUACUACGAUGUGACGCAUGCGUGCAGGAACCGCCCCACGCAUGCUGCCCACGUCAUGCACACCCCGCCACGCCGCGCCACGCCGUGCGUGGGUCGUGAGAAGCGAAGCGCGCGAAAAGUUUUACCACGGUAAAAACCGCCCCGCCUGCCCGCGCAACGUUUUGGGCCUGGCCCAACAACGUGUCGCGCUUAUGUGUGGCCCAGGCCCGGGGGCUCCUAUCGGUGUACAAAAGGAGGGGCGCACUUUUGUACCCCUUUACCUGUGCACAGGCAGUCGGAGCCGUGCCCACGGUCACACCAAGCAGAACAGGGGAGGUGAGCCAAGGUAAGACCGGAGCCCAAGAUAACCAGAGCAACGCCAAGGCCAAGACCACAAAGAGCAGAGGGACGAAGCAGGUUCCCCUGACAAGACCCUUGCCGGGGCAGCCUCAGCAGCCCGGGCAAGACCCUUGCCGGGGCAGCUCGCCCCACACCAACAGAGCAAGCCACCCUUGAGCCCACGGUCCCCAACACCAUCAUCCACGUGGGGCCAGGUCUCGGGAGGCACCUCUGUGGUGGCAUGCAAAUCUUUGUGAAGACAUAUUCAAGAUCAGAUGAGGAUUAGAAGACAGCGAUCCUCGGCAAGAUCCUUACCGAGAAGAGCCAUAAGACCCCCGGCAAGAUCCUUGCCGGGGACGACAGUGCGCCAUGGCAAGACCCUUGCCGGGCCCCCCGGCAAGGCUCUCGCCGAAGACGCCAACAGGGCCACUGCCAGGCCCGCACUAGCCAAGUCUCCACCGCCGUUCGCAUGCAGCUGCCAGCCCAAACCAGCUGGGCAGGAACCUGCGUGGCAACAUGCAGCUUCCAGGCCAACUCAGCAGGUGCCUGCGUGGCGGCAUGCAGAUCUUCGUGAAGACCCUACCACCGCGCCACCUCAGCUGCCUGCCUGCCUACAUGGCACCGCACGCAUUGCUGGCCAGGGCGCGUGUCGAAGCGAGGAGGAGCGGCGACGGACGGGACGGGCCUCACCCCCGUCCUCGAUAAAGCUAGGGGACACCUCAGCGGCGCAUUAAAUGCGACUUGUCCUGUAAUACGAGCGAUAAGCUCGCAAUACUGUAUGCCUUUCCACCUCCUGUGUGCCACUGUGGCAGCCCCUUUCGACUAUAAAAGGAGGCCCAUGGCAUACUGGAGAAGGAUUCGGCUCUUUCGAACCACACGUUCAAUACACCCACCAAAGCAGGACUAGGAUUUUACGCAUCCUCGCGGCCCGAACCUGGGUAAACGAUCCUCGUGCUGGUUACUAAUCCUGCUCUUCUUGCAACCCCGCGCCCCGGCAACCGUAGUAGGGAUUCUUGUGAUCCCAUAGGUGUCGUUCCACACCGACAAUAUCCGUCUUCUGAUUCUCAUCUAGUCUUGUAUGUUCUUGGUCUUCACAAAGAUCUGCAUGCCACCACGGAGGCGCCUCCCAAGCUUUGGUUCCAAUGUGGUUGAGGACGUCGGAACUCUUUGGCUCAAGGCUAGCAGCCCUGCUAUCGUUGGGCGAGUUGCCCCAGCAAGGUGAUGUCUACUACGGAACCUUCUUCUUGUAGACGUUGUUGGGCCUCCAAGUGCAGAGGUUUGUAGAACAGUAGCAAAUUUCCCUCAAGUGGAUGACCUAAGGUUUAUCAAUCUGUGGGAGGCGUAGGAUGAAUUUGGUCUCUCUCAAGCAACCCUGCAACCAAAUAACAAAGAGUCUCUUGUGUCCCCAACACACCCAAUACAAUGGUAAAUUGUAUAGGUGCACUAGUUCGGUGAAGAGAUGGUGAUACAAGUGCAAUAUGGAUGGUAGAUAUAGGUUUUUGUAAUCUGAAAAUAUAAAAAUAGCAAGGUAACUAAUAAUAAAAGUGAGCACGAACGGUAUUGCAAUGCGUUGAAACAAGGCCUAGGGUUCAUACUUUCACUAGUGCAAGUUCUCUCAACAAUAGCUACUGGUACAUACCCUCAGCCUCAAGGGUGAACUACUCCCCCCUCGUCAUGGAGAGCGCCGAGAUGAUGAAGAUGGCCACCGGUGAGGGAUCCCCCCUCGGGCAGGGUGCCGGAACAGGGUCCCGAUUGGUUUUUGGUGGCUACAGAGGCUUGCGGCGGCGGAACUCCUGAUCUAGGUUAUGUUCUGGAGGUUUCUGUAUAUAUAACAGGUUUUGGUAUCCGGAACAAGUCAGGGGGGUCUCCAGGCUGUCCAUGAGGUAGGGAGGUGCGCCUAGGGGGGUGGGCAUGCCCCCACCCUCGUGGGCAAGCCGGGACUCUUCUGGCCCAACUCUUUUACUCCAUGGCCUUCUUUUGGUCCAAAAAUUAGUUCCGUGAAGUUUCAGGUCAAUUGGACUCCGUUUGGUUUUCCUUUUCUGCGAUACUCAAAAAUAAGGAAAAAACAGAAACUCGCACUGGGCUCUAGGUUAAUCGGUUAGUCCCAAAAAUCAUAUAAAAUAGCAUAUAAAUGCAUAUAAAACAUCCUAGACGGAUAAUAUAAUAGCAUGGAACAAUUAAAAAUUAUAAAUACGUUGGAGACGUAUCAAGCAUCCCCAAGCUUAAUUCCCGCUUGUCCUCGAGUAGGUAAAUGAUAAAACCAAAAUUUUUGAUGUGGAAUGCUACCUAACAUAUUUAUCAAUGUAAUCUUCUCUAUUGUGGCAAGAACAUUCAGAUCCAUAAGAUUCAAGACAGAAGUUUAAUAUUGACAUGAAAACAAUAAUACUUCAAGCAUACUAACAGAGCAAUCAUGUCUUCUCAAAAUAACAUGGCCAAAGAAAGUUCAUCCCUACAAAAUCAUAUAGUUUGGCUAUGCUUCAUUUUUGUCACACAAACAUGCUCUCAUCAUGCACAACCCAGAUGAAAAGCCAAGCAAUUGUUUCAUACUUUAGUAAUAUCAAACCUUUUUCAACUUUCAUGCAAUACAUGAGCGUGAGCCAUGGACAUAGCACUAUGGGUGGAAUAGAGUAUAAUGAUGGGGGUUGUGUGGAGAAGACAAAAAAGGAGAAAGUCUCACAUUAACGUGGCUAGUCAACGGGCUAGGGAGAUGCCCAUCAAUUGAUGUCAAUGCGAGGAGUAGGGAUUGCCAUGCAAUGGAUGCACUAGAGCUACAAAUGUAUGAAAGCUCAACAAAAGAAACUAAGUGGGUGUGCAUCCAACUUCCUUGCGCACGAAGACCUAGGGCAUUUGAGGAAGCCCAUUUUUGGAAUAUACAAGCCAAGUUCUAUAAUGAAAAAUUCCCACUAGUAUAUGAAAGUGACAAUAUAAGAGACUCUCUAUCUUGAAGAUCAUGGUGCUACUUUGAAGCACAAGUGUGGAAAAAGGAUAGUAGCAUUGUCCCUUUUUAUUUCUCUUUUUUUCUUUUUUUUCUCCUUCUUUUCUGGGCCUUCUUUUUUUGGCCUUUCUCUUUCUUUUGGGACAAUGCUCUAUUAAUGAUGAUCAUCACACUUCUAUUUAUUUACAACUCGAUACUAGAACAAAGUAUGACUCUAUAUGAGUGCCUCCGGCAGAGUACCGGGAUGUGCAAUGAAUCAAGAGUGACAUGUAUGAAAAAUUAUGCAGGGUGGCCUUGCCACAAAUACGACAUCAACUACAUGAUCAUGCAAGGCAAUAUGAAAAUGAUGAAGCGUGUCAUAAUAAAUGGAACGGUGGAAAGUUGCAUGGCAAUAUAUCUCGGAAUGGCUAUGGAAAUGCCAUAAUAGGUAGGUAUGGUGGCUGUUUUGAGGAAGAUAUAAGGAGGUUUAUGUGUGAUAGAGCGUAUCAUAUCACGGGGUUUGGAUGCACCGGCAAAGUUUGCACCAACUCUCGAGGUGAGAAAGGGCAAUGCACGGUACCAAAGAGGCUAGCAAUGAUGGAAAGGUGAGAGUGCGUAUAAUCCAUGGACUCAACAUUGUAAGUGCAUCUAGUGCCACCCCUAGUUCGUUUUGGAGUAUUGAUGACAAACCUGGUUGAGGGACUAAUGUGUUUGUGAGAACUGCAGGAUAACACAGGUAGUAGUCCCUCAUUGAUUCGGUUUACCUACCGGAGAUGACCCCUAAAAAUGUAUGAAGACAUUGAAGACGAUGGUGAUAUGUGAAGAUAUUCACAUUGAAGACUAUGACAAGAGAAGGCAUUGCGUGAAGACUAUGGAGCGCGAAGACCUAGUUGUUUUGUUGUUUCCUUUUCUUCUUUGUUGAGUCGUAGGAACCACCGUACUAUUAAGUGGGGUCCCAGUGAACAAAGUUAGAGUGACUGAAGUGAUGCUCAACCAAAAUCCUAUGUCUUCGAGUGAAGACAAUGAGAGCAAAUCUUAUCCAGAGCUGGAUGAGUCAGCUUUACUUGUAGCCCAAGUCAAGCUGUCGCGUGUGUUUGAAAUCUGACCGUUGGAACACGUCUUAGUUCCUUAGUGACCCAGGGUCAUUUCGGACAAAUCAGGUCGGGUUGCCUAGUGGCUAUAAAUAGCCCACCCCCUACACCAUAAAUUGGUGGCUGCUCAGAGUUAGUGCACGGCUUUUGUCGUUUGAGAGCAACCCACCUCCGAAGCUUUUGAGAGAGAGAAAUCCUUGCGAGGACAAAGCCCAAACACCCAGAGCCAAAGAGUGUUAGGCAUCACUGAAGUCUUUCUGUCCGCGUGACCUGAUGACUUGUUACACUUGAGGACUAUGAAUCCUCCAGCCGGUUAGGCGUCGCGUUCUGAGCAUCCAAGAGUCAUUGUGGAUCGCCGGUGACCGAAGUCUGUGAAGGUUUGGAAGUCUACCUUGAAGACGUACCAGAGUAAUUGGGCGAGGACUGGGUGUCCUUAGCUCAAGGGAAAUAAGGUGAAGACGCGGUCUUCUGAGUUAAAUCUCAGCCUCCCUAACCAGACGUACAGUUGUCACAACAACUGGAACUGGUCCAACAAAUCAUGUGUCCUCAACAAGUGACUGGUUCUAUCAUCUCCCUCUCUUUACUUACAGUUCGUGAAGUCAUUGCUUGUUUGCUUUACCUAUUUGUCUUCACUGUGUGACUUCUAUCGUUGUUUGGCUUCAUACCAUCUUCCAUCCUGAUCCGUACUACCUAGAUGCUAUUAGUCUUCGCACUUUCACUUCAUUGAAUACUUGACUAUGGCUUGCCUAGUGUAGUCUACCUUGCGCUGCAUAUCAAUAGGUUCAUUUCUAUUGUCUGUCUUCGAAACUCUCAUGUUUUGAAGACUUCCAUAAAAAUCGCCUAUUCACCCCCCCCUCUAGUCGAUAACUAGCACUUUCAAUUGGCAUCAGAGCAAGGUACUCCCUUGUUCUGUGUGAUUCGGUUUAACCACCUGGAGUUUUAGCUAUGUCGCCUGCAGGGAUAAUCAAAGUCUCCGCUGCUUGCCCCGUCUUCGAUGGAACUGAAUAUCCCUACUGGAAGAAUAAGAUGCGCAUGCAUCUUGAAGCCAUUGAUGUCGACCUCUGGUAUGUCGUCAAGAAUGGCGUUCCCAAGACUGGUGAAGGUGUCACCCCUGCUGAUGUCAAGAAGUUCAUUCAACUGGAUUCUACUGCCAAGAACAUCAUCUGUGGUCAUCUGACCAAAGGACAGUAUGGCCGUGUGAGUGCUCUAGAAACGUCGAAGCUAGUCUGGGACUGGCUCUCCAAGGUCAACGAAGGCGUCUCAACCCAGAGAGAUCAAAGGAUCAGUGUUCUUCGCAUCCUCUUCAACAGCUUCAAGAGAAACGAUAAUGAGAAUGUCCAGCUCAUGUUUGAUCGCCUCACUGACAUCACAAAUGAGCUUCAUGCUCUCGGCGCCACUGAGAUUACCAAGCAUGAAAUCGUCAAGACACUACUGAGAUCACUUGACAGCUCGUUCGACACCCUUGCCCUCAUGAUACAAGAACGCCCUGACUUCAAGACACUCGAUCCGUCUGAUAUACUUGAGAGGCUCAACACACAUGAGUUCCAGCUAUCUGAGAAAAGAGAUAUCUAUGGUCCCAACUACGGCCGAACUCGUGCUUUGAAGGCAAAAGUUGUUUCCUCAUCUGAAGAAGAAACUGACUACAGUUCUGAUGAUCCUGAAGACAUUGGAAAGGAACUUGCUAUGCUUGUGAAGAAGUUCCAGAAGUUCACUACGAAGAAGGGCUUCAGAAAGUAUUCACGAUCCAGCUCAAGAAAUGAUGAAGCUUCCACUCAUGUCUACAAGAAGAGAACAUGUCACAAGUGCAAGAAACCUGGACACUACAUCUCUGAGUGUCCACAGUGGGACAAUGAGAACAACAAGAAGAAGAAGAGCAAGGAAUAUGAUUCUGAUGACAAGAAGAAGAAGAAAUCCUCAUAGUCUUCUUCCAAGUCCUCAUCCAAGUCUUCAUCUCAUAAGAAGAGCUCAUCUGGCAAGGCUCGUGCUUUUGUCGGCAAGGAGAUGGAUUCAGAGGAGGAGUUUGCUUCUGAGGAGGCGGAGGUGGAGUCUGAGGAGGAGUCCGACCCUGGCGUUGCAAGUUUGGCUCUAGCUACAGCCUACGUUGCCAAGUCCAUCUUCAACACUGAAGACAAUGGCUCCGUCACCAACACUGAAGCUAAUGAUAAGGACGACUCUGCUCCCACCUACUGCUUCAUGGCACGUGGUGCCAAGGUAAAAUCACGCGAUGCUUAAUUUCAAACAUCUAGUGAAGAUGACUCUGAUUGUGAAUCCAAACCCAGCUACAAAACACUUGCUGAAAUUGCAACUGAACAACAGAAAGCUAUGGAACAUACUCAAAAACUGUUAGAUAAAAGCGAUGACCUGUUGGACACUGAAAUGACUCGUUCUCAGUCCUUAAUUGAAGACAUAAAAAAUCUUCAUGUUAAGUACCAGGAACUUGAAAGUCGUCAUGGAACGCUCUCAACAACUCAUGAAAAGCUCUCCUAUGAUUAUCUUCAAAGGAAGCAAGAGCUUGAGAAAUUGAGAGCGACUCAUGAAGAUCUUCAAAAAGAGAAUGAGUCACUUCGCGCUCAACAGAUCAGUUCCGCUCAGGAAGGAUUUGAACCACCAUGUCUAAAAUGCCUUGAGCGUGAUAACGCUACUUAUAUUGCUAAAUGUUCUACUGCUGCUACUGUUGCAAUAUCUUCAACUGCUGAUGUGGUAACUAACCCCUCUGCUGAGGAUACCUCUACUAUUGCUAAUGAAAAUGCUAGGUUGAAGACAUUGCUUGAAACAGGGAUGUACAAAAGUCUCAAAGGGCAUCAGACACUAUGCGAUGUCCUCAAAAAGCAGAUUCUAAACCGAAACCCUGGGAAAGAGGGUGUUGGGUUCGAGAGGAAAAUGAAUGUUGAUGGCUCCUACUAGAAGCCUGAGCAGUACCCCAAAACCACAUGGGUUGCUGCAAAGGGACCUUCAGUGGAUCCAUCCACCUUAUCUGGCUUCACCUGUGCUAACCCUAUUAUCAUUGAUGAAUCCUUUGAUGCAAACUAUAAACUGUUUAAGAAUCAGAAUGGUGAAGUGUUUGCCAGGUAUAUUGGUACUAACUGCAGGAAUGGGCCACCUAUGAAGAAGAUCUGGGUUCCCAAAAGUUGUCUUGAGAAUCUUCCUGUGAAUGUCAUCAUGACACCACCUGGGAAGAAGACAAAUCCCAGACCAAAGGCUUCAUAUGGUCCAAAGGCUUCAUACAGACAGAGGACUCACCUGAGUCAACCUAACGCCAAUGUUUUGCAGGGAAACCAUACUCAGACUUAUGAAUAUGAGCGUGUUUCUUCAAACCGCUAUGUUCAUAAGACUAAGAACUUUUCUGCUUAUUCAUAUGAGUAUCAUUCAUCUCCUGCAAGGCUAUUUGCUAGGGCUCCAAAGCCGAAGUUCUCAGAUGCUGCACUUAGACUCAUUGCUUCUAAGCCACCCUUGAAGAUGUGGGUGGUUAAGAAGAAUUAACUUUUUUUUGCAGGGAAAGGUCUCUAGCCGAAAAUCAAAGGCGUCUGAUGCUAUUGCUGGGGACCUAAAACAUCUUGUAGGGCGCAAGAUCAAAUUCCCAAAUGGUCUCACUAUGUAUUUUGUUCCUGAAUCGAUUGCCAAUCAUCCUAUCAGUCCUAAUCUUGAUCUGAGCUUUGAUAAUCCUCUUGCCCGUCAAAUGUUUAUGCUUCACAAUACUCUUGGUGAAGCCUAUCCCCCUAACUGUACUGUAGGGUAUGACACCUCAUGCUUCAGAAUGGAUUAUGGACAGCGGAUGCACUAAUCAUAUGACUGGUGAUCGAAGUCUUCUCAUGGACUCAACCUUACGUCCAUCUGACAAGAGUCACAUCACAUUUGCUGACACUGGUAAAAGCAAGGUAUUGGGUCUAGGUAGAGUGGCAAUCUCAAAGGAUCAGCACAUGGAUAAAGUGAUGCUUGUUGAAUCCCUUGGUUUCAACUUAAUGUCUGUCUCAAUGCUUUGUGACUUGAACAUGAUUGUGAUAUUUGGAAAAUAUCGUUGCCUUGUACUUAUGGAAUCUGACAAGUCUCUAGUCUUUGAAGGGUACCGGAAAGAUGAUCUAUACAUGGUGGAUUUCUCAGCAGGGCCAUAGCUUGUCGUAUGCCUUCUUGCAAAAGCUUCAGAGUGCUGGCUCUGGCAUCGGAGGCUAGGGCAUGCUGGCAUGAGGAACUUACACACUCUCGCAAAGAAGAAGCAUGUCAUAGGCAUCGAGGGCGUCAAGUUCAAGAAGGAUCACUUGUGCGGUGCCUGCGAAGCUGGAAAGAUGACUAGGGCCAAGCAUCCCUCGAAGACAAUCAUGACGACAUCUCAACCCUUCGAGCUGCUUCACAUGGACUUAUUUGGCCCUACUCACUACUCUACUCUCACUACAACUGCUUGUCUCUAUGGCUUCGUCAUUGUUGAUGAUUAUUCAAGAUAUACAUGGGUUCACAUAAUUCUCUACAAGACUGAAGUGCAGGAUGUCUUCAGACGCUUCGCCAACCGUGCCAUGAACAACUAUGGCGUCAAGAUCAAGCAUAUUAGGAGUGACAACGGCACAGAGUUCAAAAACACCGGCCGAUCUGUACUUGGAUACAUUAGGCAUCACUCAUGAGUUCUCAGCUCCGUACACCCCUCAGAAGAAUGGCAUCAUGGAGCGCAAGAACAGAACACUCAUUGAGAUGGCUCGGACGAUGCUUGAUGAAUACAAGACACCCAGAAAGUUCCGGCUUGAAGCUAUUGAUACUGCAUGCCAUGUCAUCAACCGUGUUUAUCUUCACAAGCUUCUGAAGAAAACAUCCUAUGAACUCCUCACUGGUAAGAAGCCAAAUGUCAGUUACUUCAGAGUAUUUGGUGCUAGGUGCUGGAUCAUGGAUCCACAUCACACUUCAAAAUUUGCACCGAAAGCACAUGAAGGCUUUAUGCUCGGUUACGGAAAGGACUCGCACUCCUACAGAGUCUUCAACCUCUUUCACUAUAAAGUGGUGUCACGACCGGUUUUCAAUAAAAUAAUUAUUGAGAGACCAAUCCCUUUUACGGACCAGUGAAGAAGAAUUCCUUCUCAAGGGUAGACAAUAUCUUGGUCACAGAAGAAAAUUACCAGGAGUACUGAAUAUAAUCCAAGGUUGAGCAGAGACUGCUCAACGGUUUAUUACAUGCACGCCCAUAAAACAUAACGGCGGGUAGGGUAGCAUAACUACUAACUCACGAUAACAACGGUGGUGGAAAUAUCAUAGCGGAGCGGGUGAUAUGACUCCUGAAGACUACAGCUCUUCGAGCGUCGGAGUGAAGCUCGAGGAGUUUUAUUACGAGUGGCGGAAGCGUAUGUAAUACAAGUGACCAAUAUCCAGGAUCGCACGGGACUGACUGGGACUCCUCUAGGCGUCGGACUCGCUAUCAAACUCUUCAUGCAAGAGAUCGCCUUCGUCAACAUCUGGCCAAAUCAACAAGCCAGGUGAGUACUAUGAAAGUACUCGCAAGACAGUUCGGACAUAAGAUAUAACAAAUGCAAGCAUGAUGCAUAUGAACAGGUUAACAAGUGCACUCAGACAUAGAGGUAAUAAUGCACGGGAAAUAAAGAGAAGUCGGGCGGUAGUCCUCCCGAAAUCCCAAAAAUAAAUACUGGGUGCCAAACGAGGGUCUGAAUGACUCCUCGAGAGGAAAAUGCAAGAAAUACAAUGCCGCAAAAAUACUGGGUGCCAAACGAGUGUCUGAAUGACUCCUCGAGAGGAAAAAUGCAAGAAUAACAAUGCCGCAGUCGGGCGUCAAAGCGACACCACAUAAAGGGCUUAUAUCAAAAGUAAAAAACAAACAUGCCAUAGUCGGUCGUCUGAGCGACAUCACAUAAAGGGCUUAUAUCAAAAGUAAAUAACAAACAUGCCACAGUCGGACGUCUGAGCGACAUCACAUAAAGGGCUUAUAUCAAAAGUAAAUAACGAACAUGCCACAGUCGGACGUCUGAGCGACAUCACAUAAAGGGCUUAUAUCGUAGCUCAAUAAUUUAGUAGCUCGAGAAUAUAAAUCAUUACAAGUACGAGACGAAGAAAAAGUUAGUCCAUCCACAGGAAUAACAAUUUAACUGGGUUUACCACUUGAGCUUGUUCACCGGGGAUAAAAUUCCACGAGGAUAGAUAUGGAAAAACUGAUCACUCUACUUGAUCAUGGACACGAUGAUUCGGAAGGAUUUGACUCUGCAGAGUUUGUACUUUAACCACAGCCAACGGAUUUCAGUAGUCACGGGGACUAGUUCCGUUUACGGUGUUUUGGAAGAAACACGUCUAACCAGUACACACCCAUUUAACAUUCCGAAGCCAGGGAUCACCCUCGGCAACGUUCAAGAAAAACCUUGAGACGGGGAGGCUACAACCUCGCGUAGCAUGGGAUCAAAUUUCUAUACGCGCGCUCUAAGGGGUGCCCCCCUCUCGGUCCCAACCAGAAACACCCAUGCCCCCUGACCGGAUGACUGGCUUUAAUCCAGGGCCAUGGAACCAUCAUCCCGGCCCCUCUGUUUGGUGUGUACACGGAAAGAGGUUACCAACUUACUAAACCGCAUUCUGGCAGAAAACAUGUGGUAGCACGGAAGGGGGAAGGACGAUAACGUGACUCCGUCCAUGUUAACGUCGGAGUUUGUCGGAUGACGCAAGGCUGGUAUGCUACAACAGUACCACCUUGCUGCCCUUCAUGUCACCACAUGAUUAGGCCAUCUCUCACCAGAGAUCAUCGCAACUUUGGAACAUGCGGGUCGUUGCCUCACAAGCAACGAGGUACUCACUGACACUCAUAUGCCACGCACAACCUCUCACGCAAACAUGCAAAACAUCUAUCAUAUCAAAGGUUCAAACAUGCUUGCCUGGUUCGGAGAAGUCGGAGUCUAGCUCGGCGAAGUUCGCGGCUCCGUCACCUCUCCCGCAACCUACGGCAUAACGAAAACAGGCACUAACGUGAAAACCAACGUGUGCAUUAAAAUUGUUCCAAAAAAUUUCCAAAUAAAUCCCAUAAAAAACUAGACAAAAUUAUAAGACUGUCAGAAAAAGAAUCACUCAAAAAUCACUUUUUAUUUAAAAGUUAUAAGGGUUUCUGUCCAGGGACUCAUCUGUAAUGAAACAGAAAAGUUCCAGGGGUUAAACUGAGAAAAUAGAAAACGCUUCGGAAAGAAAUGCGCAAGCCCACAGAGAAAACAUAUUCUGCCCGAAGGCGCCAACGGAAAACGGUUCGCGGGGGAAAGAAAGAGAGGCUGACAGGGGGGGUCCACAUGUCAGGUUUAAAAAGUUCGCCGGCGCCCGAAGACUGCGGUGGUCGCCGGCGUCGAACCACGGCGAGACAGGGUGAUCGGAGUGUACCAAGAGCUUCAGCGUGUCCUUCCGCGUCGGUGGGUGGUGGACUCGAUCGUCGGAGAGCACCACGUCGACGGCGACACUUUCUCCGGCGGACGGCGGCUCGGGCGAUGGUGGGGAUCUCCGGUGGAGUGCUGCAAACUUUGAAUUGAAGCGCGGGUUAGAUGGAGGGUUGCAUUAGAGGGUUACUGGCAAGAGAUGGGAGGCAGGGGUGCGCGCACGGGAGCGAAUCGAGCUGGAUCCCGUGGCGGGUCGCGGCGGCCGGAGUUGAGGAAGGAGACUUCCUCGGGGCUCUCCCAGUGGCUAGGCAGGGUCUAGGUGGAGUGUAGAGGUGGUGUGGGUGCUAGCUGGAGCUCGGGGCCUCUAUUUAUAGGCGGCCCGAGGGUAUGGCCGUGAACGGAGUUGCUCCGGCGAGCAAUUACGGCGAGGCAGUGGUUGAGCAGGGGGUUUGAGUGGCCAGGCAGCAUCAGUGAGGUGUGCUGGUGCUGUUCCACUGCUAAACUCGGUCGGUCUUGGCGUAAUGGCGUCGGUCCACGGUGGGGUGGCCGCACGGGCACGACGGCGGCAGAGAGCGCGCUCCGCGCCCAGCGGUUCACGACGAGAGUGGUAGCGCGUUCUGGGGAGUGGAAGACCACGCGGCGAUCUCCGGUAGCUUGGGCGGCGUUGGGUGGUGCCGUCUGCGCCGCGCCUCUCUCUGGCGGCCGCAAAGCCGCCGCUGGCGUCGGUCACGGGGUGGCGCACCACCUCCUGCUCGUCACCGACGUCCGCAAUGCUCCAGGGGAUCGUGCGGUGCAGAGACAAGGGGAAGGGGACAGGGAGCGAGGCGACACCAGGGUACUGGCGAGAUUGAGAUCGAACACUGAAGAAAACGACAGUGGUUUCAGACACUAUUAACUGAACUUGACUGAACUUGAUAGCAACAGUGUCCAGCAGGUGUUCGACGAAAUGAUUUGGCAUGAAGAAAAAUUUUCCUGGGGUUGGGACUUGGUGAGGUGACCUCUCAAUGCACCCAGGGGUUGCCUGAUUUUUCCCAGAAUUUUUGGAGAAGGAUUUGAAUGAAUUUCAUCAAAUUUGGCAAAUCUGGUCCAAACUUGCAGCAAGUAUAGUUUGAAAAUUUUGAACUGAAGACCAGUGGAUCUUCAUGGAUCCAGGUUGAGGGUUCAGAGGACUAGGAUGGGGAAAAGGUUUGGAGGCAAAAAUCAAAACGGAAGUGGUAGCUCCUUUGUAAAUCUCCAAUAGCUAGAAUAGAAGGCAGAAAUUGUUUUGAUAAGAUUUAAAUGGAAAAUAAUCAUAUGGGGAGGUUGAACUUGCUGGAUUUGAUGCAAAUCAUGAUCCCAAGAUGAGGGAAGGUUUGUGGGAGUGGAUUUCCACUUAGGUCAUGGCAAGAGAGAUUUUUUUUGAAAGGGGCAAAAGAUCACUUCAAAAUGCCAUGGGGCUAUUUAAAAGAUUUUUCAAAAGAAAUUUCCCAAGUGAAAAGCAUUUGGUUUUGAGUCCAAAUAAAAGGAAAAACCUCCAAGACCAAAAAUCAAGUCUUGGGUGAAUCCAAAUAGAACACUUGCCAUAAAAGAAAAUAUUUGAGAGGGUGAUUCUUUAGAAGAAAAUUUAAAUACCCUCCUCAAAUAAAAGUUUGAAAGUUUGAAAAAUCCAAUUAAAAAUUUUGGGUGUCACAACACCUACCCCCUUAGGAAAAAUCUCGUCCUCGAGAUUUCUGCUGAUCCUCAAAUAGAUAUGGGUAUUCUGCCCGAAGAAAAUCUUCUCUUUCCCAAGUAGCUUCAUCCUCAGUGUGGUUGCUCCACUGAACCCUGAAAAAUUUUGUUGUUUUCUGACGGGUCCUCGUUUCAGACUCUUCCAAGAUCUUUACUGGUCAUUCUCUGUAGGUGAGAUCUGGCUGCACAUCGAUGCUCUCAUGGGGUACAUGCUUCUCCGGGUUACUUACACAUUUUCUCAAUUGAGAGACGUGGAACACAUCGUGGACGUCUGAUAGUUCCUUGGGUAGGUCUAGUUUGUAAGCUACUGUGCCUCUUCGUGCAGUCACACAGAAUGGUCCAAUAAAUCUCGGGGCUAGCUUCCCUUUAAUUUUGAACCGCUGUAGGCCCCUCAUAGGAGAUACUCGUAGGUAUACGGAGUCACCAGGUUCAAAGCUGACCUCACGAUGUUUUUGAUCGUAAUAGCUCUUUUGUCGGCUUUGUGCUGUCUUGAGUCUGUCCCUGAUCUGUUUAACCCUCUCCUCGGCCUUCUUGAGCAUGUCUGGGCCGAAGAUACGACUGUCACCCGUUUCUGACCAAUUCAGAGGGGUACGGCACCUCCGUCCGUACAAUGCUUCAAAGGGUGCCAUUUGUAAGCUGGCUUGGUAACUGUUGUUGUAACCAAACUCGGCGUAUGGCAAACUUUCUUCCCAACUGGAUCCAUAGGUGAGCACACAGGCUCUCAGCAUGUCCUCUAAGAUUUGGUUUACAUGUUCCGUUUGCCCAUCAGUCUGAGGGUGGUAUGCUGUACUGAAAGCUAGUUGCGUGCCCAGAGUUUGUUGCAGGUGAUCCCAGAAUUUAGAGACAAAUUGGGUGCCUCGGUCGGAUAUUAUAGUCUUUGGGACUCCAUGCAAACAAACUAUACGGGAGAGAUAAAGCUUGGCUAGCCUUUGAGUGGAGUAGGUUGUCUUCACGGGAAUGAAAUGGGCUACCUUGGUUAGCCUGUCUGUGAUGACCCAAAUGGCAUCAUUUCCGCGUUGCGAUCGAGGUAGUCCGACAAUAAAGUCCAUCCCAAUCUCAUCCCACUUCCAUUCAGGUAUCCUGUUUGGUUGCAGCAGUCCCGCUGGCUUUUGAUGCUCGGCUUUUAUGCGUUGACAUGAAUCGCAACAAUCAAUAAAUGCGGCUAUAUCCCUUUUCAUACCGUGCCACCAAAAUCUUUCCUGCAGGUCUUUGUACAUUUUGGUCCCUCCAGGGUGGAUCGAGUAUGGAGCGGUGUGGCUCUCGGUUAGGAUUUGUUGCUUGAGUCCCUCAUCGUCAGGUACGCAAAGUCUGUCUCCGUACCAUAAUAUUCCUUCAUUGUCUGUGACGAACUCGGAUGCUUUGCCAAGACUCAUUUUUCUCUUUAUACCUUCGAUGCUGGGAUGCCCCUGCUGGGCCUUCUUAAUUUGUUCCAUAAGGGUGGGAUGUAUCUCCAGAUUUGAUAUGGUGCCCUCAGAGACUAACACCAUGUUGAGUCUAGUGAACUCUUGUUGAAACUCAGGCUUCAAGUUUUGUGGGCCGUCGUUGUCCGGGCUGGGGUUUCGACUAAGGGCAUCGGCCACUACAUUUGCUUUCCCUAGAUGGUAGUGAAUACCGACAUCAUAGUCCUUGACCAAUUCCAACCAGCGUCAUUGGCGUAAGUUUAGCUCUGGCUGUGUGAAAAUAUAUUUAAGGCUCUUAUGGUCCGUAUAUAUUUCAUAAUGAUUUCCCAACAGAAAGUGCCUCCACUCCUUGAGUGCAUGUAUGACUGCUGCUAGCUCCAAGUCAUGUGUUGGGUAAUUUUCCUCAUGUUUCCACAGUUGCCUGGAGGCAUACGCGACAACUUUGCCAUCCUACAUCAGCACACAUCCGAGACCCUUCCGGGAUGCGUCACAAUAUACUUCGAAACUCUUGUGUAUGUCUGGCACAGUUAAGACUGGUGCGGUUGUUAGCUUCCUCUUGAGUUCUUGGAAGCUUUUCUCGCAUGCUUCCGUCCAUACAAACUUCUUUUCUUUCUUGAGCAACUGGGUUAUUGGUUUUGCCACAGUGGAGAAUCCUUCAAUAAAUCUCCGGUAAUAUCCAGCCAUUCCUAGGAAACUCCGUACAUCUGUCACGUUGGCUGGUGGCUUCCAGUCAAGUAUGGCUUUGACCUUUUCUGGGUCUACGGCUAUGCCUUCUUGGUUCAAUAUAUGGCCCAGAAAACCAACUUGUCUUAGCCAAAAUUCACACUUGCUAAAUUUGGCGUACAAUUGGUGUUUCCUUAGUUCUCCCAAAACGAUUCUGAGAUGCUCAGCAUGCUCUUCUGGUGUUCUUGAAUAAACCAGAAUAUUGUCAAUGAACACCACAACAAAUUUGUCCAUAAACUUCAUGAAUACUUUGUUCAUGAGGUGGACGAAAUAAGCGGGGGCGUUCGUCAAUCCAAACGGCAUUACUGUGAACUCAUAUAAUCCGUAUCUGGAAGUGAAUGCUGUCUUAGGGAUAUCUUCUGUCCGUACUUUCAAUUGAUGGUAUCCCGAUCUCAAAUCAAUUUUUGAGAACACCUUGGCUUGAGCGAGCUGGUCAAACAAAUCAUUUAUCCGUGGCAUCGGGUAUUUGUUUUUGAUGGUGACCAUAUUGAGAGCUCGAUAGUCUAUACACAAUCUCAGUGUCCCAUCCUUUUUCUUGGCGAAUAAAACUGGCGAACCCCAAGGUGAGGAGCUGGCUCGAAUAAAUCCUUUGUCCAACAACUCCUUUAUCUGCUUCUUCAAUUCUACCAAUUCUGAGGGUGCCAUCCUGUAAGGUUUCUUAUAGAUGGGAGUGGUGCCAGGUGCUAGUUCAAUGAUGAACUCAAUCUCUCGGUCUGGUGGCAUGCCUGGUAGUUCUUCGGGAAAUACGUCAGGAAACUCGCAUACCACUGGAACUUUUCUCAAUUCUGAAAUGUCCACUUUGUUCAAUUUUGGUUGCCGUGACCGUGGUCUUUCUUGAGCUGUAACUUUUAUCAUCUUGCCGUGAUGAUGAGUGAGAAUCACAGUCCGAUUGAAACAGUCAUGAAUCCCUUGUUGGUGGUCAGCCAGUCCAUCCCUAAAAUGACAUCCAGUCCUUUAUUUUCCAACACGAUGAGGUUUGCUUGGAACGGUAGUCCUUCGAACUCAAUGAUUAAUCCUUGACAGUAACUCUGAGUGAUUUGCUUAUUUCUGGGGGACUUGAUGAUCAUAGAUUUUUCCAAGGGAAGUAUCGGAAAACCAUGUUGCAAAACAAAACUCUUCGAAACGAACGAAUGGGAAGCUCCAGAAUCAAACAAAACCGUGGCAGGUACUGUGUUGACAGGGAACGUACCAAGCACGAUGUCUGGGGCAUUCUGGGCUUCUUCUCUUGUCACAUGGUUUAGGUGACCCUUCCUGUGGUUGUUGCUGGGGUUGAAAUUGUUGCGCUUGGGGGCUGGAUUAUUCCCACCAUUGUUCGGCUUGGGGGCCGAGUUCCUUGGCUUUGGACACUGUUUGGCAUAGUGCCCUUCUUCACCACAAGCGUAGCAAGUGACCCCUGGACGGUACGUGAAAUCCUUGUCCCUUGGAUGAAACUGUUUGACUGGCCUUGGAUCAGUAGUCGUGGAUUUCCUUGCUUCAGUCCUCGGGACCUCAGUCCUACUUCGGUUGUUGUGAGCAAGAGUCGUCUUGUCCCUCUUUCGCUUACGGAUAUCCUCCAGACUACGGCGCUCAUUCUCCAAGGUAAUGGCCUUGUCCACCAGAGUUUUAAAAUCUGGGAAAGUGUGUACGACCAGUUGGCAUUUUAGUGCCGGCGCCAGGCCGUCCAAGAAUUUCUCCAUCCUCUUGUUCUCAGUCAUAUGCUCGUCGUAGGCAUAACGAGAUAGCUGGGUAAACUGACCGUUGUAUUCUGUCACUGACAUGCCUCUUUGCUUGAGGUCAUCAAAUUCUCUUUUCUUGAGUUUUAUGAUGCUCCUGGGGAUGUGCGCCCCACGAAAGCCUUCCUUGAACUCUUCCCAGGUGAUGUUGUGUUCCCUGGGAUGCAUGUGUAGGAAGUUUUCCCACCAUGCUGCAGCUGCUCUAGUAAGGUAAUGUGGUGCAUAAAGCACCUUCUCAUGAUCUGAACACCGAGCAAUAAUCAGUUUCCUUUCGAUGUCACGAAGCCAAUCAUCGGCUUCAAGUGGCCUAUCGCUGUGGGCAAACGUUGAAGGGCGAGUCUUCUGUAACUCAGACAACUUGGAGUGUGGCUGGUACGGCUCACGGUGGUUUCCCAUAUUGAUGACGUGGUUCAUCAUCUCUUGGUGUUGCUGUUGGCUUUGUUCAAACAGGUGGCAUACUUGAGAUAAGGCGGCCUCACUGUCUUGUUGACUAGACUGUCCCUGAGUGAAGUUGUUGCUGGUCUGAGUCCCAAAUACUUCUUCUGGCUGAUUGGGCAUGGAACGAGACCAUGGACGGGAUAUUUUCCACUCUGGGGGUAUUAUUUGCAAAAAUCAUGAGAAGAACUGCGAGGUGCAAGGAAAAUCUUGCAAAUACAAAAUUUUUAAAAGACCUCAAGAUUUUCAAGAAAACAUAAACAACUCUGCACGGAGAAGAGACGCUUAACACAAAUCUUACAGGCGAAACGCAAACAUACGAUACAGCACUCAGGAUGUGCGUACACAUUCCUGACAUGUUAUUAGCACGCCCUCUGGGGUGCAGCGAGCACAACUACUACAAACUAGCGUACAGAUAAAACACAUCAUACAGGCAGACAUAACGCGCGGCUACACGGCGCUCUCAGUCGGAGAUGGUGACGAUGUCCUUUCCCUUGCCGAGAGCAAGGCUCAGCGGCGCAGGAGAGUCAACCUCCACCUCCUCUCUAGCAGGCUCCCGGCGCGAAGCACUGCGCUGCGGUGAUGGCGCGGGUGCGACAGGCGGUAGUGCGGGUGCGGCAGGCGGUGCAGCUCUGACUGGAGUAGGAGCGAUGACUCGGUCGAACUCCUCAGUGGUAGGCAGACGGCGAGCAGUGGCUAAAAUGGCCGGUGCAUAAGAUGCUGAAGACGAGAUGAAAGUCAGAGGCGGUGCUGUGUGAAGAAGCUCCUUCCUGCAGGUAGGACCGCCCCGAACUAAGUCCAUCCGAGCAGCCACAAGAUCGUCCACGAGGUUGUCGAAAGAUUCCUCCAGAGCCUUGAGAUACUCCACAACCAUCUCGAUGGCUUCAUGUCGCUCUCCCCGAUGGCAGGCGAAUGCAUAGUGACAAGUGUAUGGCACAUGGCAUGGGAGGUAGCGGUAGCAACGAGUCUUCAUCACAGGAAGGAUGUCCCGAAGGCGAGCUAUCGCCUCACGGGCAGCCAUCUGCAUGGCAUGCCUCUCCGUAGGCAUGGCCCUUCCCACAAAACGGAAGUGGCGUGAUGCAGAACGUCCUCCCUUGAAUUUCACCACGGCCUGGUGCAUGGACACGUCGUCGCUGAGCAUGUGCUGGUAAAGCGUGAACUCCGGACGAGUCGCUGGCCCGAUCGCGAGCUUGGUGAUGGAAACGAGGAGCUUGACAAACCCCUCGGGCACUAUCGUGAACACUCGAGUCUCGCAGUUGCUGCCAGCCAUCUACAAAAGUAGGCAAAAAUUCUGAGUAGUCAAGUCAUAAAUUUUAUGAUGACCAACAGAAAAUUGCAAAAAUUGCAAAAAUGCUGAAAAAUCACAAAAGACGCUAAUAACCGAUUAGCGAUCGCACCUAGUGGCUUCCUACAGUCAGCCUGGCUCUGAUACCAAGCUUGUCACGACCGGUUUUUCAAUAAAAUAAUUAUUGAGAGACCAAUCCCUUUUACGGACCAGUGAAGAAGAAUUCCUUCUCACAGGUAGACAAUAUCUUGGUCACAGAAGAAAAUUACCAGGAUUACUGAAUAUAAUACAAGGUUGAGCGGAGACUGCUCAAUGGUUUAUUACAUGCACGCCGAUAAAACAUAACGGCGGGUAGGGUAGCAUAACUACUAACUCACGAUAACAACGGUGGUGGAAAUAUCACAGCGGAGAGGGUGAUAUGACUCCUGAAGACUGCAGCUCUUCGAGCGUCGGAGUGAAGCUCGAGGAGUUUUAUUGUGAGUGGCGGAAGCGUAUAUAAUACAAGUGACCAAUAUCCAGGAUCGCACGGGACUGACUGGGACUCCUCUAGGCGUCGGACUCGCUAUCAAACUCUUCAUCCAAGAGAUCGCCUUCGUCAACAUCUGGCCAAAUCAACAAGCCAGGUGAGUACUAUGAAAGUACUCGCAAGACAGUUCGGACAUAAGAUAUAACAAAUGCAAGUAUGAUGCAUAUGAAUAGGUUAACAAGUGCACUCAGACAUAGAGGUAAUAAUGCACGGGAAAUAAAGAGAAGUCGGGCGGUAGUCCUCCCGAAAUCCCAAAAAUAAAUACUGGGUGCCAAACGAGGGUCUGAAUGACUCCUCAAGAGGAAAAUGCAAGAAAUACAAUGCCGCAAAAAUACUGGGUGCCAAACGAGUGUCUGAAUGACUCCUCGAGAGGAAAAAUGCAAGAAUAACAAUGUCGCAGUCGGGCGUCAAAGCGACACCACAUAAAGGGCUUAUAUCAAAAGUAAAUAACAAACAUGCCACAGUCGGACGUCUGAGCGACAUCACAUAAAGGGCUUAUAUCAAAAGUAAAUAACAAACAUGCCACAGUCGGACGUCUGAGCGACAUCACAUAAAGGGCUUAUAUCAAAAGUAAAUAACGAACAUGCCACAGUCGGACGUCUGAGCGACAUCACAUAAAGGGCUUAUAUCGUAGCUCAAUAAUUUAGUAGCUCGAGAAUAUAAAUCAUUACAAGUACGAGACAAAGAAAAAGUUAGUCCAUCCACAGGAAUAACAAUUUAACUGGGUUUACCACUUGAGCUUGUUCACCGGGGAUAAAAUUCCACAAGGAUAGAUAUGGAAAAACUGAUCACUCUACUUGAUCAUGGACACGAUGAUUCGGAAGGAUUUGACUCUGCAGAGUUUGUACUUUAACCACAGCCAACGGAUUUCAGUAGUCACGGGGACUAGUUCCGUUUACGGUGUUUUGGAAGAAACACGUCUAACCAGUACACACCCAUUUAACAUUCCGAAGCCAGGGAUCACCCUCGGCAACGUUCAAGAAAAACCUUGAGACGGGGAGGCUCCAACCUCGCGUAGCAUGGGAUCAAAUUUCUAUACGCGCGCUCUAAGGGGUGCCCCCCUCUCGGUCCCAACCGGAAACACCCAUGCCCCCUGACCGGAUGACUGGCUUUAAUCCAGGGCCAUGGAACCAUCAUCCCGGCCCCUCUGUUUGGUGUGUACAUGGAAAGAGGUUACCAACUUACUAAACCGCAUUCUGGCAGAAAACAUGUGGUAGCACGGAAGGGGGAAGGACGAUAACGUGACUCCGUCCACGUUAACGUCGGAGUUUGUCGGAUGACGCAAGGCUGGUAUGCUACAACAGUACCACCUUGUUGCCCUUCAUGUCACCACAUGAUUAGGCCAUCUCUCACCAGAGAUCAUCGCAACUUUGGAACAUGCGGGUCGUUGCCUCACAAGCAACGAGGUACUCACUGACACUCAUAUGCCACGCACAACCUCUCACGCAAACAUGCAAAACAUCUCUCAUAUCAAAGGUUCAAACAUGCUUGCCUGGUUCGGAGAAGUCAGAGUCUAGCUCGGCGAAGUUCGCGGCUCCGUCACCUCUCCCGGAACCUACGGCAUAACGAAAACGGGCACUAACGUGAAAACCAACGUGUGCAUAAAAAUUGUUCCAAAAAUUUUCCAAAUAAAUCCCGUAAAAAACUAGACAAAAUUUUAAGACUGUCAGAAAAAGAAUCACUCAAAAAUCACUUUUUAUUUAAAAGUUAUAAGGGUUUCUGUCCAGGGACUCAUCUGUAAUGAAACAGAAAAGUUCCAGGGGUUAAACUGAGAAAACAGAAAACGCUUCGGAAAGAAACGCGCAAGCCCACAGAGAAAACGUAUUCUGCCCGAAGGCGCCAACGGAAAACGGUUCGCGGGGGAAAGAAAGAGAGGCUGACAGGGGGGUCCACAUGUCAGGUUUAAAAAGUUCGCCGGCGCCCGAAGACUGCGGUGGUCGCCGGCGUCGAACCACGGCGAGACAGGGUGAUCGGAGUGUACCAAGAGCUUCAGCGUGUCCUUCGCGUCGGUGGGUGGUGGACUUGAUCGUCGGAGAGCACCACGUCGACGGCGACAGUUUCUCCGGCGGACGGCGGCUCGGGCGAUGGUGGGGAUCUCCGGUGGAGUGCUGCAAACUUCGAAUUGAAGCGCGGGUCAGAUGGAGGGUUGCAUUAGAGGGUUACUGGCAAGAGAUGGGAGGCAGGGGUGCGCGCACGGGAGCGAAUCAAGCUGGAUCCCGUGGCGGGUCACGGUGGCCGAAGUUGAGGAAGGAGACUUCCUCGGGGCUCUCCCAGUGGCUAGGCAGGGUCUAGGUGGAGUGUAGAGGUGGUGUGGGUGCUAGCUGGAGCUCGGGGCCUCUAUUUAUAGGCGGCUCGAGGGUAUGGCCGUGAACGGGGUUGCUCCGGCGAGCAAUUACGGCGAGGCAGUGGUUGAGCAGGGGGUUUGAGUGGCCAGGCAGCAUCAGUGAGGUGUGCUGGUGCUGUUCCACUGCUAAACUCGGUCGGUCUUGGCGUAAUGGCGUCGGUCCACGGUGGGGUGGCCGCACGGGCACGACGACGGCAGAGAGCGCGCUCCGCGCCCAGCGGUUCACGAUGAGAGUGGCAGCGCGUUCUGGGGAGUGGAAGACCACGCGGUGAUCUCCGGUAGCUUGGGCGGCGCUGGGUGGUGCCGUCUGCGCCGCGCCUCUCUCUGGCGGCCGCAAAGCCGCCGCUGGCGUCGGUCACGGGGCGGCGCACCACCUCCUGCUCGUCGCCGACGUCCGCAAGGCUCCAGGGGAUCGUGCGGUGCAGAGACAAGGGGAAGGGGACGGGGAGCGAGGCGACACCAGGGUACUGGCGAGAUUGAGAUCGAACACUGAAGAAAACGACAGUGGUUUCAGACACUGUUAACUGAACUUGACUGAACUUGAUAGCAACAGUGUCCAGCAGGUGUUCGACGAAAUGAUUUGGCAUGAAGAAAAAUUUUCCUGGGGCUGGGACUUGGUGAGGUGACCUCUCAAUGCACCCAGGGGUUGCCUGAUUUUUCCCAGAAUUUUUGGAGAAGGAUUUGAAUGAAUUUCAUCAAAUUUGGCAAAUCUGGUCCAAACUUGCAGCAAGUAUAGUUUGAAAAUUUUGAACUGAAGACCAGUGGAUCUUCAUGGAUCUAGGUUGAGGGUUCAAAGGACUAGGAUGGGGAAAAGGUUUGGAGGCAAAAAUCAAAACGGAAGUGGUAGCUCCUUUGUAAAUCUCCAAUAGCUAGAAUAGAAGGCAGAAAUUGUUUUGAUAAGAUUUAAAUGGAAAAUAAUCAUAUGGGAAGGUUCAACUUGCUGGAUUUGAUGCAAAUCAUGAUCCCAAGAUGAGGGAAGGUUUGUGGGAGUGGAUUUCCACUUAGGUCAUGGCAAGAGAGAUUUUUUUGAAAGGGGCAAAAGAUCACUUCAAAAUGCCAUGGGGCUAUUUAAAAGAUUUUUCAAAAGAAAUUUCCCAAGUGAAAAGCAUUUGGUUUUGAGUCCAAAUAAAAGGAAAAACCUCCAAGACCAAAAAUCAAGUCUUGGGUGAAUCCAAAUGGAACACUUGCCAUAAAAGAAAAUUUUUGAGAGGGUGGUUCUUUAGAAGAAAAUUUAAAUACCCUCCUCAAAUAAAAAUUAAAAAGUUUGAAAAAUCCAAUUAAAAAUUUUGGGUGUCACAAGUGGUUGAAACUGUGGAUGUGCGGUUCGAUGAGACUAACGGCUCGCAAAGAGAGCACCUGCCAAAUGUGCUAGAUGAAGUUCCACCCAGUGAAUCCAUCAAGCUAAUGGGAACUAGAGAAAUCAUACCGUCUGAAGCUCAGCCUGAAGAGGAACUUAUCAUUUCUGCACCUAAUCAACCUGAAGACAAUGCUCAGCCCGAAGACAAUCCUCCUAACAACGACAAUGAUCAGCAAGAGCAAAAUAUUCAUCCGGUUCAUCCUCGUGUUGCAAAUGAAGUACAGAUCAAGAAGAUAAUUGGCAGCAUCAAUGCGCCUGGUCCACUCACUCGUUCAAGAGCAACACAGCUAGCAAAUUUCUGUGGGCACUUUGCAUUUGUCUCAACAUCUGAACCCGAGAAAGUUGCUGAAGCCUUCGUGGGACCUGAAUGGAUUCAAGCUCUGCGAGAAGAGCUUCAACAGUUCAAGAUGAACAAUGUUUGGGAACUUGUCAAGCGUCCUGACCCCCGCAAGCACAACAUAAUAGGCACAAAAUGGAUAUAUCACAACAAACAAGAUGAGCAUGGUCAAGUUGUCAGAAACAAAGCUCGUCUCGUUGCUCAAGGAUACACUCAAAUUGAAGGGAUUGACUUCGAUGAAACAUUUGCUCCUGUGGCUAGGCUUGAAGCUAUUCGCAUACUGCUAGCCUAUGCUAACCAUCACAACAUCUUGCUGUAUCAAAUGGAUGUGAAGAGUGCAUUUCUCAACGGCAAGAUUGAAGAAGAAGUGUAUGUCGCACAACCUCCUGGCUUUGAAGAUCCAAAACAUCCUGAUAUGGUGUACAAGCUAAACAAGGCACUGUAUGGCCUCAAACAAGCCCCUCCCGCUUGGUAUGACACGCUCAAAGACUUCCUGAAGAGCAAAGGCUUCAAACUUGGUUCCCUGGAUCCCACACUCUUCACGAAGACAUAUGAUGGUGAACUGUUUGUGUGCCAAGUAUAUGUGGAUGACAUUAUCUUCGGCUGCACUAACCAGAAAUACAGUGAUGAGUUUGGACACAUGAUGCAAGAGCAAUAUCAGAUGUCCAUGAUGGGUGAGCUGAAGUUCUUCCUUGGUCUUCAAAUUUGUCAGCAAAGAAAUGGCAUCUUCAUAUCUCAAGAGAAAUACCUCAAAGAUUGUCUGAAGAAGUUUGGAAUGCAAGACUGCAAAGGUUACACGACGCCAAUGCCAACCAAGAGUCAUCUGGGUCCUGACACCAAUGGUAAAGAGUUCGAUCAAAAGUUAUACGGCUCCAUGAUUGGUUCUUUACUUUAUUUAUGUGCAUCUAGGCCAGAUAUUAUGCUUAGUGUUUGCAUGUGUGCUCGAUUCCAAGCGGCACCAAAGGAAUCGCAUCACUUAGUUGUGAAGCGAAUUCUUCGAUAUUUGGCUUACACCCCAACAUUAGGAUUAUGGUAUCCAAAGGGCUCAGAGUUUGAUCUAGUUGGAUUCUCGGAUGCUGAUUAUGCUGGUGACAAGGUGGAUGGCAAGUCUACAUCAGGCACAUGUCACUUUCUGGGAUGAUCACUUGUCUGUUGGUCUUCAAAGAAGCAGAACUGUGUAUCACUCUCCACUGUUGAAUCUGAAUACAUUGCUGCUGGAUCAUGCUGCGCUCAGCUUCUAUGGAUGAAGCAAACACUCAAGGACUAUGGCAUCCAUCUGAAACAAGUACCACUCUACUGCGACAACGAAAGCGCCAUCAAGACUGCCAACAACCCAGUUCAGCACUCGAAGACAAAGCAUAUUGAAAUUCGUCAUCACUUUCUCAGAGAUCAUGUCAUGAAGGAAGAUAUUGAUAUCAUACACGUAAACACUGAAGAGCAACUGGCAGAUAUCUUCACAAAGCCCUUGGAUGAGAAAAGGUUUUGCAAGUUACGGUGUGAGCUAAAUAUCUUGGAAUCCUCAAAUGUCAUGUGAUCAGGCACACAUCCUAACACUUAUGCAUGAUGAUGACUUAGAUGUGCAACACACGAAGUAAAGUAUAUCUUCAAUCAAUGAAGACUUACAUUCUAAGUGUGAAUACAUUAACGUGGAAUUUGACUUCGGAGCGCCACGAUAAUUGUGCGCCGUGUCUGGGUCUAAUACUUCCUAUACGGUGGGUAACGACACCACCAAAUUCUUCUGUUUGAAGUGUUUUUCUCAUGGCGUUACAUUUGCUAUGUCUUCGCAUUUGGUUUGUCUUCAAUUUCAAUUUGUCUUCAUGAUUAUCUUCACUAUGUUGAUUUGGUUGCAUUCUGAUAUAUACAUAUAUUAGUGUUCUGUCCUCUACAGCAUUCACUUAUUGCUAUGUCUUCUCGUUUGAAUCUUUUGAGCUAAGUGAAUGUGAUCGGACCCUAACCUCUCUAUGCUUCCUACCUCAAACUCUAUCUAUCCAAAUCAUAUGCAUUCUGUUGAAACUGUCGAAUGUCUUCUCUGCGUCCUUGUCAGCAGAAGAUACGGAGACAAACAUUAAAUCUGUUUUAAAUGUUCAAUUCUUAUUGCCUGAAACCCAGAGAAGCCGGAACGACCAUCCGACAGUCCAGGCGGGCGUGGGAACAUGGGACAACUCCCAAUGUGUUGCAUGUUCGCCACGUGUCCCUCAGAUGUGAACCGCCAGGGGUACCUGCGUAAUUGCGUUGUGCCGUCCCUUUCCCUAUAAAUACACAUCCAAUCGUGGUCAAAAUCCUUCUUCCACCUCUCCACCUCGACAAACCCUAGCGCCAUCGCUAGCUCUCGACGACGCCAGCGAUGAAGCGCUUAGCUGCCGCGACCUCUCCGACGCCGUCUUCACGCCGGCCGCGGACAUCGUCUUCUCCGCCGCCGCCAUAGGUGUCCUCCGUCGCCAAGUUAGGGCACAGAAGAUCGAACUGCUCGGCCUCAUCUUCUACUCCGUCUAGCAGUUCAUCGUGUGGUAAAUUAAAACCCUCUUUUUACCGUCUUUUUGAUCCUAUAGAUUCAUCCUUUUUUACCAAAAGUGGUUUCUGCCUCCCCAAAUUUGGAUCUAUCCUGUCUGCAUCUCAUAUAAUGCCUAGUAUAUUCACUUAUGCUUCACACAUAGUUGGAUUCCUCACUUGUACUUAUUCUUGGAUGCGUACAAAUCUAGAACCAACUCUCAACAUAUAAGUGAAUGUCUUCGCGCUAUGAGGUCAAUGUCUUCUAAACUGAUUUAUCUUCAAAAUCUUCUGAGAAUGCAUAUGACCUCUUCCCCUUCCCUCGCAUCUCUAAUGCUGUCACAGGUACAUGUCCGUGGGAGAAUCCCUUGGUCCUCAUAGUCUGCAUUCAUUUGCAGAAUUCUUACAGCAUCACAUCAACUCUCCCGAAGCCAGUUCCUGGCUGACCAGCAGACGGAAGCCUUUGACAGUGUUGAAGCCAUUCAGUCUGAACUUCAUGGCAACAGAGAAGUCUGCAAGGAAGGGUGGCAGACAGCGCCGUGGGAACACCUCAAGAGAUUUGCCUCCUGACCUCUAUGAGCUAUACAAGACAGAUCCAGAGGAGGACUAGAAUCAGCGAAAAACCCGAAUCCAAUGGAUUCGAAGAUAUUGGGCAGAACAAUGGUACAAGUACAGGUUCGUGACCCAGGAAUAUGCUGAGAAGAAUGCCAUCAAGCGACCAUGGGGAGACAUUUUGUACAAAAAUCUUCCACCUAGGUCCAGAGCUGAAGCCAUUGAACAAGGCUUCUACCCUUGCAUGGUCCGUGGACCACAGCCUGCAGAUGCCGACCCAUCUUCAUUGCUAUGGUGUCGUGACGACAAUUUGUUCAAGCGCAACUUCCAGUUUGCCAAGAACUCUGCCCAAGAAAACAAGAAAUCGCGGGGAUUAGACUUCAAUCCAGGCCCCUCUGCUCCUCGUGCUGAUGGCACCCGCGAAGCUGAACCCAAUCUUGUUGGGCCCUUCUACAACCUAGAAGGUCUCAUCACUCAUAUUAUGGUUCAAGGGACAGCCGUGGAUGAGCCUGCAGACGACGCUGAUUCUGACGAAGCGCCUGCACCACCGAAGCCAAAGAAGCUGAAGAAACCUAAAGCUUCGAAGCCUUCCCCUACACCAAUAGCUUCACGAGUGAAGCCUCUGGCCAUUGCUCCUCCUGCACCAAGUGUGCGGUCUGAAGAUCUCUCACGCAUCUCCAAGUGCUGAGAAGAAGAAAAAGAAGCCUAUGCACUCCACUGGUCCAGCUCUGACCCCUGCUGCUGUUCUGAGGAACGAGAAUGACGCCAUUGAUCUGUCAAGUGACGACGAUCUUGCUGAUGACGCUCUUGACCAGCUGAUAAAGAGCAAGCAAGAGGCAGGAAUCUUCAAUGAUUUGCCUCUCUUUGACGUGGAAGUAUUGAACAACAUCAUUGAUGAGUGGUUUGACACCCCCAAUCUCAGCUUUGACGAUCUGCAACUUCCAAUUGGCCUAAGCGUCUCCUUCCAUGGAGCCAUUGCUCCUGAGCUGGCUCUUGCUCAGAAAAUUAUUGAGCUGAAGCAUAAGAUCGAUUAUGAAAAGGCUCAGUUCAAUAAGCAUGUGGCCAAGCUCAGCGUGGCAGACGUCCAGAACUUCAAGGUCAUGCUGCAUGAGCUCAAGGAAGCAUUUCACAAGAAACAUGAUGAAGUCAAAGGUUCUCGUGAGCGCAUGAAGAUUCUCGCUGCCAAGUGUGUUCAAGCUUACAAUGAAGCUGAGAAGCGCAAGGCACUUGGGCGUCCUAGCAUCGACCCUAAGAUGGCUGCCAAGCAGAAGAAGAAGCCAUCUGUGGACCAAACUGAACCAUCCAGGCGGGAAGAACCUCGCAUUGUCUUCCCAGCCAGUAUGACAGGCGUGAAGCCUAAGGUCACCACAGUGGCUUCAGAGCUUCAGAAGACAAGGGCAGCUGAAGCCAAGGCCAGAAAGCGCAAGACCAAGAACACCACUGAUGAUGCUCCACCCACCAAGAAGCGCAAGACCAAGAAGAGAGAUCAGGCUGCUCCAACAGAGCCCCUUGUAGUCGAGCCGAUUUCUGUUGCUCGUCCUGAAUCUGCACAACAAGAACGUCGAAUGAUAGUUCAUGAGCCUUCUUCCACAGAGGCUCCUGAAGCUGAAGACAUUCCAGCUGUUGACCCCACCGCAGCCGAAGACAUUGGUCAUCAUGACAAUGUUGAAGAUGAUGAAGUCCUUCCUCAGAUCGAGCACAACGUGGUAUCAUCGCAUGUUCUUACGAACAGCGAACUCAUCAGCAUUGGUCGUCCAUUGACGCCAACUGCCCAGGAUGACUCAUGGGCUGAUCACCCACAAGACUCCCCCCGUCAAGAAGAAACACCUGUUACUCCCACAACUCAAGUCACCACUCCGGUGAUUGAAGAUGAAGACUUUGUGGCCCAACCAACUCCAUCUCCACAAGCGUCGCCAACAUUUCGCAGGCUUCGCAAAGGACCAAGGCCACAUGUCACUCUGUCAAGUGUUCCAGAAGGAGAAGAGCGCCAAUCCAUUUCACGCCAAGUCUUUCCUGAAGCCUCUCCAACUGUGAACAACCCCGAGACUGAAGCCAAUAUGGCUGAAGAUAUUCCGGCUGCAUCAGCCAAUGACCAAGAAGAACCAAGAGAAGAAGAAGCACAUGUUGCUACACCAAGGCGUGCUGACCCUCUAGCUACUCAAGUGGAGGUUAACAACAUUGAGGUGGCCACCAACACCAACACUGAAGCCAAUGACGUUGUCAUGGCUGAAGCUAAUGUGGCGCCUGAAGUCAAUGAGGUGCCUGAAGUGAUAGCACCUGAAGUCAAUGCUGCACCUGAUGCCAAUCUGCAGCCUGAAGUCACUGCCACUGUCACUGCCACUGCUCCUGUACCGCCUCCCAGGCCACAUACUAUUGAGCAAGCAUACAACUAUGGUCAGCUGGUCACUGUCAGAUGGCCUAUUUUGGUUCCUCCUCCUGCUGUUGGUCCGCAAUUUGACUAUAUGAACCUGGUUGUCAGCUUCACCGCAAUGCUCUGGAGAGUAUCUUCCACAAGCCAGAGCCCAACAUGAGCCAAAUGCUGAGCAUGAUGAAGCCUCUGCCACAUGACGCUGAUUAGCCAAAGGAGUUCUUUGUCAAAGAUCUAGAGUAUCUGCCACGCACUAUUUAUCACAUCAUCAGGCGAACUCUAUGGCCUGUCAAAGGACAUUCUUCAGCAGCAAAACUUGAAGGAGCAAUGAAGACUUUGGUCUUUUAUAUCUUCAACGGCAUCAGCUUCAAUGCUCAAGACUUCUUUAUCAGGCAGUUGGCUGCAUCAGGCUCUGAUCUCUUUGGACUGAAGUUCUACGCUCCGUGGGUCAUGCGCCUCAUCAAGCUACACUCAGCUGUCAACUAUCAUCCCUCUGCUCACAACCAUCUUAUCUUUCUACCGGAGGUUGAUAUGUCAGUUGAAGCCAUAUACCCAGAGCCCGCCAAGGAGCCUGUUUGUCUUCACAAUGCUGAUCACCAAAGCUUCACGCAACCCAUUGAAGGAGUCGAGGCAGUCACUCGUGUUUAUCCUUUGGCUGGCAAUACAUGCUUACCUCACCGUGCUCAAACUGAAGCCACUGAAAGCACUAUUGCUCAAAGGCCUCGGAAGCGAUCUCGUGUUCUCAAUGACCGAGAACUUCUCGUUGCCCUGCAUCAGAAACAGGAUAAGCAUCACUUCUGGCUGAAGCGGCAGAUGCAAAGCCUCUUGGUGGACGUCAAUCGCAUUCGCAAUCUUUCCACCAAGAAUGCCUUUGUUACACAUGAAACCUGUCGGAGGUCAUGGAAGAGUUUGACAUUGCUCAGUGCUGAAGCAGAUCUUCAAGACGAUGGCUUCACUGGAAGAUUCAAGUUUGACUCCACUCCUCCAAGAAAUGCUGUUUUGCGUCGAACUCCGUCUCUUAAAGACUCUGAUUAUUCCUCCUCCGCUGCAAUGGUGAAUGCCAGAGUAAUCGAUGAUCAAGAUGAUGCAACUUCACCUCCUCCAACUUCAGCGCGUAUCGACACUGCACCAAGUUCGUCUGCACCGCCAAACCCCGACGCCGACCCUGCAUCCUCUCCUACUCCUUCUGGGAACGAGUAGAGGCUCUAUGUCUUCAAACCUUUUUGGUCCUUACUGACAAAAGGGGGAGAAGCAUAUGAGUUGAUAGUCUUCAAGCGGGUCCAUAUGGGCGGUUGCUUUAUAUUUUGCCUAGUGUUUACAACUCUCGCUUUUGAUAUAGUUGGUUCUUUGAGUUGUAACAUUUAAACUUGAUGGCCGUCUGCUACUUGUUUGCUAUUCUGUGAUGCGAUGAUAAAUUCCGCAUGUGCGAUGAUAAAUUCCGCACUUAGUCAUUUUGCAGACGCCCAUUUCUCAUUAUGCAUGGCAUUAUCCUUGUUAUAUCAAAUCAUGCAUGAUGAAUUGUCUUCAUAAGUUGAAGAGGAUCUCCACAAGUACAACCUGCCAUGUGCAUUUGCAUUCCAAAAGCAAAUUACUUAUAUGCACAUCUUCAGGGGGAGCCUUUUGCUACUUACGAAGACAAUACCUCUAUCAUUUACAAUUUCACAUACUUUUAUCCUCGUUGAAAACUUCAACCAGUUUGUCAUCAAUCACCAAAAAGGGGGAGAUUGUAAGUGCAUCUAGUGCCACCCCUAGUUGGUUUUGGAGUAUUGACGACAAGCCUGGUUGAGGGACUAAUGUAUUUGUGAGAAUUGUAGGAUAACACAGGUAGUAGUCCCUCAUUGAUUCGGUUUACCGACCGGAGAUGACCCCUAAAAAUGUAUGAAGACAUUGAAGACGAUGGUGAUAUGUGAAGAUAUUCACAUUGAAGACUAUGACAAGAGAAGGCAUUGCGUGAAGACUAUGGAGCGCGAAGACCUAGUUGUUUUGUUGUUUCCUUUUCUUCUUUGUUGAGUCAUAGGAACCACCGUACUGUUAAGUGGGGUCCCAGUGAACAAAGUCAGAGUGACUGAAGUGAUGCUCAACCAAAAUCCUAUGUCUUCGAGUGAAGACAAUGAGAGCAAAUCUUAUCCAGAGCUGGAUGAGUCAGCUUUACUUGUAGCCCAAGUCAAGCUGCCGCGUGUGUUUGAAAUCUGACCGUUGGAACACGUGUCAGUUCCUUAGUGACCCAGGGUCAUUUCGGACAAAUCAGGUCGGGUUUCCUAGUGGCUAUAAAUAGCCCACCCCCUACACCAUAAAUUGGUGGCUGCUCAGAGUUAGUGCACGGCUUUUGUUGUUUGAGAGCAACCCACCUCCGAAGCUUUUGAGAUAGAGAAAUCCUUGCGAGGACAAAGCCCAAACACCCAGAGCCAAAGAGUGUUAGGCAUCACUGAUGUCUUUCUGUCCGCGUGACCUGAAGACUUGUUACACUUGAGGACUGUGAAUCCUCCAGCCGGUUAGGCGUCGCGUUCUGAGCAUCCGAGUCAUUGUGGAUCGCCGGUGAUCGAAGUCUGUGAAGGUUUGGAAGUCUACCUUGAAGACUUACCUGAGUAAUUGGGCGAGGACUAGGUGUCCUUAGCUCAAGGGGAAUAAGGUGAAGACGCGGUCUUCUGAGUUAAAUCUCAGCCUCCCUAACCAGACAUACAGUUGUCACAGCAACUGGAACUGGUCCAACAAAUCCUGUGUCCUCAACAAGUGACUAGUUCUAUCCUCUCCCUCUCUUUACUUAUAGUUUGUCUUCGUGAAGUCAUUGCUUGUUUGCUUUACCUAUUUGUCUUCACUGUGUGACUUCUAUCGUUGUUUGGCUUCAUACCAUCUUCCAUCCUGAUCCGUACUACCUAGAUGCUAUUAGUCUUCGCACUUUCACUUCAUUGAAUACUUGACUAUGGCUUGACUAGUGUAGCCUACCUUCCGCUGCAUAUCAAUAGGUUCAUUUCUAUUGUCUGUCUUCGAAACUCUCAUGUUUUGAAGACUUUCAUAAAAAUCGCCUAUUCACCCCCCCCUCUAGUCGAUAACUAGCACUUUCAAACAUCAGUCAUAAAGAACUCACAUACGUAUUGCAAAAAUCUACAAGUCAUCAAAAACCAAGCAUUACGCGCAUGCUCCUAGGGGGAUAGAUUGGUAGGAAAAGACCAUCGCUCGUCCCCGACCGCCACUCAUAAGGAAGGCAAUCAAAGAACACCUCAUGCUUCUAAUUUGUCACACAACGUUUACCAUACGUGCAUGCUACGGGACUUGCAAACUUCAACACAAGUAUUUCUCAAAUUCACAAUUACUCAACUAGCACAACUCUAAUAUCACAAUCUUCUUAGCUCAAAACAAUUAUCAAGUAUCAAACUUCUCAUAGUAUUCAAUGCACUCUAUAUGGAAGUUUUUCUUAUACCCAUCAUGGAUGCCUAUCAUAUUAGGACUAAUUUUAUAACCAAAGAAAAUUACCAUGCUGUUCUAAAGACUCUCAAAAUAAUAUAAGUGAAGCAUGAGAGAUCAACAAUUUCUUCAAAAUAAAACCACCGUCGUGCUCUAAAAGAUAUAAGUGAAGCACUAGAGCAAACGACAAACUACUCCGAAAGAUAUAAGUGAAGGUCAAUGAGUAGUUGAAUAAUUAUGUAACUAUGUGAAGACUCUCUAACAUUUAAGAAUUUCAGAUCUUGUUAUUUUAUUCAAAUAGCAAGCAAAAUAAAAGAAAAUAAAAUUACGCUCCAAGCAAAACACAUAUCAUGUGGUGAAUAAAAUAUAGCUCCAAGUAAAGUUACCAAUGAACGGAGACGAAAGAGGGGAUGCCAUCCAGGGCAUCCCCAAGCUUAGGCUCUUGGUUAUCCUUGAAUAUUAAGAGGGGAUGCCAUCCAGGGCAUCCCCAAGCUUAGGCUCUUGGUUAUCCUUGAAUAUUACCUUUGGAUGCCUUGGGCAUCCCCAAGCUUAGGCUCUUGCCACUCCUUAUUCCAUAGUCUAUCGAAUCUUUACCCAAAACUUGAAAACUUCACAACACAAAAUUCAACAGAAAACUCGUAAGCUCUGUUAGUAUAAGAAAAUGAAACCACCACUUAGGUACUGUUGUGAACUCAUUCUAAAUUUAUAUUGGUGUAAUAUCUACUGUAUUACAACUUCUCUAUGGUUCAUACCCUCCGAUACUCCUCAUAGAUUCAUCAAAAUAGGCAAACAACACAUAGAAAACAGAAUCUGUCAAAAACAGAACAGUCUGUAGUAAUCUGUAUCAAACGGAUACUUCUGGAACUCCACAAAUUCUUAAAUAAAUUGGUGGACCUGAGGAAUUUGUCUAUUAAUCAUCUGCAAAAAGAAUCAACCUAAAAGCACUCUCCAGUAAAAAAUGGCAGCUAAUCUCGUGGGCGCUAAAGUUUCUGUUUUUUAAAGCAUGAUCAUAAAGACUUCACCCAAGUCUUCCCAAAGGUUCUACUUGGCACAAACACUAAUUAAAACAUAAAACCACAUCUAACCAGAGGCUAGAUAGAUUAUUUAUUUCUAAGAAGGAGCAAAAAGCAAGGAAAAAUAAAAUAAAAUUGGGUUGCCUCCCAACAAGCGCUAACGUUUAACGCCCCUGGCUAGGCAUGAUGAUUUCAAUGAUGCUCACAUAAAAGAUAAGAAUUGAAACAUAAAGAGAGCAUCAUGACGAAUAUGACUAGCACAUUUAAGUCUAACCCACUUCCUAUGCAUAGGGAUUUUGUGAGCAAACAACUUAUGGGAACAAUAAUCAACUAGCAUAGGAAGGCAAAACAAGCAUAGCUUCAAAACUUUAAGCACAUGGAGAGGAAACUUGAUAUUAUUGCAAUUCCUACAAGCAUAUAUUCCUCCCUCAUAAUAAUUUUCAGUAGCAUCAUGAAUGAAUUCAACAAUAUAAUCAGCACCUAAAGCAUUAUUUUCAUGAUCUACAAGCAUAGAAAAUUUUCUACUCUCUACAUAAGCAAAAUUCUUCUCAAUCGGAAUAGUGGGAGUAUCAUAAGAGACUCGAAUACUAUAAAUUGUUUCCACGUUAAAAGAGUAGUGUUCAGAAAAAGGGUAAUCAUAAUCAUGACAAGUUUUAUAAAUAUAAUCAUUACUACUUUUAAUAGCAUAAGUGGCAUCACAAUAAUCAUCAUAAGUAGCAACUUUGUUCUCAUCAUAAUCGAUUGAAACCUCUUCCAAGAUAGUGGAACCAUUACUAAAUAAAGUCAUGACCUCUCCAAAUCCACUGUCAUAAUUUCCACAAUAAGAUUCAACACCCUCCAAAAUAGUGGGAUCAUUACUUCCUAAAGUUGACACUCUUCCAAACCCACUUUCUUCAAUAUAACCAUCAUAAAUAGGAGGCAUGCUAUCAUCAUAAUAAAUUUGCUCAUCAAAACUUGGGAGGAUAAACAUAUCAUCUUUAUAAAACAUAGCAUCCCCAAGCUUGGGACAAACAUUAGUUGCAAAUAUAUUCUCAAACAUGUCAUUCUCAUCAAACAUAUCAUCCCCAAGCUUGGGCCUUUUCAUAUCAUAAGCAUAAUCACUCUCAUUAUUAAUAGUAUGGAUAGCACCAAUAGUAUAGCAAUUAUCAUCAUCACAAUGAGUAAUAGGAGCAACAUCAUUUAGGAGAGAUACCUUUUUACCUUUGCUUCUCCGUCUUUUCUUUUUCUUCUUCACAUCAUGUGUGGGUUUAAUCCUCUUUUCGGAGCUCCUUAUUAAUGAGAUUGGUUGAAUAGAAGGCUCCUCCUCGUUACCUGAUUCAUCAUAAGAAAUAAUAGGAGAAUAUUGGGAAGUCUCUUCCCUUUCAUUAGUAUUCUCUUCAUCUUCUAUUUGUUUUAUUAUCUUUAUGUAAUUGGCAAUAUAAGGAUUUUCAAUGCAAUUCACCGCACAAUACAUAAAAAUUUCUUCUAGAUCAAAAUCAAGAAAUCUAUCGAGAUUAAAUUUUGGAAUACCCUCGGUUAUACGUUUCAUUUCUUCAUACCCCAAAAGAAGACUAAGCUCUUUAUGAUGCUCAAGGGUAAUCAAGUUAUCACAAUUUUUGGACACGAUUUGAUCAUGAAACAAAUAGCAUUGGAGCUUUAAAUGACCAUGUUCAUUGCAAAGUUCACAAGGAUGCGAUAAAUAUUGAAUCUUUCAGCACAAUCAUCUAGCCUUUCUUGCAACCAUUCAGUUUCCAACUACUUAUGCCUCUUGCAAAAUCUAUCUUCCCUAUUUGGUGUGUACUUGCAAGCUCUAUCUAUUCCACAAAAGUUGACAUGCUUAUAAGAGACAUUUUCAUCAUGACUAGUGCAAUCAUCAUUAGUACUAUGGAUAUUCAAAGAGUUCAUACUAACAACAUUGCAAUCAUGCUCAUCAUUCAAAGAUUUAGUGCCAAACAUUCUAAUGCAUUCUUCCUCUAGCAAUUGAGGACAAUUAUCGGAAUUCUUAUUUUCACGAAAGACAUUAAAAAGAUGAAGCAUAUGAGGCUACCUUAAUUCCAUAUUUUUGUAGUUUUCUUUUAUAGACUAAACUAGUGAUAAAACAAGAAACAAAAAGAUUCGGUUGCAAGAUCUAAAGAUAUACCUUCAAGCACUCACCUCCCCGGCAACGGCGCCAGAAACUGCUUGAUGUCUACAACGCAACCUUCUUCUUGGAGACGUCGUUGGACCUCCAAGUCUAGAGGUUUGUAGGACAGUAGCAAAUUUCCCUCAAGUGGAUGACCUAAGGUUUAUCAAUCCGUGGGAGGCGUAGGAUGAAGAUGGUCUCUCUCAAGCAACCCUGCAACCAAAUAACAAAGAGUCUAUUGUGUCCCCAACACACCCAAUACAAUGGUAAAUUGUAUAGGUGCACUAGUUCGGUGAAGAGAUGGUGAUACAAGUGCAAUAUGGAUGGUAGAUAUAGGUUUUUGUAAUCAGAAAAUAUAAAAACAGCAAGGUAACUAAUAAUAAAAGUGAGCACGAACGGUAUUGCAAUGCGUUGAAACAAGGCCUAGGGUUCAUACUUUCACUAGUGCAAGUUCUCUCAACAAUAAUAGCAUAAUUGGAUCAUAUAACGAUCCCUCAACAUGCAACAAAGAGUCACUCCAAAGUCACUAAUAGCGGAGAACAAACGAAGAGAUUAUUGUAGGGUACGAAACCACCUCAAAGUUAUCCUUUCUGAUCGAUCUAUUCAAGAGUCCGUAGUAAAAUAACAUGAAGCUAUUCUUUCCGUUCGAUCUAUCAUAGAGUUCGUACUAGAAUAACACCUUAAGACACAAAUCAACCAAAACCCUAAUGUCACCUAGAUAAUCCAAUGUCUCCUCAAGUAUCCGUGGGUAUGAUUAUAUGAUAUGCAUCACACAAUCUCAGAUUCAUCUAUUCAACCAACACAAAGAACUUCAAAGAGUGCCCUAAAGUUUCUACCGGAGAGUCAAGAUGAAAACGUGUGCCAACCCCUAUGCAUAAGUUCACGAGGUCACGGAACCCGCAAGUUGAUCACCAAAACAUACAUCAAGUAGAUCACGUGAUAUCCCAUUGUCACCACAGAUAAGCACAUGCAAGACAUGCAUCAAGUGUUCUCAAAUCCUUAAAGACUCAAUCCAUUACAAGAGAGUAGAGGGGGAGAAACAUCAUAAGAUCCAACUAUAAUAGAAAAGCUCGCGAUACAUGAAGAUCGUGCCAAAUCAAGAGCAUGAGAGAGAGAGAGAUCAAACACAUAGCUACUGGUACAUACCCUCAGCCCCGAGGGUGAACUACCCCUCCCCCCUCGUCAUGGAGAGCGCCGGGAUGAUGAAGAUGGCCACCGGUGAGGGAAUCCCCCCUUCGGCAGGGUGCCAGAACAGCGUCUCGAUUGGUUUUUGGUGGCUACAGAGGCUUGCGGCGGCGGAACUCCCGAUCUAGGUUAUGUUCUGGAGGUUUCUGUAUAUAUAAGAGGUUUUGGCGUCAGGAACAAGUCAGGGGGGUCUCCGGGCUGUCCACGAGGUAGGGAGGCGCGCCCAUGGGGGUGGCGCGCCCCCACCCUCGUGGGCAGCCCGGGACUCUUCUGGCCCAACUCUUUUACUCCAUGGCCUUCUUCUGGUCCAAAAAUAAGUUCCGUGAAGUUUCAGGUCAAUUGGACUCCGUUUGGUUUUCCUUUUCUGCGAUGGUCAAAAACAAGGAAAAAACAGAAACUGGCACUGGGCUCUAGGUUAAUAGGUUAGUCCCAAAAAUCAUAUAAAAUAGCAUAUAAAUGCAUAUAAAGCAUCCUAGACGGAUAAUAUAAUAGCAUGGAACAAUAAAAAAUUAUAGAUACGUUGGAGACAUAUCACAAGGUUCUUGCCGGGGCCGUGAAGGCCGCCCCCGCAAGGACCUUGCCGGGGGAGUUUCACCUCGCCCCUCAGCUCUUCAUGCUUAUGGUCUUGAGCAUGGUUCUGGUAAUCUUUGCUUCUUCUGCCCCGCCAAGCAUGGCCACGGGCGUGGGGCUACGACUGCCCGCGCACAAGUAAAGGGGUACAAAAAGGGACCCCUACUUUUGUACACCGAUAAUACUGCUUACCACCAACGUCUUAUUUUGAUUCGGCGGCAUUGUGGGAUGAAGCAACCCGGACCAACCUUACAUGACAACAUACAUGAGACCGGUUCCACCGACUGACAUGCAACUUGUUUUGCAUAAAGGUGGCUGGCGGUUGUCUGUUUAUCCUACUUUAGUUGAAACAAAUUUGACUACGGCCGGUCCUUGAAGAAGGUUAAAACAGCAAACUUGAUAAUCACCGUUGUGGUUUUGCGUAGGUAAGAAUGGUUCUUGCUAGUUGCCCACAGCAGCCACGUAAAACUUGCAACAACAAAGUAGAGAACGUCUAACUUGUUUUUGGAGGUUAUGUUGUGAUGUGAUAUGGUCAGGACGUGAUGUGAUAUAUGUUGUUGUAUGACAUGAUCAUGCUUUGUAAGAUCGACAACCGGCAGGAGCCUUAGGGUUGUCUUUUAAUUAUUGUAUGACAUGUGUGUCAAUCAUUAAGCGCCAUGUAAUUGAUUUACUUUACCGCUAUGCGCUAGCAAUAGUUGUAGUAACAAUAGUUGGCGAGACGACCCUGACGCAAUGAUGGAGAUCAGGGUGUUGAGUCGGUGACGAUGGAGAUCAUGCCGAUGCUUUGGAGAUGGAGAUCAAAAGCACAAGAUGGUGAUGGUCAUACCAUGUCACAUAUUUUGAUUGCAUAUGAUGUUUAUCCUUUAUGCAUCUUAUUUUGCUUAGAAGGAUAGCCCAAUAAAUUUUAAAAAAAGUAAACAAAUUCAAACAAUCCUUGAUUGUUUUUGCAAAAAAUUAUUAAUGUUUUUCUACACGCAUGCGAAUUUUUGCGAUGGAGUCACAUUUGUGGAGGUGUGGACAAAAAAAUCGAUGUCCCAAAAUGCUCAUGUACUAUAUUUGCACAAAAACAUGUAGAAAAUUUGCAUGCAUGAAGGAAAAACAUCAAUUUCUUGCCGAAAAUCGAUGCUCCAAAAAUUGAUACUCCAAAAUGCUCAUGAAAAUUUGCAUGCAUGUAGAAAAGGCAUCAAUUUCUGGCCGAACUUUUUGUUUUCUAUUUUUUAACUAUAUUUUUGGAUUUUAGUAUAUACAAAUAGAAACGUCGGCAAAAAAAGAUAUGUGGGCUCAACCAGUAAAAGCCUGUAAGUAAGAAGGGCCAAUUGAUAAGCCCAGAGUAAUAGCACGGGCAAAAUGAAAAAACUGUCUCACAUGAGUCAACAAUCUAUACCUCUAUUACCUACUAAUAAAGCAAGGUGCGUUUCUCCGAUUUUUUCAUCGGUUCACCAACGUAAAGUUUUUUUUCUAUCCGAGGUGGUAUUAAAUUUUUGUGCAUCCGUCUGCUAGAAAAGAUAAAAUAAUUUCCGUACAUGGGCCGCACGCGCUGUGGCCCGGUGAAGCCAGCCCAAAUAUUUAUCUGCCCAGACAGCUGUGAAAGCCUAUUUGCCGCAUGCAGCAUCUAAUAGUUGAAGCUUCGCACAUGACGCCGAAGACUGGGCCGGCCCAUUUUCUUUUUCUACGUGUUCUGUUUAUAUUUUUUCCUAUUCCUUUCUCUUUUUCUUUCAUGAUUCUUUUUCCUACCAAUUUUACAUUAUUUUCCCUUUUCUCGGAAAUUAAAAUCUUAAACAAAUCGUCCAAAAUUUCAAGUUUUCCAUAUUUAGACAAAAAGUUAGAAUAUAAUUUUUUUAGUUCCUAUCUUGUAAAAUGUUCAAAACUUUAAUUAAUUUUAUUCCCAUUCCAAAAUGUGUUCAAAAUUAAAAAUGUUCCCAUUUUUAAAAAUGUUUGUGAAUCACAAUAAAAAAUCAAAAUUUUCAAUGCAAGUUGUAUUUUGAAAAAUACUCCAGAUUUAUAAAACAUUCUUCUUUUAGUGAAAUGUUCACAAAUUCAAAAUAAUGUUUGUGGUUCAAAAACAUAUGUUCUGAACUUUUUCUAAAUGUUCAAAACAUGUUCACACAUUCAACAAAUGUUCGUGUUUUUUCAAAAGGAUCAUGUUGUCAAAAAAUGUUUAAGUAUUUUUUUUAAGAAAAUCUACCUAUUUCAAGUGAUGUUCGUCUUUUCCAAAAAUGAAUGAAAUUUGACAAAAUGGUUCGUAUUUUUUAAAACUGUUCGGGGUUUCAAAAAUUAUUCAUGUUUCCAAAAAUAUUCGGCAAUUCAUUAUAUUAAUUUGAAAUUUGGAAAAAUUCAGAAAAAAACAAAAAACUUGAAUCUGAUGAUACAACAUAUUCUUAAAUAUUAAUUAGUUAGCAGGACCCAUUUGUUCGAGUGACUAGCAGUCGAUGGUCGAGUUUUUGAGGUCGCGAGUUCGAUCUUUCAAUACGUCUUUUUUUUCAAUUUAGAGACAGUCUAUUUUCCGCAUGUAGCGCGAAAUGGUUGGAAGUUCCCACAGCACGCCCAAAGCUGGGCCCGCCCAUUUUCUUUUUCUCUGUAUUCUUUUUUUCCUGUUCUUUUCUCUUUCUCUUUCAUGAUUCUUUUUUCCUAACAAUUUUAGAUUAUUUUCCCUUUUCUCGUAAAUUAAAAUAUUGAAAAAAUCGUUCAAAGUUUCAAUUUUCUUCCAUAUUUUAGAAGAAAACAAAUCAGAAUUUAAUUCUUUUGUUCCUCUUUUGUAAAAUGUUCAAUUUUUUUUUAAACAAUUCCAGUUCCAAAAUAUGUUCAAAAUUUAGAAAAAAAUUCAACUUUUUCAUAAAAUGUUUGUGUAUUACAAAUUAAGAUUUUCAAAAUAAGUUGGAUUUAAAAAUAUUACAGAUUUUAAAAAUUGUUUUCGUGAAAUAUUUGCAAAUUCAAAAUAACUUUCUUGGUUACAAAAACACAUUUUCUGAACUUGCUCUAAAUGUUCAAAACAUGUUCCCACAUGCAACAAAUGUUCAUGUUUUUUCAAAAGUUUCAUGUUGUCAAAAAAUGUUUAAGAAUUUUGAAGAAAAAUCUACCUAUUUCCAAAAAUGAACGACAUUUUUAAACAUGGUUCGCAUUUUUGAAAAUUGGUCGGGGUUACAAAAAUUGUUCAUGUUUUCAAAAAUAUUUGGCAUUCAUAAAUAUUAAUUUAUUUUCGCAAAAAAUCAGAAAAAAUAAAAAAAAUUGAAUCUAACGCUGCAACAUAUUGUUAAAUAUUAGUUGGUGGUUUAGCAGCCCGUGGAUGACUUUUUGAGGUCGCGAGUUCGAUCCUUCAACACGUCAUUUUUAAAAUUUAUAUUAUGCCUUACAAACAUAGGUCGUUUUGGUGCUUGUCAAUGGGCCGACCCAGAUGUGAACUGUUGGGCGUCCCACACGCUAUUUGACGAUAGAAAAGAAUAUGUUUGUUUGCUAUAAUUGAAAUAUAUUGUGGGUACAUGUCAAUGAAAGAGAAUAUGUUGGUUUGACUCUAAUUUUGAAGAACUGUGGGCACGUGAGGGUUGAAAAAGAGAAUAAACCCUGGUAAAGAAGGUAUUGUCUGAUUAUGCAUGGAUUAUGCUAAUAAAACGGGAUUUAUGCGUAAUCCAUUUGGUUACGUUAUCGUCGGAGAGACUGGUCGAAGCUACCGUGCCCCAAGGGUCGCCGCGCAGCUACCAAAUGAGGAGACAACCACUGCUCUAACACGGAGGUGAACCUGAAGGAAAAAAACACAAGUUGUCUGGUAAUGUCACCACUAUCAUGCCGACUAAUGUCACCACUAUCAAGAUUUCGCGGGACAAACAUGACUCGUGAAAAGACCACAGCUCCUCGCUCUGUCGCCCCACCAUUGUGAAUACUGUUGAUGCCUUUUUGGUGAACACAUAAUUUAUUUAUCUCGUUGCUUCUCGAAAAAUAUUUCUCCCGUUGCAACGCACGGGCAUAUGUGCUAGUUAGAUACCUAAGCUUUUAUGUGGGAAAGACGAGUCGUGCCCUAAGGUUUCGCCCAUGGGUUCAAUCUAAUUUUUUCUAUGGUCAAUUAAUGUACGUAUCCAAUGUCUUACAUACUAUGAUAUAUAGGCGGUGCAUAUUUACAAAGUGUGAUGCAAUAUUCUAGCCAUUUGCUGUUAAUGUUGUAGCCGGUAGAUAAAAAACGGCCCUAAAUAUGAUCUGACUUAUGAAAAAAGUGUCAUGCUACUUUAUAAAAAAACCAUCUCUCUAAUUUUAUAAAUAUACAGAUGACUGAUUGAAAAAUAGUUGUAUGAACUAUAAAAGUAAAAAAAUACCAUGCUAAAAAUUUAAAAAUACCAUCAUCUGAACAAAAAGUGCCAUAUGAACAUAAAAGAAAAAAGUGCCAUAUCUUAAUAAACCAAAAAAAUGCCAUCUCUUGAUAAAAAAUACAAUCUCCGAAUAAUAAAAAUUCCAUCUCUUAAUAUAAAAAUGACAUCGCUUAAAUAGUAAAAAAUGCCAUCUCUUAAUAUAAUAUCCGAUAAGACAUAGGAGAUAUUUCCGGCCGACAUGGAUACAGUCGACAGAGAGGACACACUACAACCCUUGUCUGCGCCUCCCGUCCUUCAGCCAAGAGGCCAAAACCAGGGAGGACCACCCGAUGACAGAAACACCACCUUUGAGUGGACGGGGGCGAUGGCCUCCUGGCCACAACCACCCAUCCGCCUCGGCGGCCACCACCCCCAAUCUAGGCAGGCAUCGGGCCCGAGAACCCCGUUGGGCCAUGGAUCUAGCUUGUAGCAUAAUCGAAUUCGGCGAGACACUAGGUCAAGGCGAGGAAAACGCAGGUCACCUAGAUGAAGCACCAUCAUCCGAAGUGGCAAAUAUCCUUGGAGAAGCGAGGAAGCCCCGCCGGGGGCGCCUCGACAACCCGCAGCCAACGGCCCCCUGAUCUAGGCGCACGAGAACCGCCGCCGCCAUGGGCUACCGCACCACGCAUCCCACUAUGCUGGAGACCAACACCCACGACCCAGCUGCCAAUGUCCGCCACCAUGUCUUAGACGCCAUGUGAGACUAGGUAGGAUCCUCGGGUAGGACUUUCCUACUGAGACAUCUAUAGCAUAGACUUGGACAAGAAGGCUCUAGUUCUCAGAGAUAGCACCGCACCAAAGUGCAUGCGUGAUUUACCUUUUUUUUCUUUUACUAGUAAAUGUGCUCAUGCGUUGCAACGGGUUCACUGUAGACAAAACACUUAGUCCUCCUUCUGUGAGUCGAUGAUGGGGAGCAGCGGGUCAAAGAGAUCUUCAUCUGCACCUCGGGUCACACACAAACAAUGACCAUACAUGACCAGUAGACGACACUAACUUGGGAACUUUCAUACAGAUGGUGAUGGAGUGAUCUAAUUAUACAUACUUCACACAGAUUGAUAAUAUACAUACCGCGAAACAACCCUCAGAACUUUACUUAUAUAAUUUUUGCAAACAACAUCAAGCAAUUGUAUAUACAGACCAAAUGAACACCAUUUAUGAUAAUGAACACUGCUUAGUUAGCCUCGGAGAACAAUUUAUAUGUGCACCAAGUUAAGAACAACAUCGACAGGGCUCCGUUAGCAGCAUAAGACAGUCCAACAUGUGCAAAAGAUUACCAAUAUCUUCCUAAUUUAUCCAAUAACUUUGCAAACUAACCAUCUUAGUCUGCUGUCAAGAAUAGCACAACAAAAGCAAGUGAAGAUGGCUGUAGUUGCAUACGUAGAGUAAAAACCAUAAAGCCUAUGUUGGGAGGAGGGUUCUGGUAAGAAGUGUGCUUUCUGCAAUGCCCGCCAUGACUGUCCUCCAUCUGCCAAAGAAGCUUCUCAAAGAAAUAGACAAGACAAGACGUAGAUUCCUAUGGGCACAAGAAGAAGAGCUGUUGGGAGGGAAGUGCUAAGUGAAUUGGAAGACAUUAUGUUCACCAAUCGAGAAGGGGGGCUUGGGAUACAAGAUAUUCCGUGUUUCGGCAGAGCUCUUCGGCUACGGAGGCUCUGGAUGGCCUGGACACAUCCAUCCAGGCCAUGGAAAGACUUUCCCACACCCUGCAAUCAGGAAGAUGAUACGUCCAUUUUGCAUCAUGUUUUCUUACUGUUAUUUAUAAUGUUUUUAUCCAUAAGAAUGCUUUUUGGAGUAAUUCUAAUGCCUUUUCUCUCAUAAUUUGCAAGGUACACACCAAGAGGGAGAAUUCCGACAGCUGGAAAUCUGGACCUGAAAAAGCUAUGUCAGGCCACCUAUUCUGCACAACUCCAAAUGAGCUGAAACUCCACGAGGAUUUUUUAUGAAAUAUUUAAGAAAUACUGGAGCCAAUAAACACCAGAGGGGGGCCACCAGGUGGGCACAACCCACCUGGGCGCGCCAUGCCCCCCUGGCGCGCCCUUGUGGGUUGUGGCCUCCUCGGCCCACCUUCGGUGCCCAUCUUCUGGUAUAUAAGUGAUUUUGACCUAGAAAAAAUAAGGAGAAGACUUUCGGGAUGGAGCGCCGCUAUCUCAAGGUGGAACUUGGGCAGGAGCACUUUUGCCCUCCGGCGCAGCGAUUUUGUCGGGGGAACUUCCCUCCCGGAGGGGGAAAUCAUCGUCAUCAUCAUCACCAACAGCUCUCCCAUCUUAGGGAGGGCAAUCUCCAUCAACAUCUUCACCAGCACCAUCUCAUCUCAAACCCUAGUUCAUCUCUUGUAUUCAAUCUUGUUAGCGGAACUAUAAAUUGUUGCUAGGGGGUGACUAGUAGUGUUGAUUACAUCUUGUAGUUGAUUACUAUAUGGUUUAUUUGGUGGAAGAUUAUAUGUUUAGAUCCAUUAUGCAUAUUAAUACCCCUCUGAUCAUGAGCAUGUUGGUUAUUUGUGAGUAGUUACUUUUGUUCUUGAGGUCACGAGAGAAAUCAUGUUACAAGUAAUCAUGUGAACUUGAUAUGUGUUCGAUAUUUUGAUAGUAUGUAUGUUGUGAUUCCCUUUGUGGUGUCAUGUGAACGUCGACUACAUGACACUUCACCAUAUUUGGGCCUAAGGGAAUGCAUUGUGGAGUAGUAAAUAGAUGGUGGGUUGCGAGAGUGACAGAAACUUAAACCCAAAUUUAUGCACUAUUUCGUAAGGGGCCGAUUGGAUCCUAGAGUUUAAUGCUAUGGUUAGGAUUUAUCCUUAAUACUUUCCUCAUAGUUGCGGAUGCUUGCGGGAGGGUUAAUCAUAAGUAGGAGGUUUGUUCAUGUAAGAACAACACCUAAGCACCGGUCCACCCACAUAUCAAAUUAUCAAAGUAGCGAACACAAAUCAAACCAACAUAAUGAAAGUGACUAGAUGAAAUUCCUGUGUACCCUCAAGAACGCUUUGCUUAUCAUAAGAGACCGUUUUGGCCUGUCCUUUGCCUCAAAAGGAUUGGCCUACCUUGCUGCAUACUUAUUGCUACUAUCAUUAUUUGCUCGUUACAAAUUAUCUUGCUAUCAAACUACUUGCUACUUACAGUUCCAGGACUUGCAGACAUUACCUUACUGAAAACUACUUGUCAUUUCCUUCUGCUCCUCGUUGGGUUCGACACUCUUACUUAUCUAAAAGAGCUACAAUUGAUCCCCUAUACUUUUGGAUCAUCAAGGCUAUUUUUUGGCGCCAUUGCCGGGGAGUGAAGCGCCUUUGGUAAGUGGAAUUCUGUAAGGAAACAUUUAUAUAGUGUGCUGAAAUUUAUUGUCACUUGUUAGUAUGGAAAACAAUCCUUUGAGGGGUUUGUUCGGGGUAUCUUCACCUCGUCCGGAACCACAAUUAAUUGCCCCUGAACCUACUGCAGCUACUAAAAAUAUUGAAUAUGAGAUUCCUUCGGGUAUGAUAGAACAACUGCUAGCUAAUCCUUAUGCAGGAGAUGGAACCGAACAUCCUGAUAUGCACCAGAUACAUGUGGAACAAAUUUGUGGAUUGUUCAAGCUUGCAGGUUUACCCGGAGAUGAGGUGAUGAAAAAGGUUUUCCAUUUAUCUUUGAAAGGAAAAGCAUUGGCAUGGUAUAGGCUAUGCGGUGAUAUUGGAUCAUGGAAUUGGAAUCGUUUAAAAUUAGAGUUUCACCAAAAAAAUUAUCCUAUGCAUCUAGUUCAUCGUGAUCGGAAUUAUAUAUAUAAUUUUUGGCCUCGUGAAGGAGAAAGUAUCGCUCUCUCUUGGGGGAGGCUUAUGUCAAUGUUAUAUUCAUUCCCCAAUCCUGAGCUCUCAAGAGAAAUUAUUAUUCAGAACUUUUAUGCUCGGCUUUCUCGUAAUGAUCAAACCAUGCUGCAUACUUCUUCUGCUGGCUCUUUUAUGAAGAAAACUAUUGAAUUCCGAUGGGAUCUUUUGGAAAGAAUUAAACGCAACUCUGAAGAUUGGGAACUCGACGAAGGUAAAGAGUCAGGUAUAAAGCUUAAGUAUGACUGUCUUAAAUCUUUUAUGGAUACCGAUGCUUUUCAAAAGUUUAGCACUAAAUACGGACUUGACACUGAAAUAGUAGCCUUCUUUUGUGAAUCAUUUGCUACUCAUGUUGAACUCCCUAAAGAGAAGUCGUUUAAAUAUAACCCACCUAUUAAUGACGAAAUUAAAGAACCAGUACCAGUUAAAGAAGAAACUAUACUCUAUAAUGUUGAUCCGGUUGUUCCUACUUCUUAUAUUGAGAAACCACCUUUUCCUGUUAGAAUAAGGAGCAUGCUAAAGUUUCAACUGUGGUUGACAAAAUCUUUGUUAGAACACCUCAACCUGAUGAACAAAUUAGAGUUGAACUGUAACAUCCCAAAUUUUUGAAAUGUUAUACAUUAGAUCAUCAUUGCAUAUCAUAUUUUUAUUACAUUUUGGCUUGAUCCUAGAAAUCCUACGCAGCUCAAGGACCCACGGAGAGAGUUGGGGAUUUCAUUAUUUUCAUAUUUGAGUUUUCUCAAAUUUUGAAAAGAGGAUCGUUUGAUUUUAAUUAUUUUCUCUCCGAAUAUUUCUUUUAUGAAAAUAAAAGAGAGGGGAUAAAAUGACUUCCUCAAAAUAAAGAAAUAUUGGAGAUUUAAUAUUAAAAUCAAAUAAGAUUUUUAUUCAGAGUUUUAUUGCUAUUUUAUUUGAAUUAGGAAAAAUAUGCGUUUUUCAAAAUUGCAUUAGAGUCCCAAAUAAAUGUUCACCUUGUCCGGUAGAUUUUUAGAGGACAGGGAAAAUUUAUUUCAGAAUUUUUGAGUCUGUUUAGUAUUUCUUUUCUUUGUUUUUCUGCGCGGAAUAGUUAAAAAAAAAAGAGGAAACCGACUUCGGGCCGUACCCGAGCGGGAUCCGCCCAGGGGGGCUUNNNNNNNNNNNNNNNNNNNNNNNNNNNNNNNNNNNNNNNNNNNNNNNNNNNNNNNNNNNNNNNNNNNNNNNNNNNNNNNNNNNNNNNNNNNNNNNNNNNNNNNNNNNNNNNNNNNNNNNNNNNNNNNNNNNNNNNNNNNNNNNNNNNNNNNNNNNNNNNNNNNNNNNNNNNNNNNNNNNNNNNNNNNNNNNNNNNNNNNNNNNNNNNNNNNNNNNNNNNNNNNNNNNNNNNNNNNNNNNNNNNNNNNNNNNNNNNNNNNNNNNNNNNNNNNNNNNNNNNNNNNNNNNNNNNNNNNNNNNNNNNNNNNNNNNNNNNNNNNNNNNNNNNNNNNNNNNNNNNNNNNNNNNNNNNNNNNNNNNNNNNNNNNNNNNNNNNNNNNNNNNNNNNNNNNNNNNNNNNNNNNNNNNNNNNNNNNNNNNNNNNNNNNNNNNNNNNNNNNNNNNNNNNNNNNNNNNNNNNNNNNNNNNNNGUGCAGCCCCGCCGCCAACGCCGCCCGCUGCCGCGCCGCCCCGCCGCCCGCGCCGCCGGAACCGCCACCCGCCGCCGCGUCGCCGCACCGUCACCGCCGCCGUCCUCGGUUUUCGCGAGAAAACCGAUCGGUUUUUUUUGAAACCCUAGAUCUGUUUUUUUCGAUCUUGUUCGGUUUUUUUUCGGUUUAGUUAUUUAGCGGACGUUCGUCCGUACGUUCGUUUUAACGAACGGUUUUCGCACGUUAGCCGCAGAUAAUGAACAUUCGUUCGUUAGCCUGUUCGUCAGUUUUUCUUUUUGUCGGAUUUUUCGUGAUUAUUUUCGAUCGCGAUUUAUGGUCCGAUUUUCGUUCUAGUAUAACUUUUCGCUCGUUUAUCGGAAUCAGGCGAUUCAAGCACCUAGAGUUUCGUCUCGAAGCCCUCUUUCUGUUUAACCAACUUAAACAAGAUUUUUCUAUUGUAAAAUUUGACUUUAGUCCAGAUUAGUAAUCGGAUCUUGUUUCUUUCGCAGUUUGAGUUUCGUUGCUUCGUUUGAUUUGAUUCUUUUUGCAAACCGGAGUUCUUAAGUUGAACUUUCUGGUUAGAUUUCUUAUUUGAGUUUUACCCGUGCUUCCUGCUUGAUUGCUUAUUGUAUGUUUGUUUGUUUGCGAUAGAGUACCCGGAGUGCGAAGCGUGUUACUACAAGUCUCUAGGUUUCACGGAUCAUCAGCAAGGCAAGUAACACUUUGAUCAUACCUCUUUACUACCUAGUUUUAUUGCAUUAAAUCAAUCCUCAAACAAUUGCAUGGUUAGGAUGUGAUUAAAUUGUGGGUUUGGGAAGCAGAUGAGUUAGUACCUAUUCACCUGUUAUUUAUCAAACCUUUGGGAGUUACUUCUACAUUGCUUAUGCUGCUAUGCUACGCUCGUAGGCGUGGAUUGGGUUUGAGUGUAUUCAUGACAGAUGUGAGUUUGUUAAUUAAUGGUUCAAUUUAAGGUGGCAACUUAAAUACACAUCUGGGUGGAUUGCUUGUGGGCACCUGGAGAAUCCAGUGUUGUCCUAGGAUAUCCCGGAGGACCCGUGUGAUCAUCUUACGGCCCGCCACCCAGGCUCAAAGGGAUCAUAAGAUUAUUCAUGCUAGAAACUUCCGUGUGCAGCCACAAGCCAUUAUGGGCUCUGGCAUAGUUGAGUAAGUUGCAUGAAGCUCUUGAAGAGGUAGACUACCAGAUGUAGUGGGUUGUAGGUGGUACUGUCUAUCCAGAGUAGAGAGUUAAUGCUUCAGAAAGACUGUGUCUCGAAUCUCCGACCAUGGAUGUAUUCGAGUCUUGUGGGGAAAAGUGUGCAAACCUCUGCAGAGUGUACAAACUAAUCAUGAUUAGCCGUGUCCCCGGUUAUGGACAUCUUGAGUAUCAAGUUCUUGGAUUAUCAUGUGGAUCUCAUCACUCUUAAUAUAAAUUUUGAUUGGGAUUAAUGAUGAUUUUUUUAUUGGGAUUGAGUUGGAGGAACCUUCUUCUCAAUGUUUAACAACUACCAUGAUAGUUGAAUAAAAUUUAUUCCUUUGUUGUAGGGGAAAAUUGGCUUUUCGGAAAACAUAUUAACCAUACAGCCUCCACCAGCCAUAUACGCAUGUAGCGAUAGCAUUAUUCUGUUCAUUACUCUCUUGUGUUGCAUUGCCAGCAUAUUACAUGUGCUGACCCAUUUCGGGCUGCAACGUAUCAUGUUGCAGACUUUUCAGACAACGAGUAAGGUGCCUUAGGUCGUGGUCUUUCACUCAGUGAUGCCGUUGGAGUUGAUGGACUCGCUUUAUCUUCCAAGCCUUCCGCUGUUAUCGUAUUAGAUGGCCUUAAGCCAUAUUUAUUGUAAUAAGUUCUCUUUUGAGAUAUUCGAUGUAAUAAGUGUGUGAUUGCUACUCUGUUAUAAAUCCUUCAAGUACUGUGCGUGUCAGCAUUACCGAUCCAGGGAUGACACUGAUGCACAGAGAUCAGACUGUUUGAGGUCUGGUCGCUACAAGAUGGUAUCAGAGCACACGCUGACUGUAGGACACGACCACUAAGCUAAAACCCUAGAUCACUGCUCUCUUCUCAUUUCUGACUCCUCUCCAUUUUCUACUCUUUAGGAUGGCGGAUUCAAGGAACAAGUUUGCACAACCGGAUGAAGACACAACUUUUGGACGACACUUGAAGGAAGUCACUAGGUACCUGAACAUCGGAAUACCAAGCUUCACCAGGACUUAUAACGCCACUUUACCAGAAGAGGAGCGCUGGAUGAUUCAAGUUCAAGUUCCAGGAAGGACAUUUACGCCAGUCACUGAGCCCAUAGAGUUUUCCUUUGACGCACCCACCUGGAGUCUAGGCAAAAGCAUGGCAGCCCACAUCACCAUGGGACGCAUUGGAGAAGUCUACCACAAAGAUCUCAAGGAUACUAUCUACCAGAUUUGUGGGUGCUACCUCUUGAGCACUGCGUUGGUUUUCCCUUGAAGAGGAAAGGGUGAUGCAGCAAAGUAGCGUAAGUAUUUCGCUCAGUUUUUGAGAACCAAGGUAUCAAUCCAGUAGGAGGCCACGCACGAGUCCCUCGCACCUACACAAACAAAUAAAUCCUCGCAACCAACGCGAUAAGGGGUUGUCAAUCCCUACACGGUCACUUACGAGAGUGAGAUCUGAUAGAUAUGACAAGAUAAUAUUUUUGGUAUUUUUAUGAUAAAGAUGCAAAGUAAAAUAGAAGCAAAAUAAAAGGCAAUGGAAAUAGCUUGUUGAUGGGAGAUUAAUAUGAUGGAAAAUAGACCCGGGGGCCAUAGGUUUCACUAGUGGCUUCUCUCAAGAGCGUAAGUAUUACGGUGGGUGAACAAAUUACUGUUGAGCAAUUGACAGAAUUGAGCAUAGUUAUGUGAAUAUCUAGGUAUGAUCAUGUAUAUAGGCAUCACGUCCGAGACAAGUAGACCGACUCUUGCCUGCAUCUACUACUAUUACUCCACACAUCGACCGCUAUCUAGCAUGCAUCUAGAGUAUUAAGUUCAUAAGAACAGAGUAACACUUUAAGCAAGAUGACAUGAUGUAGAGGGAUAAACUCAUGCAAUAUGAUAUAAACCCCAUCUUGUUAUCCUCGAUGGCAACAAUACAAUACGUGCCUUGGUGCCCCUACUGUCACUGGGAAAGGACACCGCAAGAUUGAACCCAAAGCUAAGCACUUCUCCCACUGCAAGAAAGAUCAAUCUAGUAGGCCAAACCAAACUGAUAAUUCGAAGAGACUUGCAAAGAUAACCAAUCAUACAUAAAAAAAUUCAGAGAAGAUUCAAAUAUUGUUCAUAGAUAAACUUGAUCAUAAACCCACAAUUCAUCGGUCUCAACAAACACACCGCAAAAGAAGAUUACAUGGAAUAGAUCUCCACGAGAGAGGGGCAGAACAUUGUAUUGCGAUCCAAAAAAAGAGAAGAAGUCAUCUAGCUAAUAACUAUGGACCCGAAGGUCUAAGGUAAACUACUCACACAUCAUCGGAGAGGCUAUGAUGUUGAUGUAGAAGCCCUCCGUGAUCGAUGCCCCUUCCGGUGGAGCUCCGGAACAGGCCCCAAGAUGGGAUCUCACGGGUACAGAAGGUUGCGGCGGUGGAAUUUGGUUUUUGGCUCCGUAUCUGGUAGUUUGGGGGUACAUAGGUAUAUAUAGGAGGAAGGAGUAAGUCGGUGGAGCAACAGGGGGCCCACGAGGGUGGAGGGCGCACCCCUCUACCUCGUGCCCUCCUGGUUGAUGUCUUGACGUAGGGUCCAAGUCCUCUGGGUUCAUUCCGAAAAUCACGUUCCCGAAGGUUUCAUUCCAUUUGGACUCCGUUUGAUAUUCUUUUUCUGCGAAACUCUGAAAUAGGCAAAAAAUAGCAAUUCUGGGCUGGGCCUCUGGUUAAUAGGUUAGUCCCAAAAACAAUAUAAAAGUGUAUAAUAAAGCCCAAUAAUGUCCAAAACAGAAUAUAAUAUAGCAUGGAACAAUAAGAAAUUAUAGAUACGUUGGAGACGUAUCAAGCAUCCCCAAGCUUAAUUCCUGCUCGUCCUCGAGUAGGUAAAUGAUACAAACAGAAUUUUUGAUGUGGAAUGCUACUUGGCAUAAUUUCAAUAUAAUUCUUCUUAUUGUGGCAUGAAUGUUCAGAUUUGAUAUGAUUCAAGAUAAAAGUUUAAUGUUGACAUAAAAACAAUAAUACUUCAAGCAUACUAACUAAGCAAUUAUGUCUUAUCAAAAUAACAUAGCCAAAGCAAGUUAUCCCUACAAAAUCAUAUAGUCUGGCUAUGCUCCAUCUUCCCCACACAAAAUAUUCAUAUCAUGUAUGACCCCGGUUUUGGCGAAGCAAUUGGUUCAUACUUUUAACGCGCUUCAGCCUUUUCAACUCUUACGCAAUACAUGAGCGCAAGCCAUGGAUAUAGCACUAUGGUGGAAUAAGGUAUAAUGGUAGGGGUUAUGUGGGAAGACAAAAAAGGAGAAAGUCUCACAUCAACGAGGCUAAUCAACGGGCUAUGGAGAUGCCCAUCAAUUGAUGUUAAUGCAAGGAGUAGGGAUUGCCAUGCAACGGAUGCACUAGAGCUAUAAGUGUAUGAAAGCUCAAAAAGAAACUAAGUGGGUGUGCAUCCAACUUGCUUGCUCACGAAGACCUCGGGCAUUUGAGGAAGCCCAUCAUUGGAAUAUACAAGCCAAGUUCUAUAAUGAAAUUUCCCACUAGUAUAUGAAAGUGACAAAAUGAGAGACUCUCUAUCAUGAAGAUCACGGUGCUACUUUGAAGCACAAGUGUGGUAAAAGGAUAGUAACAUUGUCCCUUCUCUCUUUUUCUCUCAUCAUCUUUUUUAUUUGGGCCUUUUCUCUUUUUUUAUGGCCUCUUUUUUUUAGUCCGGAAUCUCAUCCCAACUUGUGGGGGAAUCAUAGUCUCCAUCAUCCUUUCCUCACUUGGGACAAUGCUCUAAUAUUGAUGAUCAUCACACUUUUAUUUACUUACAACUCAUGAAUUACAACUCAAUAUUUAGAACAAAAUAUGACUCUAUAUGAAUGCCUCCGGCGGUGUACCGGGAUAUGCAAUGAAUCAAGAGCGACAUGUAUGAAAGAAUUAUGAACGGUGGCUUUGCCACAAAUACAAUGUCAACUACAUGAUCAUGCAAAGCAAUAUGACAAUAAUGGAGUAUGUCAUGAUAAAUGAAACGGUGGAAAGUUGCAUGGCAAUGUAUCUCGAAAUGGCUAUGGAAAUGCCAUGAUAGGUAGGUAUGGUGGCUGUUUUGAGGAAGAUAUAAGGAGGUUUAUGUGUGAUAGAGCAUAUCAUAUCACGGGGUUUGAUGCACCGGCAAAGUUUGCACCAACUCUCAAGGUGAGAAAGGGCAAUGUGCGGUACGGAAGAGGCUAGAAAAUUGCGGAAAGGUAAGUGUGCAUAUAAUCCAUGGACUCACAUUAGUCAUAAAGAACUCAUAUACUUAUUGCAAAAAUUGAUUAGACCUCGAAGCAAAGUACUACUAUGCAUGCUCCUAGAGGAAGGGUUGGUAGGAGUUAACCAUCGCGCGAUCCUGACCUCCACACAAAGGAAGACAAUCAACAAAUACUUCAUGCUCCGACUUCGUUACAUAACGGUUCACCAUACGUGCAUGCUACGGGAAUCACAAACUCCAACACAUGUAUUUUUCAAUUCCACAAUUACUCAACUAGCACAACUAUGAUAUUACUACCUUUAUAUCUCAAAACAAUUAUCAAGCAUCAAAUUUCUCAUUAUAUUAAUUAAAGCAAAUUGCCAUGCUAAUUUAAGACUCUCAAAAUAAUAUAAGUGAAACAUGAGAGAUCAAUAGUUUCUAUAAAACAAAUCCACCACCGUGCUCUAAAAGAUAUAAGUGAAGCACUAGAGCAAAAACUAUAUAGCUCAAAAAAAUAUAAGUGAAGCACAUAGAGUAUUCUAAUAAAUUCUGAAUCAAGUGUGACUCUCUCAAAAGGUGUGUACAGCAAGGAUGAUUGUGGUAGACUAACAAAUAAAGACUCAAAUAAUACAAGACACUCCAAGCAAAACACAUAUCAUGUGGUCAAUAAAAAUAUAGCUCCAAGUAAAGUUACCGAUGGAAGUAGACGAAAGAGGGGAUGCCUUCCGGGGCAUCCCCAAGAUUUGGCUUUUAGGUGUCCUUAGAUUAACUUGGGGUGCCAUGGGCAUCCCCAAGCUUAGGCUCUUGCCACUCCUUGUUCCAUAAUCCAUCAAAUGUUUCACCCAAAACUUGAAAACUUCACAACACAAAACUCAGCAGAAAAUCUCGUAAGCUCCGUUAGCGAAAGAAAACAAAAGACCACUUCAAGGUACUGUAAUAAACUCAUUCUUUAUUUAUAUUGGUGUUAAACCUACUGUAUUCCAACUUCUCUAUGGUUUAUAAACUAUUUUACUAGCCAUAGAUUCAUAAAAUAAGCAAACAACACACGAAAAACAGAAUCUGUAAAAAACAGAACAGUCUGUAGUAAUCUGUAACUAAAGCAAACUUAUGAAACUCCAAAAUUCAGUCAAAAUAGGAAGACCUAGACAAUUUUUUUAUUGAUCAGCAGCAAUUGGAAUCAAUAUUUUAUCACGUUCUGGUGAUUUUUAACAAUUAUUUUUGUGAACAGAAAGUUUCUGGAAUUUACAGCAAGAUCAAAUAACUAUCAUCCAAGAAGAUCCUAUAGGUUAAACUUGGCACAAACACUAAUUAAAACAUAAAAACACAUCUAACCAGAGGAUAGAUCAAAUAUUUAUUCCUAAACAGAAGCAAAAAGCAAAAAAACUAAAAAUAAAAUUGGGUUGCCUCCCAACAAGCGCUAUCGUUUAACGCCCCUAGCUAGGCAUAAAAGCAAGGAUAGAUCUAGGUAUUGCCAUCUUUGGUAGGCAAUCCAUAAGUGGUUCUCAUAAUAGAUUCAUAAGGUAAUUUUAUUUUCUUUCUAGGGAAGUGUUCCAUGCCUUUUCUUUAAUGGAAAAUUGGAAUCUAAUAUUCCCUUCCUUCAUAUCAAUAAUUGCACCAAUCGUUCUAAGGAAAGGUCUACCAAGAAUGAUAGGACAUGAAGGAUUGCAAUCUAUGUCAAGAACAAUAAAGUCUACGGACACAUAGUUCCUAUUUGCAACAAUAAGAACAUCAUUAAUUCUUCCCAUAUGUUUCUUAAUAGUGGAAUCCGCAAGGUGCAAGUUUAAAGAGCAAUCAACAAAUUCACGGAAACCUAAUAAAUCACAUAAAGUUUUUGGAAUCGUGGAAACACUAGCACCCAAAUCACACAAAGCAUAGCAUUCAUGAUCUUUAAUUUUAAUUUUAAUAGUAGGUUCCCACUCAUCAUAAAGUUUUCUAGGGAUAGAAACUUCCAACUCAAGUUUUUCUUUGUAAGAUUGCAUCAAAGCAUCAACGAUAUGUUUGGUAAAGGCUUUAUUUUGACUAUAAGCAUGAGGAGAAUUUAGCACGGAUUGCAACAAGGAAAUACAAUCUAUCAAAGAGCAAUUAUCAUAAUUAAAUUCCUUGAAAUCCAAAAUAGUGCGUUCAUUAAUAUCUAAUGUUUUGAUCUCUUCAAUCCCAUUUUCAUCAAUUUUAGCAUCAAGAUCUAAAAACUCCGAAUUUUUGGAACACCUUCUAGGUAAAGGUGGAUCAUAUUCAGUCCCAUCAUUAUCAAGAUUCAUAUUGCAAAACAAAGAUUUAAUAGGGGACACAUCAAUAACUUUUAGAUCUUCAUCUUUAUUUUCAUAGAAAUUUGAAGAACACGCUUUCACAAAGCAAUCUUUCUUAGCACGCAUCCUAGCGGUUCUUUCUUUGCACUCAUCAAUGGAAAUUCUCUUGGCUUUAAGAGACUCAUUGAUAUCAUGCUUAGGAGGAAUAGAUCUAAGUUUUAAAGGAUCAACAUCAAGAGAAAUUCUAUCAACGUUCCUAGCCAAUUCAUCAACUUUAAGCAAUUUUUCUUCAAGCAAAGCAUUGAAAUUCUUUUGCGAAUUGAUAAAUUCCUUAACACUAGUCUCAAAUUCAGAAGGCAUCUUAUUAAAGUUUCCAUAAGAAUUGUUGUAGGAAUUACCAUAAUUAUUAGAGGAAUUACUAGGAUAAGGCCUAGGAUUAAAGUUUCCUCUAUACGCGGUUUUACCAAAAUUAUUCCUACCAACAAAAUUCACAUCCAUAGGUUCAUUAUUAUUCUCAAUCAAGGUAAACAAAGGCAUAUCAUUAGGAUCAGAAGAAACACUCUUAGUAGCAAAUAAUUUCAUAAGUUCAUCCAUCUUUCCACUCAAAACAUUAAUUUCUUCUAUCGCAUGCACUUUUUUAUUAGUAGAUCUUUCAGUGUGCCAUUGAGAAUAAUUAAUCAUAAUACUAUCUAGGAGUUUAAUAGAUUCUCCUAAAGUGAUUUCCAUAAAAGUGCCUCCCGCGGCCGAAUCUAAAAGAUUUCUAGAAGCAAAAUUCAAUCCGGCAUAAUUUUUUUGUUUAAUCAUCCACAAAUUCAAACCAUGCGUAGGGCAAUUACGUAUCAUUAAUUUCAUCCUCUCCCAAGCUUGUGCAACAUGUUCAUGAUCAAGUUGCUUAAAAUUCAUAAUAUCGUUUCUAAGAGAGAUGAUCUUAGCGGGAGGAAAAUAUUUAGAGAUAAAAGCAUCUUUGCACUUAUUCCAAGAAUCAAUACUAUUUUUAGGCAAAGAUGAAAACCAAGCUUUAGCACGAUCUCUAAGCGAAAAAGGAAAUAACUUCAAUUUAACAAUAUCAUUGUCCACAUCUUUCUUCUUUUGCAUAUCACACAAAUCAACGAAGCUAUUUAGAUGGGUAGCGGCAUCUUCACUAGGAAGGUCGGCGAAUUGAUCUUUCAUGACAAGAUUCAACAAAGCAGCAUUGGUUUCACAAGAUUCAGUAUCGGUAAGAGGAGCAAUAGGAGUGCUAAGAAAAUCAUUGUUGUUGGUAUUGGUGAAGUCACACAAUUUAGUAUUAUCUUGAGCCAUCGUGACAAACAGGCAAUCCAACACACGAGCAAACAAGAAGCGAGUGAAAAAGGCGAACUGAAAAGAGAGGGCGAAUAAAACGGUAAGGGUGAAGUGGGGGAGAGGAAAAUGAGAGGCAAAUGGCAAAUAAUGUAAUGCGGGAGAUAAGGGUUUGUGAUGGGUACUUGGUAUGUUGACUUUUGCGUAGACUCCCCGGCAACGGCGCCAGAAAUGGCUCGUUGUCGGGAGUGCAAAUCUUGACUUGACCUUGCGUAAGCCUCCCCGGCAACGGCGCCAGAACUCCUUCUUGCUACCUCUUGAGCACUGCGUUGGUUUUCCCUUGAAGAGGAAAGGGUGAUGCAGCAAAGUAGCGUAAGUAUUUCCCUCAGUUUUUGAGAACCAAGGUAUCAAUCCAGUAGGAGGCCAUGCACGAGUCCCUCGCACCUACACAAACAAAUAAAUCCUCGCAACCAACAUGAUAAGGGGUUGUCAAUCCCUACACGGCCACUUAUGAGAGUGAGAUCUGAUAGAUAUGAUAAGAUAAUAUUUUUUGGUAUUUUUAUGAUAAAGAUGCAAAGUAAAUAGAAGCAAAAUAAAAGGCAAUGGAAAUAGCUUGUUGAUGGGAGAUUAAUAUGAUGGAAAAUAGACCCGGGGGCCAUAGGUUUCACUAGUUGCUUCUCUCAAGAGCAUAAGUAUUACGGUGGGUGAACAAAUUACUAUUGAGCAAUUGACAGAAUUGAGCAUAGUUAUGAGAAUAUCUAGGUAUGAUCAUGUAUAUAGGAAUCACGUCCGAGACAAGUAGACCGACUCCUGCCUGCAUCUACUACUAUUACUCCACACAUCGACCACUAUCCAGCAUGCAUCUAGAGUAUUAAGUUCAUAAGAAUAGAGUAACACUUUAAGCAAGAUGACAUGAUGUAGAGGGAUAAACUCAUGCAAUAUGAUAUAAACCCCAUCUUGUUAUCCUCGAUGGCAACAAUACAAUACGUGCCUUGCUGCCCCUACUGUCACCGGGAAAGGACACCGCAAGAUUGAACCCAAAGCUAAGCACUUCUCCCAUUGCAGGAAAGAUCAAUCUAGUAGGCCAAACCAAACUGAUAAUUCGAAGAGACUUGCAAAGAUAACCAAUCAUACAUCAAAGAAUUCAGAGAAGAUUCAAAUAUUGUUCAUAGAUAAACUUGAUCAUAAACCCACAAUUCAUCGGUCUCAACAAACACACCGCAAAAGAAGAUUACAUCGAAUAGAUCUCCACAAAAGAGGGGGAGAACAUUGUAUUGAGAUCCAAAAAGAGAGAAGAAGCUAUCUAGCUAAUAACUAUGGACCCGAAGGUCUAAGGUAAACUACUCACACAUCAUCGGAGAGGCUAUGGUGUUGAUGUAGAAGCCCUCCGUGAUCGAUGCCCCUUCCGGCGGAGCUCCGGAACAGGCCCCAAGAUGGGAUCUCAUGGUACACAAGGUUGCGGCGGUGGAAUUAGGUUUUUGGCUCCGUAUCUGGUAGUUUGGGGGUACGUAGGUAUAUAUAGGAGGAAGGAGUACGUCGAUGGAGCAACACAGGGCCCACGAGGGUGGAGGGCGCACCUUGGGGGGGGGGGGGUAGGCGCGCCCCCUACCUCGUGCCCUCCUGGUUGAUGUCUUGACGUAGGGUCCAAGUCCUCUGGAUCACGUUUGUUCCGAAAAUCACGUCCCCGAAGGUUUCAUUCCGUUUGGACUCCGUUUGAUAUUCUUUUUCUGCGAAACUCUGAAAUUGGCAAAAAACAGCAAUUCUGGGCUGGGCCUCCGGUUAAUAGGUUAGUCCCAAAAACAAUAUAAAAGUGUAUAAUAAAGCCCAAUAAUGUCCAAAACAGAAUAUAAUAUAGCAUGGAACAAUAAAAAAUUAUAGAUACGUUGGAGACGUAUCAGUGGGCGCCGAGAUGAGCAAUGGGAGAUGAUCAACACCAGGAAGGAUAGAUCUAUUGCAGCUUUCAUCCAGGAGUUAAACCAACACAUUCGUCGCCAGGAGAACCAGAUGUGCGCAGGCAUGAGGGAUCUGAAGAAGGUGAUGACAAGGAUCACAGAGCUGGAGGAAGAACUCAAGGCUACUCGCGAAGAUUAUGAGGAGGAAAUUGUCGUACUAGUGGAGAUGAAUGACGACCUGACAAGGAAGCUAGGAGUAUUCAUGGGAGAUCCCGUGCCAGGAGGAGAAGACGAUGAUUCCACUUACCCGGAGAACUAUAUCAUCAUCGACGACACCGACUCGGACCCCGACGAUAGUGAUGAUGAUUACGUUGAUGAAGCUGGAGCGGAUAUCAUGGAGUCUUUGACCAAGCAAUUUUUCUAGUCGACCACCAUAUCAGUAGUGGUAUUCCCCCAUGUAUAUAGUAUAGUCCGAGCACUUUUGUAAUGAUAGUUAGACCGAUUGUAUGCCCUUGCUUGAUUGAUUGAGUGAUAUGUUUGUGUUUAUAUCAUGUGCAUAUGGGUAGUGUUUUCCCCCUAGACCUCAUUCUAUUAUGUUUUCUCACCUUUUCUAAACCCAGCAGAUGCCUCCGAGACGCGACAAUGGAUUUGCCUUCCCACCGGAGCUCCCUCAGUUGAUCCAGCAGCAGAAUGCAUUGAUGCAGAUACUAGUCCAUAAUCAGAAUCAGGGGAACAACAACAACAACCCACCACCACCACCACCCGUUGAUCACUUAGCCCGUUUUCUAAGGCUGAAUCCGCCGGUGUUCUCCAGUAGCACCAAGCCGAUAGUUGCGGAUGAUUUGCUCCGCAAGAUUGGAAGGGAGCUGACCACUGCAGGAUGCAUAGAUGUGGGGAGAGUGUGUUUCGCCGCACAUCAGCUUGAUGGACCCGCAGCGUCAUGGUGGGAGAAUUUCACAGCCACUUACCCCAUUGACAAUGUUACAUGGGACCAGUUUCAGCAAGCUUUUCGCACUGCCCAUGUAUCAGCAGGAGCUAUGGCCAUGAAGAAGCGCGAGUUUCGCAACUUACGCCAAGGAGGACGCACCGUUGGCCAGUAUGUGGAUGACUUUAGUAAGCUAGCACGUUAUGCCCCACAUGACGUUGCUACGGAUGCAACUAAACAGGAGAAGUUUCGGGAAGGACUGAAUGAUGAGCUGAGCAUGCAUUUGAUGGUGGCAAAUUUUAAUAACUACCAGGAGUUGGUAGAUAGAGCUCUCAUGAUUGAAGGGAAGUAGCAGCAGAUUGACAACCGCAAGAGGAAGUAUGGACAAGGGAAGUACAAUCCUGGAGCUAUGCAGAGACCCCGUUUUACCCCGAACUCGGGAGUACCCCUUCAACAUAACCAUGGAGGUCACAAUCACAAUGGAGGGAUGUUGCACAACCAUAGUAGCUCCAAGAACGGGAAUGGUAAUGGAGGAAGCAACGGACAGAACCGUUCCAAUCCAGCAACGCCCGCCAAGAAAGAUCUAAGUCACAUUACUUGUUUCAAGUGCGGGAAGAAUGGACAUUAUGCCACGGAGUGUUCUGAAGCAAAGAAUGGAAAUGGCAAUGGAAGCUCUGGGAAGAAGCCCAACCCUUUCAACAGGGGACAAGUGAACCAUGUUAGCGUAGAGGAGGUUGAAGCGCAACCCGAUGCAGUAGUAGGUAAGUUUAUGGUUAAGUCAUUUACUGCAAUCGUUCUUUUUGAUACUGGAUAAGUUUAAACUGCCAACCCAAGCCCUUAGGUCACCCAUGUUAGUAACCUCGCCAGGAGCAGAGUAUAUGGCUAGCCUAUGGUGUGAUCGGUUACCAUCAAGGAUUGGUAACUACCUGUUUCCUCGGACCUAAUAGUAUUGGAGUCACAAGGACUGGAUGUGAUAUUAGGCAUGGAUAGGUUAUCGAAGUAUGGAGGGAACAUUGACUGCGCCAGCAAGUCGAUUUUGCUUAUCACCCCAGAAGGGAAGGACCAAGUAUGUAUCCCGGCAUGUGCCGAGUAGGACUCAAGUGAAUUCCUUGUCAGGAGUUGUAUAGGAGGAAGUACCAGUGGUGAAGGAUUUUUUGGAUGUAUUUCCAGAAGAGUUGCCAGGCAUGCCACAGGAUAGAGACAUUGAGUUUUUGAUCGAGCUUUUGCCAGGCACAGGACCAAUAUCUAAGAGACCGUACAGAAUUCUCACAAAGGAUUUGGAGGAAAUUAAGAAGCAGACAAAGGAGUUACUGGAUAAAGGCUAUAUUCACCCAAGUUCGUCACCUUGGGGCUCACCAGUACUUCUAGUGGAGAAGAAGGACGGAUCGUUGAGGAUGGUUGUUGAUUAUCGAGGAUUGAAUGAGGUGACGAUCAAGAAAAAGUACCCACUGCCGAUGAUAAAUGACUUGUUUGACCAGCUGCAAGGAGCUAAGGUGUUUUCCAAGAUCGAUCUACGAUCAGGGUACCACCAACUGAAGAUUCGAGAGCAGGAUAUACCUAAGACAACCUUUACCACAAGGUACGGGCUAUAUGAGUAUACCGUUAUGUCAUUUGGUCUGACGAACGCACCUACCUUAUUUUAUGAACUGAUGAACAAAGUGUUUAUGGAGUUUUUGGAUAAGUUCGUCGUGGUGUUCAUUGAUGAUAUUCUGGUCUACUCGAAGAAUGAAGAGGAACAUAAGGAGCAUUUGCGUUUGGUACUUGGGAAGCUCAGAGAACAUCAGCUAUACGCCAGGUUCAGCAAGUGUGAGUUUUGGUUGAAGGAAGUUGGAUUUCUUGGACAUGUUAUAUCUGGAGAAGGAAUAGCGGUAGACCCCACCAAAGUUGUCACAGUGACAAAUUCGGAAGCACCCACAUCAGUUGGAGAGAUCCGUAGUUUUCUUGGACUCGCAGGAUACUACAGGAGGUUCAUUGAGAAUUUCUCGAAGAUUGCAAAGCCUAUGACGGAGUUGUUAAAGAAGGACACCAAGUUCAAAUGGACUGAGGAAUGUGAGGCCAGUUUUCAGGAGUUGAAGGAACGCUUGGUUACAUCACCAGUGUUGAUUCUGCCAGAUCAACGCAAGGAUUAUGAAGUGUAUUGUGACGCUUCUCGUCGAGGACUUGGAGCUGUACUUAUGCAGGAGGGAAGAGUUGUUUCAUAUGCCUCACGACAACUUAAACCCCAUGAGUUGAAUUGUGCUACACAUGAUUUGGAGUUAGCAGCCGUAGUGCAUGUGUUGAAGACGUGGAGACACUUUCUCAUCGGAAACCAUUGUGAGGUGUACACGGAUCACAAGAGUUUGAAGUACAUCUUCACUCAGAAGGAGUUGAAUCUCAGGCAGAGGAGAUGGUUAGAGCUCAUUAAGGAUUAUGAUAUGAAGUUGCAUUAUCAUCCCGGAAAGGCUAACGUAGUAGCCGAUGCGUUGAGCCGCAAGAGUCAUGUCAAUACACUCAUGACCGGAGAGUUACCCAAGGAGUUAGCGGAGGAUCUUCGUGAGCUAUGUUUGGAAAUAGUUCCGAGAGGUUAUGUAUCAGCACUGGAAAUUCAGUCAACUUUGAUGGAUAAGAUCAGGGAAGCUCAGAAGACGGACAAGGAGAUUGCCGAGAUAAAGGAAAGAAUGAGCAAAGGAAAAGCUAAUGGAUUUCGUGAAGAUAAGCACGAUACCCUAUGGUUUGAGGACCGCGUUUAUGUGCCUAAUGAUCCGGAGAUCAGGAAGUUGAUUCUGCAAGAGGCCCAUGAUUCGCCGUAUUCGAUUCACCCAGGAAAUACCAAGAUGUAUCUGGAUUUGAAGGAUAGUUUUUGGUGGACCGGAAUGAAGAAGGAUAUUGCUGAGUAUGUAGCAGUUUGUGAUGUAUGUCAGAGAGUGAAGGCAGAACAUCAGAAGCCAGCAGGAUUACUACAACCACUGCCGAUUCCCGAAUGGAAGUGGGACAAGCUAGGCAUGGAUUUUAUCAUGGGAUUGAAGGAAAUAUGCCCUAGAGGCAAUAAUAAAGUUAUUAUUUAUUUCCUUAUAUCAUGAUAAAUGUUUAUUAUUCAUGCUAGAAUUGUAUUAACCGGAAACAUAUUACAUGUGUGAAUACAUAGACAAACAGAGUGUCACUAGUAUGCCUCUACUUGACUAGCUCGUUAAUCAAAGAUGGUUAUGUUUCCUAGGCAUAGACAUGAGUUGUCAUUUGAUUAACGGGAUCACCUCAUUAGGAGAAUGACGUGAUUGACUUGACCCAUUCCGUUAGCUUAGCACUCGAUCGUUUAGUAUGCUGCUAUUGCUUUCUUCAUGACUUAUACAUGUUCCUAUGACUAUGAGAUUAUGCAACUCCUGUUUACCGGAGGAACACUUUGUGUGCUACCAAACGUCACAACGUAACUGGGUGAUUAUAAAGGUGCUCUACAGGUGUCUCCAAAGGUACUUGUUGAGUUGGCGUAUUUCGAGAUUAGGAUUUGUCACUCCGAUUGUCGGAGAGGUAUCUCUGGGCCCACUCGGUAAUGCACAUCACUAUAAAGCCUUGCAAGCAUUGUAACUAAUGAGUUAGCUGCGGGAUGAUGUAUUACAGAACGAGUAAAGAGACUUGCCGGUAACGAGAUUGAACUAGGUAUCGAGAUACCGACGAUCGAAUCUCGGGCAAGUAACAUACCGAUAACAAAGGGAACAACGUAUGUUGUUAUGCGGUUUGACCGAUAAAGAUCUUCGUAGAAUAUGUGGGAACCAAUAUGAGCAUCCAGGUUCCGCUAUUGGUUAUUGACCGGAGAGGUGUCUCGGUCAUGUCUACAUAGUUCUCUAACCCGUAGGGUCCGCACACUUAACGCUACGAUGACAGUUUGAUUAUGAGUUUAUAUGUUUUGAUGUACCGAAGGUUGUUCGGAGUCCCUAUGUGAUCACGGACAUGACGAGGAGUCUCGAAAUGGUCGAGACAUAAAGAUUGAUAUAUUGGACGACUAUAUUCGGACACCAGAGGUGUUCCGGAGAAGUUUCGGGAAAAACCGGAGUGCGGGAGGGGUUACCGGAACCCCCCGGGGAAGUAUUGGGCCUUAGUGGGCCUGAGGGGAGAGAGAGGGCAGCAGCUAGGAGGUGGCGCGCCCCCUCCCAUGAGGAGUCCUAAUUGGACUAGGGGAGGGGGGCGCAGCCCCUCUUUCCCUCUCCCUCUCCCUCUCUUUCCUUCCCCCCUCUCCUUGGCGCGCCCAAAGGCAGCCGGCCUCCCCCUUGCUCCUUUAUAUACGGGGGCAGGGGGGCACCUCUAAACACACUUGAUAUACGAUAUUUUAGCCGUGUGCGGUGCCCCCCUCCACCAUAUUACACCUCAAUCAUACCGUUGCGGAGCUUAGGCGAAGCCCUGCGUCGGUGGAGCAUCAUCAUCGUCACCACGCCGUCGUGCUGACGAAACUCUCCCUCAACACUCGGCUGGAUCGGAGUUCGAGGGACGUCAUCGAGCUGAACGUGUGCUGAACUCGAAGGUGCCGUGUGUUCGGUACUUGAUCGGUCGGAUCAUGAAGAUGUACGACUACAUCAACCGCGUUGUAAUAACGCUUCCGCUUUCGGUCUACGAGGGUACGUGGACAACACUCUCCCCUUUCGUUGCUAUGCAUCACCAUGAUCUUGCGUGUGCGUAGGAAAUUUUUUUGAAAUUACUACGUGCCCCAACAGGGAUUACCCAGGACUCGUUCAGGCUAUGAGUCGAUAUGGGUUGUAGUCGAUCGUUUGAAGGAGGGAGCUCAUUUAAUCCCAGUGAAGACCACUUACACCAGUGUUAAGUUGGCAAAGAUAUACAUGACCAGGAUCGUGUGUCUGCAUGGAGUUCCGAUGACCAUUUUAUCAGAUAGAGGAACCCUGUUUACCUCCAAAUUUUGGAAUCAGUUGCAUGAGACUUUGGGAACCAGGCUAGAGUUCAGUACAGCUUUUCACCCGCAGAUAGAUGGACAGACUGAGAGAGUCAAUCAAAUUAUGGAGGACAUGUUGAGAGCUUGUGCGCUAGACUAUGGAUCUAGUUGGGAUGAUAAUUUGCCGUAUGCAGAGUUCUCUUACAACAACAGCUAUCAAGCUAGUUUGAAGAUGGCCCCUUUCGAAGCAUUGUACGGAAGGAGGUGCAGGACACCGUUGUUGUGGGAUGAAGUUGGAGAUCACCAGUUGUUUGGACCUGAUUUGAUUAAAGAAUCUGAAGAGAAGGUUAAGCUAAUUCGCGAUAGACUCAAGGUAGCGCAGUCCAGGAAGAAGAGCUAUGCGGAUUCUAAAUGCAAGGAGACAGUUUACGAAGUUGGAGACAGAGUGUAUCUUCGUGUAUCCCCACUUCGAGGAGUGAAGCGUUUUGGAGUUAAGGGAAAGUUAGCCCCGAGAUUUGUAGGACCUUACCGUGUUUUGGAACAUAUGGGAGAAGUUUCCUACAAGUUGGAAUUGCCCGAAGGAUUGUCAGGAGUUCACGAUGUGUUCCAUGUUUCUCAGUUGAAGAAGUGCCACGCAAAGAUGGCUGAUAUCCCUCUGAGAGAUACAGUGCCACUGGAAGCGAUACAGUUGGAUAGCGAUUUGACAUACGAGGAGAAACCAGUCAAGACUCUCGAGUUUGCCAGCCGAGUUACACGCAACAAGGUUAUCAAGUUCUGCAAAGUUCAGUGGAGCCACCAUACCGAGGAUGAAGCCACCUGGGAACGAGAGGAAGACCUACGGAAGGAUAACCCUCACCUAUUUUCUAGCCAACCCGAAUCUCGAGGGCGAGAUUCAUCUUAAGGGGGGUAGGUUUGUAACAUCCCAAAUUUUCAAUUUGGAAUGUUAUACAUUAGAUCAUCAUUGCAUCUCAUAUUUUAUUGCAUUUUGGCUUGAUCCUAGAAAUGCUACGCAGCUCAAGGACCCACGGAGAGAGUUGGGGAUUUCGUUAUUUUCAUAUUUGAGUUUUCUCAAAUUUUGAAAAGAGGAUCGUUUGAUUUUAAUUAUUUUCUCUUCAAAUAUCUCUUUUAUGAAAAUAAAAGAGAGGGGAUAAAAUGACUUCCUCAAAAUAAAUAAAUAUUGGAGAUUUAAUAUUAAAAUCAAAUAAGAUUUUUAUUCGGAGUUUUAUCGCUAUUUUAUUUGAAUUAGGAAAAAUAUGCGUUUUUCAAAAUUGCAUUAGAGUCCCAAAUAAAUGUUCACCUUGUCCGGUAGAUUUUUAGAGGACGGGGAAAAUUUAUUUCAGGAUUUUUGGAGUCCGUUUAGUAUUUCUUUUAUUUAUUUAUCUGCGCAGAAUAGUAAAAAAAGAGGAAACCGACUUCGGGCCGUACCCGAGCGGGACUCCGACCGGGGGGGCUUUAUAAGCNNNNNNNNNNNNNNNNNNNNNNNNNNNNNNNNNNNNNNNNNNNNNNNNNNNNNNNNNNNNNNNNNNNNNNNNNNNNNNNNNNNNNNNNNNNNNNNNNNNNNNNNNNNNNNNNNNNNNNNNNNNNNNNNNNNNNNNNNNNNNNNNNNNNNNNNNNNNNNNNNNNNNNNNNNNNNNNNNNNNNNNNNNNNNNNNNNNNNNNNNNNNNNNNNNNNNNNNNNNNNNNNNNNNNNNNNNNNNNNNNNNNNNNNNNNNNNNNNNNNNNNNNNNNNNNNNNNNNNNNNNNNNNNNNNNNNNNNNNNNNNNNNNNNNNNNNNNNNNNNNNNNNNNNNNNNNNNNNNNNNNNNNNNNNNNNNNNNNNNNNCCGCCACCCACCGCCCCGCGCCGCCACCCGCCGCCACCCGCAGCCGCACCGCCGCAUCGGAGCCGCGCCUCCGCCGUCCUCGGUUUUCACGAGAAAACCGAUCGGUUUUUUCGAAACCCUAGAUCUGUUUUUUCAGAUCUGGUUCGGUUUUUUUGGUUUAGUUAUUUAGCGGAUGUUCGUCCGUACGUUCGUUUUAACGAACGGUUUUCGCCCGUUAGCCGCAGAUAACGAACGUUCGUUCGUUAGCCUGUUCGUCGGUUUUUUUUUUCUCGGAUUUUUCGCGAUUAUUUUCGAUCGCGAUUUCUGGGCUGAUUUUCGUUCUAGUAUAACUUUUCGCUCGUUUAUCGGAAUCAGGCGAUUCAAGCACCUAGAGUUUCAUCUCGAAGCCCUCUUUCUGUUUAACCAACUUAAACAAGAUUUUUCUACUGUAAAAUUUGACUUUAGUCCAGAUUAGUAAUCGGAUCUUGUUCUUUCGCAGUUUGAGUUUCGUUGCUUCGUUUGAUUUGAUUCUUUUUGCAAACCGGAGUUCUUAAGUUGAACUUUCUAGUUAGAUUUCUUAUUUGAGUUUUACCCGUGCUUCUUGCUCAAUUUCUUAUUGUAUGUUUGUUUGUUUGCAAUAGAGUACCCGUAGUGCGAAGCAUGUUACUACAAGUCUCUAGGUUUCACGGAUCAUCAGCAAGGCAAAUAACACUUUGAUCAUACCUCUAUACUACCCAGUUUUAUUGCAUUAGAUCAAUCCUCAAACAAUUGCAUGGUUAGGAUUUGAUUAAAUUGUGGGUUUGGGAAGUAGAUGAGUUAGUACAUAUUCACCUGUUAUUUAUCAAACCUUUGGGAGUUACUUCUACGUUGCUUAUACUGCUAUGCUAUGCUUGUAGACGUGGAUUGGGUUUGAGUGUAUUCAUGACAGAUGUGAGUUUGUUAAUUAAUGGUUCAAUUUAAGGUGGCAACUUAAAUACACAUCUGGGUGGAUUGGUUGUGGGCACCUGGAGAAUCCAGUGCUGUCCUAGGAUAUCCUGGAGGACCCGUGUGAUCAUCCUAAGGCCAGCCACCCAGGCUCAAAGGGAUCAUAAGAUUAUUCAUGCUAGAAACUUCCGUGUGCAGCCACAAGCCAUUAUGGGCUCUGGCAUAGUUGAGUAAGUUGCGUGAAGCUCUUGAAGAGGUAGACUAGCAGAUGUAGUGGGUUGUAGGUGGUACUGUCUAUCCAGAGUAGAGAGUUAAUGCUUCAGAAAGACUGUGUCUCGAAUCUCCGACCAUGGAUGUAUUCGAGUCUUGUGGGGAAAAGUGCGCAAACCUCUGCAGAGUGUACAAACUAAUCAUGAUUAGUCGUGUCCCCGGUUAUGGACAUCUUGAGUAUCUAGUUCUUGGAUUAUCAUGUGGAUCUCAUCACUCUUAAUAUAAAUUUUGAUUGGGUUUAAUGAUGAUUUUUUUAAUUAGGAUUGAGUUGGAGGAACCUUCUCAAUGUUUAACAACUACCAUGAUAGUUAAAUAAAAUUUAUUCCUUUGUUGUAGGAAAAAAUUGGCUUUUCGCAAAACAUAUUAACCAUACAGCCUCCACCAGCCAUAUAUGCAUGUAGCGAUAGCAUUAUUCUGUUCAUUACUCUCUUGUGUUGCAUUGCCAGCAUAUUCCAUGUGCUGACCCAUUUCGGGCUGCAACGUAUCAUGUUGCAGACUUUUCAGACAACGAGUAAGGUGCCUUAGGUCGUGGUCUUUCACUCAGUGAUGCCGUUGGAGUUGAUGGACUCGCUUUAUCUUCCAAGCCUUCCGCUCUUAUCGUAUUAGAUGGCCUUAAGCCAUAUUUAUGGUAAUAAGUUCUCUUUUGAGACAUUCGAUGUAAUAAGUGUGUGAUUGCUACUCUGUUAUAAAUCCUUCAAGUACUGUGCGUGUCAGCAUUACCGAUCCAGGGAUGACACUGAUGCACAGAGAUUAGACUAUCUGAGGUCUGGUCGCUACAUGAAUCUAAUAUUGCUAUGGUUAAAGAUCACUUAGAAGAAGAUUUGGAUGGGCAUGUUAUCUACUUCUGUGCAGAAGCUGCUAGAAUUGGCAAACCCGAAAAAGGGAUAAAAAUAGACCAGUUGUUGGCCUGCCUAUCAUUUCAGUUAAAAUAGGAGAUCACUGUUAUCAUGGUUUAUGUGACAUGGGUGCUAGUGUGAGCGCUAUUCCUUACAAGUUAUAUCAAGAAAUUAGGGAAGACAUAGCACCUACAGAGUUAGAAGACAUAGAUGUUACUAUUAAACUUGCAAAUAGAGACACCUUAUCACCUUGUAGGAUUAUUAGAGAUGUCGAAGUCUUGUGUGGGAAAGUAAAAUACCCUACCCAUUUUCUAGUUCUUGGUUCCCCACAAGAUGAUUUCUGUCCCAUUAUCUUUGGUAGACCUUUGUUGAACACAGUUAAUGCGAAGAUAGAUUGCCAGAAACAAACUGUGGGUGUUAGCUUUGAUGAUGAGUCUCAUGAGUUUAAUUUUUCCAAGUUUAGGAGAAAUCAUCAUGAAAAAGAAUUGCCUGGUAAAGAUGAAUUAAUCGGUCUUGCUUCUAUUGCUGUACCACCUACUGAUCCUUUAGAACAAUACUUGCUAGACCAUGAAAAUGAUUUACAUAUGCAUGAAAGAAAUGAAAUAGAUAAGAUUUUGUUUGAACAACGUCCUCUGCUUAAACACAAUUUGCCUAUUGAAACCCUAGGGGGUCCUCCUCCACCUAAAGGUGAUCCUGUGUUUGAAUUAAAACAAUUGCCAGACACUUUGAAAUAUGCUUAUCUUGAUGAAAAGAAGAUAUAUCCUGUUAUUAUCAGUGCUAACCUUUCAGAACAUGAAGAAGAAAGAUUAUUGAAAGUUCUAAGGAAGCACCAGGCUGCUAUUGGAUAUACUCUUGAUGAUUUAAAGGGCAUUAGUCCCAAUCUAUGUCAGCACAAAAUUAAUAUGGAACCUGAUGCUAAACCAGUUGUUGAUCAGCAACGUCGGUUAAAUCCGAAGAUGAAAGAGGUGGUAAGAACGGAAAUAUUAAAACUUCUGGAAGCAGGUAUAAUCUAUCCUAUAGCUGAUAGUAGAUGGGUAAGUCCUAUUCAUUGUGUCCCUAAGAAACGAGGUAUUACUGUUGUUCCUAAUGAUAGAAUGAACUUAUUCCGCAAAGAAUUGUUACAAACUAUAGAAUGGUAAUUGAUUUCAGAAAAUUAAAUAAAGCUACUAGAAAAGAUCAUUACCCUUUGCCUUUUAUUGAUCAAAUGCUUGAAAGAUUAUCUAAGCACACACACUUUUGCUUCCUUGAUGGAUAUUCUGGCUUUUCACAAAUACCUGUUUCUCAACCUGAUCAAGAAAAGACCACUUUUACUUGUCCUUUUGGAACCUAUGCUUAUAGACGUAUGCCUUUUGGUUUAUGUAAUGCACCUGCUACCUUUCAAAGAUGCAUGACGGCUAUAUUCUAUGAUUUUUGUGAAAAUAUUGUUGAAGUUUUCAUGGAUGGCUUCUCUGUCUAUGGGAAGUCUUUUGAUGAUUGUUUAAGCAAUCUUGAAAGAGUUUUGCAGAGAUGUGAACAAACAAAUCUUGUCUUGAAUUGGGAGAAGUGCCACUUUAUGGUUAAUGAAGGCAUUGUCUUGGGUCAUAAAAUUUCUGAAAGAGGUAUUGAAGUGGACCAAGCUAAGGUUGAUGCUAUUGAGAAAAUGCCAUGUCCUAAGGACAUUAAAGGUAUUCGUAGUUUCCUAGGUCAUGCCGGUUUCUAUAGGAGGUUUAUCAAGGGCUUUUCUAAAAUUUCUAGGCCUCUUACUAAUCUUUUGCAAAAGGAUAUUCCUUUUGUUUUUGAUGAUGAUUGUCUUGAAGCCUUUGAAACACUCAAGAAAGCUUUGAUCUCUGCACCUAUUGUUCAACCACCUGAUAGGAACUUGCCUUUUGAGAUUAUGUGUGAUGCUAGUGAUUAUGCUGUUGGUGCUGUUCUAGGACAAAGAGUUGAUAAGAAACUGAAUGUUAUUCAUUAUGCUGGUAAAACUCUAGACAGUACUCAAAGAAAUUAUGCUACCACUGAAAAAGAAUUCUUAGUAGUGGUGUUUGCUUGUGAUAAGUUUAGACUUUAUAUUGUUGAUUCUAAAGUGACUGUUCACACAGACCAUGCUGCUAUUAAAUAUCUUAUGGAGAAGAAAGAUGCUAAACCUAGACUUAUUCAUUGGGUUCUCUUGUUACAUGAAUUUGAUUUACAUAUCAUUGAUAGAAAAGGAGCUGAGAACCUCGUAGCUGAUAACUUGUCUAGGCUUGAAAAUGUGCUUGAUGACCCACUACCUAUUGAUGAUAGUUUUCCUGAUGAGCAGUUAGCUGCAAUAAAUGUUGCUAAUAGUACUCCUUGGUAUGCCGACUAUGCUAAUUACAUUGUUGCUAAAUAUUUACCACCUAGCUUUAGAUACCAACAAAAGAAAAAUUCUUCGAUGAUUUAAGACAUUACUUUUGGGAUGACCCACAUCUUUAUAAAGAAGGAGUAGAUGGUAUUAUUAGGUGUUGUGUACUUGAGCAUGAACAACGACAAAUCCUAUGGAAAUGUCACUCCGAAGCUUAUGGAGGGCAUCAUGCUGGAGAUAGAACUGCUCAUAAGGUAUUGCAAUCUGGAUUUUAUUGGCCUACUCUCUUUAAGGAUGCUCGCAAGUAUGUCUCAUCUUGUGAUGAAUGCCAAAGAAUAGGUAAUAUCGGUAAGCGUCAAGAAAUGCCUAUGAAUUAUUCACUUGCUGUUGAACCAUUUGAUGUUUGGGGAUUUGAUUACAUGGGACCUUUUCCUUCCUCUAAUGGGUAUGCACAUAUUUUGGUUGUUGUUGAUUAUGUUACUAAAUGGGUAGAAGCUAUUCCAACCAGUAGUGCUGAUCACAACAACUCUAUUAAAAUGCUUAAGGAAGUUAAUUUCCCAAGGUUUGGAGUCCCUAGAUAUUUAAUGACUGAUGGUGGUUCACACUUUAUUCAUGGUGCUUUCCGUAAGAUCCUUGCUAAGUAUGAUGUUAACCAUAGAGAAAUAAAAUUAAUUUUGCAAAAGACUGUCAAUAGGUCCAGGAAGAAUUGGUCUAAGAAAUUAGAUGAUGCACUUUGGGCUUAUAGGACAGCAUAUAAAAAUCCUAUGGGUAUGUCUCCUUAUAAAAUGGUUUAUGGAAAAGCUUGUCAUUUGCCUCUUGAGUUAGAACAUAAAGCAUAUUGGGCAGUUAAAGAACUCAACUAUGAUUUCAAACUUGCUGGUGAAAAGAGGCUAUUUGAUAUAAGCUCAUUAGAUGAAUGGAGAACCCAAGCUUAUGAAAAUGCAAAGUUUUUCAAAGAAAAAGUUAAAAGCUGGCAUGAGAAAAGAAUUCAAAAACGUGAGUUUAAAGUCGGAGAGUGUGUUCUUUUGUACAAUUCUCGUUUUAGAUUCUUUGCAGGCAAACUCCUCUCAAAAUGGGAAGGCCCCUAUGUCAUCGAGGAGGUUUACCGGUCUGGAGCCAUCAAAAUAAAUAAUUUCAAAGGCACUAACCCGAAGGUUGUCAACGGGCAACGAAUAAAGCAUUAUAUCUCAGGUACGCCUGUUAAUGUUGAAAGCAAUAUUGUCCAGACUUUGACAUCGGAAGAACACAUAAAAGAGUCUUUCCGGAACACUCCAGAAGCAUCAAAAUAAGGAGGUAAGUAGUUCGGUAAGUAAACAGACACCAAAAAAUCUGUAAAAAUAUUUUUUGUCAGUUUUGGAAUAUUUUAGAAUUUUGGGAAUAAAGAAACUUCCAAGAAGCGCCCCCUGGUGGGCAUAAGACACCAGGGCGCGCCAGGCGCCUGGCGCGCCCAGGUGGGUUGUGCCCAUCUGGGGCACCUUCUGGACUCCGUUUUUCUUAUGUUUACUCGUCCUCCAAGAGAAAAAAAUCUAUAUAUACUUCCCGAACCUGUUAACCACUGUAUCACGGAGAAAAUCCUCUGUUAUCUUUUCUUGAUGUUUUCUGUCAGAUCCCAUCUACAAUGGCCUCUUCAGGUUCCUCCAAGGACAAGAUUUCUUCUUCAUCAUCACCAUCACCUUCUUCACCACCAAAGGAGAAUUGAGUAUCAGGUAUGGGCACUCCCCUUGGCUUCCGCCAAGCUUGGGGGAGGUGUUCCACUAUUGUAUCAUCCCACUAUCUUUUUGCUUUUACUUAUCUUAGUUUAAUCUUUUGUUUAGAUGAAUAAAUUUUAGUUCGAUAUUUUCUUCUUUAAGAGUUUACUUAGUGAUCUAUCAUUGUUAUCGUGUGCAAGUUAUAUAAUAAAGUUAGUUCGAGUUUUUGCUUUCUGUACUUUCAUGUUGCAAAUAAAGAAAAGAAAAAUAGAAAGAAAGCAAACAAAAGAAUGGAAAUAAAUCAAUAAGAUCAUAUACUAAUCCUAUGGUAGGUGAUAGCACCACAUAAGGAAAAGUAUAAGUAAGAAAAUUUUAUUAGAGAUUGACACACAUAGCAUUGGUCAGUGAUGCAACUCAUGAAAGAAUUAAUAAGGGAAGGGAAGAUUCACAUAUAAAUAUACUAUCCUAGAAAUCUUUUGUGAUUGUGAGCCCUCAUCAAAAUAUUAUAUGCCAAAAUUGUUGGCGUUGGACAAGGAAGACAAUGUAAUGGUUUAUGUAUGUUUAUAUUCACAUAGAAGUCAUAUUGUCAUAGAUCCUUUAACAUGUGAUGCUUGCCCCUAUCUUUGCUAGCCAAAAAUUCCGCACUAAGUAGAGAUACUACUUGUGCAUCCAAAAACCCUUAAACCCAAAUCUUUUUCGAGUGUCCACCAUACCUACCUAGGGAUUGAACAAGAUCCCUCAAGUAAGUUGUCAUAGGUGCAAAAAGGCGAUAAAAAUUGCUUCUAAAUAUGUGAGAUCAUUUAGUGUAAGAGAAAAUUCAGCGUUGUACGAACUUGGAUGACAAAGGAUAAAAGCAACAGACUGCAUAAUAAGGGUUGUCAUCUUAAGGGGCAAUACAACGUAGCAUUCUCUUGCACUAAGGGAUUGAGCAUGCAAACAAAUAAGCACAUGGCAACCUCUUCUUCCCUCUACGAAGGGCCUAUGUUUUACUUUUAUGUAUUUACUUUUAUGCAAGGAGUCAAAGUUUUCCUUCUAUUCCUUUUUAUUUUCUCUUUUGGCAAGCAUCAUGUGGUGGGGAAAGAUCUAGGCACAUAUGUCCAGUUGAAUAUCACUACUGCAAGAUGCUGCUAACACGACACUACGAUCAGAGACCCUUCGAGAAACUGUGUGUGAUGCAAUAAUCGCAAACGAUGGUGUAUGAAAACCGUCAGAAAUGUAUAAAACGUUUGCGAUGACGGAUGCAUCAAACAUGGUUCAUGUUUUAGUUGCGUGUGCGAUGUAGGGCAUACGGUUCAGUCCACUUAACUGUUUGCGAAGAGGAGGAACAAAAGAAAUGGGCACCCAGAUGAAGGUGUGUGCGAUAUACAUCAUACAGUUCAUUCGGAUGAACUGUUUGUGAUUAGGCAACACAAAAGAAACGGUCAGCCAGAUUCAAGGUGCGUGCGAUAUAUGGCAUGCGGUUCACACGGAUGAAUUGUUUGUGUUGAGACAAGAGAACAGAAACGGUUCAAUAUAACAAGAUGUGUGUGAUACGCGGCAAACCGGUCUGUAAUCAGAAAUGUGUGCGAAGACCAAUAAUAACACAGACGGUUGCUGCUAAUAAGACGUGUGUGCCGUGCGAUGGGAUUGCAUACAAAACAAAAACACAUAUAUAUAUAUAUAUAUAUAUAUAUAGACACACACUCACUUAUAAGGACAUGCAUUCGUAUUUUAUUAGUUAAAUCCUACUUAUAAACCAGGACAGGGAUAUAGGAGGUAAUUAAAUCGCAAACGUUUUUUUUGUAUUAGCCGUAUGUGUACGUGUCCUUUCGUCCUCCUCUCGCACGUCUUGUCACCACGCUGCCGCAGACGGCUUACAGCGCAAGCUUGCGCAGCGCGCGGGGGCAUUCUUUUGGCCAAACGGUGGUGCCAAUUAAUCGUCGGUGAGCCUGUUCCCGCGCAACCUCGCAGGUUCCCGCGCAAGCUUCCUGCCCGACUCGAUAAAAUCCCCCAAAAUCCCAAUGCUUACCGGCCUGCUAUAAAAACCCUCACGGCUAGUGAGCCUUGCGUCGCAUUCCCCCCCUCCCUGUAGCUUAUCUCGUCUGCUUCUCCCACAAUCGCCAAUGGCACCGGUCCGUCGUCGUCGCUCAACCACUCCACUGUCAUCAGAGGACAGCUCCCGCUGGGAGGCUACACCGCGGCGGCGGCGCAGUACCCGUCGUAGUGUAGUGCGUGUGGCGUCCCUGUUGGGUGUGCGCGGAACACCCACCACACGCUCCGCCGCUGCUGCCCGUCAGUAGCUGUUGCCGGCCGCCGUUGCCGCCACACCACCGUCGAAAUCCAGGGCCAUCUCCCGCGCCGCCGCCGCGGCCCGAAGGCGGGAGGUGGACGUCGUGGCCUCCACCCCACUGCCGGCCAUCGUGGCCAUCACCCGCUCCGCCACCGCGGCCCGAAGGCGGGAGGUGGUGGUCGUGGCCGCCACCCCAUCGUCGGCCGCCGUGGUCACCAGCCCACCGUCGUCCGCCGGGAUCAUCACCCGCUCCGCCACCGAUGCCCGAAGGAGGGAGGCGGAGGUGGAGGCCCGCACGUGCGUCAGCGACAUGCACGCUAGAUCGAGUUCCCGCGGGAGGAGGAGGAGCGCCUCGUCGAGCAUGCAAAGAGCCUUACCGCAGCCGUGGCCGCAGCACAUGCCGAUGCAGAGGCGAGGAGUCAGGAGAUCUACGAGCUGCCUGGCUGCUUCGAGAGGGAUCGUCUGGAGCAGCAGUGGGCGUUCGAGCUGGCGAGCGUCGCUGGACGUGCAAAAGCGGCAGGCAUCGUAUUGCAUUUCUCCGGCUCGUCGGUAGGCUCCUCCUCCUAUGCCUCUCACUGAGCGCGCUCGGCAGAGGAGAGGCUGCCGGAAGUAGCACAAAGCCCCUCCGUGGUAGUAGUAGUAUUUAGGGGCUAUUUUGUUCAGUUCAUGUGACUAUAGAUGUGUGGUCGAACUGUACAACGUACUUAAAAUUAGCUAGUAUAUAUAGUUGAACUAGCUAUUUCAGUACGUGGUUGUCAACAAUUGGGGAAAAGUUUGGUCAGUUCAGCUGUCAAGUUGAACUGUUUGUAUAAAUUCAGAACGACUGCUUAAUCUAUGAAUGGAAUCUAUGCUUAAUUACUGAAUUUUAGUUGCAAAAAUUAGAUAGUGCUAGUGAUUUCUAGCUGCAUAUUUUGACAAAUCGCAGUGUUACAAGGAUUGACAAAUGGCAACAUUACUAGAUCAACAAAUGUAAAUCUUUCCAGUUUGAUAAAUGGCAACAUACCCAAUAUGACAGAUGCAAAUCUUACCAAAUUGUUUGUACGUGGUUGCACAUGGGUCAUCCAAAACAACCGGUUGCGUUGAAGGGAUCCACAAAUCCUGCGCUGCUCUCACUUUGCAUACGGGUUUUCUAUCUAAAAUGUUUGCGAUCAAGAGCUGCACAAAUCCUGCUCGACACAUUUUCCCUUGGCUUCUUGGGGAAGCUGUUGGUUUGCAUAGGAGUGUUCUAACUAAAACGUUUGCGAUGAGUGUUUUAUAUUUAAAAACCGAAUUAAACUGCGGCUUGGGCGCCAUUAAUGGGGAGGAUGCGAGCAAGGCGGGCGGCCAUGGAAGUCAUAGGGCCCGCUUCCCGGUGAGCCUGCGCGGCGUACAGCUCGCACGAUUCUCGUUGAGCCUCCGUAUUCGAGUAAACCUCACACGCCUUCCGUUUAGUCAAGCACUCAAGCACCUCUCCGCAUGGCACCUCCUAGCCAUUAAAAGAGUGAGGCGUGGCGUCACGUGAAUGGUUAGCAAAACGCACACAAUUUAAAUUAUACAAAACGUUUGAUAUGUUACAGUGGAAGCUAGUUGUUUCAAAAUGCCUUUGUUGGCUGUUAUUCGAGUGCGCCUUCUCUCGAAAUGGACACGAAAAAUACCACAGCAUGUCAGGUGCCAUUCCAUUAUAGCAUGCCAAGUUUCAUGAAUUUCAGACGAGUUUUGGAUUUACUAGAAUUUAAAAAUAGAUUAUGUCAACAUUUUGCCGGCAAUCAAUAGUGCCCUGGUGUUUGAAAUUUAUUCCCAUUUCUUGCAUGGGACCUAAGCAUGCCUCGAAGGACACAGAUUUGAUUUUUUUAACCAAUUUAUAUGCACUGGAGCUUGUGCAUGUAGUUCAAAUUUGAAUUAUGCACAUGAAAUGCCUAUAAAACCCAAUUAAUGUAUAAAAAUGUCCAAACGAACCCCGAAAAAUUCCAAAAGUAAACACAACACUCCUGUUGUUCUAUGUUGACACUAGAAAAUUUUUGAAAGCAAUAAGAGGCAACGGAUAUCGUUUCGUCCCCAAAGGUGGCAGGUUCCCUACCGAAACCAUCACGCUUGUUGUGAGAAGCUAAGGUUUGUGAGAAGCUUAUACCCAAACCUGCCCCAAAUGGGACAAAAUUUUUACCACGACAUGUUGAUGCUGCUCCAUGAUAGCAUGCCAAGUUUCAUGAAUUUCAUACGAGUUUUGGAUUUACUAGAAUUUAAAAGCCUUGUAUGUCAAUGUUUGCGGCCGAGUGAUGGUGGCAAGGUGUUUGAAAUUCAUUCCCAUUUCUUGCAUGGGACCUAAGCAUGCAACCAAGGACACAUAUUUGAUUUUUCAACCAGUUUAUAUGCAAUGGAGAAUGUGCAUGUAGUUCAAAUUUGAAUUAUGUGCAUAAAAUGCCUGGAAAACUCAGUUAAUGUAUAAAAAUGUCCAAAAGAACCCCGAAAAAUUCCAAAAUUGAAUACAACACUCCUGUUGUUCUAUGUUGACACUCGAAAUUUUUUGAAAGCAAUAAGAGGCAACGGAUAUCGUUUUGUCCCCAAAGGUGGCACGUUCCCUAUCGAAACCAUCACGCUUGUUGUGAGAAGCUCCGGUUUGUGAGAAGCUUAAAUGGGACAAAAUUUUUACCACGGCAUGUUGAUGCCGCUCCAUGAUAGCAUGCCAAGUUUCAUGAAUUUCAAACGAGUUUUGGAUUUAAUAGAAUUUAAAAACCAGGUAUGGCAAUGUUUGCGGAUGAGUGACGGUGGCAAGGUGUUUGAAAUUCAUUCCCAUUUCUUGCAUGGGACCUAAGCAUGCAACUGAGGACACAUAUUUGAUUUUCCAACCAGUUUAUAUGCACUGUAGAAUUUGCAUGUAGUUCAAAUUUGAAUUAUGCGCAUAAAAUGCCCGGGAAACCCAGUUAAUGUAUAAAAAUGUCCAAACAAACCGCCAAAAUUCCAAAAUUGAACACAACACUCCUGUUGUUCUAUGUUGACACUCAAUUUUUUUUGAAAGCAUUCAGAGGCAACGGAUAUCGUUUUGUCCCCAAAGGUGGCACGUUCCCUACUGAAACCAUCACGCUUGUUGUGAGAAGCUUUAGGUUUGUGAGAAGCUUAUACCCAAACCUGCCCCAAAUGGGACAAAUUUUUUACCACGGCAUUUUGAUGCCGCUCCAUGAUAGCAUGCCAAGUUUCAUGAAUUUCAGACGAGUUUUGGAUUUACUAGAAUUUAAAAGACAUGUAUCUCAAUGUUUGCGGCCUAGUGACGGUGGCAGGGUGUUUGAAAUUUAUUCCCAUUUCUUGCAUGGGACCUAAGCAUGCACCGAAGGACACAUAUUUGAUUUUUCAACCAAUUUAUAUGCACUUGAGCAUGUGCAUGUAGUUCAAAUUUGAAUAAUGCACAUAAAUGCAUUGAAAAAUCACUUAAUGCAUAAAAAUGUCCAAACGAACCCCGAAAAAUCACAAAAAAUAAUACCACACUCCUGUUGUUCUAUGUUGACAUGAGAAAUUUUUUGGAAGUAAUAAGAGGCAACAGAUAUCGUUUCGUCCCCAAAGGUGGGGCGUUCCCUACCGAAACCAUCAUGCUUGUUGUGAGAAGCUCUGGUUUGUGAGAAGCUUAUACCCAAAUCUGCCCCAAAUGGGACAAAAGAUUUACCACGGCAUGUUGAUGCCGCUCCAUGAUAGCACGCCAAGUUUCAUGAAUUUUAGACGAGUUUUGGAUUUACUAGAAUUUAAAAACCAAGUAUCUCAAUGUUUGCGUCCGAGUGACGGUGGCUGGGUGUUUGACAUUCAUUCCCAUUUCUUGCAUGGGACCUAAGCAUGCAACUAAGGACACAUAUUUGAUUUUUCAACCAGUUUAGAUGCACUGAAGAAUGUGCAUGUAGUUCAAAUUUGAAUUAUGCACCUGAAAUGCCUACAAAACCAAGUUAAGAUAUAAAGACGUCCAAACUAACCCUGAAUAAUUCCAAUUUUUUUGACAACACACAUAUAAUUGCAUGUUCACUCCAGAUAAAAGGUCUAGCAAUUCAAACACCGUCCAUUGCCGUUGUGACCCCAUUAUGUAAUUCAAAUCAAGAAGAAAAAUCAAGUAGAUCACACACAGUUUAUUAUCAGCAACCGUGUGAGAUGUAGCACAAAAUAUCCUGGAGCACCGUCGGUGUAUAGUACGCCUAUGGCUUAUGUGAGAAGGUGCAUCGGCUAUAGUCCACAGCCGGCGUCUCAAGCACACUAGCUCACUCCCCAAAUAUCAUUUCACUCUUCAAUCGUCGUCGUUAAAAGGUGGGGACGUGGACCCGCAUUGUGAGGGAAACUUCGGCGGCCCACUCCGGUGAUAGCGCGGAAGCAUCCGCCAGGCGCGUGCUAACAAGCUUCAUGAGGGCGACCGCAAUCUACGUCCUGGCGGCCAAGGCAGCCCAAACGGCCGCUGUUGCUUCUCAGGCGGCGCCGGCAGCAUCUGCCUCGGGGAUAGCAACUGGCGAGAGCGACACAACAGCUGUCCGUUCCGCAGCGGCGGCCUUAGCCCUGAUGGAGGCCGCCUGCCACCAUGUCGAGGCCGUCCACGCCCAGCUCGUGGUGCUCACCACACAAAUCGAAGGAAGCUUCUCCGACAAUGGUCGGCAACCCACGGCCAAAGAGGUGGCAAUCCCCGAGAGAGUUCGAGCAGCCAUCCGUUCCUGUGCGGCAUACCUUGCGACGACGGAGCCCGCCAAAGCCCAGAUUGCGUCCGCCCACGCCCAGCUCGGGGCGGCCUAUUCCAAAGAUAUGGCGGACAUGGAUGGCGAGAUGCUUGCCGAGUAUGCUGCGAUGGAUGCCAUGGAGCCCCCUCCCUAGGAGACCGUCAGGCGCGAGCUGGACAUGGAGGCGGCGACGGAGAUCGACGAGCACCAGCCGUAGUAGUACUCUUUGUUUUGUUUAACUAAGAGUGCCGGUCUUUAAUUUGUUAGAGUAAUGUUUAGGUCAGCUAGCUCUGUUUAAUUGCUAAACUUGCUCGAUUAAGAAGUGUGAGUGUGUUGUAGUCUCCUUUGCGUACCCAAAUUAUGCAAUGACGUGGAUGCCCACUGUAACCAUGGAAAUUCGAACCAAUACUUUUGACGUUCAAACUCAUCACACACGGGUUAACCAUGGAAAUAUAUCUCACCCAAACUAACAAUCCCUAGAUCCAGCUGUAUCCAUCCGUCAACACAUAACCAAGAAACCUUCGGAAAUCAUGUACCUCAACCUUCGAAAAGCAUCCGUUAUACGAGUUAUGGCAAUACUCCCGAACUCCUGCCCCAGUACUGGGUAGCGUCGAGGUGAUCUCACCAACAACUGCAUAAAAGAGAUUUUCGAUGUCGGCGAAACUCAGGUAUUCCAGAACUGCAACGAUAAAAUUGUGACGACAACACCUCGGAGCUCAACUCCCAGGGACACUGCCACAACCCCUAAAUGUCAGGAGGCACCAAGAACAAUGUUCUCGUCACAAAACCAUCGGAACGAUUCCAAGAUACCCGCGUGAUCCUAAAAAAUAUUAGUGAAAUUUGAGGAGAGGAGAGUCAAAACUUCCAUGUCAGGGGGCCUCACCAGAGCGACGAAGGGACUGAGGAUUAAAAAGAAUCCUACUCUCUGAUAUAUAUAAUCCUAAGACUCAAAACAUUUUUUUUCUAGACUCAACAACACCAGCGAUUCGAUCAAGCAGGGGGCUCCUAAGUCGGGGAUGGCUCUGAUUACCAACUUGUAAUGCCCACGAUGCGGCUAUAUCUCCCACGUGUCGAGGCACGACUUAGAGGCAUAACCGCAUUGUAGGUUUUGUCGCAAGAAGGGUCAUCUUCACACAAUCCCAUUAAUGAACAAGAAUGGGAUAAAGAGAGUUGGCUUACAAUCGCCACUUCACACAAUACAUAAAUAAAUUCAUACAUCAUCCAAAAUACACACAUAGACCGACUACGGUCAAAUCCAAAUGAAAAGAAGAUAACCCCAAAUGCUAGAUCCCCGAUCGUCCCAACUGGGCUCCACUACUGCUCAUCAGGAAACGAAACAUAGUAACGACCACGGUCCUCAUCGAACUCCCACUUGAGCUCGGUUGCCUCACCUGCAUAGGUAUCCUCGGCACCUGCAACUGUUUUGGUAGAAUCUGUGAAUCACGAGGACUCAGAAAUCUCACACCCGCGAGAUCAAGACUAUUUAAGCUUGUGGGUAGGUAAGGGGUAAUAUGGUGGAGCUGCGGCAAGCACUAAGCAUUUAUGGUGGCUAACAUACGCAAAAGAGAGCGAGAAGAGAAGCAACGCAUCGGUCGAGAAGCUAAAAGUGAUCAAGAAGUGAUACUGAAACUACUUACGUUCAUACAUAACCCAGACCAUGUUCACUUCCCGGACUCCGCCGAAAAGAGACCAUCACGGCUACAGACGCGGUUGAUGCAUUUUAAUUAAGUCAAGUGUCAAGUUCUCUACAACCGGACAUUAACAAAUUCACAUCUGCCAGAUAACCGCGGGCACGGCUUUCGAAAGAUAAUACCAUGCAGGGGUGUCCCAACUUAGCCCAUCACAAGCUCUCACGGUCAACAAAGGAUAUUCCUUCUCCCGGGAAGACCCUAUCAGGCUCGGAAUCCCGGUUACAAGACGUUUCGACAAUGGUAAAACAAGACCAGCAAGACCACCCGACUGUGCUGACAAAUCCCGAUAGGAGCUGCACAUAUCUCGUUCUCAGGGCACACCGGAUGAGCGAAGCGUACAGGUACCAACGUAACCCAAGUUGCCAAGGGACGGUCCCGCACGGUGCUGUAGUUUGGACCAACACUCAGAGGAGCACUGGCCCCGGGGGUUAAAAUGAAGAUGACCCUUGAGUCCGCGGAACCCAAGGGAAAAAGGCUUAGGUAGGCAAAUGGUAAAACCAAGGUUGGGCCUUGCUGGAGGAGUUUUAUUCAAGGCGAACUGUCAAGGGGUUCCCAUUAUCACCCAACCGCGUAAGGAACGAAAAAUCAAGGAACAUAACACCGGUAUGACGGAAACUAGGGCGACAAGAGUGGAACAAAACACCAGGCAUAAGGCCAAGCCUCCCACCCUUUAUCAAGUAUAUAGAUGCAUUAAUUAAGUAAGAGAUAUGUGAUAUCCCAAAAUAUCCAAUUUCCAACAUGGAACCAACUUCAUCUUCACCUGCAACUAACAACGCUAUAAGAGGGGGUGAGCAAAAGCGGUAACUUAGCCAAACAACGGUUUGCUAGGAAAGGAUGGUUAGAGGAUUGACAUGGCAACAUGGGAGGCAUGAUAUAGUAAGUGGUAGGUAGCGCAGCAUAGCAAUAGAGCGAACAGCUAGCAAGCAAAGAUAGAAGUGAUAUCGAGGGUAUGGUCAUCUUGCCAGCAACGUUCUCAGAGUUGUCGAAAGCUUGAUCCUCGUAAGCGUUCUCAACAGGUUCCUCGAAAGCGUUCUCAUCUCCCGGCUCUACCCAAAGCAUGAACACAAGCAAAGGACCAACAAUCAAAUCACGGUGCAAUGCACAAGCAACAUGGUGCAAUACAUGGCAUGAUAUGCAAGAUGUGAUAUGCAAUGCAUAUGCGUGCUCCGGAAGGGAAAAGAUGAACAAGGCAUCAACUUGGCAAACCAAGUAUGCCGUUGGAAAGAUGAGAUGAUUUCGGUAGAAAUCGAUAUAGAGAUCACCGGAAACGGAUACACGGUUUGCAAAUGGCAAGCAAAACAAGAAUGACACAUUUCUGCGAUUAACAGCAUGACGCCAUAUAGAAUGCCACAAGAAACUGAGCUACUGCACUCCAACAUAGCAACAAAGCAUAUGGCCAUGAUGUACACGAGAUGCUUGACAAAACAUGAACACAGAGCUACGGCUAAAUCACACCAGAGCAGGUUCAAACAAGCAUGGAAAAAGUGCAAAAGAUAUCAGCUCCACAGACUUUGUGAAAAUACUAACAUGCCAGAAAUAACAUCAGGAAGCCAUGUUUAGAGCAAGCAAAUAGCAGGCUACAGGAACAUAUCAUAGCAAAUCAAGGCAUGGCAUGAAUCUACUAAAUGCAUAGAACAAAAGUCCCUUAGUGAUCAUGAGCCAAAAAGGCACAGAAGAUACGAUGGCACCUCUAUAAACAUAGCAAGUUUUAUUACCAGAUUCAGACUUGGUAGAAAACAGAGCAUGGCAUUAGCAGAAUUAUGAAGGCAUCUUUGCGAGCUUGAUUCACUCAUCAUAAGCAAUUUCAAGACAAGAUAAGCAUAGAAUCAGCAAGAAGACUUGUUCACGAAACUAGCCAUGGAAAGAACAAGCUCAUAGCAUGCAAGGAUCAACUACAACAACCUUGGCAAAAUUGAUUAACAUGUAAACAAUCUGCCAGGAACAUUUUAUAGCAAAAGUAGAGCAAGAUUGAGACAAGCUAGGGCACUCCAUAAUUGCAAACAGGGGCAUGGAUGGAUAGAGAACAUCUAUAUGUCCAAAACAUCCUUAAUGAACAUACUCAGAAUAUGCAUGAAUCCUACUGUAGCAACAUGGAUACAUGGCAUCAAAAAUAACAGCAGGAAAAAGGUCUUAGCAAAAUCCUAAGUCCCUGAAAACAACAACAUCACGAAGCCUAGUUUACAUGCUUGUGCUAGUCACCACAUAGAUCACAAAAAUACAUGGCAAGCACCCCUAUAAAGAUGGCAUGACCUAGAUCAAAACACAUGUAGAGCUCAUCCUCAUAAGAUGCACACAUCAAAAGCCACAAAAAUGACAAAACAUCAUAAUCUGAUAAGUAACAGCAGUAAACAUUUUAUAGCACUCUUGCAUCAAUGAAAAUGGCAUCAAGAUUAACUAAAACAAGCAUGGCACAAUGGAACAAAAUUAAGAGCAUCUCAUGAAGAACAUUUUGAUAUAUCAUGCACGCAAAACAGAGCAGUAUGAAAAGAGAUAUGACAUGAUGAAUAGGAGCACAUGAUGUGAGAAUUUCGGGACUUGGAAGAAAAACGGGGUCAACCUCAGAUCUAGGGUUCUUCGUGCACGCGAGCCGAGGCGGGACCGGGCUCGCCGGAGACGAUGCGGUGGCGGCCAGAUCUUGAGGAGGAGGUCGCCGGCGAGGACGGGGGCGCCGGAUCCGGGCUGCGGGGCGGCCGGCGGUGGAGGCGCGGACCGAGCGGGCGGCGGCGGACNNNNNNNNNNNNNNNNNNNNNNNNNNNNNNNNNNNNNNNNNNNNNNNNNNNNNNNNNNNNNNNNNNNNNNNNNNNNNNNNNNNNNNNNNNNNNNNNNNNNNNNNNNNNNNNNNNNNNNNNNNNNNNNNNNNNNNNNNNNNNNNNNNNNNNNNNNNNNNNNNNNNNNNNNNNNNNNNNNNNNNNNNNNNNNNNNNNNNNNNNNNNNNNNNNNNNNNNNNNNNNNNNNNNNNNNNNNNNNNNNNNNNNNNNNNNNNNNNNNNNNNNNNNNNNNNNNNNNNNNNNNNNNNNNNNNNNNNNNNNNNNNNNNNNNNNNNNNNNNNNNNNNNNNNNNNNNNNNNNNNNNNNNNNNNNNNNNNNNNNNNNNNNNNNNNNNNNNNNNNNNNNNNNNNNNNNNNNCUCCGGUUGGGGCGGGCGCGGCGGCGGACGCGUCCGGCCCGAUCCGGACGUGUCCGGUGGCGGAGAGGUGUGAGGCUAGGGUUUCGGGACCCGGGAUUUCGGAGGAGUGAACAUAUUUAUAGGUAGAGGGAGCUAGGAGACUCCAAUUAAGGAGCGGUUUUCGCCCACACGAUCGUGAUCCAACGACGGAGAGCAUGGAGGGGGUUUAGAUGGGUUAUUGGGCUGUUUUGGAGGGGUGUUGGGCUGCAAUACACAAGAGGCUUUUGCGGUUACCUGGUUAACCGUUGGAGCAUCAAACGGCCUCCAGAUGGAACGAAACUUGACAGGUGGUCUACCGGUGGUGUACCAAGGCCACUUGGCAAACCUCGGUCCAUUCCGAGAACGUUUAACACCCUCUCACGAAAAGAGACAAGAGGGGUGCGCCGGUGCAUGUGGGAGUGUCGGAUUGCAAAACGGACAACGGGGAAAAUGCUCAGAUGCAUGAGACGAACACGUAUGCAAAUGAGAUGCGCAUGAUGCCAUGAUAUGAAAUGCAUGACAUGAACAAAAUGCAAAGCGAAAGACAAAAACCCAACCACGGAGGGAAUAUCAUAACACAUAGCCGAAAAUGGCAAGAGUUGGAGUUACAAAUAUGGAAAGUCACAUCCGGGGUGUUACAACACUCCACCACUACAAGAGGAUCUCGUCCCGAGAUCUAGGACUGAAAGAACUCCGGAUAUUCGGAACGGAGGUGAUCCUCGCGCUCCCAGGUGGCUUCUCGGUCGGAAUGGUGUGACCACUUCACUUUCAGAAAUUUGAUUGACUUGUUGCGAGUCUUGCGCUCAAUUCCUUCAAGAAUAGCAACGGGGUGCUCAUGAUAAGACAAAUCUUCUUGGAGGUCAAUCUCUUCGAAGUUGAUACGCUCAUGCAUCUUGAAGCACUUGCAAAGCUGUGACACGUGAAACACAUCGUGCACAUUUGCGAAGUUGGACGGAAGCUCAAGUUGAUAGGCGAGGUCGCCUCUUUUGCCAAUGAUCUUGAAGCGACCCACGUAUCUAGGGGCAAGCUUCCCUUUGAUACCGAAGCGACGAGUGCCUUUCAUUGGAGAGGCGCGGAGGUAGACAUGGUCUCCGAUUUCAAAAGCCACAUCACGGUGCUGUCAUCAUAAUAGCUCUUCUGGCGCGAUUGCUCGGCUUUGAGAUUCUCACGAAUGACUUUACACAUUUCUUCUGCUUUUGUGAUUAAGUCAUUGCCAAGAAGUUGGCGUUCACUAGUCUCUGACCAAUUGAGAGGAGUACGGCACUUUCUGCCAUACAGAAUCUCGAAUGGGGCCUUGCCCGAACUCGCUUGGAAGCUGUUGUUGUAGGAGAACUCGGCAUAUGGGAGGCAAUCUUCCCACUUCAUGCCAAAGGAAAUGACACAAGCCCAUAGCAUAUCUUCAAGGAUUUGAUUGACUCGCUCGACUUGGCCACUAGUUUGAGGAUGGAAAGCUGUGCUGAAGCGAAUGUUGGUGCCCAUGGCCUUCUGGAAGGAGUCCCAGAACUUAGAAGUGAAGAUGCUUCCACGAUCUGAAGAAAUCAAUUGUGGAAUGCCGUGCAAGGAGACAAUCCUGGAGGUGUAUAGCUCUGCCAACUGAGUCGUUGUGAUAGAUUCUUUGAUAGGAAGAAAAUGAGACACUUUAGUAAGCUUGUCGAUGACAACGAAGAUGGCAUCGUUUCCACGCUUGGACUUAGGAAAUCUAGUCACGAAGUCCAUUUCGAUAUGAUCAAACUUCCAUUCUGGAAUAGCAAGAGGUUGGAGUAGACCAGCUGGUCGUUGGUGUUCUGCUUUCACCCUUCGAGAGACAUCACAUUCAUUCACGAAUUGAGCGAUUUCUCGCUUCAUUUGAGUCCACCAAUACGACUGCUUGUGGUCAUGGUACAUCUUCGUACUUCCAGGAUGAAUGGAUAGAAGGGAAUUGUGUGCCUCGUUCAUAAUGACUUUACUUAGAUCACCUUUAGGAACCACAAUCCGGUCCUUGAAGAAUAAAGUGUGUCGGUCAUCUAUGCGAUAGCACUUGUAUUUGGAAAGACCCUUGGCAAUCCCAUGUUUUACCUUCUUCACCAUGGAGUCAAGGAGUUGUGCCUUGUGAAUUUGAUCUUCCAAAGUAGGAGAGACUAGGAGGUUGGCAAGAAAGCGUUGAGGAACAACUUGGAGAUUCAGUUUGCGGAAAGCUUCACAAAGGUCCGGUUGGAAGGGCUUGAGGAUUAAGCUGUUGCAAUAAGCCUUCGUGCUCAAAGCAUCUGCAGUGACAUUGGCCUUGCCUGGAGUAUAUUCAAUACUCGGAUUGUACUCUUGAAUCAUUUCGACCCAUCGAGUUUGCCUGAGGUUGAGGUUGGCCUGAGUGAAGAUAUACUUGAGACUCUUGUGAUCGGUGAAAAUGUCCACUUUCCUUCCCAACAAGAGAUGUCUCCAUGUUAUUAAUGCAUGGACAACUGCCGCCAACUCAAGAUCGUGAGUGGGGUAGUUUUUUUCGUUGGGCUUCAACUGACGAGAGGUAUAGGCCACAACUUUCUUCUCUUGCAUUAACACAGCACCGAGACCUUGUAGAGAAGCAUCACAGAAAACUUCGAAUGGCUUGGAUUCAUCAGGAGGAGUUAAGACAGGAGCUGAGACGAGUUUCUCUUUGAUAGUGUUGAAAGCAACGUCACACUCAGGAGUCCAGACAUACUUCACAUGCUUCUGGAGGAGGUUGGAAAGAGGCUCUGCAAUCUUAGAGAAAUUCUCAACGAAUCUUCGGCAAUAGCUUGCAAGUACAAGAAAACUGCGAAGCUGCUUGACAUUCUGAGGAGGUUCCCAAUUCACAACUGCAGACACCUUCUCGGGAUUAACAGUGAUGCCCUUGGCAGAGAUGAUAUGGCCAAGGUAAAGAACUUCGUCAAGCCAAAACUCACAUUUGGAAAACUUCGCAUAGAAUUGAUACUCUCUGAGCUUGUCGAGCACCAAUCGCAAAUGUUUGGCAUGAUCCUUCUUAUUCUUGGAGAAGACCAAGAUAUCAUCGAGAUACACCAGGACGAAUUCAUUGGUGUAGGGGUUGAAGAUGAAGUUCAUCAUUCGAGAGAAUGUUGGAGGAGCAUUGACAAGGCCGAAAGACAUGACAGUAUAUUCAUAAGAACCAAAGCUUGUUCUAAAUGCUGUCUUGGGAAUGUCUUCUUCACGAAUGAGAAUCUGAUGAUAACCCAUCUGGAGGUCAAGCUUGGAGAAAACUUUAGCACCUUUAAGUUGCUCGAAAAGCUCAUUGAUGUUGGGAAGUGAUACUUGUUCUUUAUUGUCUUCUUGUUCAAUGGACGGUAGUCGACACAAAGUCGGUCCGUGCCAUCCUUCUUCUGGACAAAAAGAACACCACAACCCCAUGGAGAUGAACUCGGUCUGAUCAGACCCAGACGCUCUUGUUCAUCGAGCUGUUUCUUCAAUUCCUUCAGCUCCUUUGGUCCAAGCUUGUAUGGACGCUUGCAAACGGGUUUUGUACCGGGCUCAAGAUCGAUAACGAACUCGACUGGCCGGUGAGGAGGCAUACCCGGAAGCUCUUCUGGAAAGACAUCUUGGUACUCACAAACGACUAGAAUCUGAGAGAUUGCGUCUAGCUCGCCCUUCUCAUUGAGAGAGAAUAACCGAAUGGUCUCAUCACGAGCGGCAUAGAUGAUCACAUCCUCAGAAGAAUGUGUCAAUUGAAUUUCCCUGGCAGCAGAAUCAAGUUGAGCCUUGUGCUUAGAAAGCCAGUCCAUGCCGAGAAUUAGAUCAAUAUCCGAGUCACCAAGAACAAUUGGAGAAGACAGAAAUUUAUAGUUUCCCAUCUUGAUGGAAACAUCAGGGACUAUCGAGUUGGCUCUCAUUGACUUCCCCGGAGAAACAACACCCAAAGGUUUAUCCAGGUAAGACCAAGUAAAAUCAUUCUUUGCAAAGAACGAUCUUGACAUGAAACAAUGCGAUGCACCAGUAUCAAAUAAAACUUUUGCAGGAAUAUCAUUAACUGAGAGAUUGCCCAUUAUCACAUCAGUAGAUUCCUCCGCUUGAGCUGCAUUCAUCAUGUUCACCUUUGCAGACUUGGGAUUAUGCUUGACCACUGCAUUGCUGGAAGAUCUCACAGGAGGAGGAGGCGGAAGGCGCCUUUGGUUGAAGCACUUGUUAGCAUAGUGACCUUUCUGCUGACAUUUGUUGCAAGUCACCUCUGAGAGCGGACGAUGAUAAGGAGCAUUCGACCUUGGCGCUUGAUUCUGAGACUUGUUCUGAUAGCCAGGGUUGGGUGGGUGGGAAGAUCCAUGGCCACCUUUGUUCUUCUGCUGGAAAGGCUGACGAAACGGAGGAGGAGGAGGCAACCAGAACUUCUGAUGCUUAGCAGCCACUAGUGAGGAAGAAGAAGACUGAACUGCGUCCCUGACUCUCUUCUUAGAAGCCUAACACUUGAGCUGAGCAGCUUCUUGCUUCAGUUCCAUGUUGUAGAAUUCAUCAUACUUGGUCGGAUCAAAAGGCACGAGAGCUAAUUGCAGAUCUUCUCUAAGGCCACCUCUGAAUUGAUAGAUCAUGCUCUUUUCAUCAGGGACGUCUUGCUUAGCGAAGCGAGAGAGUUUCUGAAACUGGGUAUUGUAUUGAUACACGGACAUGCUGCCUUGCUUGAGAUUGUGGAACUCCUCACGCUUGCUCUCAACAACACUUUGUGGAAUGUGGUGAGCUUUGAAGUCUCGGCGGAAAUCAUCCCAGGUAAUCACACGACCUCCUCUGGAAUCUUUGUAUUGUUGAUACCACUCGGCAGCUUGAUCCUUGAGUUGAAAAGAAGCAAACUUGACAAAGUCCUCGGGCCUGACAUUGCUACAUUCAAAAUGCUUGUUGAUGUCCACAAGCCAAUCAUCAGCGUUUGUGGCCUCGGCACAGUAGCUGAAAGACUUUAGCUGAUUUGCAAGGAACUGGAUGAGGGUAGCGAAGUGAGGUUGAUUGUUGCCUUGGCCUUGAUUUCCUUGGUUGCCUUGCCAUUGGGUGCGCUCUUGCAAGAGUUGCAAAAUCAUCUAGGCAUUGGCGUUGGUGGCUGCCAUGACAGCUUGCCAUGCCUCCAGAGGCGGAGGUGGUGGCGGAGGGUUCGCCUGACUCCCAUCAUUGCGUUCUGGAUUCUGACGCGUUGGCGGAGCCAUCCUGAAGAGUGUGACAUCCGUUAGCAUCUUGACAGACAGAUAGGCAAGUUGAAUCAACGGAUAGAAAUUGUAACAUAUAGUCUUCACAAUAAACAUUCGAACGAGGAUGAACGAAUGAAUUCCAUAGUAAAUCAUCACACUUCCAUAAGUUGAGAAGCCACUUAGAAAACGGUAUGGAAUCAACAUUUGACUUCGAAGCAACUCGAAUACCACAACUCAAAACGAAACAAAGGAUUGGCUUGCAGAAUAAGCCGGAACAAACAUAUGAUAGAGAUUUUGUCCGAAGUUUUCGUGGUGGGGCCCACACGGACUCGAUCGUACAGCACCAUCAUGUACAAGGCAGUGCACAUGACAUACGAAGCGUCUCCGAGUCAGCAUAGCCAAGGACUCUUUAAGACACUACGAGACCACUGUAAAACCAACCGUGGAUAGGCGGACCACUAGACGUCGAACCCCAAUCUCAUAUCAUGCAUCUGUCGGAAAGAUAUCCUAGGAGCUACUUGAAUUCCCACUUAUAAACUCCCAAAACAUUCUGGUUAUGCAAUCAGGUGUUGGGGAUACAAGGGAUGCAAUAUAUCUCACCCAAACUAACAAUCCCUAGAUCCAGCUGUAUCCAUCCGUCAACACAUAACCAAGAAACCUUCGGAAAUCGUGUACCUCAACCGUCGAAGAGCAUCCGUUAUACGAAUUAUGGCAAUACUCCCGAACUCCCGCCCCAGUACUGGGUGGCGUCGAGGUGAUCUCACCAACAACUGCAUAAAAGAGAUUUUCGAUGUCGGCGAAACUCAGGUAUUCCAGAACUGCAACGAUAAAAUUGUGACGACAACACCUUAGAGCUCAACUCCCCGGGACACUGCCACAACCCCUAAAUCUUAGGAGGCACCAAGAACAAUGUUCUCGUCACAAAACCAUCGGAACGAUUCCAAGAUACCCGCGUGAUCCUAAAAAAAAUUAGUGAAAUUUGAGGAGAGGAGAGUCAAAACUUCCAUGUCAGGGGGCCUCACCAGAGCGACGAAGGGACUUAGGAGUAAAAAGAAUCCUACUCUCCGAUAUAUAUAUAAUCCUAAGACUCAAAACAUUUUUUUCUAGACUCAACAACGCCCGCGAUUCGAUCAAGCAGGGGGCUCCUAAGUCGGGGAUGGCUCUGAUUACCAACUUGUAACGCCCACGAUGCGGCUAUAUCUCCCACGUGUCGAGGCACGACUUAGAGGCAUAACCGCAUUGUAGGUUUUGUCGCAAGAAGGGUCAUCUUCACACAAUCCCAUGUAAUGAACAAGAAUGGGAUAAAGAGAGUUGGCUUACAAUCGCCACUUCACACAAUACAUAAAUAAAUUCAUACAUCAUCCAAAAUACACACAUAGACCGACUACGGUCAAAUCCAAAUGAAAAGAAGAUAACCCCAAAUGCUAGAUCCCCGAUCGUCCCAACUGGGCUCCACUACUGCUCAUCAGGAAACGAAACAUAGUAACGACCACGGUCCUCAUCGAACUCCCACUUGAGCUCGGUUGCCUCACCUGCAUAGGUAUCCUCGGCACCUGCAACUGUUUUGGUAGAAUCCGUGAGUCACGAGGACUCAGCAAUCUCACACCCGCGAGAUCAAGACUAUUUAAGCUUGUGGGUAGGUAAGGGGUAAUAUGGUGCAGCUGCGGCAAGCACUAAGCAUUCAUGGUGGCUAACAUACGCAAAAGAGAGCGAGAAGAGAAGCAACGCAUCGGUCGAGAAGCUAAAAGUGAUCAAGAAGUGAUCCUGAAACUACUUACGUUCAUACAUAACCCAGACCGUGUUCACUUCCCGGACUCCGCCAAAAAGAGACCAUCACGGCUACACACGCGGUUGAUGCAUUUUAAUUAAGUCAAGUGUCAAGUUCUCUAGAACCGGACAUUAACAAAUUCCCAUCUGCCACAUAACCGCGGGCACGGCUUUCGAAAGAUAAUACCCUGCAGGGGUGUCCCAACUUAGCCCAUCACAAGCUCUCACGGUCAACGAAGGAUAUUCCUUCUCCCGGGAAGACCCGAUCAGGCUCGGAAUCCCGGUUACAAGACGUUUCGACAAUGGUAAAACAAGACCAGCAAGACCACCCGACUGGGCCGACAAAUCCCGAUAGGAGCUGCACAUAUCUCGUUCUCAGGGCACACCGGAUGAGCGAAGCGUACAGGUACCAACGUAACCCAAGUUGCCAAGGGACGGUCCCGCACGGUGCUGUAGUUUGGACCAACACUCAGAGGAGCACUGGCCCAGGGGGUUAAAAUAAAGAUGACCCUUGAGUCCGCGGAACCCAAGGGAAAAAGGCUUAGGUAGGCAAAUGGUAAAACCAAGGUUGGGCCUUGCUGGAGGAGUUUUAUUCAAGGCGAACUGUCAAGGGGUUCCCAUUAUCACCCAACCGCGUAAGGAACGAAAAAUCAAGGAACAUAACACCGGUAUGACGGAAACUAGGGCGACAAGAGUGGAACAAAACACCAGGCAUAAGGCCGCGCCACCUACCCUUUAUCAAGUAUAUAGAUGCAUUAAUUAAGUAAGAGAUAUGUGAUAUCCCAAAAUAUCCAAGUUCCAACAUGGAACCAACUUCAUCUUCACCUGCAACUAACAACGCUAUAAGAGGGGGUGAGCAAAAGCGGUAACUUAGCCAAACAACGGUUUGCUAGGAAAGGAUGGUUAGAGGAUUGAUAUGGCAACAUGGGAGGCAUGAUAUAGCAAGUGGUAGGUAGCGCAGCAUAGCAAUAGAGCGAACAGCUAGCAAGCAAAGAUAGAAGUGAUAUCGAGGGUAUGGUCAUCUUGCCAGCAACGUUCUCAGAGUUGUCGAAAGCUUGAUCCUCGUAAGCGUUCUCAACAGGUUCCUCGAAAGCCUUCUCGUCUCCCGGCUCUACCCAAAGCAAUAACACAAGCAAAGGACCAACAAUCAAAUCAGGUGCAAUGCACAAGCAACAUGGUGCAAUACAUGGCAUGAUAUGCGAGAUGUGAUAUGCAAUGCAUAUGCGUGCUCCGGAAGGGAAAAGAUGAACAAGGCAUCAACUUGGCAAACCAAGUGUGCCCUUGGAAAGAUGAGAUGAUUUCGGUUGAAAUCGGUAUAGAGAUCACCGGAAACGGAUGCACAGUUUGCAAAUUGCAAGCAAAACAAGAAUGACACAUUUCUGCGAUUAACAGCAUGAUGCCAUAUAGAAUGCAACAAGAAACUGAGCUACUGCACUCCAACAUAGCAACAAAGCAUAUGGCCAUGAUGUACACGAGAUGCUUGACAAAACAUGUACACUGAGCUAUGGCUAAAUCACACCGUAGCAGGUUCAAACAAGCAUGGAAAAAGUGCAAAAGAUAUCAGCUCCACAGACUUUGUGAAAAUACUAACAUGCCGGAAAUAACAUCAGGAAGCCAUGUUUAGAGCAAGCAAACAGCAGGCUACAAGAACAUAUCAUAGCAAAUCAAGGCAUGGCAUGAAUCUACUAAAUGCAUAGAACAAAAGUCCCUUAGUGAUCAUGAGCCAAAAAGGCACAGAAGAUACGAUGGCACCUCUAUAAACAUAGCAAGUUUUAUUACUAGAUUCAGACUUGGUAGAAAACAGAGCAUGGCAUUAGCAGAAUUAUGAAGGCAUCUUUGCGAGCUCGAUUCACUCAUCAUAAGCAAUUUCAAGACAAGAUAAGCAUAGAAUCAGCAAGAAGACAUGUUCACGAAACUAGCCAUGGAAAGAACAAGCUCAUAGCAUGCAAGGAUCAACUACAACAACCUUGGCAAAAUUGAUUAACAUGUAAACAAUCUGCCAGGAACAUUUUAUAGCAAAAGUAGAGCAAGAUUGAGACAAGCUAGGGCACUCCAUAAUUGCAAACAGGGGCAUGGAUGGAUAGAGAACAUCUAUAUGUCCAAAACAUCCUUAAUGAACAUACUCAGAAGAUGCAUGAAUCCUACUGUAGCAACAUGGAUACAUGGCAUCAAAAAUAAUAGCAGGAAAAAGGACUUAGCAAAAUCCUAAGUCCCUGAAAACAACAACAUCACGAAGCCUAGUUUACAUGCUUGUGCUAGUCACCACAUAGAUCACAAAAAUACAUAGCAAGCACCCCUGUAAAGAUGGCAUGACCUAGAUCAAAACACAUGUAGAGCUCAUGCUCAUAAGAUGCAUACAUCAAAAGCCACAAAAAUGACAAAACAUCAUAAUCUGAUAAGUAACAGCAGUAAAUUUUUUAUAGCACUCUUGCAUCAAUGAAAAUGGCAUCAAGAUUAACUAAAACAAGCAUGGCACAAUGGAACAAAAUUAAGAGCAUCUCAUGAAGAACAUUUUGAUAUAUCAUGCACGCAAAACUGAGCAGUAAGAAAGGAGAUAUGACAUGAUGAAUAGGAGAACAUGAUGUGAGAAUUUCGGGACUUAGAAGAAAAACGGGGUCAACCUCAUAUCUAGGGUUCUACGUGCACGCGAGCCGAGGCGGGGCCGGGCUCGCCGGAGACGAUGCGGUGGCGGCCGGAUCUUGAGGAGGCGGUCGCCGGCGAGGACGGGGGCGCCGGAUNNNNNNNNNNNNNNNNNNNNNNNNNNNNNNNNNNNNNNNNNNNNNNNNNNNNNNNNNNNNNNNNNNNNNNNNNNNNNNNNNNNNNNNNNNNNNNNNNNNNNNNNNNNNNNNNNNNNNNNNNNNNNNNNNNNNNNNNNNNNNNNNNNNNNNNNNNNNNNNNNNNNNNNNNNNNNNNNNNNNNNNNNNNNNNNNNNNNNNNNNNNNNNNNNNNNNNNNNNNNNNNNNNNNNNNNNNNNNNNNNNNNNNNNNNNNNNNNNNNNNNNNNNNNNNNNNNNNNNNNNNNNNNNNNNNNNNNNNNNNNNNNNNNNNNNNNNNNNNNNNNNNNNNNNNNNNNNNNNNNNNNNNNNNNNNNNNNNNNNNNNNNNNNNNNNNNNNNNNNNNNNNNNNNNNNNNNNNNNNNNGCGGGCUUCGGCGGUGGGAGGCGGCGGCGCGCCAUGUGGCGGCCUUCGGUUGGGGUGGGCGCGGCGGCGGACGCGUCUAGCCUGAUCCGGACAUGUCCGGCGGCGGAGAGGUGUGAGGCUAGGGUUUCGGGACCCGGGAUUUCGGAGGAGUGAACAUAUUUAUAGGUAGAGGGAGCUAGGAGACUCCAAUUGAGGAGCGGUUUUCGCCCACACGAUCGUGAUCCAACGACUGAGAGCAUGGAGGGGGUUUAGAUGGGUUAUUGGGCUGUUUUGGAGGGGUGUUGGGCUGCAAUACAAGAGAGGCUUUUGCGGUUACCUGGUUAACCGUUGGAGCAUCAAACGGCCUCCAGAUGGAACGAAACUUGACAGGUGGUCUACCGGUGGUGUACCAAGGCCACUUGGCAAACCUUGGUCCAUUCCGAGAACGUUUAACACCCUCUCACGAAAAGAGACAAGAGGGGUGCGCCGGUGCAUGUGGGAGUGUCGGAUUGCAAAACGGACAACGGGGAAAAUGCUCAGAUGCAUGAGACGAACACGUAUGCAAAUGAGAUGCGCAUGAUGCCAUGAUAUGAAAUGCAUGACAUGAACAAAAUGCAAAGCGAAAGACAAAAACCCAACCACGGAGGGAAUAUCAUAACACAUAGCCGAAAAUGGCAAGAGUUGGAGUUACAAAUAUGGAAAGUCACAUCCGGGGUGUUACAACACUCCACCACUAAAAGAGGAUCUCGUCCCAAGAUCUAGGACUGAAAGAACUCCGGAUAUUUGGAACGGAGGUGAUCCUCGCGCUCUCAGGUGGCUUCUCAGUCGGAAUGGUGUGACCACUUCACUUUCAGGAAUUUGAUUGACUUGUUGCGAGUCUUGCGCUCAGUUUCUUCAAGAAUAGCAACGGGGUGCUCAUGAUAAGACAAAUCUUCCUGGAGGUCAAUCUCUUCGAAGUUGAUAGUACGCUCAGGCAUCUUGAAGCACUUGCGAAGCUGUGACACGUGAAACACAUUGUGCACAUUUGCGAAGUUGGACGGAAGCUCAAGUUGAUAGGCGAGGUCGCCUCUUUUGCCAAUGAUCUUGAAGGGACCCACGUAUCUAGGGGCAAGCUUCCCUUUGAUACCGAAGCGGUGAGUGCCUUUCAUUGGAGAGGCGCGGAGGUAGACAUGGUCUCCGAUUUCAAAAGCCACAUCACGGUGUUGUCAUCAUAAUAGCUCUUCUGGCGCGAUUUCUCGGCUUUGAGAUUCUCACGAAUGACUUUACACAUUUCUUCUGCUUCUGUGAUUAAGUCAUUGCCAAGAAGUUGGCGUUCACCAGUCUCUGACCAAUUGAGAGGAGUACGACACUUUCUGUCAUAUAGAAUCUCGAAUGGGGCCUUGCCCGAACUCGCUUGGAAGCUGUUGUUGUAGGAGAACUCGGCAUAUGGGAGGCAAUCUUCCCAGUUCAUGCCAAAGGAAAUGACACAAGCCCUGAGCAUAUCUUCAAGGAUUUGAUUGACUCGCUCGACUUGGCCACUAGUUUGAGGAUGGAAAGCUGUGCUGAAGCGAAUGUUGGUGCCCAUGGCCUUCUGGAAGGAGUCCCAAAACAUAGAAGUGAAGAUGCUUCCACGAUCUGAAGAAAUCAAUUGUGGAAUGCCGUGCAAGGAGACAAUCCUGUAGGUGUAUAGCUCUGCCAACUGAGCUGUUGUGAUAGAUUCUUUGAUAGGAAGAAAAUGAGCCACUUUAGUAAGCUUGUCGAUGACAACGAAGAUAGCAUCAUUUCCACGCUUGGACUUAGGAAAUCCAGUCACGAAGUCCAUUUCGAUAUGAUCAAACUUCCAUUCUGGAAUAGCAAGAGGUUGGAGUAGACCACCUGGUCGUUGGUCUUCGGCUUGCACCCUUCGACAGACAUCACAUUCAUUCACGAAUUGAGCGAUUUCUCGCUUCAUUCGAGUCCACCAAUACGACUGCUUGAGGUCAUGGUACAUCUUCGUACUUCCAAGAUGAAUGGAUAGAAGGGAAUUGUGUGCCUCAUUCAUAAUGACUUUCCUUAGAUCACCUUUAGGAACCACAAUCCAGUCCUCGAAGAAUAAAGUGUCUCGGUCAUCAAUGCGAUAGCACUUGUAUUUGGAAAGACCCUUGGCAAUCCCAUGUUUUACCUUCUUCACCAUGGAGUCAAGGAGUUGUGCCUCACGAAUUUGAUCUUCCAAAGUAGGAGAGACUAGGAGGUUGGCAAGAAAGCCUUGAGGAACAACUUGGAGAUUCAGUUUGCGGAAAGCUUCACAAAGGUCCGGUUGGAAGGGCUUGAGGAUUAAGCUGUUGCAAUAAGCCUUCCUUCUCAAAGCAUCCGCAAUGACAUUGGCCUUGCCUGGAGUAUAUUCAAUACUCGGAUUGUACUCUUGAAUCAUUUCGACCCAUCGAGUUUGCCUGAGGUUGAGGUUGGGCUGAGUGAAGAUAUACUUGAGACUCUUGUGAUCGGUGAAAAUGUCCACUUUCCUUCCCAACAAGAGAUGUCUCCAUGUUAUUAAUGCAUGGACAACUGCCGCCAACUCAAGAUCGUGAGUGGGGUAGUUUUUUUCGUUGGGCUUCAACUGACGAGAGGUAUAGGCCACAACUUUCUUCUGUUGCAUUAACACAGCACCGAGACCUUGUAGAGAAGCAUCACAGAAAACUUCGAAUGGCUUGGAUUCAUCAGGAGGAGUUAAGACAGGAGCUGAGACAAGUUUCUCUUUGAGAGUGUUGAAAGCAACAUCACACUCAGGAGUCCAGACAUACUUCACAUGCUUCUGGAGGAGGUUGGAAAGAGGCUUUGCAAUCUUAGAGAAAUUCUCAACGAAUCUUCGGCAAUAGCUUGCAAGUCCAAGAAAACUGCGAAGGUGCUUGACAUUCUGAGGAGGUUCUGUCGUGGAAUCGUCACGGCAGAUGUCCUAGUGUGAGGACUUAGUCGUGAGGCCAACGCAUCUAUUCGGUAGCUUGAGAGGGGUUGAUCGGGACGAGAGACGCAACACGCAAGAAAAGAAUUUAGAUAGCUUCGGGCCCCGGGAAACAUCAUCCGGUAAUAACCCUACAUGCUGUUUGUGGCUAGGUCUCAUUAUGAUCAUGAAUGAGUCGCCGGCUCAGCCGGCUCUUUGUGUCCAGCCCUAGAGAUUGUUUCUUGUUCCUUGUCCCUCUUGGGGUGCCCUGCCCCUCCUCAUAUAAGUUAGAGUGGCGGGUUACAUAUGGAGUCCUAUUAGGAUUAGGACUAGUCUAUCUUGCUUUACAAGUUGAAUACAAGUCCGGGUCUUGCUUCCUUGUAAAGGAAAUAAUCCUCACGCCUUUCAUCUUAAGCCAGCUGUCGUGGAAUUAACACGUCAGGUGUCCUAGGUGUAAGGACUUAGUCGUGAGGCCAGCGCAUCUAUGUAGUAGCUUGAGAGGGGUUGAUUGGGAUGAGAGACGCAGGGCGGUCCAACGCACGAGACAAGGGUUUAGACAGCUUCGGGCCCCGGGAAACAUCAUCCGGUAACAACCCUACAUGCUGUUUGUGGCUAGGUCUCAUUAUGCUUAUGAGAGAGUCGCCGGUAAGCCGGCUCUUUGAGUCUAACCCUAGAGAUUGUUUCUUGUUGCUCGUCCCUCUUUGGGGUGCCCUGCCCCUCCUUAUAUAAGUUAGAGGGGCGGGUUACAUGUGGAGUCCUAGUAGGACUUGGACUAGUCUAUCUUCUCUUACAAGUUAAUUACAAGUCCGGGUCUUGCUUCCUCGUAAAGGAAAUAUUCGUCAUCCCUUUCCUUUUAAGCCGGCCCAUCAUAAACGUGAGUCGGCCUUCUGGGCCUUGGGCCUAGUCUUCUAUCUGACCCGCCGUCGGGGUCAUCCGUGAGUCGUCAGGCUCGUGAGUCGUCUGGCAGUGAGCCGCCAGACCCGUGAGUCGCCAGUCCUCCGGCGGGUCACGGUGAAGCGCCAAGUCCGGCCGGGUCAUACUUCCGGCUGGGUCAUACCGCGGGGUAUAUCCCCGACAUUAGCCCCCAGUUUAAUUUGAAUUUAUCCAUGUUAAACUAAUCUGCAAUAUAAACACAAGAACAAAUUUGACAGCUUGUGUUCCGGGUUAAAUAUUCUUUGUAAGCCGGCACAUGAUCAUCCUUCAGUCCUUGUCAUCUUCCUUCUUGAUAUGUAUCCAUAAUCUCAUAGCAAAUCUCUUUAGCAGAUAUGUUCAAAUUUUGCCAAUGCAACAAAUCCAGAUACUUCCUUUGAAAAAUCCGGGUCAACAGGCCAGCAUCAGAGUCAAUUUGCUGACAUUGGUCUCUUGUUGAGAAAUAUUGUAAGAUAUAAUCCACUUGAGUCGGCUUUCAAUGCUCUGACUUGACAAAAAUAUUGGUCUUCAAAUAUUCAACUAAUAUUCAUCCGGCUUAAAGAUAUAAAACUUGCCGGUUUAUGAGUACCAAAAUUGCCGGGUUAUAAAUAGAUGAUGCCAAGUCAUAAUUGUCGCUGACGCCGGUUUAUGAUUUUUGCAGACACCAGGUCAAUCUGAUUUACUCAAAACUGAGAAUUUGAAGAUAUUUCUCCCUUAUAUCCAUAUUACCUGUAGCCCCCAAGGGCCGGUUUAAUCAGCAUGAAUAAGCCGGGACUUAUCACCAUGGCUUUAAAUAAAAUCCAGUUGUGUAGCCCCCAUGAGUCGGCUAUAGUCAUAGUAGUGUAGCCGGGUCAUCCUAGAAUUGUCUUGAAUUUUUGACAGGAGCAAUUAGUAGUCCCCAAGGGUUGGCUCAUUACGAUGUGAUGAGUCGGGUCUUCAAUGAAGUGAUCAAAAAAUGACUUUGCAUUAGCCCCCAAGUGCCAUGGUGCAUGCUGGCAGUGACAUGGGACUUGCAUAUUUGAUGUAAUCUCAACAUGAAUAAUGUAGCCCCCAAGUGCCGGGUUAUAAGCCUGCAGCGACUCGGGACUUAUCUGUUGACAAGUAAAUCCGGAGUUUAGAUACCCGGCGGCUCUUGGCCGAUGGCAAUUUAUUACGCCUCCAUUGUAAGCCGGAAAUUUUAUAACCCGGCUAUUUAUAGCCUUUUGAGAAAAUCAAAAAUUGAUAACCCUUUUGAGACACCAAUGUCAAUCUGGGAUAUUGAAUUUUCACUGCCGGUUUAUGUGACCUGUGCAGUAAGUGUCGGGACCCCGAUUCCAAGUCACACCGAUCUAGCCUGUAACACCUCAUAUCACUUUGCGGCCUCACGCACGGUACUCCCACGGGUGUCGCCUUACCAUGGCCCAGGACCGUUUGCGCCUUUUGGCUCACGUAUAUGACAAUGUUGCUAGCAUCCAUAUGACAGAGAACCCGGCCGACAUGGCUAGUCGUGAACCCAAAGCGGCACUAACAUAUGGGGACAGGCAUACAUGAAUCAACAUCGAACGUGUCGGUCAGCAGCGUGCGAAUCCGGGCUGUAGCACUGGGCUAACAGGACUCCGGGAACCCGGGCUGUAGCAGGCUAGGCAGGACUCCGGAUGUCACCGCGUGACAUUUCCCCGAAGGGACAGACACAGGAACGAUAUGAAACACAUGCCGGCCAGUCAAGUGUCCAGAGCAGUAGUGCUGGGCUAGCAGGACUCCGGUGAACCGGGCUGUAGCGGACUACUAUGGCUCAAGGAGGCACUAGACUACAUUUCCCCAUAAGAGAGGCUGCUAAGGAUAAACAACUAGAUUGUCGGAUCCCACACAUACCAAGCAUUUCAAUCAUACACACAAUAUGCUCGAUAUGUGCAAAUACAACAUGGCAUCACAACAAGACUCUACGACUCAGAGUAUUUAUUCAUUAGGCUCCGAAGAGCCAGAUAUACAAACAUGGGUCUCAUGACCCAACAUUCAGAGCAUACAAGUCAAAGCACAUGCGGAAGCUUAACCUGUCUGAGUACAGACAUCUACAAAUGAAAAAGGCUGAGAAGCCUGACUAUUUACUAGAUCCUGCCGAGGGCACAAGAUCGUAGCUGAGGUAUCAAGCUAAACGUCGAAGUCCACACGGAACUACUAGCGAGACUGACGUCUUUCUGCAAAACAUAAAAUAGGCAAACGUGAGUACAAAUGUACCCAGCAAGACUUACAUCAGAACUAUCUACAUAUGCAUCGGUAUCAACAAAAGGGGUGGUGGAGUUUAACUGCAGCAAGCCAGCUUUGACUCGGUGGCUAUCCUAAACUAUGACUGCAAGUAACUCUUUUGAGGUGGCGCACACGAGUCCACAUAUUCACCAUAUCAAUACACCACUAUGGAUCCGCUCCCGUCUCCCUACGAGAACGCCAUCCACAGCACUCACGCUUAUCUUGCGCAUUUUAGAGUAUCCACUUUCACUUGUCUAUGAACUGUACAGGCGACCCAGAAGUCCUUUACCGCGGACACGGCUAUUCGAAUAGAUCAUAUUAACCCUGCAGGGGUGUACUUCGUCACACACGCUCUCGCCACUUACCACCAUGUACACGUCGUGUACCUCGGCAACCUUCAAGCGGAAGCCUGGCGAGGGAGUCGGCCACGACCUGACUAACCACACAAGUCUCUAGUCCAGGUUUAUCGCCUAUUCGGGUUCCAUCCGCAAGGAGAUCCGGCCGGGGUGUCGCUCACGGCCCCAAACGAUGUGUGCAGGGUUCCCGAGCCCACCAUCCGGGNNNNNNNNNNGGGUGCCACUUGGUAGACUACUAACACUACCUACAAACACCAGAGACUAGUUGCAACUCCUGGACAGAGAUCGAGGCGGUUAAUAAGCCGAGAGGGGUCGAGUUACCGGAACCCAAUGUGUGGUAGUAACUGUUCAUGGAUCACAAACACAGAACUCAGUUCCUGAGGACGGUUUCAAUGAGACAACCCACCAUGUACUCCUACAUGGCCUCUCACCGCUACCUUUACCAAAUCGUGUUCACACACUUAGCUCUCAACAGUAGGACAUGUUCACCACAUUCCAAUUCAUUCCCGAUGAAUCAGACCUGACACAACUCUAAGCAAUAGCAGGCAUGACAAACAAGCAUGAAUGAGUAGGCACAUCAGGGCUCAAACAACUCCUACUCAUGCUAGUGGGUUUCAUCUAUUUACUGUGGCAAUGACAGGUCAUGCAGAGGAUAAAGGGGUUCAACUACCGCAGCAAGUAACAGAUGAAUCGUUGUUGUCCUAAUGCAGUAAAAGAGAGCAGGAGCGAGAGAGUGGGAUUGUAUCGGAAUGAGCAAGGGGGUUUUGCUUGCCUGACACUUCCGAAGAUAGUAUAGCUCUUCAUCGGUGUCAUCGAUCGCAUCGUCGAAGCAACAUCUACCGAGAGGGGACAAUACCGGCAAACAGAGAAGAAACACGAUCAAUGCAAUGCACAAUAUGAUGCAUGCUAUGACAUGGCAAUAUGAAUGUGUUUUGAGCUAAUGCAACUAACAACAUAUUAAAUGGAGUUGGUUUGAAUCCAAGAUUCAAAUUCAAACUCCAUAUGUGGAAAUUCAAAUGCCAUUUACAUGAUUUGUCCUAAACAGUAGUCAUAAGUUGUUCUAACAUGCAUGGAAAUGCCAUAAACAGAUUCUUUGGAUUUUUCUGAUAAUUUUUCAUAUAUAAAUUAUUUCAUUUGGAGUUACGGUUGAUUUUCUAUGAUUUUUAGAAGUUUAUAGGAUUUUCUGGAAUUUCCUGGAUUAUUUUAAAUCUAGAAAAUCAAUUAUUGCAUCAGCAUUGCGUCAUGCCUGUGUCAGCAGUCAACUGGGUUGACCCAGGUCAAACCUGACGUGUGGGGGCCACACGUCAGCGACACAGGGCUAAUCCCGGUCAAACCCAGCGCUGACUGGGGUUUGACCCUGUGGUAGGGCCCACUGUCAGUGGCUGUGAGGUGGCUAGUUAAGGGAUUAGCCUCUAAUGACGGAGCCACGUCAUCAUCGCCGGACUCUGGCCGGCGGCGACCAUUCCGCACGGCGGAGCUGCAGCUGGGCGGCGCUAGGGCUGCGGUUAGGUGCGGUGCGACCACCAGGAGGGAGCCCAUGCUCGUCCGCAUCCAACGGAGUAGGCAGCAGCGACUGGGGUGCGCUGUACUCGCCGGAGACGAGCUCGCGGCGGCGGCCGGAGUUCGGGAACAUGCGGGGUUAGCGCUGCGGCAUGCAAACGAGCUGGCUGUCGCGCUAGUGUUGCUCCACGGGGCGUUGCGAGUGCAACGGACGCACGCGCGGGGCCAUUUGGUCACCGGGGCUUCGCCGGCGACGAGCCCGUGCGGCGAUGGCUAUGGUGAGCAAGGGGGCAACGGCUACGGCGACAGAACGGGGGCAGGGUUAGGGGGGAAAUGACCGGGGGCUCACCGCGGUCACAAAGAGCUUCUCGCCGAGCUCGGGGAGGCACGGGCGGCGUCGAAUCGACGGUGGGGUUGCCGGCGGCCGAAGCUCGAAGACGAUGAUGAUGCAGUCGUUGCAGGGCGUCCGGAGUGGCUUCUUUUGGUGGAGAGGCGUAGCGCGAGGUGGCGGAGCUGCUGGGCAUCCUAGCUAGGCGAGGGGGGCUCGGUGGCCACGGCAACGGCGAGCGGCCUCGACGAGCUCCACUCGGGCAAAGAGGGAGAGAGAGCAGAGGGCGAGGGAGAGGAGCGAGGGGGUCGAGGGGAGAUGCGUGGCGUUCACAGCCGCGUCGGGGAAGCGGCGGAAGCAAGAGGUGGCGCGGGCGCGUGCCAGCGUGCGGCGAACACACGCCCGGCGUCCCUCUGGCGUCCUUCUGGCGCGAGGUGGGAGACGGUGGCAGCUCUGGUGGGCUGGGCCAGCUCCUGGGCCGUGGUGGGGCGCCAGGUAAGUCCAGGUGAGGGGCCCAGGUGAGUCCUUCUCUCUCUCUCCUUUACAUUUAAUUCUAUUUUCUAUUUUUCUGUAGUUUGUUUUGAUUUAGUUAUAGCCCAAAUCAUUUUAAUAAAUCCUGAAAAUAAUUGUGGGCACUUUUGAAAAUAUCUCAAAUAGCCCUCAAAUACUUUCAAGAUUAUUUGGACAGUUAAGAUAUUUUAUAGAAUUCAAAAGUCCAAAUUCAAAUACUUAUGAUUUAAUUCAAAAAUCCAGAAAUGACCUAGAAAUAUGUUUAUCAUUUUUGGCAGAGGUUUUUACCUUUAUCAGAAAUGAUGAACAUUUCCAAAGGCAUUUUGGGAUCAUUGAAAAUAUUUCAUUGUGAUCCUAGUUGGAUUUCAUUUGGUGCUAGGGUUUGAACAUCCCCAUUUCAAGUUUAGGCAAAAUUUAAACAUGAUACACACAUGAAGCUAGCCUAGUGCAUAGCAAGGCUAGGGAUGUGACAGUAAGGGUGACAACCCAAUCUUUGAUACGCGCAUGAUUCCCAUGGCACAAUUCAAAACAUGCCGGCGGCUUAAAGUCCAUAGCCAGGGCCACUUUAAACAUAAUCAUGUAUAAACAAUAUCAUACCUGUGAUAUUGAAUUGUACUGCCAGCUUAUGAUACCUGUGCAGUAAGUGUGAUAACCCAAUCCUUAGAAGCCAAUGCUUCCACAUAGAUGAUGAUUGUCAUAAGCCGGCGACUUAUCAUCGAAAAUCAAGUCGGGCUUAAAUAAAACCACUCAUAUACACUUUAGAUGUGUUCAAAAGAGCUUCAAAUAAAAUCCCAAAAAUUAUUUGCAAAAAGAAACUUCAAAAAAUCUUGAGGCUUCUGAUUCGAAUACGAUCAAAAAACCAUCCCAAAGGGGUUAAGCUAAGAUUCGAAUACGAUCAUAUAGCCCCCAGUGGCUUUGGCGUUGCCGAUCAAGAGGGUACCGACCGCUAUGUUCUCUUUGGUUCGAAUACGACCUAUGUUUGAACAGGAAGCCCCCAAAUGACCUUGAGAGUUGUUUAACGACGCUAAUUCGAAUACGAUCCACGUCGGUUCCCAAAAGGGGUUGAGCUAUGAUUCGAAUACGAUCAAGAAACUCCCCAAUGAGCUCGGCAGUGUGCCGAUCAAAAGGGUAUCGACAGCUAUGUUCUCUUUGGUUCGAAUAUGACCUAUGUUUGAACAGGAAGCCCCCUAGUGAUCAUGAGAAUAUUUAACGACUCUGAUUCGAAUACGAUCAGGGUCACACCAAAAGGGUUAAGCUAAAUUCAAAUACGAUUAGCUCCCAAUGGUCAUUAAAGCAGGGUACCUAUAUUUGAGUUGUGCUUUGUAACAGACUCUCUUUGGUCCCUUUAAUUUUUCCUGAGAACUCGAACUUUGCGAGAGAUAACCUCUUUUUGAACCGGAAAUUUGUAAACCGUAUAUUAAGAGCUUCAAAGCUUUAUAAGAUAAAAAUUUACCUUGAGUCGGACGUUUGAACCGGAUUUGAGAGCUUCAAAACCUUGCGGGAGAAAGAUAUCUCUUGAACCGGAUUUUAAACCGGAAUCUUUAUUUGAACCGGCAAUUUUCUGACGGCCUUUAAAGUUUCAUCAAUAUGGUAGCAGCCUCCGGAACCGGGUUAUCAUUCCCUCCAACGACCCGGGGUUCCCGAGUCAUGUCACUGUAGCCCCCGAGUCUCAAGAUGACUCGAGGAGUUGGCUUGAGAUUCUCCAUAUUUAACCGUGAUAUAAACCGACAUAACUUGUAUAUCACUGGUGUUGAUAACACGAUGUGUAUCCACAGAAGGUUGAGCUGACUGCGGCGGGUUAUAAAUGAUCCCGUAUGAGCCGUGUCAGCAACUCGGCCAAUGGUUCCUUCCAAUUGGCUGGUUGAAGUUUGACCAAACUGUAGUGACCGCGACUUGUGCGCAUGUCCAUUGAGCCAUCUGGUGCAGACGGCGGUUGAUAGUAUAUGAUAAUUGCCUCCAUUUUGUUGAAAGAAAAACCGGGCUUCCCAAGUAGUGACCUGCUCAUACUCAAUACACAGCUCAUGCAGAUAAGUGCUGCUCGGUGUGUUGAUGUAGACCAGGCCGCGAGAGGCGGACGGAAAAGACGACCUCAGCAUCAGAGGCGGCCCAGACAGACGAACCGGCCGCGGUGUUAUAAACCGGCGCAGUCGGGCGAGCUAACCACGCCGUUUUGAUGUAGUGAACAAUUGUCCUGCAUCAACAAUAUUGCAGACCUAGAGAAAGAUAAACUGCUCUUUGACAAAAUAAUAUGUACCAAUAAAAUAUAUUUUAGAUGGAUAUCACCUGAUGUGCCAGGCCAGAAAUAAUCCGCCAUGAAAUUGAUGAUCGCUAGGUGAAGUUGAAGUCGCUCAUGGGUGAACCGGCCACGGCGUGAUAAACCGGUGUGGACGGGUGAGUCGGCCGUGACUUUUGUAAGCCGGCGCAGACAGCGAGUCGGCCACGGCGUUGUAAGCCGGCGCAGACACGUGAACCAGCCGCGAGGGCGGACGGGCGAGUUGUCUGUGGUGUUGUAAACCGGCACAGACGGGUGAGCCGUCCGCAGUGUUGUUUUUGUAGGCUGAGCCACAGAGGCGGCGGCUUGCGCACACACAUCAGUUGAACAAUGCGGUGUGGUUGGAUGCUGACGCUUGAUAAUAUUGGGGCGAGCUUUUAUAUCCGUGACAUAACGAUCAUUCUUGCAGUGAGUAAUUGUCCUGCAAAGAAAACAUCGCGAUCCAGAGCAAUUGUUCUUUGACAAAAAGCAAUAUAUGCUAAAUAAAAUAAACUUAAAACGGAUAGAUAUCACCUGAUUGUUCGGAUGACGGAUGAUCCGUUCAACGCAACAGAGGCGGCUCAGGCAGAUCGACGUCUCAAUAUAGUCCGGGCGGCUCAACACAGCAGAGGCGACUUGAACAACUUGAAACGAACGCGAGUCAACCCGGGGCAGGCGGCGGCUCAUCGUGUGACUGCGGUUUAGAAUGGUCCCGGCGACUCAACGCAACAUCUUUGUAUGUACGUCUAGCGGAUGUAGCAGUAACAUCCACGUGACCCUCCUUUUUCUAGUACUGUUUUAACUUGAAUUUUUUUUAUUACCCCCAAUAAUAGUUGUCCAUCGUAAGCAACGCUCGAGCGGCGGCUCAACAAUGAAACGAAGCAUAAAGGCCUUGGUCUUUUCCACCAGACAACGCGACACGGACGACCCGGCAGAACAAUGCUGGCACGCACUCCGUAUGCAUGAUAAUUACCACUUUUGUAAUUGUUCUGAUAUUUUGUCGGAUGACCGUGGAUGCUGCCGUCUGAUAAUACUGGACAUAUCCCGGAAAAAACAGCAUAGGUAAAUGCCAAUUUGAUGGGACGUGAGAAGCAUGAUUUGCUUACAUCACAUAACUAGCUUGGCCGCUUCCUCUUCUCUGUACUCUAUUUCGUUUGAUCAGAAGGUUCCGGUCAGGUUUACUUUUACCAUGUGUUGCAAUUGUCAGUAGCAAGGGAGGCCAGCAAGGGCGGCUCGCUGUGAAAACCAGGCGCGACGGCGGCUCGGCAAUCCGUCAGGGCGGCAAUCCGUCCGCGCAGCUAAUCAGGUGAUUGGUGUAGCUGCAGGCGAAGGCCAGAUUCACAAUCCGGAUGGUGGCUGUUGCAGAUGUUGACGAUAAAAAUCCCGGCUCAGCAUGGAAGAGUGCGAUUUGGAGGUACCGGGCUGCGGCCGAAACAUAGACCAGCAGAAGGCCCGGAUGGCGGCUGUUACAGAAGAUGAGGCCACGCCAGGCCACAUGGGCGAGCUCACGCGGGAGCGAGGAGGAGCAGCUCGUAGGAAACUAGGCGCGAUGGCAGCUCGCCCCGGCGAAUCCGAGUCAUGGUUGUCUUCCUCUCUCUUUCUUUUUUCAAUGAUACCCGUAUCAGUUGUGACUUUUCCUUUCUUUGAAUCCUGAAUUGGCUUCAGAAGUAGCACUUUGCUAUUUGAUUUGCAGCUUUCUCAUGCAAGUUGACUUGCUUCUGGUGAUUGAUGUACGAGUCCGUCUCGGGACUUGAUUGUGCCAGCUGCAACUGGGUAGGGGCGGCUUGCGGUUUGACAGCAGCCACUUCAAUGGACAAGACUACUGCCCUGGUGAUUUGCACACGAUGGAAAACCCUGUCGGUCCGGACUUCUAGCGAUAGCAGUAGCGCUCCCGAAAUCGAUCUGGCUCCAGAUCAACAGAUCGCCAUGGCACCUGUGGCGGCGAAAAUAUGCAAUCCUAUAUAUAUUUUUCCGAACUUAAAUCUCGUACUCCAAGUUUCAAAGUUUAACCAGCGAAUUUUAGCUGAUCCGGCCGGCGACGAAAUUCUUAAAAGAGUCCAGCAACUGUUCCUUGCUAGGUUAUUUUGCAUGAUUGUUCUGUGACUACUCUUCUCCAUCUGAGCAAUCGCGAGCUUCUCGAUCCCUAGGAGAAAUCCCUCCAAGAACUCAACACCACCGUGCGCAGCCCCACGGUGGGCGCCAACUGUCGUGGAAUUAACACGUCAGAUGUCCUAGGUGUAAGGACUUAGUCGUGAGGCCAGCGCAUCUAUGUAGUAGCUUGAGAGGGGUUGAUUGGGAUGAGAGACGCAGGGCGGUCCAACGCACGAGACAAGGGUUUAGACAGCUUCGGGCCCCGGGAAACAUCAUCCGGUAACAACCCUACAUGCUGUUUGUGGCUAGGUCUCAUUAUGCUUAUGAGAGAGUCGCCGGUAAGCCGGCUCUUUGAGUCUAACCCUAGAGAUUGUUUCUUGUUGCUCGUCCCUCUUUGGGGUGCCCUGCCCCUCCUUAUAUAAGUUAGAGGGGCGGGUUACAUGUGGAGUCCUAGUAGGACUUGGACUAGUCUAUCUUCUCUUACAAGUUAAUUACAAGUCCGGGUCUUGCUUCCUCGUAAAGGAAAUAUUCGUCAUCCCUUUCCUUUUAAGCCGGCCCAUCAUAAACGUGAGCCGGCCUUCUGGGCCUUGGGCCUAGUCUUCUAUCUGACCCGCCGUCGGGGUCAUCCGUGAGUCGUCAGGCUCGUGAGUCGUCUGGCAGUGAGCCGCCAGACCCGUGAGUCGCCAGUCCUCCGGCGGGUCACGGUGAAGCGCCAAGUCUGGCCGGGUCAUACUUCCGACCGGGUCAUACCGCGGGGUAUAUCCCCGACACCGGCCCACCAGAGUAUAAGCCUACCUGCCGGGCCUUGGGCCUUGUCGCCCGUCUGAUCCGCCCGCCGGGUCUCCAGUGAGUCACAAUGUCCAGGCGGGUUACUCUGUGAACCGCUAUGUUCGGGCGGAUCGCCAGUGAGUCGCCAAGUCCGGCCGGGUCAUACCGUGGGGUAUAUCCCCGACAUUAGGCCCCAGUUUAAUUUGGAUUUAUCCAUGUUAAACUGAUCCUGCAAAAUAAACACGAGAACAACUUUGAUAGGUUGUGCUCCGGGUUAAAAAUUCUUGUAAGCCGGCCCCUGAUCAUCUUUAAGUCCUUGUCAUUUCCUUCUUGAUACACGCCCAUGUAUUCAUAACAAAUCUCCUCAACAGAUAUGUUUCAACUUUGUCAAUGCAAAAAAUCCAGAUACUUCCUUUGAAAAACCCGGAUCAAUAGGCCAGCUUCAUAACCAAUUUGCUGACAUUGGCUCUUGUAGAGAAAUAUUAUAAGAAAUAAUCCAUUUGAGUCGGCCUUCAAUGCUCUGACUUGACAAAAAUAUUGGUCUUGAAAUAUUCAACUGAUAUUCAGCCGGCUUAAAGAUGUAGAUCUUGCCGAUUUAUGAUUGCCAAAAUUGCCGGGUUAUAAAUAAAUGAUGCCGGGUCAUGAUUGUUGCAGACACCGGGUUAAUCUGGUCUGCUCCAAACUGAGAAUUUGAAUAUAUAUAUAUAUAUUUUUCCUUAUAUGCCUAUCACCUGUAGCCCCCAAGUCUUAAGAGGAGAACAUAGUGAUAACUUAAGACUUGCUUCAAUAUAAGUGUUGCAACCUUGAAGAAAUCUGGGUUAUUCAUCUCAAUCAUUAGUCAUAAACUAAAUAUUCCAUAUAUGUAGCCCCCAAGUGCCGGGUUGUCAUGCUUGCAGCAACCUGGGACUUGUAAUUGCCUUAUGCUCAUAAAAACUUCAACUAGUGUAGCCCCCAAGGGCCGGGUCAUUAUGCAAUAAUGAGCAGGGACUUUGUAAAUAUGAUCAUGUAAACUUGACCAGUAACGUGUAGCCCCCAAGGGCCGGGUCAGUAAGAUAUUAACGAGCUGGGACUUUGUAUAUGAUUCAUUGAUAAUAACAACAUAUGAUGUAAUCUCCACCAUGGGGCUUGAACCCACAUCCACAAGGUUAAGAGUUUUGUACUCUACCAACUGAGUAGUGGAUCUUUCAAUAUAAUGGAUUAAGGCUUGUGUACCUUAAAUUUUCGACAGGAGCAAUUGGUAGCCCCCAAGGGCUGGCUCAUUUAGAAUGUGAUGAGUCGGGUCUUCAAUAAAUUGAGCAAAAAGUGACUUUGCAUUAGCCCCCAAGUGCCAUGGUACAUGCUGGCAGUAACAUGAGACUUGCAUAUUCGAUGUAAUAUUAAUUUGAAUAAUGUAGCCCCCAAGUGCCGGCUCGUAAGCCUGCAGCGACUCGGGACUAUUCCUUCUAGUGUAGAAUAAAUCAUAUCCAAAAAUAAUCGCCAUUGUGCCGAAGCGACUUUGAAUACCUUAUCUGUUGACAAGUAAAUCCGGAGUUUUAAAUACCCGGUGGCUCUUGGCCGAUGGCGAUUUAAUACGCCUCCAUUCUAAGCCGGAAUUUUUAUAACCCGGCGGCUUAUAGCCUUUGAGAAAAUCCAGAACGGAUAAUCAUUUUGAAGCAUCAAUUUUAAUGAUGAGCUUGGACUUAAAUAUUUAUAUAAGUCAUAGUUCUGCAAAUCAUGCACAGAGUUUAAACAACAUACGCCCUGGCGACUUAAUGUCAAAAGCCAGGGCGGGUAACCAUCCAAAUGUAGUCUUAUCCUGCACACAAGUAGACCACGGGAACCCUUGGCAGUUUACCGUAGGGCGGGUCAUAAUAUCUUACAUAUGACCACUGAUGUGUAAAAAAGGAGUCACAGAUAAGCCUGUUAUGAAUCAUAACUUUGAAACAUAACUAUAAUAUCAUACCUGUGAUAUUGAAUUUGCAUUGUCGGUUUAUGUGACCUGCACAGUAAGGGUGAUAACCCAAUCUUUGAUACGCGCAUGAUUCCAAUGGCGCAAUUCAAAACAUACCGGCGGCUUAAAGUCCAUAGCCAGGGCCGGCUCAUUACAUAAUCAUGUAUAAACAAUAUCAUACCUGUGAUAUUGAAUUGUACUGCCGGCUUAUGAUACCUGUGCAGUAAGGGUGAUAACCCAAAACUGAGAAGUCAAACCUUCCAAAUAUUAAUAUUGUCAUAUGCUGGCGACUUGUUCGUCGAGAGCCAGGGCGGGUUAAUAGAAACCACAUAUAUAUGCUUCAGAUAUGAGCAAAAAGUCUCAAAACCCAAAAGAUUGCAUUCAAAAAACUUAAUCCAGACAAAAAGAAAAUCAAGGCUUAUGAUUCGAAUACGAUCAGUAAACUGUUCCAAAGGGGUUAAGCUAGGAUUCGAGUACGAUCAUUUCGCCCCAGUGGCUUUGGCGUUGCCGAUCAAGAGGGUACCGGCAGCUAUCUUCUCUUUGGUUCGAAUACGACCUAUGUUUGAACAGGAAGCCCCCAAAUGACCUUGAGAGUUAUUUAACGACGCUGAUUCGAAUACGAUCCACGUCAGACCCAAAAGGGGUUGAGCUAUGAUUCGAAUACGAUCAAGAAGCCCCCUAGUAAGUUUGGCAGUGUGCCGAUCAAAAGGGUGCCGACAGCUAUGUCCUCUUUGGUUCGAAUACGACCUAUGUUUGAACAGGAAGCCCCCAAGUGACCAUAUAAGUUUUGGCAUUGCGCCGAUCAAAAGGGUACUGACAGCUAUACUCGAUGAGCAGGAAGCCCCCAAGUGACCAUAAUAAGAUAAGCCGUAAAGCGGGAUACCCAUGUUUGAACCGUGCAUCAUGGUAGCAAGCCCUUUUUGGCACCCUUUAAUCUUUCUGAGAACUCGAACUUGCGAGAGAUUGAUUCUUUUUGAACCAGAAUUUUAAACCGGAUUUGAAAGUUUAAAACUUUGUGAGAGAUAAAUUUACCUUGAGCCGGAUUUUGAACCGGAUAUUAAGAGCUUCAGUGUUUUGUUGGAGAGAGAUUGUCCUUAAUUUUGAACCAGAACCCUUAUUUUGAGCUAGAAAUCUUCUGACGGCCCUUAAAUUUUUAUCGAUCUAGCAGUAAUCCCCGGGGUCGGGUUAUUUUUCCCUUCAAUGACCCGGAGUUCUUGAAUGCAUUGAAACCGACCAAUGCUGCCGAGUCAUAUCAUUGUAACCCCCGAGUCUCAAGACGACUCGAGGAGUUGGCUUUGAGAUUCUCCAUAUUGACCAUAGCAUAAAGUGUAUAUCAUUGGUGUUGAUAGCACGAUGUGAAUCCAUAGAAUGUUGAGAUGACUGUGGCGGGUUAUAAAUGAUCCCGUAUGAGCCGUGUCAGCAACUCGGCCAAUGGUUCCUUCCAACUGGAUGUUUUGAAGUUAACCAAACUGUAGUGGCGGCGACUUGUGCGCCUACCCAUUGAGCCUCCCAGUGCAGACGGCGGUUGAUAGUAUAUGAUAACUUGCCUCCAAUUUUGUUGGAAGAAAAACCGGGCUUCCCAAGCAGUGACUUGCUCAUACUCAAUAAACAGCUCAUGCAAACAGGUGCGGCCCUGGUGUGUCGAUGUAGACCAGGCCGCAAUAGACGGAUGGUAAGACGUCCACAGUAUUAAAGGUGGCACGGACAGAUGAGUCGGCCGCGGCAUUGUAAGCCGGUGCGGACGGGCGAGUUAAUCGCGGCAUUGUAAGCCAAUGCGGUCGAGAGAGCCGGCCACGACAUUGUAAACCGGCGCGGACAGGUGAGUUGGCCGUACGUUGAUGUAGACCAGGCCGUGAGAGACGGAUGGAAAAGAUGACCGCCGCAUCAGAGGCGGCUCAAAUAGAUGAAUCGGCCGCGGUGCUGUAAACCGGCGCGAGCGAGUCAACCAUGUUUGUUUUGAUGUAGUGAACAAUUUUCCUGCAUCAACAAUAGUGCCGACCAAGGCAAAGAUAAACUGCUCUUUGACAAAAAUAAUAUGUGCCAAUAAAAUAUAUCUUAGAUGAAUAUCACCUGAUGUGCCAGGCCGGAAAUAACCCGCCAUGAAUUUGAUGAUCACUAGGUGAUGUUGAAAUCACUCACGGGCGAGUCGGUCGCGGGUGCAGGUAGAUGAGUCGGUCAUGGCGUGGUAAGCCGGCGUGGACGGGCGAGUCAAUCGCAUAUGUGGCAAGCCGCGUGGACGGGCAAAUUGUCCUUCGCGUUGCAGGCCGGCGCGGACGCGUGAAACGGCCGCAAGGGCGGACGGGCGAGUUGUCCAUGGCAUUGUAAGGCGGCGCGGACGGGCGAGUCAGCCGGCGCGUUGUAAGCCGGUGCGGGAGUCCGUUGAGUAAGGACGACCACCUGUGCCGAAUGAUGUUGGCACGCCUCCAUCUCCGCAGUAUAAUGCCACUUUGUAAUGAAUAAUUCUCCUGCAUAUAAAACACAGCAGGUGUAACACCCUGAGAAUCAUGCUACAGUAACCCCCUGUGAUUAAGCUAAUCAUGUUGCUAAACAGGGCUUGAUCACAUUUGAAUCACACCCUUUUCAAACUCCUAGUUCAAACUUCAAAUAUAAUUAAAGUGGAAAAUAAAAGUUUUCAAAAAUUUAAACUAAAAUGUUCAGUGGGUGCCAAAAAUUACACUGGUAAUUAUGGUGGAGAAAACACAUUUUUAUAAAAUGUCUAAAUACUUUUAAAUGAAAUAAAACAGAAAAGGAAAUAAACAAAUAAAAAGAAAACAGAAAACAGAACACAGACAGGGAAAAAAAAAGGAAAAAGGACCGUUCCCCCCACUGCCCCCCCCGGCCCAAACUGGGCCGCGACCCCGACCCCCGGCCCAGCCCACCUCCCCCCCNNNNNNNNNNNNNNNNNNNNNNNNNNNNNNNNNNNNNNNNNNNNNNNNNNNNNNNNNNNNNNNNNNNNNNNNNNNNNNNNNNNNNNNNNNNNNNNNNNNNNNNNNNNNNNNNNNNNNNNNNNNNNNNNNNNNNNNNNNNNNNNNNNNNNNNNNNNNNNNNNNNNNNNNNNNNNNNNNNNNNNNNNNNNNNNNNNNNNNNNNNNNNNNNNNNNNNNNNNNNNNNNNNNNNNNNNNNNNNNNNNNNNNNNNNNNNNNNNNNNNNNNNNNNNNNNNNNNNNNNNNNNNNNNNNNNNNNNNNNNNNNNNNNNNNNNNNNNNNNNNNNNNNNNNNNNNNNNNNNNNNNNNNNNNNNNNNNNNNNNNNNNNNNNNNNNNNNNNNNNNNNNNNNNNNNNNNNNNNNNNNNNNNNNNNNNNNNNNNNNNNNNNNNNNNNNNNNNNNNNNNNNNNNNNNNNNNNNNNNNNNNNNNNNNNNNNNNNNNNNNNNNNNNNNNNNNNNNNNNNNNNNNNNNNNNNNNNNNNNNNNNNNNNNNNNNNNNNNNNNNNNNNNNNNNNNNNNNNNNNNNNNNNNNNNNNNNNNNNNNNNNNNNNNNNNNNNNNNNNNNNNNNNNNNNNNNNNNNNNNNNNNNNNNNNNNNNNNNNNNNNNNNNNNNNNNNNNNNNNNNNNNNNNNNNNNNNNNNNNNNNNNNNNNNNNNNNNNNNNNNNNNNNNNNNNNNNNNNNNNNNNNNNNNNNNNNNNNNNNNNNNNNNNNNNNNNNNNNNNNNNNNNNNNNNNNNNNNNNNNNNNNNNNNNNNNNNNNNNNNNNNNNNNNNNNNNNNNNNNNNNNNNNNNNNNNNNNNNNNNNNNNNNNNNNNNNNNNNNNNNNNNNNNNNNNNNNNNNNNNNNNNNNNNNNNNNNNNNNNNNNNNNNNNNNNNNNNNNNNNNNNNNNNNNNNNNNNNNNNNNNNNNNNNNNNNNNNNNNNNNNNGGGUCUCCGGUGACCAUUUGGUCAUGGGCAUAGGCCCGUUAGCUCGACCGCAUCGUGCCGCACCCGCCUGGCUAGAUAGUUCGGCUGCUCGCGCGCUCUAACGCCGCAUCCGUCGGACACCCGUAGCACCUCGCCGCCGGCGAGCUCGUAGCGGUCGUCCCCGGCCGUUCCAGCCCCUCCGGCCACCGCCGUUGGACGCGCGACACCGAGCCGCGUUGAACGCGCCCAGCCACGCCCCCGAAGACCCCCUGUACGUGAAACCCGUAACCCCCCCGAGCCGCGCCGCCGUGCGUUUGGUCGCCGGCGUUGCUCCGGCGCCGUCCGCCGACGUGGCUGGCCUGGGGCCACCCCAGUGCCCCUGCCAGUGGCCCCCACGGGCCCCAGUUGACUGGGUUGACCCAGUCAACUGCUGACUGGGCAGGCCCAGUCACUAACACGCGGGCCCCGCCGCAAAAAUAUAAAAUAAAAGAAUAGAAAAAGGAAAUGUUUUAUAAAUAAAAAUAAUUAAUUUAGUUAAUCACUCACUGACAUAUGGGGCCCACCCCAAUAAUUAUACUGUUAGUUUAGUCUAACUAAAUAUUAGACUAACAGAGGCUGACAUGUGGGUCCCACUGGACCCACCUGUCUGGUUUGACUGGUCAGCCGACCUGUUGACCUGCUGACGUCAGCAUUGCCUCAUGAUGACGUCAUAAUUCAUUUUUCUUAAUAUAAAUAAUUCCAGAAAUUCAAAUAAACUUUGAAAAUUCAUAUCUUUUAAACCGUAACUCGGAUGAAAAUGUUUUCUAUAUGAAAGUUGCUCAGAACGACGAGACGAAUCCGAAUACGCAGCACGUUCAUCCACCACACCUCCCUAACCUAUCGAACUAGCAACUUUCCCCCUCCGGUCCGUCUGUCCAAAAACGCGAAACAUCGGGAAUACCUCCCGGAUGUUCCCCCCCUUCACCGGUACCACCUACUGUCGCGUUAGGACACCCCUAGCACCGCUCAUUGACAUGUCACGCAUCGUCAUGCUUAUGUUUGCAUUGUAUUUACUGUUUCUUCCCCCUCUUCUCUCCGGUAGACUACGAGACCGACACUGCUGCUGCCCAGUUCGACUACGGAAUCGACGACCCCUCCUACUUGCCAGAGCAACCAGGCAAGCCCCCCCCCCUUGAUCACCAGAUAUCGCCUAUACUUCUCUAUACUGCUUGCAUUAGAGUAGUGUAGCAUGUUACUGCUUUCCGAUAUCCUAUUCUGAUGCAUAGCCUAUCCUUGCUACUAUUGUUGUUACCUUUACCUGCGAUCCUACAUGCUUAGUCUAGGAUGCUAGAUUUCCAUCAGUGGCCCUACAUUCUUGUCCGUCUGCUGUGCUAUACUAUCGGGCCGUGAUCACCUGGGCGGUGAUCACGGGCAUAUACUUAUAUGCUAUAUACAUGACACAUGUGAUGACUAAAGUCGGGUCGGCUCGUAGGAGUACCCGCAAGUGGAUCUUUGUGGCGGAGCGACAGGGCAAGUUGAGACCGCCUAGGUGAGAGGUGGGCCUGGCCCUGGUCGGCGUUCGCGGAUACUUAACACGCUUAACGAGAUCUUGGUAUUUGAUCUGAGUCUGGCCAUUUGGUCUAUACGCACUAGCCAUCUACGCGGGAGUAGUUAUGGGUAUCUCGGCGUCGUGGUAUCAGCCGAAGCCUUCUUGACGUCAGCGACUGAGUGGCGCGCGCCGGAUUGGACUGGAACGCCACUAGGCUAGGUCUGCUUCCGGCCGCGUACGCAACGUGCAGGUGUGCAUAGGGCGAUGGGCCCAGACCCCUGCGCGCAUAGGUUUAGACCGGCGUGCUGACCUCUCUGUUGAGCCUAGGUGGGGCCGCGACGCGUUGAUCUUACGAGGCCGGGCAUGACCCAGAAAAGUGUGUCCGGCCAAAUGGGAUCGAGCGUGUUGGGUUAUGUGGUGCACCCCUGCAGGGAAGUUUAUCUAUUCGAAUAGCCGUGUCCCUCGGUAAAAGGACGACCCGGAGUUGUACCUUGAGCUUAUGACAACUAGAACAGGAUACUGAAUAAAAUACACCCUUCCAAGUGCCAGAUACAACCCGGUGAUCGCUCUCUAACAGGGCGACGAGGAGGGGAUUGCCGGGUAGGAUUAUGCUAUGCGAUGCUACUUGGAGGACUUCAAUCUACUCUCUUCUAUAUGCUGCAAGAUGGAGAUGUCCAGAAGCGUAGUCUUCGACAGGACUAGCUAUCCCCCUCUUAUUCCGGCAUUCUGCAGUUCAGUCCACUGAUAUGCCCCCUUUACACAUAUACCCGUGCAUAUGUAGUGUAGCUCCUUGCUUGCGAGUACUUUGGAUGAGUACUCACGGUUGCUUCUCUCCCUCUUUUCCCCCUUUUUCCUUUCUAUCUGGUUGUCGCAACCAGAUGCUGGAGUCCAGGAGCCAGACGCCACCGUCGACGACGACUCCUACGACACUGGAGGUGCCUACUACUACGUGCAGGCCGCUGACGACGACCAGGAGUAGUUAGGAGGUCCCAGGCAGGAGGCCUUGCCUUUUCGAUCGUUGCUACUUUUGUGCUAGCCUUCUUAAGGCAAACUUGUUUAACUUAUGUCUGUACUCAGAUAUUGUUGCUUCCGCUGACUCGUCUAUGAUCGAGCACUUGUAUUCGAGCCCUCGAGGCCCCUGGCUUGUAUUAUGAUGCUUGUAUGACUUAUUUAUGUUGUAGAGUUGUGUUGUGAUAGCUUCCCGUGAGUCCCUGAUCGUGAUCGUACACAUUUGCGUGCAUGAUUAGUGUACGGUCAAAUCGGGGGCGUCACAGCAGGGCAAAGUAGUUUUGCUCGGAUGAAUUAAUAUGUGCUUAAAAAAAUAGGGCAAACAACACCUGGUAUUUUUCGGAUGUUGAUAGCAGCUCAUCUGAACAUCUCCAGCAGCUAGCCUUCCCUGAUAAUAGCCAUACAUAUGACCAUACCAUCAAGUACUGCCAACGCAUAUGGCACAGUAAGCCGUGCGGAUGGGCGAGUUAAUCGCAGGCGCGGUAAGCUGCGCGAACAAUCAAGUCAAUCGUAGGCGUGGUCAGCCUCGCAGACGGGUAAAAUUGAUGUAGACCGGGCCACAGGGAUGGCGACUCAUGUAUGUCCGCUCUUAUGGCAGCGUGGCACGGACGAAAGACCGGUGUAGAACAUUGCCGGCGCACGUUCCGUAUAAUGCCUUAUUUAUAAUGAAUAAUUGUCCUGCGAAACAAUAUUACAUGCCCGAGUAGUUGUUCUCACAUGGAUUAACACGUUGAUAAAAUACAAAAGAAAGAUAUCACCUGAUUUUUUUUCUCGGAUGAACACGGAUGCGGGCACUGGGUAAUGCAUCCACUUCAGGUGCCUGAUGAUGCAUAGUGCUGCUUUUGUUUUUGACAAAAGAAUUGAUUAGUUCUCUUGUCUUCAAGUGCCUGAGGUCUCCACGUGACCUUCUCCUGCCCCCUUUUUUUAAACAAGUCCAAAACAGUGCACACACGACCCCUCGAGCAGAGUUUCUCUUUUAACGGCGGGCAGGCCACGGUGCUCCGCGGCGGCGGCUCUCCCUCUGCAACAGCGUCUCUCCCGGGCAGAGGAACAGCGCGCCGGCAGAUCAACAGCAACAGGACGGCUCGACGUGCGACAGGAGUGGCUCAACGCGUCCACGGCGGUUCCAACACAGAGUCAACGACAACUUCAAGUGAGGCCGUGGCGGGCGAAGCCACACAGGCGUUUCUGAGACGGAGGUGUAUAGGCGGCUUGGCGCGGAAGGCAUGAUGCGAUGGCGCGCGGGAGCCUGGUGCGACGACUCACGGCAGAGCGACAGCAUGAGGCCGAACGAAGGCAGCCACGGAGGAGCGACGGCGCGACGGUCGCGGUGGCGGAUGAGUCCGGGGCAGCUCAACAGCGGCGGAUGAGGCCGGCCGCAGAGACAGUGGCGGAGCGCUGGCGAGGGGAAGUCGACCCGAGGCAGGCAGCUCGGAGGUGACUCGACGCAGAGGCAAAAUUGGCGAGGCGCAGGCGGCCCGUGGUGGAGACGAUCGAACCGGGGCAGUUGACCCCGAGUCCACGCCCAUCACCUGUGGAUCAUGGCUUCUCUCUCUCUUUUUUUUAAAUUCCUUCCUGAGUCGUGGAGUGGUUCACUCAUAGGCAGUCGAAUACGGACAAACGAUGCCUAGCCUCCGGGCAAUCCUGGAUGCAGUAUAGAAAACCUUCUAGAUUUUUGUCUUAUAUGCUUUGGUUUCCAUCACGUGAAGGACCCAUGAUGGAUUUGAGGUGUUGCUUGGCCUAGAUGCGGGACGUCAGUUUUUCCUUGGAAUUGUCUCCUCUGCCACCUGACCUGACACGUGGUGUGACCAAGUAGCAGCGGCCGAAGAUGAUUUUUUUUUCUUUUUUUUCUUUUUUCUUUUUACCCUUGAUCUGAUCCAUGUCGUAUUGGGACUUGAUCCUCUUUGUCUGAUUUCUGGAUGAACAGUAUUAUUUCCCCGGUGUAGGUCGCGACGCAAGGCUAUGACCGGGUAUCAUAUUGAUUUCCUUUCGAUGCGUGUGCUGAUGACUCCCAUGGAUCUCACUGAUGAACUCGGAUUCGGCGUAAUUUCUUCCGUGCCGGCUCCUCUUCAUCCAAUCCCGGUUUUCUCGAUCCCUAAGAAAAUUCCUUCCAAGAACUCAACACCACCGUGCGCCUGGCCCCACGGUGGGCGCCAACUGUCGUGGAAUUAUCACGGCAGAUGUCCUAGUGUGAGGACUUAGUCGUGAGGCCAACGCAUCUAUGCGGUAGCUUGAGAGGGGUUGAUCGGGACGAGAGACGCAACACGCAAGAAAAGAAUUUAGAUAGCUUCGGGCCCCGGGAAACAUCAUCCGGUAAUAACCCUACAUGUUGUUUGUGGCUAGGUCUCAUUAUGAUCAUGAGUGAGUCGCCGGCUCGGCCGGCUCUUUGUGUCUAGCCCUAGAGAUUGUUUCUUGUUCCUUGUCCCUCUUGGGGUGCCCUGCCCCUCCUUAUAUAAGUUAGAGUGGCGGGUUACAUAUGGAGUCCUAGUAGGAUUAGGACUAGUCUAUCUUGCUUUACAAGUUGAAUACAAGUCCGGGUCUUGCUUCCUUGUAAAGGAAAUAAUCCUCACGCCUUUCAUCUUAAGCCGGCCCACCAGAGUAUAAGCCUACCUGCCGGGCCUUGGGCCUUGUCGUCCGUCUAAUCCGCCCGCCGGGUCUCCAGUGAGUCACAAUGUCCAGGCGGGUUACUCUGUGAACUGCUAUGUUCGGGCGGAUCGCCAGUGAGUCGGCAAGUCCGGCUGGGUCAUACCGUGGGGUAUAUCCCCGACAGGUUCCCAAUUCACAACUGCAGACACCUUCUCGGGAUUAACAGCGAUGCCCUUGGCAGAGAUGAUAUGGCCAAGGUAAAGAACUUCGUCAAGCCAAAACUCACAUUUGGAAAACUUCGCAUAGAAUUGAUACUCUCUGAGCUUGUCGAGCACCAAUCGCAAAUGUUUGGCAUGAUCCUUCUUAUUCUUGGAGAAGACCAAGAUAUCAUCGAGAUACACCAGGACGAAUUCAUUGGUGUAGGGGUUGAAGAUGAAGUUCAUCAUUCGAGAGAAUGUUGGAGGAGCAUUGACAAGGCCGAAAGACAUGACAGUAUAUUCAUAAGAACCAAAGCUUGUUCUGAAUGCUGUCUUGGGAAUGUCUUCUUCACGAAUGGGAAUCUGAUGAUAACCCAUCCGAAGGUCAAGCUUGGAGAAAACUUUAGCACCUUUAAGUUGCUCGAAAAGCUCAUUGAUGUUGGGAAGUGGAUACUUGUUCUUUAUUGUCUUCUUGUUCAAUGGACGGUAGUUGACACAAAAUCGGUCUGUGCCAUCCUUCUUCUGGACAAAAAGAACACCACAACCCCAUGGAGAUGAACACGGUCUGAUCAGACCUAGACGCUCUUGUUCAUCGAGCUGUUUCUUCAAUUCCUUCAGCUCCUUUGGUCAUAGCUUGUAUGGAUGCUUGCAAACGGGUUCUGUACCGGGCUCAAGAUCGUAAAGAACUCGACUGGCCGGUGAGGAGGCAUAGCCGGAAGCUCUUUUGGAAAGACAUCUUGGUACUCACAAACGACUGGAAUCUGAGAGAUUGCGUCUAGCUCUCCCUUCUCAUUGAGAGAGAAUAACCAAAUGGUCUCAUCACGAGCGGCAUAGAUGAUCACAUCCUCAAAAGAGUGUGUCAAUUGAAUUUCCCUGGCAGCACAAUCAAGUUGAGCCUUGUGCUUAGUAAGCCAAUCCAUGCCGAGAAUUAGAUCAAUAUCCGAGUCACCAAGAACAAUUGGAGAAGACAGAAAUUUAUAGUUUCCCAUCUUGAUGGAAACAUCAGGGACUAUCGAGUUGGCUCUCAUUGACUUCCCCGGAGAAACAACACCCAAAGGUUUAUCCAGGUAAGACCAAGUAAAAUCAUUCUUUGCAAAGAAUGAUCUUGACAUGAAACAAUGCGAUGCACCAGUAUCAAAUAAAACUUUUGCAGGAAUAUCAUUAACUGAGAGAUUACCCAUUAUCACAUCAGUAGAUUCCUCCGCUUGAGCUGCAUUCAUCAUGUUCACCUUUGCAGACUUGUGAUUAUGCUUGACCACUGCAUUGCUGGAAGAUCUCACAGGAGGAGGAGGCGGAAGGCGCCUUUGGUUGAAGCACUUGUUAGCAUAGUGACCUUUCUGCUGACAUUUGUUGCAAGUCACCUCUGAGAGCGGACGAUGAUAAGGAGCAUUCGACCUUGGCGCUUGAUUCUGAGACUUGUUCUGAUAGCCAGGGUUGGGAGGGUGGGAAGAUCCAUGGCCACCUUUGUUCUUCUGCUGGAAAGGCUGAUGAAAUGGAGGAGGAGGAGGCAACCAGAACUUCUGAUGCUUAGCAGCCACUAGUGAGGAAGAAGAAGACUGAACUGCAUCCCUGACUCUCUUCUUAGAAGCCUCACACUUGAGCUGAGCAGCUUCUUGCUUCAGUGCCAUGUUGUAGAAUUCAUCAUACUUGGUCGGAUCAAAAAGCACAAGAGCUAAUUGCAGAUCUUCUCUAAGGCCACCUCUGAAUUGAUAGAUCAUGCUCUUUUCAUCAGGGACGUCUUGCUUAGCUAAGCGAGCGAGUUUCUGAAACUGGGUAUUGUAUUGAUACACGGACAUGCUGCCUUGCUUGAGAUUGCGGAAGUCCUCACGCUUGCUCUCAACAACACUUUGUGGAAUGUGGUGAGCUUUGAAGUCUCGGCGGAAAUCAUCCCAGGUAAUCACACGACCUCCUCUGGAAUCUUUGUAUUGUUGAUACCACUCGGCAGCUUGAUCCUUGAGUUGAAAAGAAGCAAACAUGACAAAGUCCUCAGGCCUGACAUUGCUACAUUCAAAAUGCUUGUUGAUGUCCACGAGCCAAUCAUCAGCGUCUGUGGCCUCGGCACAGUAGCUGAAAGACUUUGGCUGAUUUGCAAGGAACUGGUUGAGGGUAGCGAAGUGAGGUUGGUUGUUGCCUUGGCCUUGAUUUCCUUGGUUGCCCUGCCCUUGGGUGCGCUCUUGCAAGAGUUGCAAAAUCAUCUGGGCAUUGGCGUUGGUGGCUGCCAUGACAGCUUGCCAUGCCUCUGGAGGCGGAGGUGGUGGCGGAGGGUUCGCCUGACUCCCAUCAUUGCGUUCCGGAUUCUGACGCGUUGGCGGAGCCAUCCCGAAGAGUGUGACAUCCGUUAGCAUCUUGAUAGACAGAUAGGCAAGUUGAAUCAACGGAUAGAAAUUGCAACAUAUAGUCUUCACAAUAAACAUUCAAACGAGGAUGAACGAAUGAAUUCCAUAGUAAAUCAUCACACUUCCAUAAGUUGAGAAGCCACUUAGAAAAAGGUAUGGAAUCAACAUUUGACUUCAAAGCAACUCGAAUACCACAACUCGAAACAAAACAAAGGAUUGGCUUGCAGAAUAAGCCGGAACAAACAUAUGAUAGAGAUUUCGUCCGAAGUUUUCGUGGUGGGGCCCACACGGGCUCGAUCGUACAGCACCAUCAUGUACAAGGCAAUGCACAUGACAUACGAAGCGUCCCUGAGUCAGCAUAGCCGAGGACUCUUUAAGACACUACGAGACCACUUUAAAACCAACCGUGGAUAGGCGGACCACUAGACGUCGAACCCCAAUCUCAUAUCAUGCAUAUGUCGGAAAGAUAUCCUAGGAGCUACAUGAAUUCCCACUUAUAAACUCCCGAAACUUUCUGGUUAUGCAAUCAGGUGUUGGGGAUACAAGGGACACAAUAUAUUUCACCCAAACUAACAAUCCCUAGAUCCAGCUGUAUCCAUCCAUCAACACAUAACAAAGAAACCUUCGGAAAUCGUGUACCUCAACCGUCGAAAAGCAUCCGUUAUACGAGUUAUGGCAAUACUCCCGAACUCCCGCCCCAGUACUGGGUGGCGUCAAGGUGAUCUCACCAACAACUGCAUAAAAGAGAUUUUCGAUGUCGGCGAAACUCAGGUAUUCCAGAACUGCAACGAUAAAAUUGUGACGACAACACCUCGGAGCUCAACUCCCCGGGACACUGCCACAACCCCUAAAUGUCAGGAGGCACCAAGAACAAUGUUCUCAUCACAAAACCAUUGGAACAAUUCCAAGAUACCCGCGUGAUCGUAAAAAGAAUUAGUGAAAUUUGAGGAGAGGAGAGUCAAAACUUCCAUGUCAGGGGGCCUCACCAGAGCGACGAAGGGACUGAGGAGUAAAAAGAAUCCUACUCUCCGAUAUAUAUAAUCCUAAGACUCGAAACAUUUUUUUCUAGACUCAACAACGCCAGCGAUUCGAUCAAGCAGGGGGCUCCUAAGUCGGGGAUGGCUCUGAUUACCAACUUGUAAUGCCCACGAUGCGGCUAUAUCUCCCACGUGUUGAGGCACGACUUAGAGGCAUAACCGCAUUGUAGGUUUGUCGCAAGAAGGGUCAUCUUCACACAAUCCCAUGUAAUGAACAAGAAUGGGAUAAAGAGAGUUGGCUUACAAUCGCCACUUCACACAAUACAUAAAUAAAUUCAUACAUCAUCCAAAAUACACACAUAGACCGACUACGGUCAAAUCCAAAUGAAAAGAAGAUAACCCCAAAUGCUAGAUCCCCGAUCGUCCCAACUGGGCUCCACUACUGCUCAUCAGGAAACGAAACAUAGUAAUGACCACGGUCCUCAUCGAACUCCCACUUGAGCUCGGUUGCGUCACCUGCAUAGGUAUCCUCGGCACCUGCAACUAUUUUGGUAGAAUCUGUGAGUCACGAGGACUCAGCAAUCUCACACCCGCGAGAUCAAGACUAUUUAAGCUUGUGGGUAGGUAAGGGGUAAUAUGGUGGAGCUGCGGCAAGCACUAAGCAUUUAUGGUGGCUAACAUACGCAAAAGAGAGCGAGAAGAGAAGCAACGCAUCGGUCGAGAAGCUAAAAGUGAUCAAGAAGUGAUCCUGAAACUACUUACGUUCAUACAUAACCCAGACCGUGUUCACUUCCCGGACUCCGCCAAAAAGAGACCAUCACGGCUACACACGCGGUUGAUGCAUUUUAAUUAAGUCAAGUGUCAAGUUCUCUACAACCGGACAUUAACAAAUUCCCAUCUGCCACAUAACCGCGGGCACGGCUUUCGAAAGAUAAUACCCUGCAGGGGUGUCCCAACAUAGCCCAUCACAAGCUCUCACGGUCAAUGAAGGAUAUUCCUUCUCCCGGGAAGACCCGAUCAGGCUCGGAAUCCCGGUUACAAGAUGUUUCGACAAUGGUAAAACAAGACCAGCAAGACCACCCGACUGUGCCGACAAAUCCCGAUAGGAGCUGCACAUAUCUCGUUCUCAGGGCACACCGGAUGAGCAAAGCAUACAAGUACCAACGUAACCCAAGUUGCCAAGGGACGGUCCCGCACGGUACUGUAGUUUGGACCAACACUCAGAGGAGCACUGGCCCGGGGGGUUAAAAUAAAGAUGACCCUUGAGUCCGCGGAACCCAAGGGAAAAAGGCUUAGGUAGGCAAAUGGUAAAACCAAGGUUGGGCCUUGCUGGAGGAGUUUUAUUCAAGGUGAACUGUCAAGGGGUUCCCAUUAUCACCCAACCGCGUAAGGAAUGAAAAAUCAAGGAACAUAACACCGGUAUGACGGAAACUAGGGCGACAAGAGUGGAACAAAACACCAGGCAUAAGGCCGACCCUCCCACCCUUUAUCAAGUAUAUAGAUGCAUUAAUUAAGUAAGAGAUAUGUGAUAUCCCAAAAUAUCCAAGUUCCAACAUGGAACCAACUUCAUCUUCACCUGCAACUAACAACGCUAUAAGAGGGGGUGAGCAAAAGCGGUAACUUAGCCAAACAACGGUUUGCUAGGAAAGGAUGGUUAGAGGAUUGACAUGGCAACAUGGGAGGCAUGAUAUAUCAAGUGGUAGGUAGCGCAGCAUAGCAAUAGAGCGAACAGCUAGCAAGCAAAGAUAGAAGUGAUAUCGAGGGUAUGGUCAUCUUGCCUGCAACGUUCUCAGAUUUGUCGAAAGCUUGAUCCUCGUAAGCGUUCUCAACAGGUUCCUCGAAAGCGUUCUCGUCUCCCGGCUCUACCCAAAGCAAGAACACAAGCAAAGGACCAACAAUCAAAUCACUGUGCAAUGCACAAGCAACAUGGUGCAAUACAUGGCAUGAUAUGCGAGAUGUGAUAUGCAAUGCAUAUGCGUGCUCCGGAAGGGAAAAGAUGAACAAGGCAUCAACUUGGCAAACCAAGUAUGCCGUUGGAAAGAUGAGAUGAUUUCGGUUGAAAUCGAUAUAGAGAUCACCGGAAACGGGUGCACGGUUUGCAAAUGGCAAGCCAAACAAAAAUGACACAUUUUUUCGAUUAACAGCAUGAUGCCAUCUAGAAUGCAACAAGAAACUGAGCUACUGCACUCGAACAUAGCAACAAAGCAUAUGGCCAUGAUGUACACGAGAUGCUUGACAAAACAUGAACACUGAGCUAUGGCUAAAUCACAACAUAGCAGGUUCAAACAAGCAUGGAAAAAGUGCAAAAGAUAUCAGCUCCACAGACUUUGUGAAAAUACUAACAUGCCAGAAAUAACAUCAGGAAGCCAUGUUUAGAGCAAGCAAAUAGCAGGCUACAGGAACAUAUCAUAGCAAAUCAAGGCAUAGCAUGAAUCUACUGAAUGCAUAGAACAAAAGUCCCUUAGUGAUCAUGAGCCAAAAAGGCAUAGAAGAUAUGAUGGCACCUCUAUAAACAUAGCAAGUUUUAUUACCAGAUUCAGACUUAGUAGAAAACAGAGCAUGGCAUUAGCAGAAUUAUGAAGGCAUCUUUGCAAGCUCGAUUCACUCAUCAUAAGCAUUUUCAAGACAAGAUAAGCAUAGAAUCAGCAAGAAGACAUGUUCACGAAACUAGCCAUGGAAAGAACAAGCUCAUAGCAUGCAAGGAUCAACUACAACAACCUUGGCAAAAUUGAUUAACAUGUAAACAAUCUGCCAGGAACAUUUUAUAGCAAAAGUAGAGCAAGAUUGAGACAAGCUAGGGCACUCCAUAAUUGCAAACAGGGGCAUGUAUGGAUAGAGAACAUCUAUAUGUCCAAAACAUCCUUAAUGAACAUACUCAGAAGAUGCAUGGAUCCUACUGUAGCAACAUGGAUACAUGGCAUCAAAAAUAACAGCAGGAAAAAGGACUCGACAAAAUCCUAAGUCCCUGAAAACAACAACAUCACAAAGCCUAGUUUACAUGCUUGUGCUAGUCACCACAUAGAUCACAAAAAUACAUGGCAAGCACCCCUGUAAAGAUGGCAUGACCUAGAUUAAAACACAUGUAGAGCUCAUGCUCAUAAGAUGCACACAUCAAAAGCCACAAAAAUGACAAAACAUCAUAAUCUGAUAAGUAACAGCAGUAAACAUUUUAUAGCACUCUUGCAUCAAUGAAAAUGGCAUCAAGAUUAACUAAAACAAGCAUGGCACAAUGGAACAAAAUUAAGAGCAUCUCAUGAAGAACAUUUUGAUAUAUCAUGCACGCAAAACGGAGCAGUAUGAAAAGAGAUAUGACAUGAUAAAUAGGAGCACAUGAUGUGAGAAUUUCGGGACUUAGAAGAAAAACGGGGUCAACCUCAGAUCUAGGGUUCUUCGUGCACGCGAGCCGAGGCGGGGCCGGGCUCGCCGGAGACGAUGCGGUGGCGGCCGGAUCUUGAGGAGGAGGUCGCCGGCGAGGACGAGGGCGCCGGAUCCGGGCGGCCGGCGGCGGAGGCGCGGACCGAGCGGGCGGCGNNNNNNNNNNNNNNNNNNNNNNNNNNNNNNNNNNNNNNNNNNNNNNNNNNNNNNNNNNNNNNNNNNNNNNNNNNNNNNNNNNNNNNNNNNNNNNNNNNNNNNNNNNNNNNNNNNNNNNNNNNNNNNNNNNNNNNNNNNNNNNNNNNNNNNNNNNNNNNNNNNNNNNNNNNNNNNNNNNNNNNNNNNNNNNNNNNNNNNNNNNNNNNNNNNNNNNNNNNNNNNNNNNNNNNNNNNNNNNNNNNNNNNNNNNNNNNNNNNNNNNNNNNNNNNNNNNNNNNNNNNNNNNNNNNNNNNNNNNNNNNNNNNNNNNNNNNNNNNNNNNNNNNNNNNNNNNNNNNNNNNNNNNNNNNNNNNNNNNNNNNNNNNNNNNNNNNNNNNNNNNNNNNNNNNNNNNNNNNNNNNNNNNNNNNNNNNNNNNNNNNCCACGUGGCGGCCUCCGGUUGGAGCGGGCGCGGCGGCUGAUGUGUCCGGCCCGAUCUGGACGUGUCCGGCGGCGGAGAGGUGUGAGGCUAGGGUUUCGGGACCCGGGAUUUCGGAGGAGUGCACAUAUUUAUAGGUAGAGGGAGCUAGGAGACUCCAAUUGAGGAGCGUUUUUCGCCCACACGAUCGUGAUCCAACGGCGGAGAGCAUGGAGGUGGUUUGGAUGGGUUAUUGGGCUGUUUUGGAGGGGUGUUGGGCUGCAAUUCACAAGAGGCUUUUGCGGUUACCCGGUUAAUCGUUGGAGCAUCAAACGGCCUCCAGAUGGAACGAAACUUGACAGGUGGUCUACCGGUGGUGUACCAAGGCCACUUGGCAAACCUCGGUCUAUUCCGAGAACGUUUAACACCCGCUCACGAAAAGAGACAAGAGGGGUGCGCCGGUGUAUGUGGGAGUGUUGGAUUGCAAAACGGACAACGGGGAAAAUGCUCGGAUGCAUGAGACAAACACGUAUGCAAAUGAGAUGCGCAUGAUGCCAUGAUAUGAAAUGCAUGACAUGAACAAAAUGCAAAACGAAAGACAAAAACCCAACCACGGAGGGAAUAUCAUAACACAUAGCUGAAAAUGGCAAGAGUUGGAGUUACAAAUAUGGAAAGUCACAUCCGGGGUGUUACAAGCAGUUUUUUAGAUGAGAUACAUCUGUCGAUGUACCAUCUAUGAUGCUAAUUUUGAAAGGUUAUAGAUGUUGCAUGUGAAACUUGGUCCUACUGUAGUUGUGUAAUGGGGUAGCUGAGUGCUGAAGCUAUAUGAAUUUGUACUCUGAUGUAUUUCAAUUAUGAAAAUGAAAUACAUUGUGUGCUUAAUAUGAAAUGUCAAUUAGAUUAAUAAAUGGAUUAUGAAUAAUCAGGUAAUUAGCCUACUAAUGGCGAAUUAGCCUGCUAAUUGGGUUUUGUUAUUGCAAACGGUUGUUGAAAAAAUACCGUGGGCGAUGACCUCAGGCAACGCACACAGUUUCUAGGAAUAAACCGUGUUGGAUCAAUGAACAAUCACACACGACUUUCUCUUGAAAACUGUUUGCGUUAGGCCACCUUGCGCAAACGUUUACCACAUAAAACAUGUGUGUGAUGGAUAGCCUUUGCCACACGGUUUAUUCUACGGACCGUGUGUCAUACAUUCAAUAACGCAAAUGAUUUGACGGGAGAAAUUGUGUGUGACGUACCUGUGAACGGAAAUGUUUUCCUUGGAGCGACUGUGUGGGAUGUACAUACGAACGGAAACGUUUAGCGGGGACUGACUAUGUGGGGUGUACUUGCGACCAGAAAGAAUUUCGCCAUAUAAUUGUAUUUUUUAACUCUACUGUAUGUAUUUCCGUAUUUGAGCGCUCGCCGGUCGCACACGACCUCAUUUUGCCGAGCGUGUGUGCCAGGAGGGCAUAUCCCCGACGGUUUCUAGGUCGUGUGGGAAGGACCCCCCUAUCGCCCACACUCACUUGGCGACGGUUCCAAAGGUCAUCACGGAAAGGGGUUAAAACUAUUUGUUUAGGAGCUCGUUGUACUAGUGUAUAGAUAGCAUGAGUUAUUAUUGUUGACAUCACGCUUGAGGUGAGUAUGUUGGGAGGCGAAACUAUAAGCCCCUAUCUUUCUAUGUGUCCGGUUGAAACGUUUUUCUCAGGGGUAUGAGGUGAGUGUUAGCAAUCAUAGAAAACUAUAUGAUGGUUGAGUAUGUGGACUUGCUUAAAAGGCUCCGACACGUGACCCUUCCUGAAAAGAUGAUGAAUUGUAGUUGCAAAGUUGACUGAGAACAUAGUUUAUUGGUUUCUAAUAGAAUUUGUGCUUUAUACUUGAGUGUGUGAUGAACUAUUACUUAUUCAUGAGAAGUGUGUGAUAAAGGUUCUAUGAUAAAAGUCCUAUGUUUAAUUUUAUUGCUGUUAUAAUAAUCAACAUGAUGCUUCUAUGUCCCUAUUUUGUUUUUAUCGACACCUCUCUCUCUAGGCAUGUGGACAUGUUUUUCGAUUUCGGUUUUCGCUUGAGGACAAGCAAGGUCUAAGCUUGGGGGCAGUUGAUACGUCCAUUUUGCAUCAUGUUUUCUUACUGUUAUUUAUAAUGUUUUUAUCCAUAACAAUGCUUUUUGGAGUAAUUCUAAUGCCUUUUCUCUCAUAAUUUGCAAGGUACACACCAAGAGGGAGAAUUCCGGCAGCUGGAAAUCUGGACCUGAAAAAGCUACGUCAGGCCACCUAUUCUGCACAACUCCAAAUGAGUUGAAACUCCACGAGGAUUUUUAUGGAAUGUUUAAGAAAUACUGGAGCCAAUAAACACCAGAGGGGGGCCACCAGGUGGGCACAACCCACUUGGGCGCGCCAAGCCCCCUGGCGCGCCCUGGUGGGUUGUGGCCUCCUCGGCCCACCUACGGUGCCCAUCUUCUAGUAUAUAAGUGAUUUUGACCUAGAAAAAAUAAGGAGAAGACUUUCGGGACGGAGCGCCGCCGUCUCGAGGUGGAACUUAGGCAGGAGCACUUUUGCCCUCCGGCGGAGCGAUUCUGCCGGGGGAACUUCCCUCCCGGAGGUGGAAAUCAUCGUCAUCAUCAUCACCAACAGCUCUCCCAUCUUGGGGAGGGAAAUCUCCAUCAACAUCUUCACCAGCACCAUCUCAUUUCAAACCCUAGUUCAUCUCUUGUAUUCAAUCUUGUUACCGAAACUAUAGAUUGUUGCUAUGAGGUGACUAGUACUGUUGAUUACAUCUUGUAGUUGAUUACUAUAUGGUUUAUUUGGUGGAAGAUUAUAUGUUCGGAUCCAUUAUGCAUUUAAUACCCCUCUGAUCAUGAGCAUGUUGGUUAUUUGUGAGUAGUUACUUUUGUUCUUGAGGUCACAGGAGAAAUCAUGUUACAAGUAAUCAUGUGAACUUGAUAUGUGUUUGAUAUUUUGAUAGUAUGUAUGUUGCGAUUCCCUUAGUGGUGUCAUGUGAACAUCGACUACAUGACACUUCGCAAUAUUUGGGCCUAAGGGAAAGCAUUGUGGAGUAGUAAAUAGAUGGUGGGUUGCGAGAGUGACAGAAACUUGAACCCCAGUUUAUGCACUAUUCCGUAAGGGACCGAUUGGAUCCUAGAGUUUAAUGCUAUGGUUAGGAUUUAUCCUUAAUACUUUUCUCGUAGUUGUGGAUGCUUGCGGGAGGGUUAAUCAUAAGUAGGAGGUUUGUUCAAGUAAGAAUAGCACCUAAGCACCGGUCCACCCACAUAUCAAAAUAUCAAAGUAGCGAACACAAAUCAAACCAACAUGAUGAAAGUGACUAGAUGAAAUUCCCAUCUACCCUCAAGAACGCUGUGCUUAUCAUAGGAGACCAUUUUGGCAUGUCCUUUGCCUCAAAAGGAUUGGCUACCUUGCUGCAUACUUAUUGCUACUAUCAUUACUUGCUCGUUACAAAUUAUCUUGCUAUCAAACUACUUGCUACUUACAGUUCCAGCACUUGCAUACAUUACCUUACUAAAAACUACUUGUCAUUUCCUUCUGCUCCUUGUUGGGUUCGACACUCUUACUUAUCGAAAAGAGCUCCAAUUGAUCCCCUAUACUUGUGGGUCAUCAGAAGACAAGCAGCCGUUUGCCUCGGCCACCAGGGUUGCGAUCGGCGAUGGGAAAAUGACAAGCUUCUGGACAUGUAACUGGCUAGGAGGUACACCACUUUGCACCUCCUUCCCUGUCAUGUUCAGACACUCCAGGAGAAAAACACGGACGAUGGACGAAGCACUUCAGAACGAGCAGUGGAUCAGAGACCUGCAACAUGGCAACUGGGAACUCAUUGUCACCGAGGUGGUUACGCUGGCAAGAAAGAUUAGAGAGCAUGGUCAAGCUUUGGUAGAGCAGCAAUAAGACACAAUCAGUUUGACGGGGUGCGGAAAAGGCAUAUACUACACCGAUUCGGCAUAGAAGGCCCAAUUCAAUGGCACCGCUCCCACACACAUGAAGAACACAAUUUGGAAAGCAUGGGCCCCCGCAAAGAUCAAAAUCUUCUCCUGGUUGCUUCACUUAAAUAAGCUCUGGUGCAAUGACAGAUUACAGCGGCGUGGAUGGACAAACCACUACUUCUGCUCCUUCUAUAGAAGAAACUUGGAAACAUCGGUCCACUUGUUCUGGAAUUGCCACCUAUCGAAGGCAGUGUGGACCGAGGUUGCAACAUGGCAAGGAUGCUUCGCUGGACCCUCAUCACAGAGAACAGACAUCCACAACCUCGGCGGCCAGGCAGAUCAUAUCACGCACGAGCAAGGAGGGGAGGAAAGGCAUAAGAACCAUGAUCAUGGCAACAACGUGGGGGCUCUGGAACAUGAUAAAUAACUGUGUCUUCAGAGCCAUGGAAGCAGAGUCAACUCAGAUCAUCAAGGCGAUUAGGGAGAGCAUGGAACAAUGGCGCCUCUUGGUAGCUAAGGCCAUCGAGACCCCGUUCGAGAAUAUAUGCAUGAGAUAAAACCCUAGAUGCUUAGAAUCCAUGGGGGGUGGAAAGUCACCCCCCUUGAACAAACCUUAUUUUUGUUUUAUCGCUCUAAUCGCUUUGACAAACUUUGUAUUCUCUCCUGCUAAAUCUAAUGAAGCCAGCCAAGCUGGAUCUUAAAAAAACGUUUUAACAACCCCCUGAGUCCAAGCCGAGGUGAAAUAUAAUACAGUUUACUCAUUUCUUAAACUUAAUACAUUUAACUCUUCAGCUUGCACAUGUAUCUUAGAAAUGCAUCAGUUUAUAAUCUGACCAAGUAAGGCGAACUCAAAAAAUAAUGUACGUAUGUUUUGAAUCAGAACUGAUGUUACCGCAUGCUUCUUCAUGUUGUGAGCCAUAUAAUAUUUUUCAGUUAGUCCUGUCCUCUCAAGAAACAUAGGGACUGAAUUAUCCCGUGAAAACAGAUACUUAAAAGCAUGAAGCAUGUGAACACCUAUCUGCAGCAAGGUGAGUCCUAAAGCACAGGACAAAAGCAUUAGCUACUAAUACAUGUAGGAACUUCCCAAGUAGAAGAAAAUCAAAGGGACUAAGAGAAACACUUUCUUCCAUGUCAAUUGAUGCCUAGUGGCUCCGAAGAACCGCUAUGCCCAACCUUGAAGCAAAAUUACAUCUGCAUCAGUAGGAAAUGAAGGUUCGGUCAUACACAAAGGAAGAAAUUGAUUGGCGCAAAGCUCAAGAGUGGAUUUUUGUAAAGGAAAUAGCAAUUAAAAUGGUCUUCAUUUUAGCAAUAUCUUAUUUAAUUAUUUUCCUCGAUCUGUCAUAUCAGUAGUGUGUUGUAAGAGGCCUCAUCAAGUUCUAUUAUCUCUGAGCAUACCGAAAAACUUAACUAUGAAGUUUAACCUCUCCAAACCAUGAUUGAAUAGCAUGACACAUCUCUACUUAUGCGGUAUACUGAAAGUCCAAUCCUCUAUCAGUAUUCUAGCUUGAGCGUGCAUGUGACAUUGCAGAAACAUGACGGAUCUGCUACGUGGAUAACAAGACAUGUAUUAGAAGAAUAACAUACUCUUAAUUUUCUGAUUGUAGAUUAUCUAUCAGAGGAAAUUUCUUGGCAGCCAAUAAAUAUUUGCUAAACAAUUUCAGGUUACUGCAAAAAAGAAAUUGAGGAUCCCCAAAUCCAAAUUGCAGAUCCCCAUUUGGCCAGGUCUUUACCUAAAGAAGCAACAUCAACAAAGGAAGCAUUUAGUGACUGGCUAAUUACCUCCAGCAGCAGCAUGAGUAAACUCUUUUUGUAAAUUGUUGUAAAUAAAAAUCAAGUAACAUACAUAACAGAAAAUAUAGGAAUGAACACACAUGCUAGCUUGUUUUUAAACAAACAUAUUCAUACAAUGGGGUCACUGAAGCAUCCUAUAUUUUUUUUAACCAAUGAACUCAUCACAUACAUCUUCUUUUACGAAUUUAGUCUUCUGCUGUCAAGUACAAACAAAAUCCAUAUAUGUGGGAGGGCAUGUGUUACUUGUCAGUCAAAUGUAGUCUACUGUCGGUGUCGUAGUGGGCGCAUGGCAGAUGCCAUGGGAUGGCUAAAGAUUGAAGGAGGCUCGAGGGCACUGGUGGGCUCCAGAGGCGAGGUCGGAAUGAGCGAGCGCGGGACGCAAGACAUCCCAGGUUCGGGGCUCUCCGGAGAGAUAACACCCCUAGUCCUGCCUAGUGUAGUUGAUGUGUAUCAGUACAGAGUUGCUCCUAGAGCUAUAUGGAGGAAGAAGGAGGGCGAGCCAAGGCUUAGGUUGCUCCCUCUCCUCGGGUGUUGCUUGCUACGUGCGUAUGGGUGAGUGAUCGCUUGUGCGAAUGAAAGAGUUGCACGUAUGCAUGAGGGCUCUUGGGGGUUUUAUAGGUCAACCCCUAGGGAUACGAUGGUAAUGUUACAAGGCCGUGGGGUCGGGUUGUCAUUGUCCGGGAAGCCGGCGCUGGGACCCGCCGGGGGUCAGGGCUCUCCGGGUUCUCCGAGUGUGGGACCCGCCGGGUAUGGGGGCAUUGUUGGCCGUCUUGUCGAUCGUCAGCGAGUGGCCGGGUUGAGUCGGCUACAAUGGCGCUUUGUCAGGUCGCCGCUUCUUGGUGUCAUGGGUGACAAUGGUUGCACUUUGGCCACGCCAGCCCUGGUCAGCGGGGCAGUGUUGCCACGCCCCGACUGACCAGAGGCAUGGGCGGGCCACUGUUGUCUUCCUCAUCGGUAGGUGGAGACUCGUCCCAUCGUACGGCCAGGAUGGGACGGGAGCUGACCCAUGGUCGGGUUGGAGAACACGCCAAGGGUGGAGCUGGCUUGUUGGGGAAGUCUUGGUGCGCCGGGCUCGGCCGUCUUGAGUUGUUUGUUUGGGCCGAGCCGAGGAGUCCGGCCGGGUCGAGGAUUAGGCCAGGUCCAGGGGCUUGGCCGGGUCGAGCGACCCGGCCAAGCGUGAGCCGGCUUGAGAGGCGAUGCUGGCCCCAUUGUUUUUGAAAAGGAUCCGGGUUCCAUUGCCUGCCCGGAGUUCAUCCCCCCGACAGUAGUCCCCGAAGCUAUGAAGGCCCGCCGUCUUUAGAUGGGAGGGCCUUUGCAGUUUCCCCCUUUGAAGCAGGCGAAUUUUGUGACCCCCGGGUCAGGCAACACCCAUUGUGUUUCGGUUUCCGGAAGCCGGAUCGCGGCAUCCCGGCAGUGGCGGGAAACCGAGGAGUCCACCGAAUCUUUGAGGCAAUCUUUUUGGCCACGCGCGCGACAGGUCGGGGCGACGCGUUGGGGCCCGCGGCCACGCGCCCUCGGCCCACGCGCGCGGAUUUAUUGCGGCGUUCGCAAGUCGGUUCCCAUUCUCGAGGCAGUUAUUGCGCACAUACGUGCGCAGUUAUUGCGGGGAAGUGGGAGAGGCGGGCGCAAACAAUCCCACUCCCCCACGUUUCAAACCGCGGCUUAUAAAUUGGAGCGAGGAGGGGGCGGAGGAAAUCGUUCUCGCUCGCGCCCCCUGCCUUCGUCUUCCUUCCUCUGCUUCUUGCGAGCGCCGCGCAUCGGAACGCCCGUUGCUUUGAGCAGAGCUUUGUGGCCACCUUCUCCUUUCUUCUCUCGUAUCUUUGUCGAUGGCGGUGCCAUCGGGCUCGUGGAUGGGCUCGACUGUCACCCUCGAUGACAUCGCCUAUCAUCGCACCACCAGCCGCCUGUCGGGGGAGACGGAGGUUGUCGUGCACCUGCCGUGGGGAGAGCGGGAACCGCGGCCCGAGGGCACAGAGCGCGUGGUCUUCUUCCCGCACUUAAAGCGCGGGUUCGGGCUCCCCGCGAGCGGCUUCUUCCGCGACUUCCUGGAGUUCUUUGGGCUCCAGCCCCAUCAUCUUGGCGUCGGCGCCAUCGUGCAGCUGUCGGGCUUCGUCACCCUCUGCGAGGGGUACCUGGGGGUCGAGCCUUCGUCACCCUCCUUGAAGCAGCAGGGGCCGAGGGCCGGAGAGAUGUCCGAGUGUGGGGCCACCGUCAUCUCCAAGCGGUCGGGCGCUGACUGCCCGAAGAUGCCGCUGGAGGAUUCUGCCAAGAAGUGGCAGAAUUCUUUCUUCUACGUCCGCAACCUCGGCGCGAACCGCAUCAACUUGUCGCCCUUCGUCAACUCGCUGCCAAGGGGCAAACAAAACUGGGGGUACUACCCCAAGCACCCGUCGUGGGAGGUGCUCAACCUGUGCGAGGGGGUGUUGGUGAUGAAGGAGCGGGAGGGGCUCACCGGCACCGACCUCAUCACUGCCUUCAUCGUUCGUCGGGUGCUGCCGCUGCAGCAGCGCAGCCACCUCAUCGGUCAGAUGACCGGCCUUCAGAACCCCAACCGCAUGGCGAACUAGCGGCAGGGGGAGGACGAGGUCACGCGCCGGGUUAACGACAUCUCCGAGGCCAACCUGCGGGAUGACUGGCAGUUCGGGAAACCCCCGUACAGCCGCGUGAACCCGGCACCGACGGUGAGUCCUUGGUCUCCAUAUUUUGCUGCUGCUCAUCUUCUUAUUCGCCCUCACGCAACGCGGGAGGUGCUCCUGAACGCCAUCCGGCAUCCUUAUGACCGGGCGCGGACGCAGGUGCUGCGCAUCGCCUAGGAGGAGCCCGAGGCUCACGGCGGAGGGGAGGAGGCGACCGCCGACUCGGACGCAGGGCGCCGAGCUGGUAAGUCUUGUGUUUACUUCUUGAGUCAUCGGUCGCGCGACGGUCUUGAGGGGCUGACGCGAGUUGCUGUCGCAGCGGCGCCAGGUGGAGGAGGCGGCGGCGCGGCCGGAGGCGGGUCGUCUCGAGGGGCGCCAGCGGCGAGCCAUCCACACGGGAAGGACAACGUCGCACCGCAGGCCCCGGCUGUGAAGCGCGCGGCGGACCCGACCAGGGGCGCGAUGCCGGCCGCCAAGAGGAGGCGCGGCGCGGCGCGGGAGAGGGCGGCGAGGCCCGUCGUUCCAGUGGUGCCGGGGUGAGUUUCUUUUUUGCUUGAACCGAGUGGUCGAGCGGCUCUGCUUGGCUUAUAUUUAGUUUGUCUUGGGUUUCAGGUCGCCGAUCUCGCUGGCGCUGGCGGCGGUGGACGCUGCAUCUGGCGACAGUGCCACGUUCCAAAGGAGCCGGUCCGACACCGUCGGUCGGGACGAGGGGAGGAGGAGGGGGCAGAUCCGGAUCUUGGCCUGGACCCGUCCGACACCGAAGGCUUGGCCUGGUGGGACUAAAACCGGGCCGAGGCGGAGCUGGAGGCGGCGUUGACACAGGCCUGGGUUAGCGCCGCGGUGGCGUGGGCGCGAGCCAGCGAGGAGCAGGCGUGGCCGGAGACGCCGGCAGGGAUGGUGUCGUUGUCGGAGGGGGAGCACGGCCAAGGUGGCCAUGCGGACCUGAUAGACCUCGACCGGGAGGUCGUGGUCAUCGGGGACGACACCCCGCCGCGGACCAACGUGGUUGAGCGGGCGGGGGCCGACGGAGGCGGCAGCGACACCAUCUUGGAGGAAGCGCCGCGGAUGGCAUCGGAGGGAACGCCCCAGGUGCAAAUGAACGAAGCGCCGUUGGUGGUGGGGCCGCAGGCCACUCCGGUCGCCGAACCGGUGAUGGUGUCGGUGAGGGCGCCGGAGAGGGCGCCGGCCGCAGGGGGCGAGGCCAGCGGGGAGCACGCCCUGGUGCUCAAAUCGGGGGGUCGUCGGGCCACCGGGUCGCAGCAGACACGGAGCGGGACCGGCGAGGUCUUCUUCGGGCCUCCAACCCAGGAGGAGGCGGCGAUGGCCGCAGUGACCCGGCGCCUGCGAGCGCGGACGGACCAAAUCCAGGCCUUCACCCAGGCCGAGGUGGAGGCGACGUAGGAGCUGGAGCACGCCAUUUUAUAAGUUUUCCGUUGCAUUCCGCUUUGUGGGGGCGCGCCAGCGCACCCACUGGGUGUAGCCCCCGAGAAUCGGGCCAACUGCGUAGCAGUUGGGUCGAAUCUUAUACUGCUGUCUUGUAUUGAUUGUUGCUUUCUGCAGCAACUGGACUCCUACUAGGUCAGUGUCUUCAACCGGCUCCUGGAGACGCACCGGCGGCUCAAGGAGCAGCUUGUCGCCAAGGAGGAGGAGCUCCGCGCCGCGGCAGGUACUUUUUCUUGCGUGCUCUUUUUUAGUUGGGGCGCGCUAGCGCACACACUGGGUGUAGCCCCCAAGAUUCGGGCCAACUGCGUAGCAGUUGGGCCGAAUCUUCAAAUAGUACUUGUUUCUGAGUCUUUCUUCUGCAGCCGAGGUGCUGUCUUGGAGGACCCGGCUGAUUUGGGCCGGCUUCCACUAUGACUGGCUCAUUGCUGACGCCGGUCGGCUUGGAACCGAGGUGGAGAGGGCGAGGGAGGAGGCGACGGGAGCCCGGCGGGUGCUUGACGAAGCCCGAUAGCUGCGGGAGCGCCUCAAGGUGGAGGCCGCCAAGGUUGUGGAGGCGCAGCAUGCCCUUGCCGAGGCGGACCAGCAACGCGGCAAGCUGGCCGACGACAAGGGGCAGCUCCAGGCCAAGGUGGAGCGCCUGAAGGCGCUGGUGGCCACGGCGGAGGAGACCCGGCAGGAGAAGACCAGGCGCCGUGAGGAGGCAGUGAAGGCGGCCAAGGACAAGGAUGCCGAGAUGAAGGCGGCCCUUGCCAAGGUCGUCGAUCUGGAGAAGACGCUCCAGGAGCGUGACCGCACCAUCGCCCGGGAGCGGCGCGAUACGUUGCUCGAAGCGCAGCACCUUGAAGAGUCCUUCUCCAGUAAGUGCUUUCCUUGGGUUUUGCCGGGCUGGGACCCCGGCUUUUUGUCCUUGGUGACUUUUCUUCUGACUUGCUUCUCUUCUUGACAGGGGCCUUCCCGGAGACGUGCCAGCUGCCGGAGGAGGCGGUCCGCCUUUAGCGCGACCCACAGGGGAUCGUCGGCUCUGGGACUGACCCGCGGGUGACCUGGACUUUCCUAGAGAUCGUGACCGCCGCCGAGGCCCGUCUGCGAGUCUUGAGCGAGCAGAUGGGCGGCUCUCUGAGGCCGGCGCGGCGAUGAUGGCGGCCCUCUGGCCGGGUUCUGUCGCGCUGGCUGGCGCGGUGACUGGAGGCAGGCCCGGACCGUCUUCAUGAGUGGCGGGUUUCCGCCGCCUAUGCCGGCGCCGAGAUGGCGCUUCGGUUUGCGAUGUCUUGGCACCCGGACUUGUCGCUAGACGCGUUGAUGGGCCAGCGAGCCAGCUCGGAGAGCCAGUUGCACGCGGAGGCCGACCGGAUCGCCGCUCGGGCCAGCUGCAUCUCCGGGUUCGCCUUCCACAACGAGUUCCGGCCGGAGCGGGCGGAAGAUGGCGGAGUUGUGCCUGCCGAUGACUACGGCCUGCUUCUGGAUGACCCGGAGGGCAGCUCCGAGGUGACGGACGUCUACCGCGACGCGGGCGCCGAGGAGGGAGACACCGGCACCUCGGCGAACCCGGAGGCCACCGAGGUGGAUGCCUGAGGCUGCUUGUUUUUUAACUUAGUAAAAAUUUAUGUUAGGUAGCAGGUCCACCCACCCACUGGGGGUUUCUAGGUGUAAUGAAUUCUCGCCUUGGGCCUGUUUAAAUUUGAACUGGUGAAGUAUAAACUUCGUGAAUGUUAGCGCUCUUGCUUUUUGACUUUCGAGCCGUUUUCUUGCGACUUUCCUCUCUCGGGNNNNNNNNNNNNNNNNNNNNNNNNNNNNNNNNNNNNNNNNNNNNNNNNNNNNNNNNNNNNNNNNNNNNNNNNNNNNNNNNNNNNNNNNNNNNNNNNNNNNNNNNNNNNNNNNNNNNNNNNNNNNNNNNNNNNNNNNNNNNNNNNNNNNNNNNNNNNNNNNNNNNNNNNNNNNNNNNNNNNNNNNNNNNNNNNNNNNNNNNNNNNNNNNNNNNNNNNNNNNNNNNNNNNNNNNNNNNNNNNNNNNNNNNNNNNNNNNNNNNNNNNNNNNNNNNNNNNNNNNNNNNNNNNNNNNNNNNNNNNNNNNNNNNNNNNGGCUGGCAGCAAUCCAGUCGAGACCGGUUGGUAAGCAGCCGGUCGGGCGGCAGUGUUACAAGUGACGAGGCUGGGUCGAUCAACACGGCGGUAUGUAUGAAUUCGUGGGUGCCUGUGCUUUUGCUUUCUGUUAGUUGAGCCAUUUUCUUGCGGUUUUCCCGCCUUGGGCCUCCCCCGCGAGUCUGACGGCUGAGGCUCCGGUCCGUGACAAGGGGUUUGGCCUUCGAGAGGAGUGCGCGGUACUUGGGCGUUCGGAACGUUGAGCGCGAGAGAAACACCCACUGGGCCGGCUGGCAGCAAUCCGGCAAAGCCGGUUUGGCAAGCAGCCGGUCGUGCGGCAGCUAAAGUGGCGUGGCCGGGUUGGGUAAUCCGGCGGCCCUUGACUUAGUGUUUGUGGCGGGCUGGUGCUUUGGCCUUGCGCGCUUGCCAGUCGAUAGCUGAAGCCAGUUCUGUUGCUUAGGACGAAGUGGAAGGCCGCGGCGAUCCCAGUGUGUCAGGAACUGCUAAGGAAAGGCGGCGGGUAGUGGCCAAGCCGGCCAGCCCCUGAGGCCCUGGGUCGAGCGAGUCGGACCGGUGGUCGGGUUUGACGCAGAGAGAGAUAAUGCGUAAAUGCGGGAGACACAAAAAUCUUGGUCGAAAGGGGCAGCCCCCGAGCGUCGCUCGGGGACCCCAUAGUUUUCAUGCGAUUACAAAAGGUAGCGAUACAUACGUGCACACGGCUAACUGUAAAAUGGGCGGAGGAGCUCUGCGUUCCACGACCGGAUUGGAUCUUCACCGGCGGUGUCUCUCUUGUGCUUGUUUGACUUGGGGGCGUUGAUGAGGUAGUAGGCGUUGCGAUCGCACAGGGCCUUGCUGACGAUGAAGGGGCCCUCCCAUGGGGAGGACACCUUGUGUUAGCCGGUCUGCUCUUGGACGAGUCGGAGGACGAGGUCUCCUUCUCGAAGGGCGAGGGGCUUGAUCUUCUUGCUAUGGUAUUGCCUCAGGCCUUGCUGGUAGAUGGCUGAGCGGCUGAGCGCUAGGAGACGCGCUUCUUCGAGUAGGUCGACACCAUCUUCGCGGGCUUCUUUGGCCUCGGUUUUGGUGUACAUCGUGACGAGCGGCGAGUCAAACUCGACAUCGGUCGGGAUGACGGCUUCUGCUCCGUAGACGAGGAAGAACGGGGUGAACCCGGUCGACCGGUUCGGUGUUGUUCGGAGACUCCAGAGGAUGGCCGGCAAAUCAUCAAGCCAGCUGUCGGGCGAAUGGAUGAGCGGCUCGACGAGUCGCGGCUUCAUGCCGGAAAGGAUGAGGCCAUUGGCCCGCUCAACCUGGCCGUUGGAAUGUGGAUGUGUGACUAAAGCCAGGUCGAGGCGGAUGCCGGACACGGAACAGUACUGCGCGAGCGCGCCCUUGGCGAAGUUGGUGUCGUUGUCCGUGAUGAAGUUGUUCGGCAUGCCGUAGCGCACUGCGAUGUCCUUGACGAACCGGACAGCCGUUGGCCCGUCCAGCUUCUUGAUUGGCCUUACUUUGAUCCAUUUGGUGAACUUGUCCACCGCCACCAGCAGAUGCGUCAUGCCGCCUCGAGCGGUCUUGAAGGGCCCCACCAUGUCGAGUCGCCAGACCGCGAAGGGCCAGGCGAUCGGGAUGGUCCGGAGUGCCGACGCCGGCUGGUGGUUGCGCUUGUUGAAGCGCUGGCAUCCCUCGCACUUGAGGACGAGCGACUCUGCGUCUUCAAGGGCCGUGGGCCAGUAGAAACCAUGGCGGAAAGCCUUGGCCACCAAAGACCCCGAGGCGGCGUGGUGCCCGCACUCGCCCUGGUGUAUAUCGAGGAGGAUCUCAAUGCCCUUGUCUUGCUCGACGCAACGCUGGAAUACGUUGGUGGAGCUACGCUUGACGAGCUCGUUGUUGAUGAUGUUGUAGGUGGACGCUCGGCGCUGCACUUGCCGAGCUUCGGUCUCGUCCAUGGGGAGGACCCCGUUCUCCAGGAACUCUGAGAUGGGCAGCGCCCAUGAUGGUGUCGUCACCACGGCGAAGACGGCCACCAUGGCAGGUUCAGGGGUGGCAGCCCCUGAGCCGGGUUCAGCAGCCCCCGGGUCGGGUUCGGUAGUCCCCGAGCCAGGUUCGAGAGUCCCCGGGCCGGGCUGAGGCGCGGCCGGGUCGGGUGGAGUAGUCCCCGGACCGGGUUGAGGUGCGGCCGGGUCGGGUGGGACGUGGAUGGACUUGGAGUCCGGAGACGGCUUGUGCAGGUGCUCGAGGGAGACGUCAGACGGGAUGGACUGCCGGGGCGAGGCGAUCUUGGCGAGCGUGCCGGCCGCCUCCACUACAAAAAAAGACACAUCUGUGCCAUUUUGGGCCAAAUGAAAUUUUUUUCUGUCAUACUUAUGACACCUCUAUGACGAUAAUUGUGACAAAACCCGGUAUCAUCAUAGAUGUGGUGGGGUCCUAAUUCUAUGACAAAAAAUGGGCUUUUUGUCCUGGGCGGGCUGGAGACACAGCUGCAUGACAUUCUUUGGGCCGUCCAUGACGGUAAAACCGUGGUAGAAGCGAGGGCGAGGAAAAUAGCGGGGUGUUCCCGGUUACGGUGGGUGGUCGGGGCCGAGCGAUGCGCGUUUCUCUCGUACACGCACGCGCGUGGGUGCGAGGUGUUGGGCUCUAACUGCACCCGAGCAAGGCGUUGGGCUCUAACUGAAUCCGAGCGAUUGCACUGCAGGCUACGCGUUACUGAACCCGAGCGAUCGAUCGAUGGCUGUUAACUGAACCCGAUCGAGCGAUUCCUUCGCUACUGCUGCUAACUGAAGCCGAUCAAUGCUGCCUCUGGAUGAACAGUGAGCGUUGUUGGGGGGGUUUGGAUGAACAGUUCCCGGUGGGGGUGGAUGAACAGGACCCCGUGGUGUUGCCUCUGCAUGAACAGGACCCCGAUCGAUCGAGCCGGUUGGGGCUGGAUGAAUAGGACCCCGUGGAGGGCUGGAUGAACAGGACCACCCCGUGGAGGGCAGGAUGAACAGUAGACGGUGGAGGGCUGGAUGAACAGUAGCCCGUGGAGGGGUGGUUGAACAGGAGCCCGUGGAGAGGGCUGCUUGAAUAGUAGCCGGUGGAGGCUGGAUGAACAGGAGUCCGUGGAUGAACAGCCGCAGGUGGAGGCUGGAGGAGGUCGACGGUGGAUGAACAGUAGCCCGUUGAGGCUGGAGGGGGUUGACGGUGGAGAGGAACAGUAUCCCGUGGAGUCCCGUUUUGCGGUACGCCACACCCCUCCCGAUGAACAGGGCCCCUGUUUCGACCAUAGCGCUCCAACACAAGCCCGUGUCCUCCGUUUUGCGGUAUGCCACACCCCUCCCGAUCAACAGGACCCCCGUUUCGACCAUAGGAGGUCUGUUUCCUCCCUUUUGCGGUACGCCAGGCCCCUCCUGAUGAACAGGAUCCCGUUUCGACCGUGGCCGGUCAAAUACAAGGCCGUUUCCUCCGUUCUGCGGUACGCCAGGCCUCGUUUCCAUCGGUUGUUCCGUCCAAGCCCUCCCGAUGAACACGACAACGCAUUCCGUUCCGACCCAGCCGGUUGGCUCCCCAUGAACACGACGACGAUGUUGUUUCUCCGUUCCGACCCAGCCAUGUACACGAGCCCUGGCCGUACGUACGUGCGAGUCGGCGUUCGAGACCCCGCCCGUAUGUACGUACGUGGCCGUAUUUACUUUCUUGCACCUUGGCCGCUGUACGUACGUGUACAUGCUACGUGCGCGGCUCUACUACGACACGUGCGCGCCUCAACAUCGACCAGUAUGUACAUACACGUUCGCGACUAGAAUGACAAUGCUACGUACGCUUCGACCAGGUGGGUCCCGACUGUUAGGCACUUCCUUGCCUGUGAAGAUGUAGCUGGUGGGUCCCAGCAGUGAGGGGCGAAUCAUUUUUUUUGCCCGGACGCACUUCCUUGCGUGCGAAGAUGUAGCUAGUGGGUCCUAGCAGUCAGGGGGAAACGUUUUUUUCACCAAAUACGGUGGCCCGUCUGGUGGGUCCUUGCUGUCAGGUGGAGGAAUAAUUAUUUUGCGCGUAAUAAGGAGGCACUUCCUUCCUGCGGCCGUGGACCCAGCUGUCAGCCUCUCCACGUAUAGUACUCUUCGGAUGGAAGUCGUUCCUUAACCACGUUGACCACGCCGCGCCGAGAGCACCAGGGCGGUGGACGACGGCGAGGCCUAGGAAGGGGACGACGCGGAGCCGGGGAAGACGCGGCAGUGGAAGCCUGCGCGGAGAGGAGUACGAGGGUUCACUGGUUCGGCUGCAGUGUGAGGCUGCCGUCGCCGCAGGGCCUGGCCAGCGGUGGGAAUAGUAGGGGGUGGUGAGGCCUCCACGACAGCACAGCCGGCCACGGGAGGCAGGAGCAUGAGGCACGAUCGGCGCUGCUUUGGGCGGCUCGAGCAAGAAGAACAGAGGUUGAAGAAGCACUACGGCCUUUGGAUGGACAUCGUACGAUCACUGGAGCUAGAAUCGUUCAUAUUGACUAAGUUGACAAAGCACUUCGUCCCCUUCAACUUAGUAGGCCCACAAGUGAGCCUCCCACAAAGGUGGGUCCCAACUAGCAGGGGGAGUAUUCAUUUUUUUGUGCGUAAUAAGGAGGCACUUCCGAUGGGUCCGAGCUGACAGCGGGGGGAACGUUUUUUUCCCGAAAUACGGUGGCCCGUCCGAUGGGUCCCAGCAGUCAGGGGGGAAACGUUUUUUUCGCCAAAUACGGUGGCCCGUCCGGUGGGUCCCUGCUGUCAGGUGGAGGAAUAAUUAUUUUCCGCAUAAUAAGGAGGCACUUCCUUGCGGCUGCCGUGGACUCAGCUGUCAGCCUCUCCACGUACAGUACUCUUCCGAUGGAAGUCAUUCCUUGACCACGUUGACCACGCCGCGCCGAGAGCACCAGGGCGGUGGACGACGGCGAGCGGUGAGGCCUAGGAAGGGGACGACGCGGAGCCAGGGAAGACGCGGUAGUGGAAGCCCGCGCGGAGAGGAGUACAAGGGUUCACUGGUUCUUGCUGCGGUGUGAGGCUGCCAUCGCCGCAGAAUAACAGGGGGUGUGGGUGAGAGGAGGGAUGGCCUGGCCAGCGGUGGGAGUAGUAGGGGGCGGUGAGGCCUCCGCGGCAGCACAGCCUGCCAUGGAAGGCAGGAGCAGGCGGCACGACCGGCGCUGCUUUGGGCGGCUGGAGCAAGAAGACCAGAGGUUGAAGAAACACUACGGCCGUUGGAUGGACAUUGUACGGUCACUGUAGCUAGAAUCGUUCAUAUUGACUAAGUUGACAAAGCCCUUGGUACGCGUCAACUUAGUAGACCCACAGGUCAGCUUCCAAAACGGUGCGCCCCAGAUGUCAGGAGGAGGAAUCAAUUUUUGGGCGGGUGAAGCUAGAAUAUCCGAGAUUGAAGAAACACGGCAUCCCUUGGAUGGACAUCCAACGGCCACUGCUGCUAGAACCGUGUGUUGACUAUAAUAAGUUGACAAAGCCUUGGAUACGCGUCAACUUCUUUUUUUAGGGGACGCGUCAACUUAGUAGGCCCACAAGUGUGUGGCAGAGAACUUAUAGCCCAUUUGAAAUUGUAAGAAUGUACAGCCCAUUUUUGAAUUCUAAUGGAAUUUACUACAGCCCAUUUACAGUUUGUUAAAAGUAUAGCCCAUUUUCUAGCCAGGACAACGAUUAAUAAUUUCAACCAACCGUUCAAGACAGAAUGCAAUAAAAUUUCACACAUUUUGAUGGGAUCCGAAAUAUUUUUAUCCCGAAAUUUCUAGUCAAAUUAAAUAUAAAUUUGUAUUACGAAAAAAUCUAACUUGUUGGGUGGAGCUGGCUUGUUGGGGAAGUCUUGGUGCGCCGGGCUCGCCCGUCUUGAGCUAGUUGUUUGGGCCGAGCUGAGGAGUCCGGCCGGGUCGAGGAUUAGGCCAGGUCGAGGGGCUUGGCCGGGUCGAGCGAGCCGGCCAAGCGUGAGCCGGCUUGAGGGGAGAUGCUGGCCCCAUUGUUUUUGAAAAGGAUCCGGGUUUCGUUGCCUACCCGGGGUUCAUCCCCCCGACAGUAGUCCCCGAAGCUGUGAAGGUCCGCCGUCUUCACAUGGGAGGGUCUUCGCAGUUUCCCCUUUGAAGUAGGCAAACUUUGUGACCCCCGGGUCAGGCAACACUCAUUGUGUUCCGGCUUCCGGAAGACGGAUCGCGGCAUCCCGGCAGCGGCGGGAAACCGAGGAGUCCACCGAAUCUUUGAGGCAAUCUUUUUGGCUUCGCGCGGGCGCCACGUGGCGCCUGGAAGCCGGAAGGGCCUGGCAGGCACGCGCGAGACAGGUCAAGGCGACGCGCUGGGGCCCACGGCCACGCGCCCUCGGCCCACGCGCGUGGAUUUAUUGCGGCGUUCGCAAGUCGGUUGCCAUUCUCGAGGCAGUUAUUGCGCACAUACGUGCACAGUUAUUGCGGGGAAGUGGGAGAGGCGGGCGCAAACAAUCCCACUCCCCCACGUUUCAAACCGCGGCUUAUAAAUUGGGACGAGGAGGGGGCGGCGGAAAUCGUUCUCGCUCGUGCCCCUGCCUUCGUCUUCCUUCCUCUGCUUCUUGCGACCGCCGCGCACCGCGACGCCCGUUGCUUUGAGCAGAGCUUCAUAGCCACCUUCUCCUUUCUUCUCUCGUAUCUUUGUCGAUGGCGCUGCCGUCGGGCUCGUGGAUGGGCUCGACCGUCACCCUCGAUGACAACGCCUAUCUUCGCACCACCAGCCGCCUGCCGGGGGAGACGGAGGUUGCCGUGCGCUGCCGCGGGGAGAGCGGGAGCCGCGGCCCAAGGGCACAGAGCGCAUGGUCUUCUUCCCGCACUACAAUCGCGGGUUCGGGCUCCCCGCGAGCGGCUUCUUCCGCGACUUCCUGGAGGUCUUCGGGAUCCAGCCCCAUCAUCUUGGCGUCGGUGCCAUCGUGCAGCUGUCGGGCUUCGUCAUCCUCUGCGAGGGGUACCUGGGGGUCGAGCCUUCGAUCGACCGCUGGGUACGCUUCUUCUCCUUCAAGCAGCAGGGGCCAAGGGCCGGAGACAUGUCCGAGUGUGGGGCCGCGGUCAUCUCCAAGCGGUCGGGCGCUGACUGCCCGAAGAUGCCGCUGGAGGAUUCUGCCAAGAAGUGGCAGAAUUCUUUCUUCUACGUCCGCAACCUCGGCGCGAACCACAUCAACUUGUCCCCUUCGUCAACUCGCCGCCAAGGGGGAAACGGAACUGGGGGUACUACCCCAAGCACCCGUCGCAGGAGGUGCUCAACCUGUGCGAGCGGGUGUUAGUGAUGAAGGAGCGGGAGGGGCUCACCGGCACCAACCUCAUCACCGCCUUCAUCGUCCGUCGGGUGCCACCUCAUCGGUCAGAUGACCGGCCUUCAGAACCCCAACCGCAUGGUGAACUUGCGGCUGGGGGCGGACCAGGUCAUGCGCCGGGUUAACGACAUCUCCAAGGCCAACUUGUGGGAUGACUGGCAGUUCGGGAAAGCCCCGUACAGCCGCACGAAUCCGGCACCGACGGUGCGUCCUUGGUCUCCAUAUUUUGCUGCUGCUCAUCUUCUUAUUCGCCCUCACGCGACACGGGAGGUGCUCCUGAACGCCAUCCGGCAUCCUUAUGACCGUGCGCGGACGCAGGUGCUGCGCGUCGCCUAGUAGGAGCCCGAGGCUCACGGCGGAGGGGAGGAGGCGACCGCCGACGCGGACGCAGGGCGCCGAGCUGGUAAGUCUUGUGUUUACUUCUUGAGUCGCCGGUCGCGCGACGGUCUUGAGGGGCUGACGCGAGUUGCUGUCGCAGUGGCGCCAGGUGGAGGAGGCGGCGGCGCGGCCGGAGCCGGGUCGUCUCGAGAGGCGCCGGCGGCGAGCCAUCCGCACUGGAAGCACAACCUCGCACCGCGGACCCUGGCCGUGGAGCGCGCGGCGGACCCGACCGGGGGCGCGAAGCCGGCUGCCAAGAGGAGGCGCGGUGCUCCGCGGGAGAGGGCAGCGAGGCCCGUCGUUCCGGUGGUGCCGGGGUGAGUUUCUUUUUUGCUUGAACCGAGUGGCCGAGCAGCUCUGCUUGGCUUAUGUUUAGUUUGUCUUGGGUUUCAGGUCACCGAUCUCGCUGGCGCUGGCGGCGGCGGACGCUGCGUCUGGCGACGGUGCCGUGUUCCAAAGGAGCCGGUCCGACACCGUCUGUCGGGAAGGGGGGAGGAGGAGGGGGCGGAUCCGGAUCUUGGCCUAGACCCGUCCGACACCGAAGGCUUGGCCUGGUGGGACCAAAACCGGGCAGAGGCGGAGCUGGAGGCGGCGUCGACCGAGGCCUGGGUUAGCGCCGCGGUGGCGUGGGCGCGAGCCGGCGAGGAGCCGGCAUGGCCGGAGACGCCGGCAGGGACGGUGGCGGUGGCGCCGUUCUUCAUGCCGUCGUCGGAGGGGAAGCACGGCCAAGGCGGCCGUGCGGCUGUGAUGGACCUCGACCGGGAGGUCGUGGUCAUCGGGGACGACACCCCGCCGCGGACCGACGUGGUCGAGCGGGCGGGGGCCGACGGAGGCGGUGGCGACACCGUCUUGGAGGAAGCACCGCGGAUGGCACCGGAGGGAACGCCCCAGGUGCAAAUGAGCGAAGCGCCGUUGGUGGUGGUGCCGCAGGCCACUCCAGUCGACGAACCAGUGAUGGUGCCGGCGAGGGCGACGGAGAGGGCGCCGGCCGCAGGGGGCGAGGCCAGCGGGGAGCACGCCCUGGUGCUCAAGUCAGGGGUUCGUCGGGCCGCCGGGUCGCAGCCGACGCGGAGCAGGACCGGCGGGGUCUUCUUCGGGCCUCCAACCCAGGAGGAGGCGGCGAUGGCCGCCGUGACCCGGCGCCUGCGAGGGCGGACGGACGGAAUCAAGGCCUUCGCCCAGGCCGAGGUGGAGGCGACACAGGAGCUGGAGCGCGCCAUUUUUGUAAGUUUUCCGUUGCAUUCUGCUUUGUGGGGGCGCGCCAGCGCACCCACUAGGUGUAGCCCCCGAGAUUCGGGCGCAGUUGGGUCGAAUUGUAAACUGCUGUCUUGUAUUGAUUGUUGCUUUCUGCAGCAAUUGGACUCCUACCGGGUCAGCGUCUUCAACUGGCUCCUGGAGGCGCAUCGGUGGCUCAAGGAGCAGCCUGUCGCCAAGGAGGAGGAGCUCCGCGCCGCGGCAGGUACUUUUUCUUGCGUGCUCUUUUUUAGUUGGGGCGAGCUAGCGCACCCACUGGGUGUAGCCCCCGAGAUUCGGGCCAACUGCGUAGCAGUUGGGCCGAAUCAUAAAAUAGUACUUGUUUUUGAGUCUUUCUUCUGCAGCCGAGGUGCUGUCUUGGAGGACCCGGCUGAUUCGGGCCGGCUUCCACUACGACCGGCUCGUUGCUGACGCCGGUCGGCUUGGAGCCAAGGUGGAGUGGGCGAGGGAGGAGGCGAUGGGAGCCCGGCGGGCGCUCGACGAAGCCAGACAACUACGGGAGUGCCUCAAGGCGGAGGCCGCCAAGGUUGUGGAGGCACAGCAGGCCCUUGUCGAGGCGGACCAGCAACGCGGCAAGCUGGCCGACGACAAGGGGCAGCUCCAGGCCAAGGUGGAGCGCCUGAAGGCACUGGUGGCCACGAUAGAGGAGACCCGGAAGGGGAAGACCAGGCGCCGCGAGGAGGCGGUGAAGGAGGCCGAGGACAAGGACGCCGAGAUGAAGGCGGCCCUUGCCAAGGUCGCCAAUCUGGAGAAGACGCUCCAGGAGCAUGACCGUACCAUCGCCCGGGAGCGGCGCGAUACGUUGCUCGAAGCGCAGCACCUUGAAGAGUGCUUCUCCAGUAAGUGCUUUCCUUGGGUUUUGCCGGGCUGGGACCCCGGGUUUUUGUCCUUGGUGACUUUUCUUCUGACUUGCUUCUCUUCUUGACAGGGCCUUCCAGGAGACACGCCAGCUGGCAGAGGAGGCGGUCCGCCUUUAGCGCGACCCGCAGGGGAUUGUUGGCUCCGGGACUGACCCGCGGGUGGCCUGGACUUUCCCAGAGAUCGUGACUGCCGCCGAGGCCCGUCUGUGAGUCUUGAGCGAGCAGAUGGGGCGGCUCUCUGAGGCCGGCGCAGUGAUGACGGCGGCCCUCUGGCCGGGUUCCAUCGCGCUGAAUAGCUUCACACGGCUGGCGCGGUGGUUGGAGGCGGGCCCGGACCGUCUACAUGAGUGGCAGGUUUCCGCCGCCCGUGCCGACGCCGAGAUGGCGCUCCGGUUUGCGAUGUCUUGGCAUUCGGACUUGUCUCUGGACACGUUGAUGGGCCAGCGAGCCGGCUCGGAGAGCCAGUUGCACGCGGAGGCUGGCCGGAUCGCCGCUCGGGCCAGCUACAUCACCGGGUUCGCCUUCCACGCCGAGUUCCGACCGGAGCGGGCGGAAGAUGGCGGAGUUGUGCCUGCCGAUGACUACAGCCUGCUUCUAGAUGACCCGGAGGGCAGCUCCGAGGAGACGGACUUCUACCGCGACGCGGGCGUCGAGGAGGGAGACACCGGCACCUCGGCGAACCCGGAGGCCACCGAGGGGGAUGCCUGAGGCUGCCUGUUUUUUAACUUACUAAAAAUUUAUGUUAGGUAGCAGGUCCACCCACCCACUGGGGGUUUCUAGGUGUAAUGAAUUCUGGCCUUGGGCCUGUUUAAAUUUGAACUGGUGAAGUAUAAACUUCGUGAAUGCUACCGCUCUUNNNNNNNNNNNNNNNNNNNNNNNNNNNNNNNNNNNNNNNNNNNNNNNNNNNNNNNNNNNNNNNNNNNNNNNNNNNNNNNNNNNNNNNNNNNNNNNNNNNNNNNNNNNNNNNNNNNNNNNNNNNNNNNNNNNNNNNNNNNNNNNNNNNNNNNNNNNNNNNNNNNNNNNNNNNNNNNNNNNNNNNNNNNNNNNNNNNNNNNNNNNNNNNNNNNNNNNNNNNNNNNNNNNNNNNNNNNNNNNNNNNNNNNNNNNNNNNNNNNNNNNNNNNNNNNNNNNNNNNNNNNNNNNNNNNNNNNNNNNNNNNNNNNNNNNNNNNNNNNNNNNNNNNNNNNNNNNNNNGAAACACCCAGUGGGCCGGCUGGCAGCAAUCUGGUCGAGACCGGUUGGUGAGCAGCCGGUCGGGCCGCAGUGUUACAAGUGACGAGGCCGGGUCGAUCAACCCGGCGGUAUGUAUGAACUUCGUGGGUGCCUGUGCUUUUGCUUUCCGUCAGUUGAGUCGUUUUCUUGCGGUUUUCCCCCCUUGGGCCUCCCCCCCGCGAGUCUGAUGGCCGAGGCUUUGGUCCGUGACAAGGGGUUUGGCCUUCGAGAGGAGUGCGCAGUACUUGGGCGUUCGGAACGUUGAACACGAGCGAAACACCCACUGGGCCGGCUGGUGGCAAUCCGGCAAAGCCGGUUUGGCAAGCAGCCAGUCGUGCGGCAGCUAAAGUGGCGUGGCCGGGUUGGGUAACCCGGCGGCCCUUGACUUAGUGUUUGUGGCGGGCUGGUGCUCUGGCCUUGCGCGCUUGCCAGUCGAUAGCCGAAGCCGGUUCUGUUGCUUUGGACGAAGUGGAAUGCCGCGGCGAUCCCAGUGUGUCAGGAACUUCUAAGGAAAGGCGGAGGGUAGUGGCCAAGCCGGCUAGCCCCCGAGGCCCCGCGUCGAGCGAGUCAGACCGGUGGCCGGGUUUGACACAGAGAUAGAUAAUGCGUAAAUGCGGGAGACACAAAAAGCUUGGUCGAAAAGGGGCAGCCCCCGAGCGUUGCUCGGGGACCCCAUAGUUUUCAUGCGAUUACAAAAGGCAGCGAUACAUACGUGCACGCGUCUAACUGUAAAAUGGGCGGAGGAGCUCUGCAUUCCACGACCAGAUUGUUUGUUCACUGGCGGUGUCUCUCUUGCGCUUGUUUGACUUGGGGGCGUUGAUGAGGUAGUAAGCAUUGUGAUCGCACAGGGCCUUGCUGACGAUGAAGGGGCCCUCCCAUGGGGAGGACAGCUUGUGUUAGUCGGUCUGCUCUUGGACAAGUCGGAGGACGAGGUCUCCUUCUCGAAAGGCGAGGGGCUUGAUCUUCUUGCUGUGGUAGUGCCUCAGGCCUUGCUGGUAGAUGGCUGAGCGGCUGAGCGCUAGGAGACGCGCUUCUUCGAGUAGGUCGACACCGUCUUCGCGGGCUUCUUUGGCCUCGGUUUCGAUGUACAGCGUGACGUGUGGUGAGUCGAACUCGACAUCGGUCGGGAUGACGGCUUCUGCUCCGUAGAUGAGGAAGAAUGGGGUGAACCCAGUCGACCGGUUUGGUGUUGUUCGGAGACUCCAGAGGACGGCCGGCAACUCGUCAAGCCAGCUGUCGGGUGAACGGAUGAGCGGCUCGAUGAGUCGUGGCUUGAUGUCGGAAAGGAUGAGGCUGUUGGCCUGCUCAACCUGGCCAUUGGACUGUGGAUGUGUGGCUAAAGCCAGGUCGAGGCGGAUGCCGGAGAUGGAACAAUACUACACGAGCGCGCCCUUGGCGAAGUUGGUGCCGUUGUCCGUGAUGAUGUUGUUCGGCAUGCCGUAGCGCACCGCGAUGUCCUUGACGAACCGGACGGCCGUUGGCCCGUCCAGCUUCUUGAUUGGCCUUGCUUCGAUCCAUUUGGUGAACUUGUCCACCACCACCAGCAGAUGCGUCAUGCCGCCUCGAGCGGUCUUGAAGGGCCCCACCAUGUCGAGUCCCCAGACCGCGAAGGGUCAGGCGAUCGGGAUGGUCCGGAGUGCCGACGUCGGCUGAUGGCUGCGCUUGCUGAAGCACUGGCAUCCCUCGCACUUGAGGACGAGCGACUCUGCGUCUUCAAGGGCCGUGGGCCAGUAGAAACCAUGGCGGCGUGGUGCCCGCACUCGCCCUGGUGUAUGUCGAGGAGGAUCUCAAUGCCCUUGUCUUGCUCGACGCAACGCUAGAAUACGCUGGUGGAGCUGCGCUUGAUGAGCUCGUUGUUGAUGAUGUUGUAGGCGGACGCUCGGCGCUGCACUUGCCGAGCUUCGGUCUCGUCCAUGGGGAGGACCCCAUUCUUCGGGAACUCUGAGAUGGGCAGCGCCCAUGAUGGUGUCGUCACCACGGCGAAGACGGCCACCAUGGCGGGUUCAGGGGCGGCAGCCCCCGAGCCAGGUUCAGCAGCCCCCGGGUCGGGUUCGGUAGUCCCCGGGCCAGUUUCGACAGUCCCCGGGCCGGGUUGAGGCGCGGACGGGUCGGGUGGAGCAGUCCCCGGGCCGGGUUGAGGCGCGGCCGGGUCGGGUGGGACGUGGAUGGACUCGGAGUCCGGAGACGGCUUGUGCAGGUGCUCGAGGGAGACGCCGGACGGGAUGGACUGCCGGGACGAGGCAAUCUUGGCGAGCGUGUCGGCCGCCUCCACUACAAAAAAAGACACAUCUGUGACAUUUUGGGCCGAACGAAAUAUUUUUUCUGUCAUACUUAUUACACUUCUAUGACGAUAAUUGUGACAAAACCCGGUAUCAUCAUAGAUGUGGUGGGGUCCUACUUCUAUGACAAAAAUCAUGACAAAAAAUGGGCUUUUCGUCCUGGGCGGGCUGGAGACGCAGCUGCAUGACAUUCUUUGGGCCGUCCAUGACAGAAAAAACCGGGGUAGAAGCGAGGGCGAGGAAAAUAUCGGGGUGUUCCCGAUUACGGUGGGUGGUUGGGGCCGAGCGAUGCGCGUUUCUCUCGUACACGCACGUGUGUGGGUGCGAGGCGUUGGGAGCUAACUGAACCCGAGCGAGGCGUUGGGCUCUAACUGAACCCAAGCGAUUGCACUGCAGGCUACGCGUUAUUGAACCCGAGCGAUCGAUCGAUGGCUGUUAACUGGACCCGAUCGAGCGAUUCCUUCGCUACUGCUGCUAACUGAAGCCGAUCGAUGCUACCUCUGGGUGAACAGUGAGCGUUGCUGGGGUAUUUGGAUGAACAGUUCCUGGUGGGGGUGGAUGAACAGGAGCCCGUGGUGUUGCCUCUGGAUGAAUAGGACCCCGAUCGAUCGAGCGGGUUGGGGCUGGAUGAACAGGACCCCGUGGAGGGCUGGAUGAACAGGACCACCCCGUGGAGGGCAGGAUGAACAGUAGAUGGUGGAGGGCUGGAUGAACAGUAGCCCAUGGAGGGGUGGUUGAACAGGAGCCCGUGGAGAGGGCUGGUUGAACAGUAGCCGGUGGAGUAGCGCGCGGUGGAGGCUGGAUGAACAGGAGUCCGUGGAUGAACAGCCGCAGGUGGAGGCUGGAGGAGGUCGACGGUGGAUGAACAGUAGCCCGUUGAGGCUGGAGGGGGUCGACGGUGGAGAGGAACAGUAUCCCGUGGAGUCCCGUUUUGCGGUACGCCACACCCCUCCCGAUGAACAGGGCCCCCGUUUCGACCAUAGCGCUCCAACACAAGCCCGUGUCCUCCGUUUUGCGGUAUGCCACACCCCUCCCGAUCAACAGGACCCCCGUUUCGACCGUAGGAGGUCCGUUUCCUCCGUUUGGCGAUACGCCAGACCCCUCCCGAUGAACGGGAUCCCGUUUCGACCGUGGCCGGUCGAACACAAUGUUGUUUCCUCCGUUCUGCGGUACGCCAGAUCUCGUUUCCAUCGGCUGCUCCGUCCAAGCCUCCCGAUGAACACGACGACGCAUUCCUUUCCGACCCAGCCGGUUGGCUCCCAUGAACAUGACGACGACGCUGUUUCUCCAUUUUGACCCAGCCAUGUACACGAGCCCUGGCCGUACGUACGCAUGAGUAGGCGUUUGAGACCCCGCCCGUAUGUACGUAUGUGGCCGUAUUUACUUUCUUGUACCUUGGUCGCUGUACGUACGUGUACAUGCUACGUGCACGCCUCUACUAUGACACCUGCGCGCCUCUACAUCGACCAGUAUGUACGUACACGUUCGCGACCAGAAUGACAACGCUACGUACGCUUCGACCAGGUGGGUCCCGACUGUCAAGCACUUCCUUGCCUGUGAAGAUGUAGCUGGUGGGUCCCAGCAGUCAGGGGGGUGAAUCGUUUUUUUUUUGCCCGAACGCACUUCCUUGUGUGCGAAGAUGUAGCUGGUGAGUCCCAGCAGUCAGGGGGAAACGUUUUUUCGCCAAAUACGGUGGCCCUUCCGGUGGGUCCCCGCUGUCAGGUGGAGGAAUAAUUAUUUUGCGCGUAAUAAGGAGGCACUUCCUUGCUGUGGCCGUGGACCCAGCUGUCAGCCUCUCCACGUACAGUACUCUUCUGAUGGAAGUCGUUCCUUGACCACGUUGACCACGCCGCACCGAGAGCACCAGGGCGGUGGACGACGGCGAGGCCUAGGAAGGGGACGACGCGGAGCCGGGGAAGACGCGGCAGUGGAAGCCCGCGCGGAGAGGAGUACGAGGGUUCACUGGUUCGCCUGCAGUGUGAGGCUGUUGUCGCCGCAGGUCCUGGCCAGCGGUGGGAAUAGUAGGGGGCGGUGAGGCCUCCGCGGCAGCACAGCCGGCCACGGGAGGCAGGAGCAUGCAGCACGACUGGCACUGCUUUGGGCGGCUCAAGCAAGAAGACCAGAGGUUGAAGAAGCACUACGGCCGUUGGAUGGACAUCGUACGGUCACUGGAGCUAGAAUCGUUCAUUUUGACUAAGUUGAUAAAGCACUCCGUCCCCGUCAACUUAGUAGGCCCACAAGUCAGCCUCCCACCAAGGUGGGUCCCAACUAGCAGGGGGAGUAUUCAUUUUUUGUGCGUAAUAAGGAGGCACUUCCGGUGGGUCCGAGCUGACAGCGGGGGGAACGUUUUUUUUUGCGAAAUACGGUGGCCCGUCCGAUGGGUCCCAGCAGUCAGGGGGGAAACGUUUUUUUCACCAAAUACGGUGGCCCGUCCGGUGGGUCCCUCCUGUUAGGUGGAGGAAUAAUUAUUUUCCGCAUAAUAAGGAGGCACUUCCUUGCGGCUGCCGUGGACUCAGCUGUCAGCCUCUCCAUGUACAGUACUCUUCCGAUGGAAGUCGUUCCUUGACCACGUUGACCACGCCGCGCCGAGAGCACCAGGGCGGUGGACGACAGCGAGCGGCGAGGCCUAGGAAGGGGACGACGCGGAGCCGGGGAAGACGCGGCAGUGGAAGCCCGCGCGGAGAGGAGUACGAGGGUUCACUGGUUCGGCUGCGGUGUGAGGCUGCCGUCGCCGCAGAAUAACAUGGGGUGUGGGUGAGUGGAGGGAUGACCUGGCCAGCGGUGGGAGUAGUAUGGGGCGGUGAGGCCUCCGCGGCAGCACAGCCGGCCACGGGAGGCAGGAGCAGGUGGCACGACCGGCACUGCUUUGGGCGGCUAGAGCAAGAAGACCAGAGGUUGAAGAAGCACUACGACCGUUGGAUGGACAUUGUACAGUCACUGCAGCUAGAAUCGUUCAUAUUGACUAAGUUGACAAAGCCCUUGGUACGCCUCAACUUAGUAGGCCCACAGGUCAGCUUCCGAAAUGGUGCGCCCCAGAUGUCAGGGGGAGGAAUCAUUUUUUGGGCGGGUGAAGCUAGAAUAUCCAAGAUUGAAGAAGAAGCACGGCAUCCGUUGUAUGGACAUCCAACGGCCACUGCUGCUAGAACCAUGUGUUGACUAUAAUAAGUUGAUAAAGCCUUACAUACGCGUCAACUUCUUUUUUUUAGGGGACGCGUAAACUUAGUAGGCCCACAGGUGUGUGGCAGAGAACUUAUAGCCCAUUUGCGAUUUGUAAGAAUGUACAGCCCAUUUUUUAAUUCUAAUGGAAUUUACUACAACCCAUUUACAGUUUGUUAAAAGUACAGCCCAUUUUCUAGCUAGGACAACGAUUAAUAAUUUCAACCAACCGUUCAAGACAGAAUUCAAUAAAAUUUCCCACAUUUUGAUGGGAUCCGAAAUAUUUUUAUCCCGAAAUAUCUAGUCAGAUUAAAUAUAAAUUUGUAUUACGUAAAAAUCUAACGAAACAUUGCGCGCGCAACAAUUAAAAAUUAAGAUUUUCAAAAUCCAUAAAUAAUAUUUUAUAAACUAAUUUCGUGCUUGGUGCAUUUUUUAUAGUUACUGCCCAGUUUUAUAAUUACAUCCCUUUUUUUAUUUUUUAAAGACCAUUUUCAUGUUAAGCCUAAUGCAUCCCUCCUAGGAAAGAUUUGCAGCCCAGCGGGGCGGAGAAUAACAAGUUGACCUUACGUGGGUAUUCCUCAAAAAAACGUAUAGCUGGGCUAGCCAUUUUCCUCUUGAAAAAAAUUAAUAUCUGGGAUGGAUAUCUGUCGUGGGCUAGACGGGCCAUAGCCCGCCCAGUUAAUACCAUGCUCUCCUCUGAACAACAACGAAAACAUCUCCAAGAAAAACUCUGCAGUGCUCACGCCUCAAAAACAGAAAUACUGCUCGAGCUGCUUGGUCCCAGCUGUUGGCCGCACCUUGUGCAAUUCUCUCAUUUAUAUUGACUACAUAGGUUGACAAUCGUGUGGGACCGUGAUGUCAGGAAACCAGGAGGAAGCAAAAAAAUAGUUGUACAUAAUAAGGAGGCACUUGCGUACGUACGGCUAUGGCCCUAGUGGGUCCCUACUGUCAACCAGUCAAAAUAAAGUCAUCUCCGGAAUCCUCAUGUUCAUUGACCAUGUUAACAAUGCUCGGCGCCACGGCGAGCGCAACAACUCGAAGGACGAUGGAGAGGGCCUCGCGGGCCUACGGAUGGUCUAAUAUAGCGCCCGCUGCUCAUUCAGGAAGUCAGGAUCAUCGGACACCUAUGAGCACCUUCGAGAGACUGAGACGGCAUGAAACGGUAAGGCCGCGCUUGGGGGCUCUGGUUUAUUUCACACCUGUAUUAAGAUAUAAGUGUAAUUUACUCGUCAUCAGAAACAACGCGUAAAAUACAGGCGUAAUGAAACCGAGGGCCCGAGGUUUGUAAGUAAAACCGGCGGGUUACGCGUGUAAUUUGAGAGACCGGUGUAUAUUUUACUAGUUGAAAUUGACCAACCAAGCGCUUCGCCCGAGACCAUCUGCUUUUAUUUACAAGGGUCAGUUUUACAAGCGGUUUUGGUUGGAAAACGAUGAUCCAAUCACGGCCUAAGAUGAUGAGUUGGUCGGAAGAUCAUAUGGUUUCACGUCUAACCUACCUGACUUGUCGUAUAGGCUAUGAAUGAAACAUAAGACGACGAACUUCUUAAGCACGGAAACAACAGAAGAGGAUGAUCUUCCUGACAAGAAAAUCACUGGCAUUAGAUCGACAUGCAAAACAAUACGAAGCAUUAUUCUCAGGAGGCACGGUGAACAGCUCGUGAUGCCGCAUGCCACAACAUUCCAAGCUCAACUUCGCAAUCAAACACAAGGCCGGGCAUUACAUAGACACUAUUUAGAACAAACUCUUAAAAUAUCUUACAUAAGUCAACAUUCAUGUGACUAUGCAUCUUAGCAGAGUAAAUAUUUACUUCCGAACUGAAGACAGGAAUAGGAAAAAAUGAUCGACGUUGCUCACAGCAAAGGGCGUCCCACACAAAAAUAUCAAAUGCAUGUCUUCUGGCUAACAUCAAUGAGCAAAAAUUGACAAGGUUUUCCAAUUCCAAUAUAUUAAACUAAUGUCAACUUUGACAAGCUUUUCCCAUUCAAAAUAUGUAAUGCCUAUGAUUGUGGAACGGGAAAGGUUUGUCAUCAGUUUGUCAUCUGAUAGUCUGGUGGCUCAAGGUGAUGACGAAUGAUUAGAGAACCAUUCGAUGUAUUGUGCAUGAUGAAGUAUUAUUGAGGACACGAACCAUCUGAACAUUUUGUGCAGUUCCACUAAAAUCAAGCUGAGCAUCCCUGUGGAUUUCGUAUUUAUAUGCUGCCAGAAAACAAAGACACAUCAGCACACACAUGAAUAUUGGCCCCAGUGUCAGCCCACCAAUCGGUGGACUAACAAACUGAAAGUACGGUAAACAGAUUACCAUACCCAGAUGCCCCAUCAUUGUUGCUUAGAGUGACAUUGACAGACUUGGAGUCCUGUCCUAGCUUCUUGGUACUUGUUUGGGCACUUGUUUGCCCAGUGUUCCUCUGAACCACAAGUAAAGCAGCCAUCUCUCUUUUUGUCUUUCUUCUUACCCUUCUUAAUGGCCGACGCUGGCAGCACCAUUCAAACAUAUAGUCCGGUGGCUCAAGGUGACGACGAAUGAUUAGAGAACCAUUCGAUGUAUUGUGCAUGAUGAAGUAUUAUGGAGGACACAAACCAUCUGGACAUUUUGUGCGGUUCCACUAAAAUCAAGUUGAGCAUCCCUGUGGUUAUCGUAUUUAUAUGCUGUAAGAAAACAAAGACAUAGCAGCACACACAUGAAUAUUGGCCCCAGUGUCAACCCACCAAUCGGUGGACUAACAAACUGAAAGUACGGUAAACAGAUUACCAUGCCCAGAUGCCCCAUCACUGUUGCUUAGAAUGACAUUGACAGAUUUGGAGUCCUGUCCUGGCUUCCUGUACUUGUUUGGGCACUUUUUGCCAGUGCACUCCACGUGUUGUAGAGUUUCCUAUGUGCUCUCUUCAAACUAGUCAUGUCACCAGCGUCUACUAAUACUCUGUAAAGCUUCUCGAUCAUUCCUUGUGUAAUGUAGUGCAAAUAGUGACUACUUCUUUCUGCAAAGUGGUAAGACCAACUGGACCCACUAAUGCAGCAUUUUCCUUGGACACAUUGGCUCCUUUUGUGCAGUUCAACUAAAAUCAAAGUCGGAAUAAAACCGAGCUUUAAUUUUGAUAUCCCUGUAAGCAACAAAAGGUAUAAGGGAAACAAUUACUGAGAAAUAACGGUUGAUGACUUGUACUCCCAGAAGAAAAACAUCUACUGAUCUACCUUAUCUUAAUGGGAAACAAAGCAGGAGAGUAGCAAUUCUCAAUCAGUGUGAUUCAUUCAUAUUAACUGAGACACUAUCUUAACAAUGCCUUGUUUCAACAUGUAUAAAGAACGACAAAGCAGAAAAGUAUCAUUCCUAAAACAAUGCGACUAAUUCAUUUUAACACAAACAUUAUCUUAACAAUACCUUGGUUAAACACGUAGAAAGAACUACAAAGCAAGAUAGUACCAUUUGUAAAACACUGUAACUGAUAUAUAAUAAAAGAGACAUUAUCUGAACAAUACAUUUCUUAAACAUGUACUCCGGCCGAUCCCUAACAGAAAUGGUACUCCCGUCGAUCCCUAACAAGUGUUGCAGUUUUGAACUAAGAUUCAGUAGUUAAUUCUGAGGAAAGUCGGUACUGACCUUUCAAGACCAAGAUUUGAAACAACUCGUGAGGAAGACCUCAGAGAGAUCUCAACACAUAUAUGGAAAUCCGGUCUCAUUUUGUGCAGUUCCACCAAAAUUAAGCGAAGCAAAAUGUGGCAAUAGCAACAAGUUGAAUAGAUAUCCCUGUUUUAACAGAGGCAAAAAAGGAAUCAAUUACUGGCCAAUAAAGGAGGAUGAAACAUGCGGCCACAAAAAUGGUAAUCCCGCCAAUCCCUAACAAGUGUUGCAGUUUUGAAAUAAGAUUCAGUAGUUAAUUCUGAGAGUGGCAUUGCUUAAUUUUACCAGCGGCAUUAGAUUAACAAAAAGCAUAAACAGUUCCAGGGGAGAGUGGGCGCAACAAUAGUAUGUGCUUCCAUCUACUUAUAAAGGGGGUGAUGCAGAGUUUGUUGUAACAAAGCAACAAGCAUAAUGUCUAGAUUGGUCCCAUUUUUGUUCACUACUUAAUGGGAAAAGACAGCAAUACAAUAGCUUCAAUUCAACAUUUAUUUAAAACAGUACCAACACAAGUAGCACAGCAUCUCAAAAUACACUGCACGAUCAUGUGGAUGAAGGCAAGUACCAACCUAUCAUGACGCACACAAGAUCACGUACGAAUCUGCCAACAUGAAUAGGAAAUCUAAUCUCGUUUUGUGCAGUUACUCUGAAAUCAAGUAAAGUCGCCGGUGUGAAAUUUAAGUUUGCUAUAGCAACAAGUUGAAUAGAUAUCCCUGAUUUAACGGAGGCAAAAAAGGAAACAAUUACUGCCAAUAAAGGAGGAUGAAACAUGCGGCCACAAAAAGAAGCAUCUACCUUAUCUUGAUGGAAAACAAAGUAUAGGACAGUAGCAUUUCUAAAACGGUUGCAUUGAUUCGUAUUAACAGAGAAAAUCUCUUAAAAUAGUUUAGUAGUUAAUUCUGAGAGUGGCAUUGCUUAAAAUACAAUAGCUUCAAUUCAACAUUUAUUUAAAACAGUACCAAUACAAGUAACACAACAUCUCAAAACACACUGCACGAUCAUGUGGAUGGGACAUGGGACAUGCCAGCACCAUGUGCGUCCACACGUAUAAAUGGGUGAUGCAGAGUAUGUAGCCAAGCAGCAUAUCUGCGUUGGUCCCAUAUUUGUUCUCUUUGAAACUUUUUCCGAUGUGAGGGCAGCCAAUCUAGUCCUGCACAAACUACCCGACCCCCAAGUUUCUUUCCCUUUUCAACAAAGAGUUCGGUUCCUUACAGAUGCGUGUACUGGGUUACCCCCUUUUUCCCUUUUCGACCAACAAAGCGGUUGGAUAGCUAGUCUAUACUACUUUCCCUCCCUCCUUUCCUCAUUGAACCACGUCCUAGAUUCAUGCUCCACCCCACCGCGCCGUUCUUUCCUCUUUGAACCAAGACCUAGAUUCGACUACAGAAUCGAAAAAGAUGAGCAUGCAGCUAGACCAAUGACGGUUUCAAAGAAACUUGUACCUUAGGGUCGUCGGGAUGUGGCAAGGCAUGCGGCGGGAGGUCGGAUCUGCCCACACUACGUACAGCAGCGAGGAAGAAGGGGUCGGUGGCCCUCCCGCACAGGCGCUGGGUGAAAGAGAAAAGCACAGCCGGCAGUGGAUUGCCUCCCUCGCCGAAGGCGAUAGAGUGAAUGCUGCACCUCCUCCCCUUCCCGGUGCGACGGGAUCUGGACGCCUCCUUCGCCAGCUGUCUGUGAGGGGGGUGAGAGAGACAGAGGCCACAACGCAGUCUUGUUUAGAUCUGGUGAAGAGGGUGAGAGACAGUGAAUAUAGCAAACCCUAGCAAAGGAACGCUGAGCCUCCAGCGUGUAUAUAUAUAUGUAGUGUGGCGAGAGUGUGGAGAGUGCAAACCCUAGCGAACAAGUGCUGAGGCUCCAUCUUAUCUAUAUAUUGUAGUACGGACUGAGCUCCGGUGCCUUAACUGCACCUGCUUUUGGUUGUAUGACAGGUGGGCCAGCCACAUUUUGGGCCCACCUAUCAUAAACCCAAAGGCAGGUGCACUAAAGUCAAUGAAGCUGCGUCCAUAUAGUACUCGUGUAUACGACUAAUAUAUAGUGGAGUGGUUUUCUUAUUCUCUCCAUAACAAUCAUUUUAAAUUGUGUAAGUACGAAACAAAACUCUUUAUUUAAAGUACUAGUGAAGAAAACUACUACAAAGUUUGACUUCAGUCAAAUCUAAUAUGUGGAGUAAAUAAAAAAGGAGGGCUACUAUGUCCAUCUGGGUUUUUAGUCCACGCCAUUUUUUUUAAUCAAAGUUAAUAGCUGGACAAAUAAAAUUACAGGGGAGCUGGAGACAAAGUUGUGAGAAGGCUUAGAAAUCAAUACAAAACUUAUGCUCUUAGUACCAACGUCGAUCAUUCUUCGAGGAAACAUUUGGUUCAUAGCUAAUUGUGUGAUAAAAUUGCACCAACGUGAAAGACGACUGCGUCUCCAAUGCAACCAAGGUGAACUGACGAAGGAUAUCAUCUUUGUGGGUAACAAGCAAAGAGCACUGAUGCAAGACAGCUUGUUUUUCAUUGAAAAUCGAUCAGCUUCACCAGCCGACGCAACCAUGAGGUGCAACCAUGAGCAUCGAUAGGUCAUCAUGGUGAUGCAUCAUCCAUUUGGCAUCAAGUUUGGGUGAGGCACCUAUGAAGUUCGACAAAUCCUCACUGUGGUCUGUUUCUUCUCAGUAGUGAAGCUUGAGGAAGGAAGAACCACGUGGCAGAGGACAGUGAGGCGGAACAACAAUGGCCAUCCAAUUUUGUGCAGUUCCACUAAAAUUGAGGAAGACAUGCCCGGGUAUGGAGACACUACUAGAAAAACGGCUAUAGCUAAUAUGGACAUUAAUGGUCCACCAUGUAUGUGGUGCACCACUGCUAUAUAGUAGUGGCACACCAGAUAUAGGUACGCCAUUAUUGGCCAGAUUACUAAUGGCGCACCUGGUGUGUGGUGCGCCAUUACUAGUUUUGAAAAAAAAUAAAAAAAAUUGUUAGCAGUGGCGCACCAGGGGAUAGUGCGCCAUUACUAGUUAAACUUGUUGAAAUCUCUAGAAAGACAAAUAUUUAGGAACGGAGGGAGUACACAUACGAAGCAAAAUGAGUGAAUCUACACUCUAAAAUAUGCCCAUUUGAAAUUUGUAAAAAGACAAAUAUUUAGGAACGAAGGAGUAUAAUUUUGUGCAUGUCACAUGGACCCGGAUGCCGAAGAGGCUUCUAGCAAUGCUAUCAAGCUUCCAGCAUUUGUUUACAUAAUUGAUGUACUACACAAAUAAUUUUCCACUAACAUGAAAUUGUACAAUGGUGUGAGCUUUCAGCUUUUGUUUCGUGUGUCUUGCCAUCGAUGCUCUUUCGGAAAUAAUAAAAAACUAACUUCCUUGCUAAUCAGAGCUAAUAUUUACAUCACAACUGAAGACAAAGUUGUGAGAAGGUGUUAAAUUAAAAUUGAUCCAUGCUUUCAUUGGCAGCAACGUCCCCCCAGCUCUGUCUAAAUAAACAAGGCAUGUUGGGGAAAAAGUAGCUGUCUGGAGCAUGCAACAUUCCGAUCAUUUUGUGCAGUUCCACUAAAAUAGAGCUGAGCGUCCCUGUUCCAAAGAUAUUAAGUGUGAUUACGAUAAUAGAGGACUGCUGAUGAAACAAUAAACACACAAAUAGAAGCCGGUCAUCUUUGCAGUCUCUCUAAAGACUAACUAGUUGCAGAAGAUUAGGCUCAGAGUUGGAUGAGGAGGAUAGAGCAAAACCAAUCUCCCUUUGUGUAAUCGCACUGAAAUGUAGAGACGUUGCCCGUGUGACAUUUUGGUAGAACUACACAAAACACUCUUAAGAAAAAAGUGAUUUGUGCAGUUCACCAAAAGGUCACAAUAGCAAGGAGGUGAAAUGGAUAGCCCUGUUUGCAAAAAAGAGGUAUAGAAAGGAAACAAUUACUGGCUAGUAAUAGUUGAUGACACAUGCGACGACAAAAAAGAAGCAUAUUCCUUGUCCUAAGGGAAGAUAACAACACGGUUAUGUUUGUCUAAAACGGUGUGAGGACGAGAUUGCAAUAUGGAAAGUACACCGGACGAGCUACGUUUUGGGCAAAGAACUAUGGAAGAUCCACAUGCAGCGACGUGGGAAGACGGGCAGUGGAGCAAGGCCGGAGGGGAUACCUGGAGGUCGUCGGGAUGUAAGUAGGUGAGCGACGGCGGGCGGAAUCUGCCCGUACUGCGGCAGCGAGUAGGUGGCGUAGGCCCUACCACGCCGGACCUUGGUCAGAGAGAACAGCGUGUACCGCAGAUCGGGACGUGCUGCCUCGGCGCCGUCGAACGGAGAAACGAUGCAUGUCCUCCCUUUCCGCCGGCGGACGGGAUGCGGCCGGAUCAGUGACCAACGGUGAGAGAGAGAGAGAGGCCACCGCAGCCUUGUGUGAGAUACUCUGAAGAGAGACAAACCAGGCAGGCUCCAUUGUAUAUAGUGGAGCGGACUACCUUUUUCUCCAUAAAAAUCAUUUUAUAUUCUGUGUACGUGCCAUUGAGCGAUAUAACUUUAUUUAAAAAUAACGCGCCAACGCAUCAAGUCGAACUUUGUUUCGUGCACGCGUGGUACACGACCUCUGUAGGUAAACAACCGCUACAUGCGUUCAAAUUAGCACGUGGGCUGCCAUUUCCGUACAUAAAUGAGCUCCACCGUGUACCCGCGCGGGUGUGGCUGGACACGAAGCGUGAGUACGUGCACGGUGCACCUAUUCUCUUCUUGUGUACGUACACCACCUACGUGGGGUUAUGUGAGAGAGAUACAAACGUAGAGAGAUAUAGUGUGUGGGUUCGUGAGAGUUUUUGGGGGGGUUGGGUCAACCAAAAAGUGUAACAUAUGCAAUGUGUGUGAAAUAGAGUCCUGGAUAUAUCAUAUAUAUAGAGGGGGCGAUCCACAAGAAGAGGGUGGAGGUUUCAUCGGCUUGAGGUGUCCAUAGAAUCCAAGAGAGGGAUGAUGUGUGUGUGUGUGCGCGCGCGAUCGAUAAAGAGAGCCAUCGAAUUUGUGUGUGCCCACGUCAAAGAUAUAGAGUGGCUGGCCUACUGGAACGUGAGAGGGGACAGGUGCAGUUUGUCUCUGUGGCAUGGAUACCUACCUACAGCGCUCGACUAUCGGUGUGUGGUGGGGGGAGGGAAGUCUAAUUAACUAUAGAGGUACAAUGGCUGGUAUAUGUGUGGAGGAGGAGAGAGGCCUACCUCAUGUAUUAAGGGAGAUCGAUCUACCUCAUGUAUUAAGGGAGAUCGAUCGGCAUCCAUGCAUAUGUGUAGCAGAGGAAUAAGGUUGGGAGAGAGACAGAGCUAGAGUGUUGGAGGGGUGGUAGUGGAGUUGCUUCUAACAAAUGGUGGGAUAGGCUUGCAAGACAACCGGAGGGCACGCCUGCAAUAUCAAUAAGAGAGGGGAUGGCUGCCUGUCUGUGCACGUGCGUGUGAGAGACGGAUCAGGAGGCAUGCACGAAUGAUGAGGGGGGCGAUAUGGCUGUGGUAAGCAGACAUAACUACAUAGGAAGAUCAAUCGUCCUUUGUCAAAGAAAGGAGAGACAUAACUUGUGAGGUACGUCGAUCGAUGGGGGGGAUAGUUAAAGUCGACCUAGGUAUAUGUUGGGAGAUCGAUCGGUAUACAUGCAUGUGUGUGUUAGAAGCAAAUGAGGCACGGGGAGAAGGAUAGAGAGAGAGGGAUGCAUCUAGGAGGUGGUGCGAGGGUCAUACUAUAUCGUGGGGGGAGGAGUGUGCGAGUACGAGAUCGAUGAAAAGAGUGGUGGGAGUGAGGCACGGACGGUGAUAAGAGAAGAGGGGAAGCUUGUGUUUUGUGCUAGGAACACCUGGCUAGAGAGGCAUAUCGAUCGAUGUGUGCCGUAAAGAAGGAGCUGGGGGCCUACACACACCAUGGGUGAACGACCUAAAGUGAAAAGACAAAUUUGCGCGAUGGAGCUAGAGAAUGCUGAGGGAGGGUGAGAGGGAUGCGGGCGUGUGCAUGCACGAGAGAAAGUUAGCGCUAGCUAGCUACAAAGAUAAGAGGAUUGUGUGGGUGUAAAAGACGAAUAGAGAUCAUACUUCAUUAUAAAAAGCGAAUUCGGAUAUUUGAAGAAUUUAUCAUAGUGUUUUAAACCGACGCAUGUGUGAAUAUAUAUAUAACGGUGAUACACGUGGUGUGGUUAUGAACAUGUUAUACUACAUAUAAUAUAUUUUAUCUCUACUCUUAUAAAAAACGAAGUUGUUGAUGAUGGUGCCAUCCUACAAUAUAGGUCGUCCGAUUUAUAUCUGACAGAUAGGAAGGAAACUAUGGCAAUUUUGAAAAUAUAUACCCACACCCCUCUCCAUAUUUGCAAAUUAGGCCUCCCCUUGAUCAUGUUGAUGUUCUGUGGAAUGCAUGGGCAUCUUGCUAGUACUACGUAUAACAUAUAGUACAUUGAUCAUAAUUUGGGCUAAUGUGGGACUUUUGCAGCUCAGGUAUAAAUACUUGUCAUAAUGUAGGGGGCGAGGCACUAUACUAUGUGUGAUAAACACGGUGUACACGUAUGGAACAUGGUUUAGAUUAUGAAUAUGUAGUUAGUACAUCAAAUGUACUAUUAUUUGGAAUCAACAUCAAGUGUAUUCAAAAAAUAGAAUUCGAGUUCAUGUAGUACACAUAGUUCAUAUCUAUCUCUAUAGUAAUCAUGUGGGGUGUUAUUAAGGUAAUACAUGAAUGAUGGUUGAAGUUGGCAACAAUCAUGAUUGUAGAUUGUUAUUGAUAUAGAGAAACGAAUUCAAAUUCAGUUCGAAUUGCAACGGUAGUAGACAUUUGGAAUGCACUAAAAUGUUGGUAUGAGUAGGUUACAUGCAUUAUACAGCAAGCGAAAAAAAUUAAUUGGACAUAACAUGGAUUCAUACUACCGAAUAGCAUUUAAUUGCACUAAAUUGUUGGUAUGAGUAGCUUUAAAUAGCAUUUUUAUAGUAAAACGGGGCAAGACUCUCUCUUUGUCUGGUGUGAAUAGUUUUAUUUUUUUCGUUUUCUUUUUGGUUGAGGGAAGUGUGAAUUGAUUUGGUACGUACAAGUACAAUAUUACACGUUAGGCUUGUCCCUAAAAUUCAACCCGCGCCUUGUUAUAUCCCGAAAAUUCAGAUAUCGUGCUCCCAAAACUGGCGCCUUCACAACCCGCGCCUUGCUAUCCCGAAAUUACAACGCGCGUGAAAACUCCCUCCAGCUGCGAAAUCCCGACACGCGAAAUCCCCCUUCUAACCCUGAGCCGAAAGGGCCGCUAGUUCAAAUCGGUGGGGGGUACUUUUGUAACACACCCGACAUUUUGGACAAGCGCGUCCCUAAGUCAUGGUUCACCCCCUCCCAUCGCCUCCUUUUCGCCAUUUGAAAUCCCAGGCCGCCAUAACCUCUCCGCUCCAGCCGCGAAACCCCACCCUCCUCCGUCCACCACCUCACCGCUGCCCAGCCGGAGUCUCUUCCCCGACGACGUCGUCCACCGCAACAGCUCGACGUCCCUCGUCCACCUCCCCGAAUGAGGAUCCAUCAUCCAUCUCGUCGUCCCGCCGGUUUAGCCGCCCCGUCCUCCACCUCCAGGGAGCUGCUCCGACGAUCACCUCGUCUAUCGCAGCUGCUCCAUCCCCACAGCGCCGCCUUAACAUGCUCCACCGGAACCGCCGCAUCCUCACCGACUCCUCGGACGAAGCCGAGGCCUACUCGGCGCCACCAAAGAGGUUACACACUCAUCGCAUCGCACCUUCUCCUUAGCUCGACCUCCCGGCGCCGACGGUGCUCCACCCCGCACCCCCAUGGAGCGGCUACCUUGAAGCCGGCGCCGCGGGCGACAUCUCCACGGCGGCUCUCCACCACUGUGAGGCCCCUUCGGCGGCGGCGGCCAUACAAGCCGGAUCUGCUGCUCCUGCUCCGGCUCUCGCUCGCUCGCUCGCUCGCGCUACUGCUGCUGCUCUGGCUCUCGCUCGAUCGCUCGCUCGCCCAUCUGUUGCUGCUCCGGCUCUCGCUCGAUCGCUCGCUCGCCUAGCUGCUGCUGCUCCAGCUAUCGCUCGCUCGCGCUACUGCUGCUGCUCUCCCCCUCGCACGUGCUGCUGCUCUCCUCCGAUUUAGCUACACUUUAGUCGACUAAAUCGACUUUUGGGUCAGUCGAUUUUCAGGGGGUGGGGGGCUCGCCGGAGUUAAGGAAGAACCACCCGCAGCGAGGACGGGGGCUCGCCGGAGAGGUACCCCACUAUCUAUCUUAGGGUUCAGGGUGGGGGCGGGGGCCUAUAGGGCUGGCCGGGGCGGCAGCGGACCGGUGGUAGGGAGUUGUUUCGGGGCGGCGAGGCGGCGCUAGGGCCGGUGGUGGCUAGCGGCUCAGGGGGGUGCAGGUUGAAGAUGAACUACAGGCCCUCCCUAAACUACAUGUCAAGUGCCUCUUUGCUACCAUUGCGUUCAGUUUCGACAGUAACAUUCAGAUUCCACAAUAAAUUUCAGUUUCGACAGUUAAGUUCAGAGUCAACAGUUUUUACCUCAUCUGUUGUAGUCAGGUGGUUUUUGGUGAUGUAAAUUUUACAUCUAUUUUACAUCAUCUAUUGGAGAUGCUAUUAGAAUCCCACUUGAGAUUGACGAUGUUUGUCUUGUGCUGCUUCAGCCUUGACGUCUUACGGCUCACCGGGGCUGCUCCAACGACAGAACGAUCCAUCACAACAGAGCAGUGCCCUGGACGCCGUCUACAGAUUCCUUAGAUCUUCCUCCACACCUCCGACAGCCACCUUUGCCUCAACUGCUUCAGCGACCAACCCAAUGAUGCUGAGGUCUACACGGCUACGGCAAAGACGUUGUACACUUGUUGCAUCACUUAUUACUAUACAUUCAUGUCGAUCCAUUAGGGCUAUUUUGGUUCGACGGAAAAACAUAGCAAUAGGGAAUUUUCCAAUGGCACUCUACUAUUCAAUUAUUCAUGUAGUUUGUUGAAAGAAAUGAAGCAAAACAUCCACCUGGACCUACUUUUCAAAAUCCUAUGCAUGAAAACAAGACCAAGUGCACUAGUGGCAGAAUGACAUUCUAACUGUACACGCUUUCAUAUGGUUUCACUUUAUUUUGGCCAUGUUUCUUUGCAUUCCUCUGCUCUUCCAAUUCCUGUAAACCAAACACUCAAGUUGACAGAAAUCCUGUGUUUACAAAUGCUCUGUUUACCAUGUGCAUUCCUAUCCUAUUCCGGUGUUUUUCCUAUCCCUGCGUUUUUUGAAUCAUGCAAGCCAAAUGAGCCCUUACAGAAUUACUUCAGUUACAGGUAGGUGUCGAAGGGAACUUUGUGUGGUUUGUCCUGCUCCUGCCGCGACGUCGUCCACCUCAACUGAGCUGCUCCAUCGACAGAAAAAUCCACCAAACCAGACAUCACAACUCCUGACCAUCUUUCGCCGCCUCAGAUCUCCUUCCCUGCUGCCGGCACCCACCGCAAUGGCAUCAGCAUCAUCGACUCAGGAGAUGAACCUGAGGAGUACACGGGUCCACAAGAGAGGUCGCACUCUUUUAUUUCUUCUUAUGUUAUGCAUUGCUUAAAAUUACCUGGUACUUUAUCGUCCUGUUCACCUCUUGGACUCCAAGUCAGGUCCAAAUUAAUGUUCAAACUUGAGUUCUAAAUUAGUUGUGGGGCACAUAUCGACGAAGCAAUGAAUAGUAUCUCUAUCUAAUAUCUGGUUCACCUAGGGUAUGCCUAUGUUGUUCAUCUUGGGUGGGAAACAAAUAGUAAAGCAAUCAUCAUCUGUCUUUUUAUUAAAUUAAAGCAAUCAUCAGCCUGCUAUCAUUAUUUUUGGAUCCAUCCACUGGUUGUUACCAUCACUCUAAAUUUCUCCAUGCUUUCCUUACAUAAUCUCAGCAUAUUUUUUCCGUAUGCAUGUCAGAUAUUGUACACAGUCAUGCUGAACAUGUAGAGAAAAAGAGAAGAGUUUUGCGCGGCAAUACAAUGUCAUGUAGACAUCGCUCCAUGGUGGGUUCAAUGGCAAACCCUCCCCACCCCUCUCCAGAUUGUAAUCUAGAGGAACAUAUAUGUUCUGAGGCGGAUUCAGACGCCGCUGACCACUCCUAUUUACCCCCCAAGGUGUUUGCUCUACCUUGGCAUGAUGAUGUUAGUCAUAUCAUGCAUAUGUUGCCUUGCAGUGCCUACUUUUGACAUCAUAUAUGUCAUCUGCUUAGUUUAGACAUGUUCUGUCGCCACCUGUUUAGUUUCUAUAUCAUAUAUGGGAAUUAUGCAGUCUCAUGUCUUUUAGCCAUCCAUAAUAUAUGUGAAAUGUGCAAUGCCAUCCUGUUUAACCAGGCAUCAUAUAUUUGAAUGAUAUCUUGCCCAUCCUUUUCUUCAUUACAUUUCCAUUUGUCGACAAUAUUUGUACAUUAAACUACUCUUCCUGUGAAUCAGCCAUUUGGGUGGGAGAUUGAAAAAUCUGGAGUGAAAACAAGGCCUUCAGAGCAGACAGUGCUACCUGUUGAAGCAGAUCUCUUGUUGGGUCCCGAUAGCUCCUCAGAGAUGGAUUCAGAGACAGAUGACCAGUCUUAUUUCCCCACCGAGGUGUAUGCUCUAACUUGGCACGGCGUUUUAGUUAUUCAUCAUAUCUUUGAAUUAUGUUAUGCUAUGCUAUCCAGUUUAGAUAGACAUCAUAUAUGUGAAAUUAUGUCAUGCUAUCCGUUUUAGUUAAACAAUAUACAUGUCAACUACUUCAUGUCCUCUUUAUUCCACACUAUCUAUUGCAUCUUUCUCUCAUACAAUGUCUGUACAUUCAACUAUGUUUCCUGUUUAUCAGCCAUUUGAAUUGGAGCGGGUGAUGCCAGCAUCUAGCGGACUAAAAACACGGUCUUCAAAUAAAACAGUGCUACCUCUUGGUGGAGAUAGCACCCUGGUUGUACAUGCACGAGAACCAGCCCUACCACACAUAACCCAAACUCUCGCAGAUUGUACCCCUACUACGAUGGACAGAGAACCAGCUUCACCCAAUCUAACCCCAAUCCCAGCAGAUAGUAACCCAGUUCCUGUUGACACAGCACCAUCUCCACCACAGAGCUCCCAAACAAGAGCAGUUAGUAAGGCAGCUCCAGUGCCCAAAGGGCCAGUACUACCAUGGCGAACCCCAAUUCCACCAGUUAGUACGCCUAUUCUUGUGGAGGAAGCACAACCAGCUAGUCAUACUUUAGCAUCUAUCGCAUUUGAUGUUGUUAAAUCGUAUGUGCGUAUCUUCCCAUCUUGGAAAUAUUAUACUGAAGAUGACGGAAAAUGCUAGUUGCAGGUGUUUGUCCAGGAGUUAUGUGUAAGUAAUGUUAUUCAUGGCAAUUACUUUACUUUGUCCCAUACAUCCUACCUCCAUGAUGGUUAUAAUACAACAAAUUUUCCCAUUUUUCUCUAUAGAGAAGGAACGAUUUGGAAACUCAGGAUGAGGUAACCUGUGCUAAUACCUCUGCUAUCUUCAAGAAUGCUUGGUGGCAGUAUCGGAAUUACCUGAAGAAACCGUACUUCACCGGCAAAGAAACUCAUCAAAUUCCCUUACGUUCUCCUGAGACACAUUUACUGGACGAUGACUGGGAACGCCUUGUUCUGUACUGGUCCUGAACCAAGAAUGAGGUAAGGUCUAUGAGCUCAUUUUCUAUUUUUAAGUACUAUAUUCUUGCGUCUUACUGUACUCUGUUCAUGUAGAACAAGUGCCUAAACCUGAAGACCAACUGUUCUAAUUUAAGAUUCCAUUGCUAUCAUAGUUCCAAAAAGUGCUAGGAGUUAAUUGUGCGUUUUGCCACCGCCUUGUGCUUUACUGACCAAAGCACAUGCUUAUGCACAGUUAUGCACAGAUUAAGCAUAGUUAUGCGCAAUGCGUUUCGCCAACGCCUAGAGCCUAGGCGCGCUUAAGCGCUUGCUUAGGCGCGCCUUUUUUAACUAUGAUUGCUAUCGUGCAUACUGCUUUGCUCUUGUAUCACUGUAUUUUUUCAUACAAACUUAUUUUUAAAUUGAAAGAUCCAAUCGAAGCUCCAAUGGCACAGCAGGUAUGUUCGUGCAUGUUUCUUUAACAGGCUUGCUCUUAUCAAUAGCUCUGUUGAUUUCAAUUUCAAUUGUGUAUACAUUUGACUUCUCAUAUCAUGCACAUUACUAGCAUCACAACAAAGCAAAUAGUGUUGUUGUACAUGUAGACCCAUGGUACCCAUCUGAAAUCUUUUUGUGCCGUGUAGUUUCCCACGCUUUGUAUUCUUUCACUGCUGCUUUGUCUUGAACUGAUAUGAUUUGAACUGUGUCUCUAUUUUGAUUUGGCAAGACAAUUAAGUGACCAUAGUACAUAUAUAUGUGUGUGUGUGUGUGUGUGUGUGUGUGUGUGUGUUUGUUUGAUGCUUUUAUUAUGUACUAGUACUUGGCAAUAGAAGACUUGGUAGUUUAAUCCUGUCCACCUUACUAAUGAACUGGUUCACCGAAAUGAGUUUCAUAUACUAGUACAUGCUAAACUGUUAUGUGUCUGCUUGUUCCUUCUUUUAGAAUGCUGACAGAAUAUUGGGGAAGAGUGCCUUAUUAAGCAAUGGUAAAGGAAGUAAUGCAGAUAAGGUUCAGGAUAGUGACACAUCCUUGUUAGUCUCCAACAAAGCUGAUAAAACAGCUAAGGAAGACUAUCUCAAAGACAGUGAGACAACCCCAAAGUCAUGUCUUGGUUUAGUGUUGGAGUUACUGGUCACUACCGCUUGCACAAGCUAUUCAAACUCAUUGUCUGAAUCAGUUCGGUUUCUUGAGUCUCAACUACAAGCUGAAAGACAUCGAUCAGCUGUGCUGCGACAAGAAGUGGAAGGACUGCAGAAGUCCCUGGAGCAUUCAGAUGCAUACUUUCUGGUGCAACAGCAAGCAUUGGAGGAUUUUAGCGCCAAACAGGACAAAGCUAAUAAGCUUGCUAAGCUUAUUGCCAGCAUGGUGGAUACCACGUUUCUUGAGCUCUUCUGAAGUUGUUCCAGUUAUGCUCUUGUUUUGCUGCCGCGUUUAUUUGCACUAGUGGCCAAUUUUGAUGGCCAGUUAUGUAAUAUGCUGCUUUGUUCCCUAUAUUUGCAUUGGUGGCGAACUUUGAUGCCCAGUGGAUGUAAUAUGUGUAAUAGCGGUAAUAGGCUAGCGUUAAUUGCUUGCUCAUUUAUUUCCUUAUUGUCUUGUUUAGUUGUUUGCUUGUACUCACUGCAGUUCUUUUUCUGUGUUUUUCUAGUGGCCACAAUAACCUAUCUUUGGAAACUAGGCCAAAAUAAUCAUGGCAACACACGGACUGUUGUAACCAUGGGCCUCCUGCGGGCCGUAUGAUCCAUGGGCCUUCUACGGGCCGUAGGAUCCAUUGGCCUUCUAUACGGGCCAUAGGAUCCAUGGGCCUUCUAAGGGCCGUAUGAUUCAUGGGCCUUUUACGGGCCGUAGGAUCCAUGGGCCUUCUACGGGGCAUAUCAUCAUUUCGCCAAUCAUGGGCCAUACUAUUCGUGGAUAAUAACGGGCCAUUAAUAGGCCGUAUUUGAUAACUCUAUGAAAAAUAGCCCAACGGGUUUUUUUACAUGAAAACGGCCCAAAGUAUUAUCGAACCACAAAUGGGCCGACUGUAACCACUGGCUGAAUUUGGCCUACAAGCAGAAAAUUACAGUAACGGGCCGUAAGUAAACGAAUGUGGAAAUGAGCCCAAGAAUAAAUGGGCCCCGAGAAGGCCGAAAGAUAACAUGGGCUGGAAACGGCCCAACGGAAUAAUGGGUCGUUAAUGGGUAUAAAGUGAUACACUAUUCAUUACGGCCCAGUUUCACCACGUGUCGUUAAUGGGUAUAAAGUGAUACACUGUUCAUUACGGGCCAGUUUUACCACGGGCCGUUAAUGGGCCAAGAUUAAUAAGGGCCUCAUAUGGGCCGAAAUACGUCAUGGGCCGGAAGUUAAAACGGGCUGGAAUUAUAUUGGACAGCCCAGAUGACGCUACUGGGCCUAAUUCGGAUAGAACGUAAAUGGGCCCUGGGUUAGCAGGCUGUAAAUGGGCUAUAUGCGAACAGGUCGUUCACAGGCUUGCCAUGAGCUGGCCCGCCACCUUUUGACCAAGUCAAAUGGGCCGGCCUUUUCACAGGAAUGGGCCUCUGUUGGGUCGUGCCACGUGUCGAUGUAUCAUAGGCUCUUUGGGUCCAAUGAGUGGAUGACAUCUGUCCCAAUGUUGAGCCGACACGUAUUUCCUCCAGCCAAUGAUGAUUUUACACAUGGAAAUCCCCAUUGGUCGGGGCUGUUAACGGGUUAUCGGAUCCAAAACCGGACCCGAUACCUUAAUAGUGUUCUGUUACGGUGGAUGCCACGUGUCGGUCACCCUUGACGAAAGCACUUCUGUGACGCGCGAUUUAUCGUCAUGGAAGUGGACACUUCCGUCAUGAUAAUUUUGGUAAUGUCAUGGAACACUUCAACGACAGCACAGGUAUGACUAUCUUGAUUCUGUCAUAAAUUUGUCAUGGAUGUACAUGCAUGACAGAAAACAUGACCUACUGUGACAAACACGUAUCAUCACGGAAGUGUAUUUUUUUUAGUGCUCAUUUUCCGCGCGGGGGACAUGGAGGAACUCGCAGCCUGCGAAGAAUCCGGACAGCGUCUGGACGAGGAAGCGGUAGCUUGCCAUGUUGGAGUCGUGGGCGUCCCACUCGCCAGAGCACUGCUGCACCACCAGGUCCGAGUCGCCAAAGCACAGGAUGCGCCGGAUGCCGAGUUCCUUGGCAAGCCGGAGGCCGUGCACAAGGGCUUCGUACUCGGCGACGUUGUUGGAGGCGGUGAAGUGGAUCUGCGGUCCGUACUCGAGCCGGUCGCCCUUCGGAGAGGACAACACAAUUCCGGCCCCUAGGCCGAGUCGCAUCUUCGAGCCGUCAAAGUGCAUGCGCCAGUGCGUCGAGUCUGGUGGUGCCGGCAGGUACUGGGUCUCGGUCUAGUCGACGAGGAAGUCGUCCAAAGCUUGGGACUUGAUCAUAGUGCGGGGCUCGUAGAGGAUGGUGUGGCCGGCUAGCUCGAGCACCCACUUGGCGACCCGGAAGGAAGCAUCCCGGCACCCGACGAUUUCGCCGGGGGGGCAUGCUGACCACGGUAACAACGUCCUCUUGGAAGUACUGCUUCAGUUUCUUGGCGGUGAAGUACAUGUCGUAACACAUACUACAAAAAAAUACACUUCCGUGAUGAUACAUGUUUGUCACAGUAGGUCGCGUUUUUUGUCAUGCAUGUACAUCCAUGAUGAUUUUAUGACAGAACCAAGAUAGUCAUACCUGUGCUGUCAUAGAAGUGUUCCAUGACAUUACCAAAAUUAUCAUCACGGAAGUGUCCACUUCCAUGACGAUAAAUCGCGCGUCACAGAAGUGCUUUCGUCAAGGGUGACCGACACGUGGCAUCCACCGUAACGGAACGCCGUUAAGCUAUCGGGUCGGGUUUUGGAUCCGAUAACCCAUUAACAGCCCCGACCAAUGGGGAUUUUCCACGUGUAAAAUCAUCAUUGGCUGGAGGAAACACGUGUCGGCUCACCGUUGGGACAGAUGUCAUCUGCUCAUUGGACCGAAGGCGCCUAUGAUACGGCGACACGUGGCACAGCCCAACAGAGGCCCAUUCCUGUGAAAAGGCCGGCCCGUUUGACUUGGUCAAAAGGUGGCGGGCCGGCCCACGGAAAGCCUGUUAACAGCCUGUUCGCAUAUAGCCCGUUUACAGCCCGCUAACCCAGGGCCCGUUACGCCCUAUCCGAAUUAGGCCCAGUAGCGUCAUCUGGGCCGUCCAAUAUGAUUCAGCCCAUUUUAACUUCCGGCCCAUGUGUGGCCCAUGACUUCUUUUGGCCCAUAUGAGGACCUUUGUAACUCCUGGCCAACUAACGGCCCGUGGUGAAACUGGCCCGUAAUGAACAGUGUAUCACUUUAUACCCAUUAACGGCCCGUUAUUCCAUUGGGCUGUUUCCAGCCUAAUUUAUCUUUCGGCCUUCUCAGGGCCCAUUGAUUCUUGGGCUCAUUUGCAGCAUUUGGUUACAUAUAGCCCGUUACUGUCAUUUUCUGCUUGUGGGCCAAAUUCAGCCUGUCGUUAUAGUCGGCCUGUUUGCGGACCGUUAAUACGUUGGGCCAUUUUCAUGUCAAAAAAACCUGUUGGGCUGUUUUCAUAGAGUUAUCAAAUACGGCCUAUUAACGGCCCGUUAUGGUCCAUGAAUAGUACGGCCCAUGAUUGGCGAAAUGAUGAUACGCCCCGUAGAAGGCCCAUGGAUCCUACAGCCCGUAUGAGGCCCAUGGAUAGUACGGCCCGUAGAAGGCCCAUGGAUCGUACGGCCCAUAGAAGGCCCAUGGACCCGACGGCCCGUAGAAGGCCCAUGGACCCUAAGGCCCGUAUAGAAGGUCGAUGGAUCCUACAGCCGAACGAAGGCCCAUGGAUCAUACGGCCUGCAGGAGGCCCAUGGUUACAACACUCCGUGUGUUGCCAUGAUUAUUUUGGCCUAGUUACCAAAAAUAGGCUAUUGUGGCCACUAGAAAAAACAGAAAAAGAACUGCAGUGACUACAAGCAAACAACUAAACAAGACAAUAAGGAAAUAAAUAAGCAAGCAAUUAACGCUAGCCUAUUACCGCUAUUACACAUAUUACAUCCACUAGGCAUCAAAGUUCGCCACCAGUGCAAAUAUAGGGAACAAAGCAGCACAUUACAUACACUGGCCGUCAAAAUUGGCCACCAGUGCAAAUAAACGCGGCAGCAAAACAAGAGCAUAACUGAAACAACUUCAGAAGAGCUCAAGAAACGUUAUCCUGGGUAUCCACCAUGCUGGCAAUAAGCUUAGCAAGCUGAUUAGCUUUGUCCUGUUUGGCGCUAAAAUCCUCCAACGCUUGCUGUUGCACAAGAAAGUAUGCAUCUGAAUGCUCCAGGGACUUCCGCAGUCCUUCCGUUUCUUGUCGCAGCACAGCUGAUCGAUGUCUUUCAGCUUGUAGUUGAGACUCAAGAAACCGAACUGAUUCAGACAGUGAGUUUGAAUAGCUUGUGCAAGCGGUAGUGGCCAGUAACUCGAACACUAAACCAAGACAGGACUUUGGGGUUGUCUCGCUGUCUUCAAGAUAGUCUUCCUUAGCUGUUUUAUCAGCUUUGUUGCAGACCAACAAGGAUGUGUCACUAUCCUGAACCUUAUCUGCAUUACUUCCUUUACCAUUGCUUAAUAAGGCACUCUUCCCCAAUAUUCUGUCAGCAUUCUAAAAGAAGAAACAAGCAGACACAUAACAAGUUUAGCAUGUACUAGUAUAUGAAACUCAUUUCGGUGAACCAGUUCAUUAGUAAGGUGGACAGGAUUAAACUACCAAGUCUUCUAUUGCCAAGUACUAGUACAUAAUAAAAGCAUCAAACAAACAUAUAUCUAUGUCCUAUGGUCACUGCAUUCUCUUGCCAAAUCAAAAUAGAGACACGGUUCAAAUCAUAUCAGUUCAAGACAAAGCAGCAGUGAAAGAAUACAAAGCGUGGGAAACUACACGGCACAACAAGAUUUCAGAUGGGUACCAUGGGUCUACAUGUACAGCAACACUAUUGGCUCUGUUGUGAUGCUAGUAAUGUGCAUGAUAUGAAAGUCAACUGUAUACACAAUUGAAAUUGAAAUCAACAGAGCUAUUGAUAAGAGCGAACCUGUUAAAGAAACAUGCAUGAACAUACCUGCUGUGCCAUUGGAGUUUUGAUUGGAUCCUUCAAUUUAAAAAUAAGUUUGUAUGAGUAAAUACAGUGAUACAAGAGCAAAGCAAUCAUAGUUAAAAAAGGCGCGCCUAAGCGAGCGCUUAAGCGCGCCUAGGCUCUAGGCAUUGGCAAAACGCAUUGCGCAUAACUACGCAUAAUCUGUGCAUAACUGCACAUAAGCAUGCGCUUUGGUCAGUAAAGCGCAAGGCGGUGGCAAAACGCACAAUUAACGCCUAGCUCUUUUUUGAACUAUGAUAGCAAUGGAAUCUUAAAUUAGAACAAUUGUUCUUCAGGUUUAGGCACUUGUUCUACAUGAACAGAGUACAGUAAGACGCAAGAAUAUAAUACUUAAAAAUAGAAAAUGAGCUCAUAGACCUUACCACAUUCUUGGUUCGGGACCAGUACAGAACAAGGCGUUCCUAGUCAUUGUCCAGUAAAUGUGUCUCAGGAGAAUGUAAGGGAAUUUGAUGAGUUUCUUUGCCGGUGAAGUACGUUUUCUUCAGGUAAUUCUGAUACUGCCACCAAGCAUUCUUGAAGAUAGCAGAGGUAUUAGCACAGGUUACCUCAUCCUGAGUUUCCAAAUCGGUCCUUCUCUAUAGAGAAAAAUGGGAAAAUUUGUUGUAUUAUAACCAUCAUGGAGGUAGGAUGUAUGGGACGAAGCAAAGUAAUUGCCAUGAAUAACAUUACUUACACAUAACUCCUGGACAAACACCUGCAACUGGCAUUUUUCUUCAUCUUCAGUAUAAUAUUUCCAAGAUGGGAAGAUACGCACAUAUGAUUUAACAACAUCAAAUGUGAUAGAUGCUAAACUACAACUAGCUGGUUAUGCUUCCUCCACAGGAAUAGGCGUACUAACUGGUGGAGUUGGGGUUCGCCGUGAUAGUACUGGCCCUUUGGGCCCUGGAGUUGCCUUACUAACUGCUCUUGUUUGGGAGCUCUGUGGUGGAGAUGGUGCUGUGUCAACAGGAACUGGGUUACUAUCGGCUGGGGUUGGGGUUAGAUUGGGUGAAGCUGGUUCUCUGUCCAUCGCAGUAGGGGUACAAUCUGCGAGAGUUUGGGUUAUGUGUGGUAGGGCUGGUUCUUGUGCAUGUACAACCGGGGUGCUAUCUCCAACAAGAGGUAGCACUGUUUUAUUUGAAGAUCGUGUUUUUAGUCCGCUAGAUACUGGCAUCACCCGCUCCAAUUCAAAUGGCUGAUAAACAGGAAACAUAGUUGAAUGUACAUACAUUGUAUGAGAGACAGAUGCAAUAGAUAGUGUGGAAAAAAGAGGGCAUGAAAUAGUUGACAUGUAUAUUGUUUAACUAAAACGGAUAGCAUGACAUAAUUUCACAUAUAUGAUGUCUAUCUAAACCGGAUAGCAUAGCAUAACAUAAUUCAAAGAUAUGAUGAAUAACUAAACAGGAUCGCAUGACAUAAUUCACCUACAUGUUAUCUAAGUAAUCAGGAUCGCAUCAUUUAGUUCACAUAUGUGAUUUAUAUGCUAAACAGAGGGCAUUUGAUAUGAUGUCUGAACUAAGAACAUGGUGUUGAAUAUUGUGUAUAUGAUGUCUAAACUAUGCAAUGCAAGACACCGUAUGCAUGAUAUGAGCAGUAUAACCGUGCCAAGUUAGAGCAUACACCUCAGUGGGGGAAUCGGACUGGUCAUCUGUCUCUGAAUCCAUCUCUGAGGAGCUAUCGGGACCCAACAAGAGAUCUACUUCGAGAGGUAGCACUGUCUGCUCUGAAGGCCUUGUUUUCACUCCAGAUUUUUCCAUCUCCCACCCAAAUGGUUGAUUCACAGGAAGAGUAGUUUAAUGUACAAACAUUUUUGACAAAUGGAAAUGUAAUGAAGAAAAGGAUGGGCAAGAUAUCAUUCAAAUAUAUGAUGCCUGGUUAAACAGGAUGGCAUUGCACAUUUCACAUAUAUUAUGGCUAGCUAAAAGACAUGAGACUGCAUAAUUCCCAUAUAUGAUAUAGAAACUAAACAGGUGGCAUUACAGAACAUGUCUAAACUAAGCAGAUGACAUAUAUGAUGUCAAAAGUAGGCACUGCAAGGCAACAUGUGCAUGAUAUGACUAACAUCAUCAUGCCAAGGUAGAGCAAACACCUUGGGGGGUAAAUAGGAGUGGUUAGCGGCGUCUGAAUCCACCUUAGAAUAGAUAUCUUCCUCUGGAUUACAAUCUGGAGAGGCGUGGGGAGGGUUUGCCAUUGAACCCACCAUGGAGCGAUGUCUGCAUGACAUUGUAUUGCCGCGCAAAACUCUUCUCUUUUUCUCUACAUGUUCAGCAUGACUGUGUACAAUAUCUGACAUGCAUACGAAAAAAAUAUGGUGAGAUUAUGUAAGGAGAGCAUGCAGAAAUUUAGAGUGAUGGUAACAACCAGUGGAUCGACGUUUUUCCGUUGAACCAAAAUAGCCCUAAUGGAUCGACGUGAAUGUAUAGUAAUAAGUGAUGCAACAAGUGUACAACCUCUUUGCCGUAGCCGUGUCGACCUCAGCAUCAUUGGGUUGGUCGCUGAAGUAGUUGAGGCAGAGGUGGCUGUCGGAGGUGUGGAGGAAGAUCUGAGGAAUCUGUAGACGGCGUCCAGGGCACUGCUCUGUUGUCAUGGAUCGCUCUGUCGUUGGAGAAGCUCUGGUGAGCCGUAAGAUGUCAAGGCUGAAGCAGCACAAGACAGACAUCGUCAAUCUCAAGUGGGAUUCUAAUAGCAUCUCCAAUAGAUGAUGUAAAAUGGAUGUAAAAUUAACAUCACCAAAAACCACCUGACUACAACAGAUGAGGUAAAAACUGUUGACUCUGAACUUAACUGUCGAAACUGAAAUUUACUGUGGAAUCUGAAUGCUACUGUCGAAACUGAACGCAAUGGUAGCAGAGAGGCACUUGACAUGUAGUUUAGGGAGGGCCUGCAGUUCAUCUUCAACCUGCACCCCCCUGAGCCGCCAGCCACCACCGGCCGAACCGCCGGCCCCAGCGCCGCCUCGCCGCCCCGAAACAACUCGCCACCGCCGCCCCGGCCAGCCCUCUAGGCCCCCCNNNNNNNNNNNNNNNNNNNNNNNNNNNNNNNNNNNNNNNNNNNNNNNNNNNNNNNNNNNNNNNNNNNNNNNNNNNNNNNNNNNNNNNNNNNNNNNNNNNNNNNNNNNNNNNNNNNNNNNNNNNNNNNNNNNNNNNNNNNNNNNNNNNNNNNNNNNNNNNNNNNNNNNNNAGUCGAUUCAGUCGACUGAAGUGUGGCUUAAUCGGAGCAGAGCAGCAGCACGAGCAAGGGGGAGAGCAGCAGCAGCAGCUGGGCGAGCGAGCGAUCGAGUGAGAGCCAGAGCAGCAGCAGCGCGAGCAAGCGAGCGAGCGAGAGCCGGAGCCGCAGCAGCAGAUCCGGCUGGUAUGGACGCCGCCGCCGAAGGGGCCUCGCACUGGGGGAGAGCCGCCGUGGAGAUGUCGCCCACGGCGCCGGCUUCAAGGUAGCCGCUCCAUGGGGGUGCGGGUUGGAGCACCGUCGGCGCCGGGAGGUCGAGUUAAGGAGAAGGUGCGAUGUGAUGAGUGUACAACCUCUUUGGUGGCGCCGAGUAGGCCUCGGCUUCGUCCGAGGAGUCGGUGAGUAUGUUGCGGUUCCAGUGGAGCAGGUUAAGGCGGCGCUGUGGGGAUGGAGCAGCCGCGAUAGACGAGGCGAUCGUCGGAGCAGCUCCUUGGAGGUGGAGGACGGGGCGGCUGAACCGGCGGGAUGGCGAGAUGGACGACGGAUCCUCAUCCGGGGAGGUGGACGAGGGACGUCGAGCUGUUGCAGUGGACGACAUCGUCGGGGAAGAGGCUCCGGCUGGGCAGCGGUGACGUGGCGGACGGAGGAGGGUGGGGUUUCGCGGCUGGAGCGGAGAGGUUAUGGCGGCCAGGGAUUUCGAAUGGCGAAAAGGGGGCGAUGGGAGGGGGUGAAGCAUGACUUUGGGACGCACUUGUCCAAAAUGUAGGGUGUGUUACAAAAGUACCCCCCACCGAUUUGAACUAGCAGCCCUUUCAGCUCAGGGUUAGAAGGGGGAUUUCGCGUGUCGGGAUUUGGCAGCUGGAGGGAGUUUUCGCGCGCGUUGUAAUUUCGGGAUAGCAAGGCGCGGGUUGUGAAGGCACCAGUUUUGGGAGCACGAUAUCUGAAUUUUCGGGAUAUAACAAGACGCGGGUUGAAUUUUAGGGACAAGCCUAACAUGUAGUAAUAUUGUACUUGUACAUACCAAAUCAAUUCGCACUUCCCUCAACCAAAAAGAAAACAAAAAAAUAAAACUAUUCACACCACACAAAGAGAGAGUCUUGCCCCGUUUUACUAUACAAAUGCUAUUCAAAGCUACUCCCUCCUUCCAUCUAUAUAGGGCCUAAUGCAUUUUUCGAUGCUAACUUUGACCAAAUAUUAGAGCAAUGAUACAUGACAUGCAACUUACACAAAGCACACCGUUAAAUUCGUCUGUGAAAGGUUCUUUCAAUGAUAUAAUUUUCACAUUGUGCAUGUCAUGUACUAUUAAUCUUGUCAAUAGUCAAAGGCGGUCUUAAAAAUCUCAUUACGCCCUAUAUAGAUGGAAGGAGGGAGUAUGAAUCCAUGUUAUGUCCGAUUAAAUUUUUUCGCUUGCUGCAUAAUGCAUGUAACCUACUCAUACCAACAUUUUAGUGCAUUCCAAAUGUCUAUACUACCGCUGCAAUUCGAACUAAAUUUGAAUUCGUUUCUCUAUUUCAAUAAGAAUCUACAAUCAUGAUUGUUGCCAACUUCAACCAUCAUAGUUUCCUUGCUAUCCGCCAGAUAUAAAUCGGAUGGCCUAUAAUGCAGGAUGCAGGCACACCAUCAUCAACAACUCCGUUUUUCUAUAAGAGUAGAGAUAAAAUAUAUUAAAUGUAGUAUAACAUGUUCAUAACCACACCAUGUGUAUCAUCGUUAUAUAUAUUCACACAUGCGUCGGUUUGAAACACUAUGAUAAAUUCUUCAAAUAUCCGAAUUCGCUUUUUAUAAUGAAGUAUAUAUGAUCUCUGUUCAUCUUUUACACCCACACAACCCUCUUAUCUUUGUAGCUAGCGCUAACUUUCUCUUGUGCAUGCACACGCCCGCAUCCCUCUCACCCUCCCUCAGCAUUCUCUAGCUCCAUCGCGCAAAUUCGUCUUUUCACUUUAGGUCGUUCACCCAUGGUGUGUGUAGGCCCCCCAGCUCCUUCUUUACGGCACACAUCGAUCGAUAUGCCUCUCUAGCCAGGUGUGCCUAGCACAAACACAAGCUUCCCCUCUUCUCUUGUCAUCGUCCAUGCCUCACUCCCACCACCCUUUUCAUCGUUCUCGUACUCGCACACUCCUCCCCCCUCGAUAUAGUAUGCCUCUCGUACCACCUCCUACAUGCAUCCCUCUCUCUCUAUCCUUCUCCGCGUGCCUCAUUUGCUUCUAACACACACAUGCAUGUAUACCGAUCGAUCUCCCAACAUAUACCUAGAUCGACUUUAACUACCCCCCCCCCAUCGAUCGACGUACCUCACAAGUUAUGUCUCUCCUUUCUCUACAAAAGGGCGAUUGAUCUUCCUAUGUAGUUAUGUCUUCUUACCACAGCCACAUCGUCCCCCCUCAUCAUUCGUGCAUGCCUCCUGACCCGUCUCUCACACGCACGUGCACAGACAACAAGCAGCCAUCUCCUCUCUUAUUGAUAUUGCGGGCGUGCCCUCCGUUUGUCUAGCAAGCCUAUCCCACCAUUUGUUAGAAGCAACUCCACUACCACCCCCUCCAACACUCUAGCUCUGUCUCUCUCCCAACCUUAUUCCUCUCCUGCACAUAUGCAUGGAUACCGAUCGAUCUCCCUUAAUACAUGAGGCAGAUCGAUCUCCUUAAUACAUGAGGUAGGCCUCUCUCCUCCUCCACACAUAUACCAGUCAUUGUACCUCUAUAGUUAAUUGGGCCUCCCUCUUCCCCCACCACACACCGAUAGUCGAGCGCUGCAGGUAGGUAUCCAUGCCACAGAGACAAACUGCACAUGUCCCAUCUCACGUUCCAGUAGGCCAGCCACUCUAUAUCUUUGACGUGGGCACACACAAAUUCGAUGGCACUCUUUAUCGAUCGCGUGCGCACACACACACACACAUCAUCCCUCUCUUCGAUUCUAUGGACACCUCAAGCCGAUGAUACCUCCACUCUCUUCUCGUGGAUCGCCCCCUCUAUAUAUAUGUUAUAUCCAGGACUAUAUUUCACACACAUUGCAUAUGUUANNNNNNNNNNNNNNNNNNNNNNNNNNNNNNNNNNNNNNNNNNNNNNNNNNNNNNNNNNNNNNNNNNNNNNNNNNNNNNNNNNNNNNNNNNNNNNNNNNNNNNNNNNNNNNNNNNNNNNNNNNNNNNNNNNNNNNNNNNNNNNNNNNNNNNNNNNNNNNNNNNNNNNNNNNNNNNNNNNNNNNNNNNNNNNNNNNNNNNNNNNNNNNNNNNNNNNNNNNNNNNNNNNNNNNNNNNNNNNNNNNNNNNNNNNNNNNNNNNNNNNNNNNNNNNNNNNNNNNNNNNNNNNNNNNNNNAUUGACCCCCCCCCCCAAAAUCUCAAGAACCCACACACUAUAUCUCUCUAGGUUUCUAUCUCUCUCACACAACCCCACGUAGGUGGUGUACGUAUACAAGAGAAUAGGUGCACCGUGCACGUACUCACGCUUCGUGCCCAGCCACACCCGCGCGGGUACACGGUGGAGCUCAUUUCUUUACGAAAUGGCAGCCCACGUGCUAAUUUGAACGCCUGUAGCGGUUGUUUACCUAGGGAGGUCGUGUACCACGUGUGCACGAAACAAAGUUCGACUUGACGCGUUGCCGCGUUAUUUUUAAAUAAAGUUAUAGCGCUCAAUGGCACGUACACAGAAUAUAAAACAAUUUUUAUGGAGAAAAAGGUAGUCCGCUCACUAUAUACAAUGGAGCCUGCCUGCCUGGUUUGUCGCUCUUCAGAGUAUCUCACACAAGGCUGCGGUGGCCUCUCUCUCUCUCACCGUUGGUGACUGAUCCGGCCGCAUCCCGUCCGCCGGGGGAAAGGGAGUGCGGUGGCCUCUCUCUCUCACCGUUGGUCACUGAUCCGGCCGCAUCCCAUCCGCUGGGGGAAAGGGAGGAAGUGCAUCUUUUCUCCGUUUGACGGCGCCGAGGCAGCAUGUCCCGAUCUGCGGUACACGUCGUUCUCUCUGACCAAGCUCCGGCGCGGCAGGGCCUACACCACCUACUCGCAGAUUCCACCCGCCGCCACUCACCUAGUUACAUCCUGACGACCUCCAGGUAUCCCCUGCGGCCUUGCUCCACUGCCCGUCUUCCCACGUCGCUGCAUGUGGAUCUUCCAUAGUUCUUUGCCCAAAACGUAGCUCGUCCGGCGUACUUUCCAUAUUGCAUUCUCGUCCUCACACCGUUUUAGACAAACACAACCGUGUUGUUAUCUUCCCUUAGGACAAGGAAUAUGCUUCUUUUUUGUCGUCGCAUGUGUCAUCAACUGUUAUUGGCCAGUAAUUGUUUCCUUUCUACUCGUUGCUAUUGCGACCUUUUGGUGAACUGCACAAAUCACUUUUUUCUUAAGAGUGUUUUGUGCAGUUGUACUAAAAUGUCACACGGGCAAUGUCUCUACAUUUCAGUGCGACUGCACAAAGGGAGAUUGGUUUUGCUCUAUCCUCCUCAUCCAACUCCGAGCCUAAUCUUCUCCAACUAGUUAGUCUUUAGAGAGACUGCAAAGGUGACCGGCUUCUAUUUGUGUGUUUAUUGUUUCAUCAGCAGUCCUCUAUUAUCGUAAUCACACUUAAUAUCUUUGGAACAGGGACGCUUAGCUCUAUUUUAGUGGAACUGCACAAAAUGAUCGGAAUGUUGCAUGCUCCAGACAGCUACUUUUUUCCCGACAUGCCUUGUUGAUUUAGACAGAGCUGGGGGGACGUUGCUGCCAAUGAAAGCAUGGAUCAAUUUUAAUUUAACACCUUCUCACAACUCUGUCUUCAGUUGUGAUGUAAUUAUUAGCUCUAAUCUGCUAAUAAUUGACAUGCAUUAGCAAGGAAGUUAGUUUUUUAUUGUUUCCGAAAGAGCAUCGAUGGCAAGACACACGAAACAAAAGCUGAAAGCUCACACCAUUGUACAAUUUCAUGUCGCUGGAAAAUUAUUUGUAUAGUACGUCAAUUAUGUAAACAAAUGAUGGAAGCUUGAUAGCAUUGCCAGAAGCCUCUUCAUCAUCCGGGUCCAUGUGCCAUGCACAAAAUUAUACUCCUUCGUUCCUAAAUAUUUGUCUUUUUACAAAUUUCAAACGGGCAUAUUUUAGUGUAGAUUCACUCAUUUUGCUUCGUAUGUGUACUCCCUCCGUUCCUAAAUAUUCUAUUCGUCUUUCUAGAGAUUUCAACAAGUGACUACAUACGGAGCAAAAUGAGUGAAUCUACACUCUAAAAUAUGUCUAUAUACAUCCGUAUGUGCCAGCCCAUUUGAAAUCUCUAAAAAGACAAAUAUUUGAGUAGUCACUCGUUGAAAUCUCUAGAAAGACAAAUACUCCGGAGUAUAUUUAAGAACCGAGGGGGUAGUGCACAACCGCAUGGGAGACUCAGCCCGGUCGUUGCGCCGCAUUAAUAGUGAGUAAUGAGCAGUCAAAUCAUAAGCCCCACCUUUCCCACUGUAAGUUGCUCUGAAGAAGCAACCAUCAAUACGCUCUUCUUUGAAUCCGCUCAUACUACUCCAUCCGUCACUGUUUAUACAGCGCGCUUCAGAAAAAAGAAAUAAAAUCUGUGGGACCAAGGCGACUAGCGAUCGGCCUGAAAAAUAGCAUUGGUAGUUAUAGCAUGGCGUCUAUUACUAGAGGGAAUAAUGCGUACACACAUGCGUGCAGUGCUUCCACCCCGGGUACACACAUGCAUGCACUUACUCCACUCUGUAGUAGUACAGUACAUGGAGAGAAAAUUGUGGACUUGAUUGCGGUUACCACGCCCUAAUUAAUUGAGCAUUAAACCAAACGUGUCUAAAGUCUCUCUGGUGGUGGAAAUGCAUUGAGAGAAAUGCAUCAUAAUGAAGCGCGCCCUGUAAACUGUGACGGAGGGAGGAGUAGUAUGAAGGUGCAAAACCAAGUACGCGUAUGGCUAGUCGGUCAACGCACCUCCUCUUGGCAUAUCACUGACAUGUGGGACAGGAGUCUGAGCAAACCGAUCUCAAUUGACGGCAAAGAGCCAACCCGCCGUUCCUUGAGAGAGACGAGGAGCGAGAACACACAGACGGGCUCGCACGGAGGCCAAGAUAUAUUCGAGCAUGGUUGGUUGAUCGAUAUCAUUCAUUACAUGUUGGGUUGCCGUUAUCCGCCCUUCUCCGGAAUAAACGUGUACUUUAUCAGAGAUAAAAAAAAUAAGAGUACAGACGCUCCACCAUGCGGUUCUAGUAGUAGUACUACUCGUACUACUGCGCUUGGCUCUUCGCCUCUUCGUGAAGUCGAACAAUGAUGGUACUCUGCAUGUUGGGUACUACAGUGUAUCCCUCUGACAAUCUGACACCGAAUGGACUGAUGCAUGUCCACCGAGGGUAGGUUGCAUUAGUCAAAAGGCGUAAGCGAGCUUCACCUUGUCCUGCAAGCUUCUCCUCGUUCUGCGAGUUGAUGGGACACACCAAAAAGUAGUGCUAGUCCAUACUCCCUCCUUUCCAGUUAAUAUAGCUUAAUCUUUUUUGCGGGUAAAUGAGAGAGCUUUAUUCAUAUAUAAGCAUUCUUAGGACGAUCAGCCAAGACACUGGUCACUAGGAAGCGAGGUACCCCGCAAAAAAAGAAGUAGGAAGCGAGGUGUUUAUCAAGCCAGCUCUCGGCCACAUUCAAAGUGCAGCAAGCACGGUUCGCACGAAGAUGCGCCGCAAGGUUUGCUGACCUGUUUACAUGUUGAAUAACAAAAAAGAGGAAAUAUUACCGAGCGCUACUAUUUGUAAUAGGAUAUGAGCCAGAAUUAAGCGAGAAUUGUGGUGAGUGUUCCAUGCAAUCAACUUCCAUUAUCACAUGCGAGAACCCUCGAAGAGAACCAAAUGUGUUGAAGAUUGCUUUAUCACAUUUUAAAAUUAUAAUAAGAGUGCAGAUGCUCCUCCAUCCGGUUCCUAGUACUAGUAUAGUACAUACCUUUAUAGACUAUAGUAGUAGUACUAGUAAACUUUGCGCUUGGCUGUUCGCCUAUUCGGGAAGUCGAACAAUAAUAGCACUACUAGUAUAGUGUAUGCUUCUGGCAAUCUGACACCAAAUUAACUGUUGCACGUCCACCGCCUGAGCGAGGGAGAGCUUGCAUUAGUCAAAAGUUUCUCCUUGUCCUGCAAGCCACCGCGCGCAAGCUUCUCCCGUCCUGCAACCUUCUCCUCGUUUGGCAAGUUGACGGGACACAACAAAGUAAUGCUAGUCCAUACUGCCUCCUCUUCGGUUAAUAUGGCUUAAUUUCAAACGAGAUAAAUACACUGUCUGUCACUGUAUAUUUGUAAAAAUAUGGUCAGUGGACUUCAUAAUACACUCAUUGCGCUCAAUAUAUAUAUUUUCCGGUGUUUAUACGGUCACUAGCUCACCCUGACUGAGUAUGCAUGUGCAUGCAUGUGUAGGUUGAGCACUUGAGCGUGACCGUCGUGUGCUCGUAUAUGCAUGCAUUAGGGCGUCGCGCGCGUUUUUGCGUCCAUGUGUACGUGUGACUGUUGCAUACACGUAGGGGGAGUACGUGUAGGGGCCACUAAGGAGCAGUCAAAUCACACAGUAAGUUAGUCGGAAGAAGCAACCAUCAUUUCACUCUUGAAUGACACGUACGCAAUAUAAAAUGGUUGAUAUGGAGAGAAAAAGAAAACCACUAUAUAUACACUAGCAGGAGCCUAAGCUACAAGCCUGCUUGCUUAGGUUGCUCUCUUCACAAGCAUAGAACGACGGGCCUGAUCCCGCAGCUGGGGGAAGGGAACAAUGUUCUGCGCAGACGCGGUCGACAUCGGCGAGGGAGAAAACCCACAGUCGCUGCGUCCCAAUCGGGGGUCACCGCGGUAUGGGCCGAUGCCGCGUCCCAACCGCCCUUCUAGCUACAGCCCGAUGUCCCAGGUAGUCCAUCUUCCUUUUGGAGCCGGCUUGCUCCACUGCCGUAGCUCCAUCUCCAUGUCGAUCUUUCUCUACUUCUACCGGCUUCUACUUGUGAUGAGUUUAUGUCUCAUGAACUAGUGCCAGUACUAUUAUUCUAAUCACACUUCUUCAAUAUCUUUGCCAUCAGGGAUGCUCAGGUCGAUUUUAGUGGAACUGCACAAAAGCAUCGUAUGAUCCGAGGGUGACAGCCAUCUUUCCUUCGACAGGUUCUACCUGGCCAGGAAAUUAAAUCAUGUUUAGGGUUUAGGGUUUAAGUCGUAGUGAACCCAUCAGUAGUUUUUCUUUCGUACACGCUCUCACAACUUUUUUCUUUAGUUGUGAAGUAAAUAUUGGCUAUGAUCUGUGAAUCAUUGAGAUGCAUCAGCAUGCGUGUUAGUUUUCCUUUGUAUUUGAUGGAAUGUUGUAACGGGGCAACCUUGGAAUAGGAAUGAAAAUGGAGUGGAAAGUUUCCGUUUUUCCAGAGAAAAAAUGGAAACGGAGAGAAACCAACGUUUCGUUUCGUUGGAUCGCGCCAUCGAGCAAAACCAACGUUUAAAUCACGUCUGUCGUGUUCGUGUCUCACCCUCCUCCACGGCUCGACCCCACACGGUCGCUCGGCAUGCCACUCAAUGCAAACCGAGUAUACGAUAACUUUCCCGGCUGCUUGUCGAUGGAUCGCGCCAUGGAGUAGUAGCAUGUAACACCCCGGAUGUAACUUUCCAUAUUUGUAACUCCAACUCUUGCCAUUUUCGGCUAUGUGUUAUGAUAUUCCCUUCGUGGUCGGGUUUUGUCUUUCGUUUUGCAUUUUGUUCAUGUCAUGCAUCUCAUAUCAUGUCAUCAUGUGCAUCUCAUUUUGCAUACGUGUUCGUCUUUUCCAUCCGAGCAUUUUCCCCGUUGCCCGUUUUGCAAUCCGGCACUCCCACCUCCUCCGGCGCACCCCUCUUGUUUCUUUUCGUGGGCGGGUUUUGAACGUUCUCGUAAUGGACCGAGGCUUGUCAUGUGGCCUUGGUAUACCACCGGUAGACCACCGGUCAAGUUUCAUGCCAUUUGGAGGUCGUUUGGUGCUCCAACGGUUAACCGGGCAACCGCAUAGUCCUUUUGUGUGUUGCAGCAAAACCCCCCUUCAAACAUCCCAAAACCCCUCUAAGUCUCUUCGAUGCUCUAGGUCGUUCGAUCACGAUCGUGUGGGCGAAAACCGCACUCCAUUUGGAGCCUCCUAGCUCCCUCUACCUAUAUAUAUGCAUCUCCCCCCGAUUUUUUCGCGCAGUCCAAACCCUAACCCUCUCCCUCCGCGCGCCGGACGCGUCCGUCCCGCGCCGGACAAAACGCGCCGCCGCCCCCGUCCAACCGGCGCCUGCCACGUCAGCAGCCGGNNNNNNNNNNNNNNNNNNNNNNNNNNNNNNNNNNNNNNNNNNNNNNNNNNNNNNNNNNNNNNNNNNNNNNNNNNNNNNNNNNNNNNNNNNNNNNNNNNNNNNNNNNNNNNNNNNNNNNNNNNNNNNNNNNNNNNNNNNNNNNNNNNNNNNNNNNNNNNNNNNNNNNNNNNNNNNNNNNNNNNNNNNNNNNNNNNNNNNNNNNNNNNNNNNNNNNNNNNNNNNNNNNNNNNNNNNNNNNNNNNNNNNNNNNNNNNNNNNNNNNNNNNNNNNNNNNNNNNNNNNNNNNNNNNNNNNNNNNNNNNNNNNNNNNNNNNNNNNNNNNNNNNNNNNNNNNNNNNNNNNNGGCCGCCGCCCUCCCGCGUCGUCGCCGCCCGGUGCCGCCUCCUCCCCCGCUCCGGCCUCCUCCUCUACCUCCUCCGGCCGCCCCGUCCUCCGACUCCGGCAGCCUCUGCUCCGGUGAGCCGCCUCGGCGUCCGAGCUCGGGCCCGAUCCAGAUCCAGCCUAGGGUUGAUUUUCUCCCUCUCCCGAAAUCUUUAAGUCCCAUAUUUUUUACAAUACUUGCUCAUGUUCAUUGCAUCAUAACUCUCUGCAUAUAGCUCCGUUUUGUGCGUGUAAUAUAUUGAAAUGUUCGUCUCGAGAUGCUCUUCAUUUUGUUCCAUUGCACCAUGUUCAUUUGUGUCCAUCUUGAUGCCCAAAUCUCUGGUGCAAGAGUGCUAGUUGCUGUUAUCUGCUGUUACUUAUCAGAACUUGAGGUUUUGUUAUUUUUGUUGCAUUUAAUGUGUGUAUCUUAUGGGCAUGAGCUCUACAUGUAUUUUGAUGUAUGCCAUGCCAUCUUUACAGAGAUGUAUUCCAUGUAUUUUUGUGAUCUCUGUGGUGACUAGCACAAGCAUGCAAACUAGGCCUCGUGAUGUUUCUGUUUUCAGGGACUUGGUAAUUUUACUGUCUGUGACUGCUGUUAUUUUGUUGCUAUGUAUCCAUGUGGCUACAGAGAUAUCCAUGCUCCUUUUGGAGAUGUUUAGUAAGGAUGUUUUGUAGAUAUAGUUGUGCUCUAUCCAUCCAUGCCCUUGUUUGCAAUUAUGGAGUGCCAUAGCAUGACUCAAUCUUACUCUACUUUUGCUAUAAAAUAUUUCUGGCAGAUUGUUAACAUGAUAUUCAAUAUUGCCAAGGUUGUUGUAGUUGUUUCAUACAUGAUAUGUGUUUGCUCUUGCCAUGGAUAGCUUCUUAAACAUGCCAUCUUGCUGUAGGUAUGCUUUUUUUGUCAUGCAUUGCUUUGUGAUGAGUGCAUCAAGCUCACAAAGAUGCCCUCAUAAUGUCUGUUUCUGCCAUGCUCUGUUUUCUGCAGUCUGAAACCUGUUAACGAAACUUGCUAUGUUUACAUGGUUGCCAUCAUAUCUUUUGGUCCCUUUUGGCUUAUGGUCAGUAAGGGACUUUUGUCAUAUGCAUUUAUUAGAUUACUGCCAUGUCCUGUUUUGCUAUGUUAAGUUUCUGUAGCAUGUUAAUUGCUAGCUCUAAACAUUGCUACCUGAUGCUGUUUCAGCCAUGUCUAGUAAUUCCGCUAAGUCUGUGAACUUGUUAUCUUUUGCACUUUUGCCAUGCUUGUUUGAGCUUGUUAUGUUGUGAUCUAGCCGUAUCUCAGUGUUCAUCUUUUGUCAAGCAUCUCCUAUAGAUUACUAUCAUUUGCUUUGUUGCUAUGUUGGAGUGCUGUAGCAUAGUUAAUUGUUGCAUUCUUAGUGCUAUCAUGCUGUUAAUCGCAGAUUCGUGUCAUUCUUGUUUUGCUUGCCAUUUGCAAACCGUGCAUCCGUUUCCGGUGAUCUUUAUAUUGAUUUCAACCGAAAUCAUCUCAUAUUUCCAGUGGCGUGCUUGGUUUGCCAAGUUACUGCCUUGUUCAUCGUUUUUCUUCCGGAGCACGCAUAUGCAUCGCAUAUCAUAUCUUACAUAUCCUUCAUGUAUUGCAUCAUGUUGCUUGUGCAUCUCCCGUGAUUGAUUGUGGUUCCGUUGCUUGUGUUCUUGUUUUGGGUAGAGCCAGGAGACGAGUUCGUGAAUGAGGAACCUGUUGAGUACGCUUACGAGGAUCAAGCUUUCGACAACUCUGAGAACCUUGCAGGCAAGAUGACCGCACCCUCGAAAUCACUUCUAUCUUUGCUUUGCUAGUUGUUCGUUCUAUUGCCAUGCUGCGCUACCUACCACUUGCUAUAUCAUGCCUCCCAUAUUGCCAUGUCAAGCCUCUAACCAUCCUUUCCUAGCAAACCGUUGUUUGGCUAAGUUACCGCUUUUGCUCAGCCCUUCUUAUAGCGUUGCUAGUUGCAGGUGAAGUUGAAGUUGGUUCCAUGAUGGAAGAUGGAUAUUUUGGGAUAUCACAAUAUCUAUUAUUUAAUUAAUGCAUAUAUAUAUUUGGUAAAGGGUGGAAGGCUCGGCCUUAUGCCUGGUGUUUUGUUCCACUCUUGCCGCCCUAGUUUCCGUCAUACCGGUAUUAUGUUCCUUGAGUUUGCGUUCCUUACGCGGUUGGGUGAUUUAUGGGACCUCCUUGACAGUUUGCCUUGAAUAAAACUCCUCCAGCAAGGCCCAACCUUGGUUUUACCAUUUGCGACCUAAGCCUUUUCCCCCGGGUUUUUGCGAGCCCGAGGGUCAUCUUUAUUUAAACCCCCGGGCCAGUGUUCCUCUGAGUGCUGGUCCAAACUAGAGCCCUUUGCAGCGCCACCUUGGGGAAACUUGAGGCCUGGUUUUAGUUGUACAGACUGCUCAUCCGGUGUGCCCUGAGAACGAGAUAUGCGCAGCUCCUAUCGGGAUUUGUCGGCACAUUCGGGCGGCUUUUGUCGUGGAAUUGUCACGGCAGAUGUCCUCGAACUAGGACUUAGUCGUGGAGCCAUCGCUACUAGAAAGCUUGAAGGGGUUAACGGGACAAGGAACACGAGGGUUUAUACUGGUUCGGCCCCUUACGGUGAAGGUAAAAGCCUACGUCCAGUUGAGGUGGUAUUGAUUAGGGUUUCAAUGACCAGGGAGCUUAACUACUAUGCCUGGCUCACGAUGAGAUCUUUCUUGUCCCUAAACCGUUGUCGGGUCGUCCCGUUAUAUAGGGAGGCUGACGCCCAGCAGCUCUCAGAGUCCCGGCCGGCUCAUACAAGUGUCCGGCUCGGACUCUCAACUAUCCUUGCCUUACACCACAAGUUUUACUAUAAUGAUGAUACAACUACGGGCCUUAAGCCAUGUCCGGGUCUUAAGCCCAUCUUUGGCCCACCGUCUUCAAGCUUGUCGUUGGGCUUCUGGCGAUGACCAUUAGAGUAACCCGGCCCCUUCUGGCGGGUGACUCUAAGGUCUAUAUCCUCAACAUUAGGCCCCAGAUUGAUUUGAGCCGGCUCAUGUCAAUCUUCAAUCCUUUCGACAGAAACUCUCCGGCUUACAAUUGUGUGAAGGCCAUAACCCGGUGUGACGUCAUCCUCUGGACUCCGGGUGAUCCGCCGUGACGUCAUCUUCCAUUAAGUCCGUUUUUUACUCCGCCAGAUCCGUAACGAAUCUUACCUUUACUGUCAUCCCGAAAAUCGAGGCGUCUCGUGGGGAGAUAACCACGCCGUGGUCUCCUCAUUUCUCGCGCCCACUUAUGAGCUCGCCCUUAUAAAUAGGCCGGCCCGACGGGCCUUCAGCCACGCUUCUUCCUCCUCGCGCCACUGUUCCUCUGCUCGAGCUCGAACUCCGCCGCCGCCGCCGCGCCCCCGGUCUUCAUCAACCUUGGCCGCUGCAUCACCCUGACUCGGUCCAGACAAACGGCGGCCAUCUCCGCAUCUCUUCAACACCAGUAAGUCCUCGAUACUCCGUAGGGCAGAUCCGCAUUAGGGUUCCGUAGUUCAUCCUCUGUUCUUCGUAGUUCAUUGCGGCCCUUGGUAGAUUUAUUUUUACUACCCUUUUUUGAUCUUAGCUCUGCAUAGAACCACUGCGGUAGAUGUUUAAGACCCAUUUCACAUGCAAGUAGCCCUCUUUUUACUGCAUAAGAACCUUGUUCGAGCCCAAGAACUUCUCCUGCCUCUGUUUUUAGGUCUAGGAAUAUUUUCUUUUAAUCGACCAUUUUGAUCCGAAAUAUUUACUGCAAUGUGUGAAACUUGUUUUACCACACUUAGUAAAAAACUGCAAUCAUUGAACCAUGGCGGUUUACAUUUCCGGUUUAAAGAAACCACGCGCCGUAGAACCUUCUGGCUUAAAGAAAACCAUGCGCCAUAGAAUUUUCCGGCUCAUCUGUGAUAAGGCCGUAGACAAUCGAAUCACUCUCAAUACCUCAGCAGCUUAAAUAACCCGGUGCACUUAGGUAUAUACCAUUAGUCCCCUUCAUAAGCCGCCACCUUAACAUUGAACUGUAGAUUUUCUCCGGCUUAUAAUUAAAUCGGACGUUUUCCUUUUAUCAUAGGCUGCCGACUUUCACCAUGCCUCCCAAAGCCCCUAAAGCUCCCAUCACUUGCAACUGGAUGAGGUCCAAUGUCACCGAUGAGACACUAGUAGAUUUUGUAAAGUCAGGCCACCUGCCCAAGAAGGACGUCAUGUCCUACCAUGCCCCCGACCCAUCAGAGGAGAGACCACAGCCAAGGGAAGGGGAGGUGGUCAUUUUCGCGGAUCACAUGAGCCGGGGCUUCGCACCGCCCGGCUCAAAGUUUUUCAGAGACGUUCUGAAUUUCUUCGACCUACAGCCUCAAGACAUAGGACCCAACUCAGUGUCCAAUAUCUGCAACUUCCAAGUGUUUUGCGAGGUCUACCUUGGAGAGGAGCCCAGUCUGCUGCUCUUCAGAGAGCUUUUCUAUUUAAACCGCCAGAACGAGUGUGCCAACGGGCCAAGUUUGGAGCUAGGCGGCAUCUCCAUCCAACGGCGGAGGGACUACCUUUUCCCUUACGCAGAGCCGCCCAGCCACCCCAAGGACUAGAAUCUGACGUGGUUUUACUGCCAAGACACGUCGCCCGCUGAUGAGAGUCCGUUGCCCGGCUUUUGCCCCUCGCGUCUGGAGCCGACUCACCCACUGUCAGACAAGCUGACUCAAGCAGAGCGCCAACCUCUGCUCCCCACCAUCAACAAGAUCAAGGCUCUCCUGGGCAAUGGUCUGAACGGAAUCGAUCUGGUCCAGGUCUGGAUAUCGUGGCGGGUGAUCCCAUUGAGCCGCCGCCCCGGCUUAAUGUGCGAGUACACGGGCCGAAAGGAUGACCCCCAGAGACACAGCCGCAAUGAUCUUCCUGAAGAUGUUGCAGAGGAUAUGACCAAGGCUCUCCUGAACGAGAGCCUGGCAGACUGCGGGAGGACCGGGUUAGCCCCCUUCUGCAAGACCAAUCUAGCCCCAGCAGUAAGCCACUUAUUUAAACAUUUUAUCUUUGUCUACAGAUAACCUUCAUCCGAAUCUUUUAAGAAAUCAUCAUUGUAUUGUUCAGGCGGAUGACAAAUUUUGGCAGGUCAAGUAUGACCAUGAAGCGGCCAAGAAGGCCAGGAAGGCGAAGAAAGCCGCCAGGAAAACCGCUCCCCGCAAGAAGGGAAGUAGGCCCACUGCUUCAGAGCUGUUGCAGCUAAGUGACAGCUCCGAGUCUGAGGUAACUCCUAAACCUGCAAGCUCUUGUUAUAUUUGUUGUUUAUUUCUGUCCGCCUUAUCAAUGUUGUUUAUCAACAGGAGGACACUGGAGCCAGUAACCUGGUGGUUGAAGAGGUAACAAUACUUUCCUCCGACUCGGAGCCCUUGCCAAGGCUGAAAACCCGAAGAGUAACCCGGAAAGUAAGCUUUUCCCAUCCUUUAGCUUACCAAGAUCCUCAAUUUAUUUUGAAGCGACAGGUUCAUGAGAGCCGGCGGCACACCCGGACCAACAAGGACACUGACCUCUCCUCCGAGUUACCUGAAGCAUCAAGGAAACGCCGGACCGAGGUGAUCUCAAGAUUGUACCAUUUUCAUCCUUUUGCGGGUGUUAUACGCCAACCGCUUAAUUCUUCUGACUCAAAUUAUCAAGAGACUUCCCCUUCUUCCGGCGACUCUAUGCAGUCGAAUCUGCCAGCUUUCAAGACCGUGCCCGGGUAAUGACAAUCAUCUCAUGUUGUUCUGAUCUUUACUCAUACUUUUUGUACUAACCUUUGUUGUCCUUUCAGUGCCCAGGCAAAGCUCACCAAGAGGGCAAAGAAGACCGAGUCGGCCGGAGAGCCGGAUUUGCCUGAACCGGAGGUGGCGGCUCAAGAACCGCCAACUGCCUCCGCCCCUGAAGCCACCGCUCCAACCGACAAGGCAACUGUAGAAGCUUCUGCUAACCCGGAGGCCUCCGGCACGGCUCAGCCAGCAAAUGAUCCGGACGUGGUAAUCACCCGGACGGAAUUUGUUGAGCCGGGAAGACCUACUGCACUGGCCAAGUGCUCUGCCAAGGGGGGAUUACUGCAGCCCCGCCGGGUUAGUCUGGAUCUCACUGACUACGCCAACCUGAGCAUCGGAGAGGUCGUCUCCGGCUACGUCAGCCAAGUGCACAAGAGCCGGGAUGCAGAGAUCGCCAUGUAGAUAGGAACAUUCGAUACACAUUAGCCCCCAAGUGCCAAGUGUCUUUGCUUGAAAACACUUGGGACUUAUCUUCCGGCUUACUCGCAUGAACCGGAAAUUUGUAAAUAAAAACGUUUAACAUGCAUUAGCCCCCAAGUGCCAAGUGUCUUUGCUUGGAAAGUGCUUGGGACUUUUAAAUUUGCAUAGUAACUGUUCAUGCUAUAACCUGGAAAUUAUGCAGGCUGCUGACAAGAAGUUUGAGGCGGACAUCGCUGAACUCAAGACCCGUCUGAAGACUCAAGAGACGGAGACCCGGAAGGCCAAUGCCAAAUUCAUGUCCAGCAUUGCCGCUCAAGAAAAGUUGAAGACAGAAUUUGAUGUUGAACGGAAAGCCUGGGCCGAAGAGAAGACCGCUCUGGUGAACCGGGCCGAACAGGCGGAGAAGGCCCUGUCAGAAAAAACAGCUGAGCUCGCCGGCUUAAAACGCCAAGUAUCCCAGAUGGUUGCUGCAAUCUUCGGUAAGUCAUCCGCCGGCUUUCAUCCAGUUUAAAAUUUUAAUGUCUCAUAACCCAUUAUUAGCGGCGGCUCAUCUCACUCUGGAACACAGGUCCCCGAAGCGCCAACCUCAAUCAAAGCGUGGUCACCAAGCUAAAGGCCGUGUACACCCUGGUGGAGCAACUCUACACCGGGUCACAGCGCGCCUUGGCUGUGGUGGCCCUAUCUAAUGAGGUGCCGACUCACCUGGCGGAAGUCCUUCGCCGGCUCGCCGUUCUUCCCCAACGUAUCCAAGAACUGCGAAGGGCCUCUGCAAGAUCCGGAGCCAUAGCAGCGCUAAGCCAGGCUAAGGCGUUUCUUCCAGAGCUAGACCCGGCGGACAUCGCUCUGGGCUACCCCAGCUUGAAGGAAGAUGGCACCGCCUUCGACCGGAAGGACUUCGCAGCUUGCGUGAAGAUCGUACGCCCGGUGUCCACUCUGAUUGGCAAUGAUACAGAUCUGACUAAGUAUCAGCCGGGUUAUGAUGCAGAGAAUCAGAGGAUCCCCACUCCGCGCUAUGAAGCCCUUAGUUUAAUCCCUCCGGCUCAUCAGCACACCUUCGCCCCGUAGAUUGACCCGGCCGGGUUAAUUGACGAAGAAGCUCAGUUCGAAGCUCUGAGCGGCAUCGACUGGAAGUCGUCGACUUUCCAGACCUUGGGAAUAGCCGGAGGAGAAGAGAGGGACGAGCCGGGGACUUCAACCCAGCAGGCAUCUUAAUCCUGUAGGCGGCUUACCAAACAAUGCUUCACCCCUUUUGGACUCAAUGAGUCUUGUAAUAGAAUAGGGUCAACACUUUAACUGUGUCGUGCCAUCGCGCACGUAUUGAAUGUUGAAUCCUUAUGAAAGUUGCUUCCUUAUAUGUCUCCGGGUCAUUCAUUUUCCUUAGUCUCAAAUAAUUGCCCUUACUAACCUGCAUAGAGAGACAAAUCACAAGUCUCUAGGCAGCUUACCGCACUGAGAAUCGUAGGUUUAGACGUAUAACCCGGAAGAUGAAUCAAAAAAGAAUGGUUCUCAACUAUGUAUUUGACAUAGCCGUAAUAACACACUUACCGGCUCAUAUAACCCGGAUAAUAAGGUUGGUACCUCAACUCCGGUUUACCAGUUUUAAGAACGCCGAUUGUAUUCAGCUAAUACUGUAAAUCAAAACCUUAAGCCGGUAGGGUGAGACCCGCCGUGCAUACUUGAAAUAAUCAGAAGAACUUGCUAUAACUCAGCAAAACUUAGAGGCUUCCGGUUCGAAUACGACCAGAGACCCGUCCCAAAGGGGUUAUGCUAAGAUUCGCAUACGAUCAUAUAGCCCCCAGUGGGUGUGGCGAUGCCAAUCAAGAGGGUACCGACAGCUAUGUUCUCUUUGGUUCGAAUACGACCUAUGUUUGAACAGGAAGCCCCCAAAUGACUUUUAGAAUUGUUUAACGACGCUGAUUCGAAUACGAUCCACGUCGGUUCCCAAAGGGGUUAAACUAUGAUUCAAAUAUGAUCAAAGAAAACUCCCUAAUGAGCUCGGCACUUUGCCAAUCAAAUGGGUAUCGACAGCUAUGUUCUCUUUGGUUCGAAUACGACCUAUGUUUGAACAGGAAGCCCCCAAGUGAUCUUAUUAUCUACAGCUAGAUUUGAAUACAAUCAUAAGCCGGAUCCUCCUUCGAGUUAUCAUGUAAUCUUGCAAUGAAAACAACACAUGCACAUUUGGAGGAGAAAAAAGGACAGAGGUCCUGCUUUAUUGCUUAUAUACAUGGCUUAGAGAAAUAUGUACAUUAUGAGAGCCGGCGGCUCAAGUGUAGUAAGGCCGAAGCUGAGCUAUGUUCCACGGCCGACGAGUCUCCUCCUCCGACUUACGUGAAUCUUUAUGCUCUUGAACAUCGAUAAGGUAGUAUGACCUGUUGUGCAAGUUCUUGCUGACCACAAAGGGCCCUUCCCAAGGCGGGGAUAGCUUGUGUGUAUCCGUCUGAUCCUGGAUGAGCCGGAGCACCAGGUCACCUUCCUGGAAGACCCGAGAUUUAACCCGGCGACUAUGAUAGCGGCGCAGGUCUUGUUGGUAAAUCGCUGAGCGAGCUGCUGCCACAUCACGCUGUUCGUCCAGCAAGUCAAGAGCAUCCUGGCGCGCCUGUUCAUUAUCCGCCUCGACAUAAGCCGCCACUCGAGGCGAGUCAUGACGGAUGUCACUUGGGAGUACUGCUUCUGCCCCAUAAACCAUGAAGAAAGGCGUGAACCCUGUAGAUCUGUUAGGAGUAGUGUUGAUGCUCCAUAACACAGAGGGCAACUCCAACAACCCGGCGUCCGUUGCAAAGGGACCAAAAGCCGGGGCUUGAUGCCCUUUAGGAUCUCCUGAUUAGCUCUCUCAGCUUGACCAUUGGAUUGAGGAUGAGCCACCGAUGAAACAUCAAGUCGAAUAUGCUCUCGUUGACAAAAUUCCUCCAUGGCGCCGUUGGAUAGGUUGGUACCAUUGUCAGUUAUAAUGCUGUGUGGAAAGCCAAAACGAAAAAUCACCUUUUUCAUAAAUUGAACUGUUGUGGCUGCAUCACACUUGCUAACUGGCUCUGCUUCAACCCACUUGGUAAACUUGUCAACUGCCACCAAGAGGUGGGUCUUCUUAUCCUUGGACCUUUUAAAAGGCCCAACCAUAUCAAGCCCCCAGACCGCAAAGGGCCAAGUAAUUGGGAUCAUCCUCGGCUCCUGAGCCGGCACAUGAGCUCGUCGUGAGAACCUUUGGCAACCAUCACAUUUACUAACCAAGUCCUCCGCAUCAGCAUGAGCCGUCAGCCAAUAAAAACCAUGACGAAAAGCCUUGGCCACAAGAGAUUUUGAGCCGGCGUGAUGACCACAAUCCCCUUCAUGAAUCUCACGCAAGAUCUCUUGACCUUCCUCAGGGGAGACACAACGCUGGAAUGCUCCCGUAACACUGCGGUGAUGCAACUCGCCAUUGAUAACUAUCAUUGACUUGACCCGCCGGGUUAUUUGUCUGGCCAAAGUUUCAUCCUCAGGCAACUCUCCCCGGGUCAUGUAAGCCAGAUAGGGCCUUGUCCAGUCCGGUAUGAUGUGAAGAGCCGCCACCAGCCGUGCCUCCGGGUCAGGGACAGCCAAGUCUUCCUCUGUAGGCAACUUAACAGAAGGGCUAUAUAGGACAUCCAGGAAAGUAUUAGGCGGCACCGGCUUUCGCUGAGAGCCCAGCCGGCUUAGGGCAUCAGCCGCCUCGUUCUUCCUGCGAUCAAUGUGCUCCACUUGGUAACCCUGAAAGUGUCCAGCAAUGGCAUCAACCUCACAGCGAUAAGCCGCCAUGAGAGGGUCCUUGGAGUCCCACCUUCCUGAUACUUGUUGAGCCACCAAAUCUGAGUCGCCAAAGCACCUUACUCGGCUCAAAUUCAUCUCCUUAGCCAUCCGAAGACCAUGGAGCAAGGCCUCAUACUCAGCCGCAUUGUUAGUGCAAGGAAACAUCAAUUGUAUCACAUAAUGGAACUUGUCACCUUUAGGGGAAACCAAUACCACUCCAGCCCCCGAGCCCUCCAACUGCCUGGACCCAUCAAAGUAAAUAGUCCAGAAUGUGUUAUCCGGCUUUUGCUCGGGCACCUGUGACUCUGUCCAAUCAUUGAUGAAAUCCACCAAGGCCUGAGAUUUAACAGCAGUGCGUGGUACGUAUUUGAGACCAUGAGGUCCAAGCUCGAUAGCCCACUUAGCCACUCUCCCUGUGGCCUCUCUGUUUUGAAUGAUAUCACCAAGAGGGGCAGAACUAACCACAGUAAUGGGGUGACCCUGAAAAUAAUGCUUAAGCUUCCGGCUUGCCAUGAACACCCCAUAAACAAGCUUCUGCCAAUGCGGGUACCGCUGCUUGGACUCAAUGAGCACUUCACUGACAUAAUAAACCGGCCGCUGAACCGGAUGCUCCUUACCCUCUUCCUUGUGCUCCACCACCACGGCCACACUGACGGCUCGUGCAUUAGCAGCCACAUACAGCAAUAAGGGCUCCUUGUCAAUUGGAGCAGCAAGGACCGGGGGCUCUGCUAGCUGCUUCUUCAAAUCCUCAAAGGCGGUAUUGGCUGCAUCAUUCCAGACAAAGUUAUCAGUUUUCUUCAUCAACUGAUAUAAUGGCAUGGCCUUCUCACCCAAACGGCUUAUAAACCGGCUCAAAGCAGCGAUGCGACCCGCCAAGCGCUGAACGUCAUUUAUACACGCCGGCUUAGCCAGGGAGGUGAUGGCCUUGAUCUUCUCCGGGUUAGCUUCAAUGCCUCUGUCAGAAACCAAAAAACCCAAGAGUUUGCCUGCAGGAACACCAAAAACACACUUGGCCGGGUUAAGCAUCAUCUUGUAAAUCCGGAGAUUAUCAAAGGUUUCCCUUAAAUCAUCUAUCAGGGUUUCUUCCUUUAUAGACUUAACCACAAUAUCGUCCACAUAAGCAUGAACAUUGCGCCCAAUCUGGUUAUGAAGACAGUUCUGCACACCACGCUGAUAAGUCGCCUGUGCACACUUGAGUCCAAAGGGCAUAGACACAUAGCAGAAGGCUCCAAAGGGAGUGAUGAAUGUUGUCUUCUCCUGGUCCUUAACCGCCAUUUUAAUCUGAUGAUAUCCUGAAUAAGCGUGCAAGAAACUUAAGCGCGCACAAUCUGCCGUAGCAUCAAUAAUUUGAUCAAUACGGGGAAGGGCAAAAGGAUCAGCCGGGCACGCCUUGUUUAAGUCCGUGUAGUCCACACACAUCCGCUAAGUGCCGUUCUUCUUGAGUACGAGCACCGGGUUAGCUAACCACUCUGGGUGAAAGACUUCAACGAUAAACCCGGCCGCCAAGAGCUGGGCCACCUCUUCACCAAUAGCUUUCCUCCUCUCCUCAUUGGACGCGUUCUGAUCCAUCGUGAGCUGGAAGGACUGCGCCUGAAUCAACCGAGUCUGGGCGUCGAGAGCCGCCCUAUCCGCCGCCAUCCUGAUCCCUUCCACUGCUAGCUCCUCCUUCGCUUUCACCAGAUCUAACUUCAACUGUGCCACCUCCGCGUCAUGUUGAGCUUGAUCCGCCGGGUCAACCGUGGCGGUUAACAGGGCCGUCAUCUUGUCCGUGAGAUCCAUCAGCACUUGAGCCGGCAAGGGCACCGGGUUUCCCGCCCCAGCAGCAGGGUUCUGGACAAGCUGCGCACCAGCCAUGAAGAUUCCAACCCGGCUCGGCGGCUCAAACGGGUCCGGAAUACUGUCACCAUCGGAACAACCCAUGAGACUGCCAUCUUGAAGUUGAUACAACGAGUUUGACUCAUCUGUGGACGACUCGCCGUCAGAGCCGGCGGCCGCCGCAUCAUCAGAUCCAGAUCCAUGAGGAAGCCCUCCAUGGAUAUAUCCCACAAAAGCAUGCCUUAAGGCAGGCAGGAUUCGGGCGGGUCAUGCACGCUGAGCCGUCUCGAUGAGGUCGGCGCAGAGAUCCGGCUCAGGGCCCGGCUCACCAAUCUUGCCAAUGAAAACAUGAAUUCCGCCGAAGGGGACCCGGUACCCGUACUCAAUUGAGCCGGCGUCGGGGCCCCAGUCUGCAUCGUCGAUGUAGAGCUUGCCGCGACGACUCAUGGUCAUCCGGCCCACAGCGUAUCCCUUGAGCCCUUCGAAGCUGCCCUUCAAGAACUCAAAUCCACCGUGCGCUGGCCCCACGGUGGGCGCCAACUGUCGUGGAAUUGUCACGGCAGAUGUCCUCGAACUAGGACUUAGUCGUGGAGCCAUUGUGACACCCAAGUUUUAUUUGGAUUUUUCAAAAGGUUCUAUUUGACUUGAGGGGAGUGAUUUAAAAAAAAAUUUCAAGAGAACUCUCCCUCUCAUAUAUUUUUAUUUUCUUUAUGGCAAAAGUUUUGUUUGGAUUCACCCAAGAUCUGCCUUUGGCCUUGGGAGACCUUGCUUUUCAUUUGGACUCAAGACAAAAUGUUUUUUUUUGUUGGGGAGAAUAACUUUUGAAAAUCUUUUUGAAUUUGCACUAUGGCUUUCGGAAAGUCCUUUGUCACUUUCAACUAUUCCUUCUUGCCAUGGCAUUAGUGCAAAUCCUCUCUCCUAACCCUUCCCUCACCUUUGGAUCAUGUUUUGCAUCAAAUCCAGCAAGUUGAACAUCCCCAUGUGAUCAUUUCCAUUCAAAUAAAUUUCUGUCUUCUCUUAUAGCACUUGGAGAUUUACAAAGGAACUCCUUUUUCUGUUUUGAUUUUUGCCACCAAACCUUUUUCCCCUCCUAGUCCUUUGAACCCUUAACCUAGAACCAUGAAGAUCCACUGGUCUCCAGUUCAAAAUUUUCAAACUACAUCUGCUGCAAGUUUGGACCAGUUUUGCCAAAUUUGGUGAAUUCAUUCAAAACCUUCUCCAAAAAUUCCAAGUAAAUUCAUGCAGCCUCUGGGUGCAUUGAGUGGUCAUCUCACCAAGUUGCAGCUCCAGAAAAAUUUAUCUCGUAGCCAAAACCUACUGUCGAACACCUGCAAUGCAUGGUCACUGUCAAUUUUCAGUAAGUUCAGAGAACACUGCAGUGCUCACUGUCGUUUUCUUCAGAGAUGGGCAUCGAUCUCGCCAGUGCCCUCGCGUCGCCUUGCUCCUCGUCCCCGCCCUCUUGUUCCUGCACCGCACGAGCGCCUGGCACCUUGCGGACGUCGGCGACGAGCAGCAGAAGGUGCGCCGCCCCGUGACCGACGCCGGCGGCGGCUUUGCGGACGCCAGCGGGAGACACGGCGCCGACGACUCCACCCAGCGCCGCCCAAACCACCGGAGCCCGCCGCGUGGCCUUCCACUCCCCCGAAUGCGCUGCCGCUCUCGUCAUGAACCGCAGGGCGCGGAGCGCGCUCUCUGCCGCCGUUGAGCCCGUGCGGUCACCUCACCGUGGACAGACGCCAUUACGCCGGGGCCAGCUCCGUUUAGCAGUGGAACAGCUCCAGUAAUCUCCACUGAUGCUGCCCGACCGCUCAAACCACCUUCCAAUCCACUACUCCACCGUAAUCGCUCGCCGGAGAUUCUCCGUUCACGGCCACCCCGUCGAUCUGCCUAUAAAUAGAGACCCCGAGCUUCAACUCGAGCACCCACCAGCCCUGCACUUCCCCUAGAGCACGCCUAGCCACUGGUAGAGCCCCGAGGAGGUCUCCUUCCUCGACUCCGGCCGCCGCGACCCGCCACGGGAUCCAGCCCGAUUUGCCCCCGUGUGUGCCCCUCCACCUCCAUUCUCUUGCCAGUAGCUUCACCUUGCAUCUCUCGUUCUAACCCGCACUUCAAUUUGAAGCUUGCAGCCCUCCACCGGAGUUCCCCAUCCUCACCCGAACCGCCGUCCGCCGGAGAAAGUGUCGCCGUCGACGUGGUGCUCCCCGUUGGAUGAGUCCACCACCCACCGACGCGGAAGAAGGCACUGAAGCUCUUGGUACCCUCCGUUUCUCCUAACUCGCCGUGGUUCGACGCCGGCGUCCACCACCGUCUUCGGGCGCCGGCGAGCCUUUUCAAACCUGACAUGCGGACCCCGCGUGUCAGCCUCUGUUUUAUUUUCCUCGAACCGUUUUCUGUUGGCGCCUCGGGCAAAAUACGCUUUCUCUCUUGCGCUUGCGCAUUUCCAAACGAACCGUUUUCUGUUUUCUCAGUUAAAACCCUGGAACUUUUAUGUUUCAUUACAGAAAGGUCCCUGGACAGAAACCUUUAUAACUUUUUAAUAAAAAGGUAUUUUUGAGUGAUUCUUUUUCUGACAUUCUUAAAAUUUUGUCUAGUUUUUUAUGGGAUUUAUUUGAAAAAUAUUUGGCAAAGUUUCUGUGCAUGUGUUGGUUUUCACGUUAGUACCCGUUUCGUGAUUGCCGUAGGUUCCGGGAGACGUGACGGAGCCACGAACUUCGCCGAGCUAGACUCCGACUUCUCCGAACCAGGCAAGCAUGUUUUGAACAUUUGAUAUGACAGGUGUUUUGCAUGUUUGCGUGAAAGUUGGUGCGUGGCAUAUGAGUGUCGGUAAAUACCUUGUUGCUUGUGAGGCAACUACCCGGUUGUUCCAAAGUUGUGAUGAUCUCUGAUGAGAGAUGGCCUAAUCAUGUGGUGACAUGAAGGGCGGCAAGGUGGUACUGUUGUAGCAUACCAGCCUUGCGUCAUCCGACUUUUCCGANNNNNNNNNNCCCCGACGUUAACGUGGUUGGAGCCGCGUUACCGUCCUUUCCCCUUUCCGUGCUACCACAUGUCUCAUUGCCAGGGAUGCGGUUUAGUAAGUUGGUAACCUCUUUCCGUGUACACACCAAACAGAGAGGCCGGGAUGAUGGUACCUUGGCCCAGGAUUAAAGCCAGUCAUCCGGUCAGGGGGCAUGGGUGUUUCCGGUUGGGACCGAGAGGGGGGGCACCCCCUUAUAGCGCGCGUAUAGAAAUUUGAUCCCAUGCUACGCGAGGUUGUAGCCUCCCCGUCUCAAGGUUUUUCUUGAACGAUGCCGAGGGUGAUCCCUGGCUUCGGAUGGUCAAAUUGGGUGUGUACUGGUUAGACGUGUUUCUUCCAAAACACCGCAGACGGAACUAGUCCUCGUGACUACUGAAAUCCGUUGGCUGUGGUUAAGUACAAACUCUGCAGAGUCAAUUCUUUCCAUAUCAUCGUAUCCAUGAUCAAAAUGAAAGCAUUAUAUCCAUAUCUAUCCGCGUGGAAAACUUGUCCCCGGUGAACCAGCUCAAGUGGUAAAAUUCAGUUUUAAUGUUAUUCCUGUGGAUGGACCAACCCUAUAUUUGUUUCUUGCUCGUGAUAAAUUAUGUUCUCAAACUAUUGUAUUAUUGAGCUGUGAUAUAAGCCCUUUAUGUGACGUCGCGCAGACGUCCGACUGUGGCGUGUUUUUACUUCUUACAUUAUAUAUAAGCCCUUUUUGCGACGUCGCUCAGACGUCCGACUGUGGCAAGCACUGUCUUUAUUCUCUGUUAUAAGCCCUUUCUGUGGUGUCGCCUCGACGCCCGACUGUGGCAUUAUUAAUUCCGCAUUUUCCGCUCGAGGAGUCUUUCAGACACUCGUUUGGCACCAGUAUUAUUAUUCCGCAUUUUCCGCUCGAGGAGUCUUUCAGACACUCGUUUGGCACCAGUAUUAUUAUUCCGCAUUUUCCGCUCGAGGAGUCUUUCAGACACUCGUUUGGCACCAGAAUUAUUAUUCCGCAUUUUCCGCUCGAGGAGUCAUUCAGACCCUCGCUUGGCACCCAGUAUUUAUUACCUCUAUGUCUGAUCGUACUGGUUAGCUUAUUCAUGCAUUUCAUGUUCGCAUUUGUUAUACCUUAUGUCCGAACUGUCUUGCGAGUACUUUCAUAGUACUCACCUGGCUUGUUGAUUUGGCCAGAUGUUGACGAAGGCGAUCUCUUGGAUGAAGAGUUCGAUAGCGCGUCCGAUGCCUAGAGGAGUCCCAGUCAGUCCUGCGCGAUCCCGGAUUUUGGUCACUUGCUUUGUUUACGCUUCCGCCACCCGCAAUAAGUCUUCUCGAGCCUCACUCCGACGCUCGAAGAGCUGUAGUCUUCUGGAGUCAUAUCGCUCGCCCCGCGGUGAUACCUCCACCAUCAUUUUUAUCGUGAGUUAGUAGUUUGCCACCCUAUCCGCCGUUUUGUUUUAUCGGCGUGCAUGUAAUAAAUUGUUGGGCAGUCUCUGCUCAACCUUGUAUUAUAUUUAGUACUCCUGGUAUUUUUCUUCUGUGACCAAUAUAUUGUCUAUCAGUGAGAAGGAAUUCUUCCUCGCUGGUCCGUAACAGGGAUUGGUUUCUCAAUAAUUAUUUUAUUGAAAAACCGGUCGUGACANNNNNNNNNNNNNNNNNNNNNNNNNNNNNNNNNNNNNNNNNNNNNNNNNNNNNNNNNNNNNNNNNNNNNNUUAUUAGCGUCUUUUGUGCUUUUUCAGCAUUUUGCAAUUGUAGCUAUUUUCUGUUGGUCAUCAUAAAUUUAUGACAUGACUACUCAGAAUUUUUGCCUACUUUUGUAGAUGGCUGGCAGCAGCUGUGAGAAUCGAGUGUUCACCAACGUGCCCGAGGGGUUUGUCAAGCUCCUCGUCUCCAUCACCAAGCUCGCGAUCGGGCCAGCAGCUCGCCCGGAGUUCACACUCUAUCAGCACAAGCUCAGUGACGACGUGUCUAUGCACCAAGCCGUGGUGCAGUUCAGGGGAGGACGAUCUGCUGCUCGCCACUUCCGUUUUACGGGAAGGGCCAUGCCUACGGAGAGGCAUGCCAUGCAGAUGGCUGCCCGCGAGGCGAUAGCUCGCCUUCGGGACAUCCUUCCUACGAUGAAGACUCGUCGCUACCGCUACCUCCCAUGCCAUGUGCCAUACACCAGCCACUAUGCGUUUGCCUGCCACCGGGGAGAAAGAGACGAAGCCAUCGAGAUGGUUGUGGAGUAUCUCAAGGCUCUGGAGGAGUCUUUCGAUAACCUCGUAGAUGAUCUUGUGGCUGCCCGCAUGGACUUAGUCCGGGGCGGUCCUGCCAGCAGGAAGGAGCUUCUCCACACGGCGCCGCCUCUGACAUUCGUCUCGUCUUCAGCCUCGUAUGCACCGGCCGUUUUGGCCACUGCUCGCCGUCUGCCUACCACUGAGGAGUUCGACCGAGUCAUCGCUCCUACUCCAGUCAGAGCCGCACCGCCUGCCGCACGCGCUCUACCACCAGUCGCCCCCACACCAUCACCGCAGCGCAGCGUCACGCGCCAGGAGCCAGCUAGAGAGGAGGUGGAGGUUGACUCUCCUGGACUACUGAGCCUUGCCAUCGGCAAGGGGAAGGAGAUCUUCACCAUCUCCGACUGAGAGCACCGAGUAGCCGCGUGUUAUGUCUGCUUGUAUGAUGUGCUGUUUUAUUUGUACGCUAGUUUGUAUUGGUGUGUUUGCUGCCUUCCGGAAUAGUACGCUAGUUUUAAUAACAUGUCAGGAUUGUGUACGCGCAUCCUGAGUGCUGUAUCGUGUGUUUGCUUUUCGCAUGAAAGUUUUAUGUUAAGCACUACUCCUCCAUGAAAGAUCGUUUGUGUUGCCUCUGCAAGAGUUUCCUCGUGCUACACAGUUUUUCUCAUGGGUUUUGCAAAUAAUACCCCAGACUGGAAAAAUGUCUCGCCCAUGGACUCGCUCCAUGCCCAAUCAGCCAGAAGAGGUUUACGGGACACAGACCAGCAACAAUUUCACUCAGGGUCAGUCCAGCCAACAAGACAGCGAAGCAGCACUGUCUUAAGUAUGCCGUCUCUUCGAGCAGAGUCAGCAACAACACCAAGAGAUGAUGAACCAUGUCAUCAACAUGGGAAACCACCGUGAACACUAUCAACCACAUUCCAAGUUAUCCGAGUUGCAGAAGACUCGCCCCUCAACUUUUGCUCACACCGAUAGGCCACUGGAAGCCGAUGAUUGGCUUCGUGAGAUUGAUAGGAGACUGAUUAUUGCUCAAUGCUCAGAUCAUGAGAAGGUGCUUUAUGCACCACACUACCUUACUGGAGCAGCCGCAGCAUGGUGGGAGAACUUCCUACACAUGCAUCCCAGGGAACACAACAUCACCUGGGAAGAGUUCAAGGAAGGUUUCCGUGGGGCACACAUCCCCAGGAGCAUCCUAAAGAUCAAGAAGAGAGAGUUUGAUGACCUGAAGCAAAGAGGCAUGUCUGUGACAGAGUACAAUGGUCAGUUCACCCAGCUGUCUCGUUAUGCCUACGACGAGCACAUGAUAGAAAACAAGAAGAUGGAAAAAUUCCUGGACGGCCUGGCACCAGCGCUAAGAUGCCAGCUGAUUGUACACACCUUUCCGGAUUUUAAGACGCUGGUGGACAAGGCCAUCACCUUGGAAAAUGAGCGCCGUAGUCUGGAAGAUAUCCGCAAGCGGAAGAGGGACAAGACGCCUCUUGCCUGCAGCAACCGAGGCAAGGCUGAGGUCCCAAGGACAGACACAAGGAGAUCCACGACUACUGAGCCAAGGCCCGUCGGACAGUUUCAUGCCAGGGACAAAGAGUUCACAUACCGUCCGGGGGUCACCUGCUAUGCUUGUGGUCAGCAAGGGCAUUAUGCUAAACAGUGCCCGAAGCCAAGAGACUCGGCACCCAAGCCGAACAAUGGUGGAAACAAUCCCGCCCCCAAGCGCAACAACUUCAAUCCCAACAACAACCACAGGAAGGGUCACUUGAACCAUGUGACCAGGGAAGAAGCGCAAAAUGCCCCAGACAUCGUGCUCGGUACGUUCCCUGUCAACACAGUACCUGCCACGGUUUUGUUUGAUUCUGGAGCUUCCCAUUCGUUCGUUUCGAAGAGUUUUGUUUCGCAACAUGGUUUUCCGAUACUCCCCUUGGAAAAGUCUAUGAUCAUCAAGUCCCCGGGAAAUAAGCAAAUCGCCCAAGGUUACUGCCAAGGAGUGGUCAUUGAGUUCGAAGGACUACAAUUCCACGCAAAUCUCAUCGUGUUGGAAAGUAAAGGACUGGAUGUCAUUUUAGGGAUGGACUGGUUGACCACCAACAAAGGAUUCAUUGACUGCUUCAAUCGGACAGUGAUUCUCACUCACCAUCACGGCAAGACAAUAAGAGUCUCCGCUCAAGAAAGGCCACGGUCACAGAAACCAAAACUGAACAAAAUGGACAUUGCAGAACUGGGAAAAGUUCCGGUGGUAUGCGAGUUCCCUGAUGUGUUCCCGGAAGAAUUACCAGGUAUGCCACCAGACCGAGAGAUCGAAUUCAGCAUUGAACUAGCACCUGGCACCGCUCCCAUUUAUAAGAAGCCGUAUAGAAUGGCACCCUCAGAAUUGGUGGAGUUGAAGAAGCAGAUAAAGGAAUUAUUGGACAAGGGGUUUAUACGAGCCAGCUCCUCACCAUGGGGUUCGCCCGUAUUGUUCGCCAAGAAGAAGGAUGGGACACUGAGACUGUGCAUAGACUAUCGAGCCCUCAAUAUGGUCACCAUCAAAAACAAAUACCCGAUGCCACGGAUAAAUGAUUUGUUUGACUAGCUCGCACAAGCUAAAGUAUUUUCAAAGAUUGAUUUGAGAUCAGGAUACCAUCAACUAAAGGUACGAACAGAGGAUAUCCCCAAGACAGCAUUCACUUCCAGAUAUGGGUUAUACGAGUUCAUAGUGAUGCCUUUUGGUCUAACAAACGCCCCCACAUAUUUCGUUCACCUCAUGAACAAAGUGUUCAUGAAAUUCAUGGACAAAUUCGUGGUGGUAUUCAUUGACGACAUUCUGGUUUACUCAAGGACACCCGAAGAGCAUGCUGAGCACCUCAGAAUGGUUUUGGGAGAAUUGAGGAAGCAUCAGUUGUACGCCAAGUUUAGCAAAUGCGAAUUUUGGCUAAGGCAAGUUGGUUUCUUGGGCCAUAUACUGAACCAAGAAGGUGUAGCCGUAGACCCAGAAAAGGUCAAGGCCAUACUGGACUGGAAACCGCCCGCCAACGUCACAGAUGUGCGGAGUUUCCUAGGAAUGGCCGGAUAUUACAGGAGAUUUAUUGAAGGAUUCUCCACUGUGGCAAAACCUAUGACCCAACUACUCAAGAAGGACAAGAAAUUCGUAUGGACGGAAGCAUGUGAGCAGAGCUUCCAAGAACUCAAGAAAAAGCUGACAACCGCACCAGUCUUAACUGUGCCAGACAUACACAAGAGUUUUGAAGUAUAUUGUGACGCGUCCCGAAAAGGUCUCGGAUGUGUACUAAUGCAGGAUGGCAAGUUGUCGCAUAUGCCUCCAGGCAACUGCGAAAGCAUGAGGAAAAUUACCCAACACAUGACUUGGAGCUAGCAGCAGUCAUACCUGCACUCAAGGAGUGGAGGCACUUUCUGUUGGGAAAUCGUUGUGAAAUAUAUACGCACCAUAAGAGCCUCAAAUAUAUCUUCACACAGCCAGAGCUGAAUUUACGCCAACGACGCUGGUUGGAACUGGUCAAAGACUAUGACGUCGGCAUCCACUACCACCCAGGAAAAGCAAAUGUAGUGGCCGAUGCCCUUAGUCGAAACCCCAGCCCGGACAGUGACGGUCAGCAAAACUUGAGGCCUGAGUUUCAGCGAGAGUUCGCUAGGCUCAACAUGAUGUUAGUCUCCGAGGGCACCAUAUCAAAUCUGGAGAUACAACCCACCUUGAUGGAACGAAUUAAGAAGGCCCAACAGGGACAUCCCAGCAUCGAAGGCAUAAAAAAGAAAAUGAAUGUUAGUAAGACUUCAGAGUUCGUCACAGACAGUGAAGGAACAUUGUGGUACCGAAACAGACUUUGCGUACCUAACAUUGAGGAACUCAAGCAACAGAUCUUGACGGAAAGCCACACCGCUCCAUAUUCGAUCCAUCCUGGAGGAACCAAAAUGUACAAGGACAUCCAGGAAAGAUUUUGGUGGCACGGUAUGAAAAGAGAUAUAGCCACAUUUAUUGCUUGUUGCGAUUCAUGUCAGCGUAUCAAGGCCGAGCAUCAAAAGCCAGCAGGGCUACUCCAGCCAAACAGAAUACCGGAGUGGAAAUGGGAUGAAAUAGGAAUGGACUUCAUUGUCGGAUUACCCCGAUCACAACGCGGAAAUGAUGCCAUAUGGGUCAUCACAGACCGACUAACCAAGGUUGCUCAUUUCAUUCCCGUGAAGACUACCUACUCCACCCAAAGACUGGCAAAGCUCUAUCUAUCUCGUAUAGUUUGCUUGCAUGGAGUCCCGAAGACUAUAAUAUCAGACCGAGGCACCCAAUUCGUCUCCAAAUUUUGGGAACACCUACAACAAGCUCUGGGCACACAACUGGUUUUCAGUACAGCAUACCACCCUCAGACAGAUGGGCAAACAGAACGUGUAAACCAAAUCCUAGAGGAUAUGCUAAGAGCCUGUGUACUCACCUAUGGAUCCAGUUGGGAAGAGAGUUUGCCGUAUGCCGAAUUUGCGUACAACAACAGUUACCAAGCCAGCUUGCAAAUGGCACCCUUUGAAGCAUUGUACAGACGGAGGUGUCGUACCCCAUUGAAUUGGUCAGAAACAGGUGACAGCCGUAUCUUCGGCCCAGAUAUGCUUAAGGAGGCCGAGGAAAAAGUUAAACAAAUCAGGGACAGACUCAAGACAGCAUAGAGCCGGCAAAAGAGCUACUAUGAUCAGAAGCAUCGUGAGGUCAGCUUUGAACCUGGUGAUUCCGUAUACCUCCGAGUAUCCCCUAUGAGGGGUCUGCAAUGGUUCAAGAUAAAGGGGAAACUAGCCCCAAGAUUUAUUGGACCAUUUUGUGUGAAGGCACGAAGAGGCACGGUAGCCUACCAACUAGACCUACCCAAGGAGCUGUCAGACGUCCACGACGUAUUCCACGUCUCGCAGUUGAGGAAAUGUGUGAGUAACCCGGAGAAACAUGUACCCCAUGAGGACAUUGAUGUGUAACCAGAUCUCACCUACAGAGAAAGGCCAGUAAAGAUUUUAGAAGAGUCUGAACGGAGGACCCAUCAGAAAACGACAAAGUUUUUCAGGGUCCAGUGGAGCAACCACACUGAGGAUGAAGCCACAUGGGAAAGGGAAGAUUUCCUCCGAGCAGAGUAUCCAUAUCUAUUUGAGGAUCAGCAGAAAUCUCGAGGACGAGAUUUUUCCUAAGGGGGUAGGUGUUGUGACACCCAAGUUUUAUUUCGAUUUUUCAAAAGGUUCUAUUUGACUUGAGGGGAGUGAUUUAAAAAAAAAUUUCAAGAGAACUCUCCCUCUCAUAUAUUUUUAUUUUCUUUAUGGCAAAAGUUUUGUUUGGAUUCACCCAAGAUCUGCCUUUGGCCUUGGGAGACCUUGCUUUUCAUUUGGACUCAAGACAAAAUGUUUUUUUUUGUUGGGGAGAAUAACUUUUGAAAAUCUUUUUGAAUUUGCACUAUGGCUUUCAGAAAGUCCUUUGUCACUUUCAACUAUUCCUUCUUGCCAUGGCAUUAGUGCAAAUCCUCUCUCCUAACCCUUCCCUCACCUUUGGAUCAUGUUUUGCAUCAAAUCCAGCAAGUUGAACAUCCCCAUGUGAUCAUUUCCAUUCAAAUCCUAUUCAAAUAAAUUUCUGUCUUCUCUUAUAGCACUUGGAGAUUUACAAAGGAACUCCUUUUUCUGUUUUGAUUUUUGCCACCAAACCUUUUUCCCCUCCUAGUCCUUUGAACCCUUAACCUAGAACCAUGAAGAUCCACUGGUCUCCAGUUCAAAAUUUUCAAACUACAUCUGCUGCAAGUUUGGACCAGUUUUGCCAAAUUUGGUGAAAUUCAUUCAAAACCUUCUCCAAAAAUUCCAAGUAAAUUCAUGCAGCCUCUGGGUGCAUUGAGUGGUCAUCUCACCAAGUUGCAGCUCCAGAAAAAUUUAUCUCAUAGCCAAAACCUACUGUCGAACACCUGCAAUGCAUGGUCACUGUCAAUUUUCAGUAAGUUCAGAGAACACUGCAGUGCUCACUGUCGUUUUCUUCAGAGAUGGGCAUCGAUCUCGCCAGUGCCCUCGCGUCGCCUUGCUCCUCGUCCCCGCCCUCUUGUUCCUGCACCGCACGAGCGCCUGGCACCUUGCGGGCGUCGGCGACGAGCAGCAGAAGGUGCGCCGCCCCGUGACCGACGCCGGCGGCGGCUUUGCGGACGCCAGCGGGAGACACGGCGCCGACGACUCCACCCAGCGCCGCCCAAACCACCGGAGCCCGCCGCGUGGCCUUCCACUCCCCCGAAUGCGCUGCCGCUCUCGUCGUGAACCGCAGGGCGCGGAGCGCGCUCUCUCCCGCCGUUGAGCCCGUGCGCUCACCUCACCGUGGACAGACACCAUUACGCCGGGGCCAGCUCCGUUUAGCAGUGGAACAGCUCCAGUAAUCUCCACUGAUGCUGCCCGACCGCUCAAACCACCUUCCAAUCCACAACUCUGCCGUAAUCGCUCGCCGGAGAUUCUCCGUUCACGGCCACCCCGUCGAUCUGCCUAUAAAUAGAGACCCCGAGGUUCAACUCGAGCACCCACCAGCCCUGCACUUCCCCUAGAGCACGCCUAGCCACUGGUAGAGCCCCGAGGAGGUCUCCUUCCUCGACUCCGACCGCCGCGACCCGCCACGGGAUCCAGCCCGAUUCGCCCCCGUGUGUGCUCCUCCGCCUCCAUUCUCUUGCCAGUAGCUUCACCUUGCAUCUCUCGGUCUGACCCGCACUUCAGUUUGAAGCUUGCAGCCCUCCACCGGAGUUCCCCAUCCUCACCCGAACCGCCGUCCGCCGGAGAAAGUGUCGCCGUCGACGUGGUGCUCCCCGUUGGACGAGUCCACCACCCACCGACGCGGAAGAAGGCACUGAAGCUCUUGGUACCCUCCGUUUCUCCUAACUCGCCGUGGUUCGACGCCGGCGUCCACCGCCGUCUUCGGGCACCGGCGAGCCUUUUCAAACCUGACAUGCGGACCCCGCGUGUCAGCCUCUGUUUUAUUUUCCUCGAACCGUUUUCUGUUGGCGCCUCGGGCAAAAUACGCUUUCUCUCUUGCGCUUGCGCAUUUCCAAACGAACCGUUUUCUGUUUUCUCAGUUAAAACCCUGGAACUUUUAUGUUUCAUUACAAAAAGGUCCCUGGACAGAAACCUUUAUAACUUUUUAAUAAAAAGGUAUUUUUGAGUGAUUCUUUUUCUGACAUUCUUAAAAUUUUGUCUAGUUUUUUAUGGGAUUUAUUUGAAAAAUAUUUGGCAAAGUUUCUGUGCAUGUGUUGGUUUUCACGUUAGUACCCGUUUCGUGAUUGCCGUAGGUUCCGGGAGACGUGACGGAGCCACGAACUUCGCCGAGCUAGACUCCGACUUCUCCGAACCAGGCAAGCAUGUUUUGAACAUUUGAUAUGACAGGUGUUUUGCAUGUUUGCGUGAAAGUUGGUGCGUGGCAUAUGAGUGUCGGUAAAUACCUUGUUGCUUGUGAGGCAACUACCCGGUUGUUCCAAAGUUGUGAUGAUCUCUGAUGAGAGAUGGCCUAAUCAUGUGGUGACAUGAAGGGCGGCAAGGUGGUACUGUUGUAGCAUACCAGCCUUGCGUCAUCCGACUUUUCCGACGUUAACGUGGUUGGAGCCACGUUAUCGUUUCUUUUCCGCAUGUUCCAAAGUUGUGAUGAUCUCUGAUGAGAGAUGGCCUAAUCAUGUGGUGACAUGAAGGGCAGCAAGGUGGUACUGUUGUAGCAUGCCAGCCUUGCGUCAUCCGACUUUCCCCCGACGUUAACGUGGUUGGAGCCGCGUUACCGUCCUUUCCCCUUUCCGUGCUACCACAUGUCUCAUUGCCAGGGAUGCGGUUUAGUAAGUUGGUAACCUCUUUCCGUGUACACACCAAACAGAGAGGCCGGGAUGAUGGUACCUUGGCCCAGGAUUAAAGCCAGUCAUCCGGUCAGGGGGCAUGGGUGUUUCCGGUUGGGACCGAGAGGGGGGGCACCCCCUUAUAGCGCGCGUAUAGAAAUUUGAUCCCAUGCUACGCGAGGUUGUAGCCUCCCCGUCUCAAGGUUUUUCUUGAACGAUGCCGAGGGUGAUCCCUGGCUUCGGAUGGUCAAAUUGGGUGUGUACUGGUUAGACGUGUUUCUUCCAAAACACCGCAGACGGAACUAGUCCUCGUGACUACUGAAAUCCGUUGGCUGUGGUUAAGUACAAACUCUGCAGAGUCAAUUCUUUCCAUAUCAUCGUAUCCAUGAUCAAAAUGAAAGCAUUAUAUCCAUAUCUAUCCGCGUGGAAAACUUGUCCCCGGUGAACCAGCUCAAGUGGUAAAAUUCAGUUUUAAUGUUAUUCCUGUGGAUGGACCAACCCUAUAUUUGUUUCUUGCUCGUGAUAAAUUAUGUUCUCAAACUAUUGUAUUAUUGAGCUGUGAUAUAAGCCCUUUAUGUGAUGUCGCGCAGACGUCCGACUGUGGCGUGUUUUUACUUCUUACAUUAUAUAUAAGCCCUUUUUGCGACGUCGCUCAGACGUCCGACUGUGGCAAGCACUGUCUUUAUUCUCUGUUAUAAGCCCUUUCUGUGGUGUCGCCUCGACGCCCGACUGUGGCAUUAUUAAUUCCGCAUUUUCCGCUCGAGGAGUCUUUCAGACACUCGUUUGGCACCAGUAUUAUUAUUCCGCAUUUUCCGCUCGAGGAGUCUUUCAGACACUCGUUUGGCACCAGUAUUAUUAUUCCGCAUUUUCCGCUCGAGGAGUCUUUCAGACACUCGUUUGGCACCAGAAUUAUUAUUCCGCAUUUUCCGCUCGAGGAGUCAUUCAGACCCUCGCUUGGCACCCAGUAUUUAUUACCUCUAUGUCUGAUCGUACUGGUUAGCUUAUUCAUGCAUUUCAUGUUCGCAUUUGUUAUACCUUAUGUCCGAACUGUCUUGCGAGUACUUUCAUAGUACUCACCUGGCUUGUUGAUUUGGCCAGAUGUUGACGAAGGCGAUCUCUUGGAUGAAGAGUUCGAUAGCGCGUCCGAUGCCUAGAGGAGUCCCAGUCAGUCCUGCGCGAUCCCGGAUUUUGGUCACUUGCUUUGUUUACGCUUCCGCCACCCGCAAUAAGUCUUCUCGAGCCUCACUCCGACGCUCGAAGAGCUGUAGUCUUCUGGAGUCAUAUCGCUCGCCCCGCGGUGAUACCUCCACCAUCAUUUUUAUCGUGAGUUAGUAGUUUGCCACCCUAUCCGCCGUUUUGUUUUAUCGGCGUGCAUGUAAUAAAUUGUUGGGCAGUCUCUGCUCAACCUUGUAUUAUAUUUAGUACUCCUGGUAUUUUUCUUCUGUGACCAAUAUAUUGUCUAUCAGUGAGAAGGAAUUCUUCCUCGCUGGUCCGUAACAGGGAUUGGUUUCUCAAUAAUUAUUUUAUUGAAAAACCGGUCGUGACAGCCAUCGCUACUAGGAAGCUUGAAGGGGUUAACGGGACAAGGAACACGAGGGUUUAUACUGGUCCGGCCCCUUACGGUGAAGGUAAAAGCCUACGUCCAGUUGAGGUGGUAUUGAUUAGGGUUUCAAUGACCAGGGAGCUUAACUGCUAUGCCUGGCUCACGAUGAGAUCUUUCUUGUCCCUAAACCGCUGCCGGGUCGUCCCUUUAUAUAGGGAGGCUGACGCCCAGCAGCUCUCAGAGUCCCGGCCGGCUCAUACAAGUGUCCGGCUCGGACUCUCAACUAUCCUUGCCUUACACCACAAGUUUUACUAUAAUGAUGAUACAACUACGGGCCUUAAGCCAUGUCCGGGUCUUAAGCCCAUCUUUGGCCCACCGUCUUCAAGCUUGUCGUUGGGCUUCUGGCGAUGACCAUUAGAGUAACCCGGCCCCUUCUGGCGGGUGACUCUAAGGUCUAUAUCCUCAACAGCUUUGCUGGUCUUGUUUUACCAUUGUCGAAAUGUCUUGUAAACCGGGAUUCCGAGACUGAUCAGGUCUUUCUGGGAGAAGGUUUAUCCUUCGUUGACCGUGAGAGCUUACGAUGGGCUAAGUUGGGACACCCCUGCAGGGUAUUAUCUUUCGAAAGCCGUGCCCGCGGUUAUGAGGCAGAUGGGAAUUUGUUAAUGUCCGGUUGUAGAGAACUUGUCACUUGACUUAAUUAAAAUACAUCAACUGUGUGUGUAGCCAUGAUGGUCUCUUCUCGGCGGAGUCCGGGAAGUGAACACGGUUUGAGUUAUGCAUGAGCGUAAGUAGUUUCAGGAUCACUUCUUGAUCAUUUCUAGAUUCGUGACCGUUGCGUUGCUUCUCUUCUCGCUCUCAUUUGCGUAUGUUAGCCACCAUAUAUGCUUAGUGCCUGCUGCAGCUCCACCUCAUUACACCAUCCUUUCCUAUAAGCUUAAAUAGUCUUGAUCUCGCGGGUGUGAGAUUGCUGAGUCCUCGUGACUCACAGAUUCUAUCAAAAAAGUUGCAGGUGCCAACGAUGCCAGUGCAGAUGACGCAACCGAGCUCAAGUGGGAGUUCGAUGAGGAACGUGGUCGUUACUAUGUGUCUUUUCCUGAUGAUCAGUAGUGGAGCCCAGUUGGGACGAUGGGGGAUCUAGCAUUUGGGGUUAUCUUAUUUUCAUUUGGAUUUUGACCAUAGUCGGUCUAUGUGUGAAUUUUUGGAUGAUGUAUGAACUAUAUUUAUGUAUUGUGUGAAGUGGCGAUUGUAAGCCAACUCUCGUUAUCCCAUUCUUGUUCAUUACAUGGGAUUGUGUAAAGAUGACCCUUCUUGCGACAAAACCACAAUGCGGUUAUGCCUCUAAGUCGUGCCCCGACACGUGGGAGAUAUAGCCGCAUCGUGGGUGUUACAUAGCACUACUGGAAGAGAUUGACGAGUUGGGGGAGGACAGCUAGCUGUAGCACGGACUCCCAAGAACUUUUUACAUGCAUGUUGUAGCCGGCUAUUGUGACCUUUGAACGCGGAGCAGCCGCGUGCACCCGGAAGCGGCGCGGGCGACGCUCUCUCGGACGGCGCGCCGCUUCAAUGCCGGCGCCAGUGAGAGGUCGCGUCCGCUCUGGCCGGGCAUGAAUGCGGCACUGACCGUUUCAGGCGGGAAGCAGGCGCGGGUGAUGAAGAGGGUUCGGGUUGGUCAGGACCGGCCGUGGCAGCGGUCCGGACGUGCGCAAACAAGAGAUGUUGUACAUUAAUAUUGUUGCGUAUAUAAUUAACAACGUAAAUAAUGUGCCAGUUGGACAAAUAUGAUUGGAGAUGGAGAUGGAAAUGGAAUUUUACGUAAACACGGAUAUGCAUGUCUAUGUCUAUGUGUGUGUGCGCGACGACUCUCGCGACCUGGAAGCGGGGGCGUGUUUUUGAUCGAGUUUUUCUUUCUUGGUACGUUAGAAAAUCAGUUUGUCUAAUUCACAUCUAGAUGUUAUUUAAGGAUAUCACAUCUAAGCUCCCACAAGUAUAUAAUGUAGCAACAAGAAACAAAAAAACUAGGAAAAAAAUAGACCACAAACAGAGUGGACAUCAACUUAGAUGUGACAUAACUAUGUCACAUCUAGAUGUGUCCUAGACAGACCCUUAAAAAAUUGUCCGCCAGUUUUCGUUUCUUUUUUCCGGGAACGCGCGUAUUCUAUUUAAAACCACUGCUAUGGAGAGAUUUUUUUACUCCAUUAUAGCCUCUUGUUUGAUAGAGUUUCUCGCGUCUCGCUCUCUCACCCUCUCCAUAUAUGUUACACGCUGGAGGCUCAGCGUUCAUUUGCUAGGGUUUACUAUAUUCACCGUCUCUCACCCUCUCUUCACCAGAUCUAAACAAGACUGCGUUGGCCUCUUGUCUCUCUCUCCCCCCUCACAGCUGGUGAAGGAGGCGUCCGUAUCCCGUCGCACCGGAAAGGGGAGGACGUGCAGCGUUCACUCUAUCGCCUUCGGCGAGGGAGGCAAUCCACUGCCGGCUGCGCUGUUCUCUUUCACCCAGCGCCUGUGCGGGAGGGCCACCGACCCCUUCUUCCUCGCUGUCGUACGUAGUGUGGGCAGAUCCGGCCUCCCGCCGCACGCCUUGCCACAUCCCGAUGACCCUAAGGUAUAAGUUUCUUUGAAACCGUCGUUGCUCUAGCUGCAUGUGGAUCUUUUUUGAUCUGUAGUCGAAUCUAGGUCUUGGUUCAAAGAGGAAAGAAGGGUGCGGUGGGCUGGAGCAAGAAUCUAGGACGUGGUUCAAUGAGGAAAGGAUGGGCGGAAAGUAGUAUAGACUGGCUAUCCAGCCGCUUUGUAGGUCGAAAAGGGAAAAAGGGGGUAACCCAGUACACACAUCUGUAAGGAACCGAUCUCUUUGUUGAAAAGGGAAAGAAACUGGGGGGUCGGGUAGUUUGUGCAGGACUAGAUUUGCUGCCCUCACAUAGGAAGAAGGUUCAAAGAGAACAAAUAUGGGACCAGCGCAUAUAUGCUGCUUGGCUACAUACUCUGCAUCACCCAUUUAUACGUGUGGACGCACAUGGUGCUGGCAUGUCCCAUACAGCUAUUUUGCUGUUGUUAAUCUAAGAAUGCCGCCGGAAAAUUGAAGCAAUGCCACUGUUAAAAGUAAAUUACAUUUUUUAACGAAUGUUGUUUCAAGAAAAUGUCUCUGUUAAUAUGAAUCAAUGCAACCGUUUUAGAAAUGCUACUGUCCUACUUUGUUUUCCAUCCAAGAUAAGUUAGAUGCUUCUUUCUGUCACCGUUUGUUUCAUCCUCCUUUAUCGGCAAGUAAUUGUUUCCUUUUUUGCCUCUGUUAAAACAGGGCUAUCGAUUCAACUUGUUGCUAUUGCAACAUUUUGCUUCGCUACUCGAAACACUUAUGUUUUAAGAGUGUUUUGUGCAGUUCAACUUGAAUGUCACACCGGUGACUUUGCUUAAUUUUGGUGGAACUGCACAAAAGGAGAUCGAGAUUUGUUUCCAGUCUUCGUGGCAAGUUGUUUCAAAUCUUGGUCUCAACCACAUGAUGUGCAGUGUGCUUUGAGAUGUAGUGCUACUUGUUUUGGUACUGUUUUAAAUAAAUGUUGAAUUGAAGCUAUUGUAUUGCUGUCUUUUCCCAUUAAGUAGUGAACAAAAAUGGGACCAACCCAGACAUGAUGCUUGUUGCUUUGUUACAACAAACUCUGCAUCACCCCCUUUAUAAGUAGAUGGAAGCACAUACUAUUGUUGCGCCCACUCUCCCCUGGAACUGUUUAUGCUUUUCGUUAAUCUAAUGCCGCUGGUAAAAUUAAGCAAUGCCACUCUCAGAAUUAAUUAACUACUGAAUCUUAGUUCAAAACUGCAACACUUGUUAGGAAUGGUACUAUCCUGCUUUGUAGUUCUUUCUACAUGUUUAACCAAGGUAUUGUUAAGAUAAUGUCUUUGUUAAAAUGAAUCAGUUGCAUUGUUUUAGGAAUGGUACUUUUCUGCUUUGUCGUUCUUUAUACAUGUUGAAACAAGGCAUUGUUAAGAUAAUGUCUCAGUCAAUAUGAAUGAAUCACACUGAUGGAGAAUUGCUACUCUCCUGCUUUGUUUCCCAUUAAGAUAAAGUAGAUCAGUAGAUGCUUUUCUUCUGGGAGUACAAGUCAUCAACAGUUAUUUCUCAGUAAUUGUUUCCCUUAUACCUAUUGUUGCUUACAGGGAUAUCAAAAUUAAAGCUCGGUUUUAUUCCGACUUCGAUUUUAGUUGAACUGCACAAAAGGAGCCAAUGUGUCCAAGGCAAACUGCUGCAUUACUGGGUCCAGUUGGUCGUUCCACUUUGCAGAAAGAAGCAGUCACUGUUUGCGCUACAUUACAGAAGGAAUGACCGAGAAGCUUUACAGAGUAUUAUUAGACACCGGUGACAUGACUAGUCUACAGAGACCAUUGGCAAUUUAACAACACGUGGAGUGCCCUCGGCAAAAAGUGCCCAAACAAGUACAAGAAGCUACUACAGGACUCCACGAUCAUAGGCAUUACAUAUUUUGAAUGGGAAAAGCUUGUCAAAGUUUAAUCAUUGAUGUUAGCAAGAAGACGUUAGUUUAAUAUAUUGGAAUUGGAAAACCUUGUCAAAAUUUGCUCAUUGAUGUUAGCCAGAAGACAUGCAUUUGAUAUUUUUGAGUGGGACGCCCUUGCUGUGAGCAGCGUCGAGUGUUUUUUCCUAUUCCUGUGUUCAAUUUAGAAGUAAAUAGUUACUCUGCAGAGAUAUUCCUGUGUUAAGAGUUUGUUCUGAAUAUUGUCUAUGUAAUGCCAGACCUUGUGUUUGAUUGCAAAGUUGAGCUUGGAAUGUUGUGGCAUGCGGCAUCACGAGCUGUUCACCGUGCCUCCUGAGAAUAAUGCUUCGUAUUGUUUUGCAUGUCGAUCUAAUGCCAGUGAUUUGCUUGUUAAGAAGAUCAUCCUCUUCUAUUGUUUCCGUGCUUAAGAAGUUCAUCGUCUGAUGUUUCAUGCAUAGCCUAUACGACAAGUCGGGUAGGUUAGACGUGAAACCAUAUGAUCUUCCGACCAACUCAUGAUAUUAGGCCGUGAUUGGAUCGUCGUUUUGCAACCAAAACCGCUUGUAAAACUGACGCUUGUAAAUUAAAGCAGAUGGUCUCGGGCGAAGGCGCUUGGUUGGUCGAUUUCGACUAGUAAAAUAUCGGAAGUACUUCACACACGAUAAAAACGCUGAACGACACUCGGACGAUUGCUAAUCCAGCCGUUAGCUGUUGUUUCAGCCUUGCCCAUGGAUGGCAUGAUACGCACGUCGUGCAUGUAUCGUUUGGUAAUGUCGUCCAUAUAGCAGUGCUCGUAAAAUAUACACUGGUCUCUCCAAUUACACGCGUAACCCGCCGGUUUUACUUACAGACCUCGGGCCCUCGGUUUCAUUACGCCUAUAUUUUACGCGUUGUUUCCGAUGACGAGUAAAUUACACUUGUAUGUUAAUACAGGUUUGAAAUAAACCAGAGCUCCCAAGUGCGGCCUUACCGUUUCAUGUCGUCUCAGUUUCUCGAAGGUGCUCAUAGGUGUCCGAUGAUCCUGGCUUCCUGAAUGAGCAGCGGGCGCUGUAUCAGACCAUCAGUAUGGCCCGCGAGGCCCUCUCCGUUGUCCUUCGAGUUGUUGCGCUCGCCGUGGCGCCGAGCAUUGUUAACAUCGUCAACGAACAUGAGGACUCAGGAGAUGACUUUAUUUUGACUGGAUGACACUAGGGACCCACUAGGGCCAUAGCCGUACGUACGCAAGUGCCUCCUUAUUAUGUACAACUAUAUUUUUUUUUGCUUUCUCCUGGUUUCCUGACAUCACGGUCACACACCAUUGUCAACCUAUGUAGUCACUAUAAACGAGAGAAUUGCACAAGGUGCGGCCGACAGCUGGGACCAAGCAGCUCGAGCAGUAUUUGUGUUUUGGAGGCGUGAGCACUGCAGAGUUUUUCUUGGCGAUGAUUUCGUUGUUGUUCAGAGGAGAGCAGGGUAUUAACUGGGCGGGCUGUGGCCCGUCUAGCCCAGGCCAGAUAUCCAGCCCAGAUACUAUUUUUUUCAAGAUGAAAAUGGCUAGCCCAGCUAUACGUCUUUUUGAGGAAUACCCAGGCAAGGUCAACUUGUUAUUCUCCGCCCCGCUGGGCUGGAAAUCUUUCCUAGGAGGGAUGCAUUAGGCUUAACAGGAAAACAGACUUUAAAAAUAAUAAAUGGGAUGUAAUUAUAAAAACUGGGCAGUAACUAUAAAAAAUGCACCAAACACGAAAUUAGUUUAUAAAAUAUUAUUUAUGGAUUUUGAAAAUCUUAAAUUUUCAUUGUUGCGCGCGCAAUGUUUCGUUGGAUUUUUACGUAAUACAAAUUUAUAUUUAAUCUAACUAGAAAUUUCGGGAUAAAAAUAUUUCGGAUCCCAUCAAAAUGUGGGAAAUUUUAUUGAAUUAUGUCUUCAACGGUUGGUUGAAAUUAUUAAUCGUUGUCCUAGCUAGAAAAUGGGAUGUACUUUUAACAAACUGUAAAUGAGCUGUUGUAAAUUUCAUUAGAAUUCAAAAAUGGGCUGUACAUUCUUACAAAAUGCAAAUGGGCUAUAAGUUCUCUGCCACACACUUGUGGGCCUACUAAGUAACGCGUCCCCUAAAAAAAUAAGUUGACGCGUAUGCAAGGCUUUGUCAGCUUAUUAUAGUCAACACACGAUUCUAGAAGCAGUGGCCGUUGGAUGUCUAUCCAACGGAUGUCGUGCUUCUUCUUCAAUCUCGGAUAUUCUUAGCUUCGGCCGCCCAAAAAAUGAUUCCUCCCCCUGACAUCUGGGGCGCACCGUUUCAGAGGCUGACCUGUGGGCCUACUAAGUUGGAGCGUACCAAGGGCUUUGUCAACUUAGUCAAUAUAAACAAUUCUAGCUUCAGUGACCGUACGAUGUCCAUCCAACGGCCGUAGUGCUUCUUCAACCUCUGGUCUUCUUGGUCCAGCCGCCCAAAGCAGCGCCGGUCAUGCCGCCUGCUCCUGCCUCCCGUGGCCGGCUGUGCUGCCGCGGAGGCCUCACCGCCCCCAUACUACUCCCGCCGCUGGCCAGGCCAUCCCUCCACUCACCCACACCCUCUGUUAUUCUGUGGCGACGGCAGCCUCACACCGCAGCCGAACCAGUGAACCCUCGUACUCCUCUCCGCGCGGGCUUCCACUGCUGCGCCUUCCCCGGCUCCGCGUCGUCCCCUUCCUAGGCCUCGCUGUCGUCCACCGCCCUGGUGCUCUCGGCACGGCGUGGUCAACGUGGUCAAUGACCGACUUCCAUCGGAAGAGUACUGUACGUGGAGAGGCUGACAGCUGGGUCCCCGGCGGCUGCAAGGAAGUGCCUCCUUAUUACGCGCAAAAUAAUUAUUCCUCCACCUGACAGCGAGGACCCACCGGACGGGCCACCUUAUUUCACGAAAAAACGUUUCCCCCCUGACUGCUGGGUCCCACCGGACGGGCCACCGUAUUUCGCGAAAAAACGUUCCCCCCGCUGUCAGCUCGGACCCACCGGAAGUGCCUCCUUAUUACACACAAAAAAAUGAAUACUCCCCCUGCUAGCUGGGACCCACCUUGGUGGGAGGCUGACUUGUGGACCUACUAAGUUGACGGGGAUGGAGGGCUUUGUCAACUUAGUCAAUAUGAACGAUUCUAGCUCCAGUGACCGUACGAUGUCCAUCCAACGGCCGUAGUGCUUCUUCAACCUCUGGUCUUCUUGCUCCAGCCGCCCAAAGCAGCGUCGGUCGUGCCGCCUGCUCCUGCCUCCCGUGGCCAGCUGUGCUGCCGCGGAGGCCUCACCGCCCCCUACUAUUCCCACUGCUGGCUAGGCCCUGCGGCGACGGCAGCCUCACACCGCAGCUGAACGAGUGAACCCUCAUACUCCUCUCCGCGUGGGCAUCCACUGCCGCGUAUUCACCGGCUCCGCGUCGUCCCCUUCCUAGGCCUCGCCGUCGGCCACCGCCCUGGUGCUCUCGGCGCGGCGUGGUCAACGUGGUCAAGGAACGACUUCCAUCGGACGUGGACUGUACGUGGAGAGGCUGACAGCUGGGUCCACGGCGGCAGCAAGGAAGUGCCUCCUUAUUACGCGGAAAAUAAUGAUUCCUCCACCUGACAGCAGGGACCCACCGGACGGGCCACCGUAUUUCGCGAAAAAAACGUUUCCCCCCUGACUGCUGGUACCCACCAGCUACACCUUCGCACGCAAGGAAGUGCGUCCGGGCAAAAAAAACGAUUCGCCCCCCUGACUGCUGGGACCCACCAGCUACAUCUUCGCACGCAAGGAAGUGCAUCCAGGCAAAAAAAACCAAAACGAUUCGCCCCCCUGACUGCUGGGACCCACCAGCUACAUCUUUGCAGGCAAGGAAGUGCCUGACAGUCGGGACCCACCUGGUCGAAGCGUACGUAGUGUUGUCAUUCUGGUCGCGAACGUGUACGUACAUAUAUACUGGUCGAUGUAGAGGCGCGCACGUGUCGUAGUAGAGGCGCGUACGUGUCGUAGUAGAGGCGCGCACGUAGCAUGUACACGUACGUACAGCGGCCAGAGUGCAAGAAAGAAAAUACGGCCACGUACGUACAUACGGGCAGGGUCUCGAACGCCUACUCGCGCAUACGUACGGCGAGGGCUCGUGUACAUGGCUGGGUCGGAAUGGAGAAACAGCGUCGUCGUCGUGUUCAUGGGGAGGUAACGGAAUGCGUCGUGUUCAUGGGGAGGCAAUGGAAUGCGUCGUGUUCAUGGGGAGGGGUGUGGCGUACCGCAAAACGGAGGAAACGGACCUCCUACGGUCGAAACGGGGGUCCUGUUGAUCGGGAGGAGUGUGGCGUACCGCAAAACGGAGGAAACAGACCUCCUACGGUCGAAACGGGGGUCCUGUUGAUCGGGAGGGGUGUGGCGUACCGCAAAACGGAGGAAACGGACCUCCUACAGUCGNNNNNNNNNNNNNNNNNNNNNNNNNNNNNNNNNNNNNNNNNNNNNNNNNNNNNNNNNNNNNNNNNNNNNNNUGGCGUACCGCAAAACGGACGAAACGGACCUCCUACGGUCGAAACGGGGGUCCUGUUGAUCGGGAGGGGUGUGGCGUACCGCAAAAUGGACGAAACGGACCUCCUACGGUCGAAACGGGGGUCAUGUUCAUCGGGAGGGGUGUGGCGUACCGCAAAACGGGACUCCACGGGAUACUGUUCAUCUCCACCGUCGACCUCCUCCAGCCUCCACGGGCUCCUGUUCAUCCAGCCUCCACCGCGCGCUACUCCACUGGCUACUGUUCAACCACCCCUCCACGGGCACCCCUCCACCAUCUACUGUUCAUCGAGNNNNNNNNNNNNNNNNNNNNNNNNNNNNNNNNNNNNNNNNNNNNNNNNNNNNNNNNNNNNNNNNNNNNNNNNNNNNNNNNNNNNNNNNNNNNNNNNNNNNNNNNNNNNNNNNNNNNNNNNNNNNNNNNNNNNNNNNNNNNNNNNNNNNNNNNNNNNNNNNNNNNNNNNNNNNNNNNNNNNNNNNNNNNNNNNNNNNNNNNNNNNNNNNNNNNNNNNNNNNNNNNNNNNNNNNNNNNNNNNNNNNNNNNNNNNNNNNNNNNNNNNNNNNNNNNNNNNNNNNNNNNNNNNNNNNNNNNNNNNNNNNNNNNNNNNNNNNNNNNNNACUGUUCAUCCAAUCGAUCGGCUUCAGUUAGCAGCAGUAGCGAAGGAAUCGCUCGAUCAGGUUCUGUUCAGGAUAUAACCAUUAGAGUCACCCACCCAGGAGGGGCCGGGUUACGUCAUAAUGAUCAUCACGUGAAGCCCAGUACCAAGCUUGAGGAUGGCGCGUCAGUAAUGGGCUUAAGACCCGGAGGCGGCUUAAGGCCCGUAGUGAUAAACCGCCGUUAUGGCAAGACUUGUAGUGUAAGGCAAGAAUAGUUAAGAGUCCGAGCCGGACACUGUUAUAAGCCGGCCGGGACUCUGAGAGCCGCGGGGGGUCAGCCUCUCUAUAUAAAGGGACGACCCGGCGGCGGUUCAGGACAGGUAAGAUCAGAUCGAUAACCAGGCAGAGCGGUUUAGCUCCUGGUCAUCGAAACCCUAAGUAAUACCAUCUCAACUGGACGUAGGCUUUUACCUUCACCGUAAGGGGCCGAACCAGUAUCAUCCUUGUGUCCCUUGUCCCGUUUAACGCCUUUAAGCUUCCCAACUGCGAUGGCUCCACGACUAAGUCCUUGCACGAGGACAUCUGCCGUGACAAUCCCACGACAGUUGGCGCCCACCGUGGGGCCAGCGCACGGUGGAUUUGAGUUCUUGAAGGGCAGCUUCGAAGGGCUCAAGGGAUACGUUGUGGGCCGGAUGACCAAGAGUCGUCGCGGCAAGCUUUACAUCGACGAUGCGAGCUAGGGCCCCAACGCCGGCUCAAUCGAGUACGGGUACCGGGUCCCCUUCGGCGGAAUCCACGUUUUCAUUGGCAAGAUUGGCGAGCCGGGCCCUGAGCCGGACCUCUGCGCCGACCUCAUCGAGACGGCUCAGCGUGCGAGACCCGCCCGGACUCUGCCUGCCUUGAAACGUGCUUUUGUGGGAUGCGUCCAUGGAGAACUCUCGGAAGGAUCUGGAUCUGACAAUGAGACGGCCGCUCGCUCUGACGGUGAGUCGUCCACGGAUGAGACCGACUCGUUAUACUAGCUUCAAGAUGGCGGGCUCAGGGGUUGUUCCGAUGGUGACAGUAUUCCGGAUCCCUUUGAGCCGCCCAGCCGGGUUGGAAUCUUCAUGGCCAGCGCACAACCUGUUCAAAACUCCGCCACUGGGGCAGGAGGCCCUGUGCACUCGCCGGCUCAGGCGCUGAUGGAUCUCACAGACAAGAUGACGGCCCUGUUAACUGCUAUGAUCGCCCCAGCGGAUCAGGCUCAACAUGAUGCGGAGAUAGCACAGUUAAAGCUGGACAUAGCAAGAGCCAAGGAAGAUCUGGCAGCGGAAGGGAUCAGGAUGGCUGCGGAACGGGCGGCUCUUGACGCCCAGACUCAGCUGAUUCAGGCACAAUCUUUCCGGCUCACGAUGGAUCAGAACGCAUCCAAUGAGAUCAUGAGAAGGAGGCAUCAGAAGGCUCAAUCUCGACUCCCUUCGGUUUAUGACCCUCGAAACCUCUUCAACACGCCUGGUGCAGGACCCAGUAACCCGCUGGAGAUCAUGGCACCCGGGGCUGGAAUGCCGAUUCAGCCACAAGUAAUGGGGCCUCCCGUGUGAGCACUGCCCCGCCCCAGUACGUGCCAAUACCGCCAGGUCAUUAUGCCAACCCAUUGGAAAACAUGAUCGCCGCGGCAGCGCGACUGGCGGCUCUCCCAAUCGAUGGUGACUCUCCAACGACGGUCGAAACCCGCCGGGUCAGAGAACUUCUUCAGACGGCUCUGGCGCAACAGGAGGCAUACUCGUAUAGCCGGGACAGGAUUCAUUCAACCCCUCGUCCAGACCGGAGCCCCAGUUAUAGCAGGCACAUGGUUUCAGCGAUCGGCUCAAGCAACGUCCGGCGCCGUGACUUGCCAGCUGGCCAUGACCCGGCACAUAAUGAAGCCGUUAACGUGAUAGACCAUGACAGAGCACGGCAAGAGCCUCAGUUGACAGCUUACCAGCCCCUCCCGGCUUAUCCGACGGUUUCUGUCGAUGCGGGUGUACCUACGAGGGCUGGAGGUGUCCCUUGUCUGGUGCCGGCUCUCCGUAACGUCUGCUCAAGGAUUUCAAAGGACCUAGGAAGGUACCUAAUUACACGGCUGAUUUACAACCUGGAGCAUGGAUUGAGAGCUACGAGAUGGCUAUGGAGCUACUAGAGGUUAGUGAAGUGGCGAUGGCCAAAUACUUCACCAUGAUGUUGGAUGGGACUGCCCGCACUUGGUUGAAAGGACUGCCACCUAAUUCCAUCGGGUCAUGGGCCGAGCUAAAAGCCCGGUUCAUCCAAAACUUCAAAGAUACAUGUAGGCAAUCUAUGUCAAUUGUGGAUUUGACUAACUGCAAGCAGCAAGAGGGCGAGUCUACAACCCAUUGGGUUCGCCGGGUCAAAGAGAUAAUACACUCAUCUGAUAAGAUGGAUGCCGGCUCUGCAGUCUUAAUGUUGGAGUAGAAUUGUCGUUUCGCGCCCCUGAAGAUGAAGCUCGGGCGGCUCAAGCGCGAUUGCAAUGAUAUGGGUACGCUGAUGGCGGCUCUGGUCAAGUACGCCAACUCUGAUAGUACCAAGGAUCCCGCGUCGGAUGAUGAAAGGACAGGGAAGGGAAAACGGAAUGGCAAUGGCAAGGGCCCUCAGCAUAACCCGGCGAACCAGGGAAGUAACAAGCGUAAGGCUGAUGGCAGUGUGGAAUUUGUGGCCAACACCAAUGCGCAAGGUAACAACCACCGACAUAAAGGGAGACCACCUCCCCGAGCUGGCGGGUCAGGCCCGACGCUUGAGCAGUUGUUGAAUGAGCCCUGCCCAAGGCACGGCUCUAGGGAUAAGCCGGUCACUCAUCUGUGGAAAGACUGCGCAAUCAUGAAAGCCUUCAAAAAUUCCAACGCUUUUAAUGGCAGCAAUGGGUCGGGCGGCGGCUCAGGAGCUGGCGGCUUUCAUGGCCCGGGCGGCGGCUCAAAUUCCAAUUCUCAGAAUUUUCAAGGGGGCUUUAAUCAGCAGUCUGGCCAGGGUAAUCAAUAGCCGCAGUAGGGAGGAUACCAGACCAAUCCAAAGCAGCUUAAUGGUGGGCAGUAUCAUGUGUUUACUACCAGUCUGUGCAAACAAGACCAGAAGCUUCAUAAGAGGGCAGUAAAUGCUGUUGAGCCGGCGGUUCCCCGUUAUUUGAGAUGGUCUGAACAGCCUAUUGUGUGGAGUACGGAAGAUCACCCUCCCCGGGUUGAUAAUCUGGGUCACCUGGCCUUGGUGGUGGCUCCUCAGGUUGGAGGAUACAAAUUCACUAAAGUGCUCAUGGACGGAGGCAGCAGCAUCAACAUCCUCUAUUAUGAGACCUUCCGUCGCAUGGGACUAACUGAUAAAAGCCUCAGCCAGUCCAACACUGUUUUCCAUGGGGUGGUGCCUGGUAAGUCGGCAUACCCAAUCGGUAAGAUCGAGUUGGAAGUGGCCUUUGGAGAUGAGUACAACUACAGAGCGGAAAAACUGACGUUUGAGGUGGUUAAAAUAAGAAGCCCGUACCACGCUCUAUUUGGGCGGCCGGCUUACGCCAAGUUCAUGGCGCGGCCGUGUUACGUGUAUUUGCAGCUCAAGAUGUCGGGUCACAAUGGGACCAUUACGGUUCAUGGCAGCCGAAAGAUAGCCUUGGAAUGUGAGGAGGGUGACGCUGCUUACGCUGAGUCAGUUUGUGCGACAGAGGAAUUGAAGUUUUACAAGGAUAAUGUUGACCCGGCAGAUAUGACGUCUUUGAAAAAGCCAACCACGGAGCAUGAGCCGGUAAUGAAAUUUAAGUCAGCUGAUGAGACUAAACUUGUUGAUUUUGUUCCAGGUGACUCAUCUCAGCAGUUCAGCAUCAGUGCCAAUCGGGAUCCGAAAUUGGAAGGCGCGCUCAUCGAGUUCAUCCGUGAGAACAGGGACAUCUUUGCAUGGAAACCUUCUGACAUGCCGGGUGUACCUAGAGAACUCGCUGAGCACACCCUUAAUAUUGAUCCGAAAUUUAAGCCGGUCAGGCAAUUCCUCCGGCGGUUUAAUGAGGAGAGGCGGAAAGCCAUUGGUGAGGAGGUAGCCCGGCUCUUGGCGGCCGGGUUUAUUGUUGAAGUUUUUCAUCCUGAAUGGUUAGCUAAUCCGGUGCUCGUUCUCAAGAAGAAUGGCACCUGGCGGAUGUGUGUGGACUAUACGGAUCUAAACAAAGCUUGUCCGGCUGAUCCUUUUGCUCUCCCCCGUAUUGACCAAAUUAUUGAUGCUACGGCGGGUUGUGAGCGUUUAAGCUUUUUGGAUGCUUACUCUGGAUACCAUCAGAUCAAAAUGGCAGUUAAGGACCAGGAGAAGACGGUGUUCAUCACUCCUUUUGGAGCCUUCUGUUAUGUGUCUAUGCCCUUUGGGCUCAAGAGUGCACAGGCGACUUACCAGCGUUGCGUGCAGAAUUGUCUUCAUAACCAGAUUGGGCGCAAUGUUCAUGCCUAUGUGGAUGAUAUUGUGGUUAAAUCCAGGGAGAAGGAGACCUUGAUAGAUGAUCUGAGAGAGACCUUUGACAAUCUCCGGGUCUACAAAAUGAUGCUUAACCCGGCCAAGUGUGUUUUUGGUGUUCCCGCAGGCAAGCUCUUGGAUUUUCUGGUUUCUUACAGAGGCAUUGAAGCCAACCCGGAAAAGAUCAAGGCAAUCACCUCUCUGGCUAAGCCGGCGUGCAUAAACGACAUCCAGCGUCUAGCGGGUCGCAUCGCUGCUCUGAGUCGGUUUAUAAGCCGGUUGGGUGAAAAGGCCAUGCCAUUGUACCAGAUGAUGAAGAAAACAGAUGACUUUAUCUGGAAUGAUGCUGCUAAUGCUGCUUUUGAGGACUUGAAAAGACAGCUAGCUGAGCCACCAGUCCUUGCUGCUCCUAUUGACAAGGAGCCUUUACUGCUGUAUGUAGCCGCCAACACACGAGCCAUCAGUGUGGCUGUGGUGGUGGAGCGUAAAGAAGCGGGUAAGGAGUAUCCGGUUCAGCGGCCGGUUUACUACGUCAGCGAAGUACUCAUUGAGUCCAAACAACGAUAUCCACAUUGGCAGAAACUUGUUUAUGGGGUGUUCAUGGCGAGCCGGAAGCUUAAGCAUUAUUUCCAGGGUCACCCUAUCACUGUGGUUAGUUCUGCUCCCCUAGGAGACAUCAUCCAAAACUGAGAGGCCACAGGAAGAGUUGCUAAGUGGGCUAUAGAACUUGGCCUCAUGGUCUAAAAUACGUGCCACGCACUGCUAUCAAGUCUCAAGCAUUAGUGGAUUUCAUCAACGAUUGGACAGAGCUGCAGGUGCCUAAAGAGAAACCAUAUAAUACUUACUGGACUAUUCACUUUGACGGGUCCAGGCAAUUGGAGGGCUCGGGGGCUGGGGUUGUACUAGCUUCCCCUCGAGGUGACAAGUUUUGCUAUGUGCUACGGUUGAUGUUUCCCUGUACUAACAAUGCAGCUGAGUACGAGGCCUUGCUCCAUGGUCUUCGGAUGGCUAAGGAGAUGAGCUUAAGCCGGGUAAGGUGCUUUGGCGACUCAGAUUUAGUGGCCCAACAAGUGUCAGGCAAGUGGGAUUCCAAGGACCCCCUCAUGGCGGCUUAUCGCCGCGAAGUUGAUGCCAUUGCUGGACAUUUUCAGGGGUACCAGGUAGAGCACAUCGAUGUGUGGAAGAACGAGGCGGCUGAUGCAUUGAGCCGGCUGGGCUCUGAGCGAAAGCCGGUGCCGCCUAAUACUUUCUUGGACAUUUUGCAUAACCCUUCUGUUAAGUUGCCUACAGAGGAAGAUUUGGCUGUUCCUGACCCGGAAGCACAGUUAGUGGCGGCCCUCCACGUUAUCCCAGAUUGGACAGUACCAUACUUGGCUUACAUGACCCGGGGAGAAUUGCCUGAGGAUGAAACUUUGGCCAGACAAAUAACCCGGCGGUCUAAGUCAAUGAUAAUUAUCAAUGGCGAGCUGCAUCGUCGUAGUGUCACUGGAACUUUCCAGCGUUGUGUUUCCCCUGAGGAAGGUCAAGAAAGUUUACGUGAGAUUCACGAGGGGGAUUGUGGCCAUCAUGCCGGCUCAAAAUCCCUUGUGGCCAAGGCUUUUCGUCAUGGUUUUUAUUGGCUGACGACUCAUGCUGAUGCAGAGGACUUGGUCAGUAAAUGUGACGGUUGUCAGAGGUUCUCACGACGGGCUCAUGUGCCGGCUCAAGAGUUGAGGAUGAUACCAAUCACUUGGCCAUUUGCGGUCUGGGGGCUUGAUAUGGUUGGGCCUUUUAAAAGGUCCAAGGAUAAGAAGACCCACCUCUUGGUGGCGGUCGAAAAGUUCACAAAGUGGGUUGAGGCAGAGCCAGUUAGUAAGUGUGACGCAGACACAGCGGUUCAGUUCAUGAAAAAGGUGAUAUUUCGCGUUGGUUUUCCACACAGCAUUAUAACUGACAAUGGUACCAAUCUGUCUAAAGGCGCCAUGGAGGAGUUUUGUCAACGAGAGCAUAUUCGGCUCGAUGUUUCAUCAGUGGCUCACCCUCAAUCCAAUGGUCAAGCUGAGAGAGCCAAUCAGGAAAUCUUGAAGGGCAUCAAGCCCCGGCUUUUGGUCCCUUUGCAACGGAGGCCGGGUUGUUGGGUGGAGGAAUUACCCUCCGUGUUAUGGAGCAUCAAUACUACUCCUAACAGGUCUACGGGUUACACGCCUUUCUUCAUGGUUUAUGGAGCGGAAGCGGUCCUCCCUAGCGACAUCCGUCAUGAUUCGCCUCGAGUGGCGGCUUAUGUUGAGGGGGAUAAUGAGCAGGCGCGUCAAGAUACUCUUGACUUGUUGGACGAACAGCGUGAUGUGGCAGCAGCUCGUUCGGCGAUUUACCAACAAGACCUGCGCCGCUAUCACAGCCGCCGGGUUAAGUCCAGGGUCUUUCAGGAAGGUGAUCUGGUGCUCCGGCUCAUCCAAGAUCAAACAGAUGCACACAAGUUAUCCCCGCCUUGGGAAGGGCCCUUUGUGGUCAGCAAGAACUUGCACAAUGGGUCAUACUACCUUAUCGAUGUUCGGGAGCACAAAGAUUCACGUAAGUCGGAAGAGGAAACCCGUCGGCCGUGGAACAUAGCUCAGCUUCGGCCUUAGUACACUUGAGCCACCGGCUCUCAUAAUGUACAUAUUUCUAUAUCCAUGUAUAUAUUAUGAUAAAUAAUAAAGCAGGACCUUUGUCCUUUUUUCCUCCAAAGGUAAAUGUAUUAUUGUUAUUUCCAUUACAACAUUACAUGGUCACUUGGAGGUCGAUCCGGCUUAUGAUCGUAUUCGAAUCUAGCCGUUAACAAUAUGAUCACUUGGUGGCUUCCUGUUCAAACAUAGGUCGUAUCCGAACCAAAAAGAACAUAGCUGUCGAUACCCACUUGAUUGGCAAAUUGCCGAGCUCAUUGGGGAGUUUUUUCUUGAUCAUAUUUGAAUCAUAGCUCAACCCCCUUUGAGAACCGACGUGGAUUGUAUUCGAAUCAGCGUCGUUAAACAACUCUCAAGGUCAUUUGGGGGCUUCCUGUUCAAACAUAGGUCGUAUUCGAACCUAAGAGAACAUAGCUGUCGGUACCCUCUUGAUCGGCAACGCCAAAGCCACUGGGGGCUAUAUGAUCGCAUUCGAAUCUUAGCUUAACCCCUUUGGGAUGGUUCUCUGGUCGUAUUCGAAUCAGAAGCCCCUGUAGUUUUUGAUCUUUUGGUUUGCAACAAGUUCUUUUGAUCAUAUCAAAAGUGUGCACGGGUGGUUCUUAAUCCACCGGCUUAAUUUUGAUUAAUAAUGUUGAUAGCAUACAAUAAGCAUUAUAGGUGCUGGUGAACCGGGGUUGAGUUCUCAACCUCAUUAUUUGGGUUACAUAAACCGGAAGUGUACUUGAAGGCUUGCAGGUAUGCUAUUAUGGUUGUCUCGAAGAUAUAAUUGAGAGCCGGUCUUUUAUGACCUUGAUUCAUAUUACGGGUUAUAUGUAGAAUAUAUGACUCUCCAUGUGGUAAGCUGCCUCGAGACUUGUGAUUUGUUUUCCUAUGCAGGACAAUUAAAGACAGCUCUUUAAGCUUAAGGAAAGUAAAUGAUCAAACAUAACCCGGAGAAAUAUAAAAGAGCAGCUUCAACAGAGUUAAGCGCUGCACACGUGCACACUGGCAUGACAAAAAUUAAGUGUGUCCUACUCUAUUACAGGACUCCCCGAGUCCAAAAGGUGAGGCAUUGUUUUUAAGGCAUAACCAUGAGCCGCCUAAGAAAUCAAGUUGCUUGUUGGGUUGAAGCUCCCGGCUCAUCCCUCUCCGCUCCUCCGGCUGUUUCCAUGACCUGGAAGGUUGAUGAUUUCUAGUCAAUGCCACUCAAGGCUUCAAAUUGAGCCUCAUCAUCAAUUAACCCGGCCGGGUCAACUUCUGGGGCGAAGGUAUGCUUACGAGUCGGAGGGAUCAGGCUGACUGCUUCAUAGCGUGGGGUUGGGAUCCUCUGAUUUUCCGCGUCAUAGCCCGGUUGAUACUUGGUAAGGUCUGUGUCAUUCCCAAUCAAGGUGGCCACCGGGCGCACGCUCUUCACACAGGCGGCGAAGUCUUUCUGGUCAAAGGGGGUGCCGUCUUCCUUCAGGCUGGGGUAUCCAAGAGCGAUGUCGGUCGGGUCUAGCUCCGGUAGAAACGCCUUGGCCCGGCUCAGAGAAGCUAUAGCUCCAGCUCUUGCAGAAGCCCGUCUCAGCUCUUGGAAGCGCUGAGGAAGUACGGCAAGCCGCCUGAGUACAUCCGCCAGGUGAGUGGGAACUUCAUUGGACAGAGCCACAACGGCUAAAGCACGUUGUGACCCGGUGUAAAGUUGCUCCACCAAGGUGUAAACCGCCUUCAGCUUGGUCAACAUGCUCUGGUUGAGAUUGGAGCUCCUGGGACCUGCAUUACGAAGUCAGGUGAGCUGAUGGUAAUUGAGAUAUCUAUGGGAAAUAAACGAUGUAAAAUAGUUGGAAACUUAUGGAGUGACUUACCAAAGAAGGCGGAGACCAUCUGAGAAACAUGGCGUUUUAAGCCGGAUAGCUCGGCGGUUCUUUCAGUAAGGGUAGCCUCCGCUUGUUCGGCCCGGCUGAGCAAAGCAGUUUUUUCGUCUGCCCAGGCUUUCCUUUCUACUUCAAACUUCUUCUUCAGUUUCUCUUGUGCAGAUACACUGAGCUCAAAUUUGGAGUUGGCCUUUUGGGUUUCACUUUCCUGAGUCUUCAGGCGGUUCUUCAGAUCAGAGAUUUCCGACUCAAAUUUCUUACAGAUGGCCUGUGCAAAUUCCGGGUUACAGUUAAGGUGAGUAUAAUGCAAUAUUAAGUCCCAAGAACUUUGCAAGCAAAGACACUUGGCACUUGGGGACUAAUGUAUGCUGAAAGGCUCUAGCUACAGUGCCGGUUCAUGAAAGUAAGUCCCAAGCACUUCGCGGGCAAAGGUACUUGGCACUUGGGGGCUAAUGUAUAAACUUGAUCAGCUACUUGAUUAAUAUAAGGUAAGGAUGCUGUCUAACCCGGCCCUUGAGUGUUAUCAGGUAAGCCGGUUUUCUUACAGUGAUUACUAAGCUGGUAUUAAAGUCUACAACGUAUUUCAUCAUAAGUAAUAGACUUGGGGGCUGGCAUGGUAAGGAUAACUAUGGAGUAAGCAAGAGAAUCGUACCUCAGAUUUUUGCUGGAUUUGCUUCACCAUGUCAAUUUCCAGGUCCCGGUUGUUGUGCACUUGAUUAACGUAGCUGGAGACAAUAUCUCCAAUGCUCAAAUUAGCAUAGUCAGUGAUAUCCAGCCUGGCCCUGCGGCGUUCCAGCAGUUCUUCCUUGGCAGAGCAUCUAGCUAACACAGUGGGUCUUCCCGGCUCGACAAACUCUGUCCGGGUGAUUACAACGUCCGGAUCAUCGGCCGGUUGAGCCGGGCUAGGGAUCUCCGGAUUAUCAGGACCCUCCAUGAUUUGUUCUUCAGAUAGAGCAGUGGUGGGUUCAGGAGCUGAGGCAGACGACGGCUCAUGAGCAGAAGCCUCAUGUUCGGUCAAGACCGGCUCUUCGACCGGUUUACCUUUCUUUGCCCUCUUGCUGGGCUUUGCUUGUGCACUGAAAGUCAAAAGGUUAGUGCAAAAACAUGAGUAAGAUAAGCAGAGAAUAAGCUGAUCAUCAUUACCCGGGUGCGGUCUUGAAAGCCGGCAAGUUAGAUUGCAUGGAGUCACCGGAGGAAGGUGAAGUUUCCUAAUAGUUUGAAUCAGAAGAAUUGAGUGGUUGAUGAGUGACGCCCGCCAGAGGAUGAAAAGGAUAUAAGUCAGAAAUAACCUCGGUCCGGCGCUUCCUUGAUGCUUCAGGUAAGCCGGAGGAGAGGUCUGCAUCCUUGUUGGUCCGGGUUUGCCUCCGGCUCUCAUGAAUCUGUUGCUUCAAAAGAAAUUGAGGAUCUUGAUAAGCUAAAGGAUGUGAAAAUCUUACUUUCCGGGUUACUCUUCGGACUUUCAGUCUUGGCAAGGGCUCAGAGUCGGAGGAAAGUAUAGUUACCUCUUCAAUCACCGGGUUACUCGCUCCGGUAUCCUCCUGCUGAUAAUCAGUGUUAAUAAGAUGGUUAAAAAGAGUCUAAAAGAAUCAAGGGCUACCUCUGACUCGGAGGUGUCUUCCAGGUGAAGCAGGUCCGAGGCGCUAGGCUUACUCCCUUUCUUGCGGGGGGCGGCUCUCCUGGCGGCUUUUUUAGCCCUCCUGGCUUUUUUAGCAGCUUCAUGGUCAUACCUGACCUUUCAGAACUUAUCAUUAGCCUGAAAAACACAACAAAGAUUAGUAAGCUAAGACAAAAUCGUUAAAAUGAAAGGAGAAGCACUCAGGUCAAUGGUUUACCGCAGGAGCCGGGUUAGUCUUGCAGAAAGGGCUUAGGCCCACUCUCCCGCAAUCUGCCAGGCUCUCGUUCAGAAGUGACUUGGUUGUAUCAUCAAUAACAUCUUCAGGUAAGUCCUCUGGACUGUGCCGUAGAGGAUCAUCUUUCCGGCCUGUGUACUCACACAUCAAGCUGGGGCGGCGGCUUAAAGGAAUCACCCGCCAGGCAACCCAGACCCGGACCAGAUCAAUACCAUUUAAGCCGUUUCCCAGAAGAGCUUUGAUUUUGUUGAUAGUGGGUGUAAGUGGUUGACGUUCAGCUUGAGAUAAUUUGUCUGGCAAAGGGUGAUUUGAUUCCAGACGUAGGGCGCGAAAGCCGGGCAGAGGGUUCUCAUCAGCUGGAGAAGUAUCCUGGCAGUAGAACCACGUCUGGUUCCAGUCCUUUGGGUGGCUUGGCGGCUUAGCAUAAGGAAAGAGACAAUCUCUCCGUCGUUGGAUUGAGAUUCCACCAAGUUCCAAGCUAGGCCCGUUGGCGCAUUCAUUCUGGCGGUUCAGGUAAAAUAACUCCCUAAAGAGUAGCAGGCUGGGCUCUUCUCCGAGGUAUGCCUCACAGAACACUUGAAAGUUGCAAAUGUUCAACACGGAGUUGGGUCCUAUGUCUUGAGGUCGCAGAUCGAAAAAGUGCAGAACAUCUCUGAAGAAUUUUGAGCCAGGAGGAGCAAAGCCCCGGCUCAUGUGGUCAGCAAAUAUAACAACUUCUUCGUCCUUUGGCUGAGGUCUCUCUUCGGACGGGUCAGGCGCACGGUAGGACAUGACCUCCUUCUUAGGCAGGUAACCCAUUUUUACGAAGUCAUUUAAGGUGCUUUCAGUAAUGUUGGAUCUCACCCAGUUGCACGUAAUGGGCGCCUUGGGAGCCUUGGGCGGCAUUGUGGAAAAUGGGAGCCUAUGACAAAGGAAAAUUUCCGGUUCAAAUUUAAGCCGGAGAAAGAUUUCAGUUCAGUAUUCAAAAUGGCGGUUUAUGAAGGGGCCUAAUGAUAUAUGACUAAUCGUGUCAGGUUAUUUAAGCCGCCGCGGAUAUUAUAAGCGAUUUAAGUUAUUUAACUCUAUUAUGAGUAAGCCGGAAAUUUCACAAAGCAUGGCCUCUUUUAAGCCGGCGAUAUGAGCCGCCAUGGCUAACAGAUGCAGUUUUUGUCUAAGUGUUGCAUAAACAAGUUUCACAGAUUGCAGAGAUUAUUUUGGAUCAAACGAUCGUCCAGAAAGGAAAAAUUUCUAGACCUAAAAAGUUGAUACAGAGAAGUUCAUAAGCCCUAAAUGAGGUCUUUUUGCGGGCAAAAGGGAUCUACUAGCAUAAAAAUGGGUGAGAAACUACUACCGCAGGGAGUCUGUACCGUUUUUCGAUCAAAGGGAACCUCGGUGGUGGAACUGUGAAGAAAUCGCGAUGAACUACGAAGAACACAGAGAACUCGCGAGCCCUAAUGCGGAUCUAAGGUACGGUACUGCGAGGACUUACUGGUGCUGAUGAGCAGCAGAGGUGCGCCGCAGGUUUCUGGUCAAGACAGGUUGAUGCAGCAGCCUUGGUCGGUGAAGACGAGGUGCGCGGCGGCGGCGGCGGAGCUCGGGCUCUGGAGCAUCAGAGGAGGAAGACGAUGGAGGAGAAGAGUGACGAAGGCUUAUGGGCCGGGCCUACUUAUAAGGGAUGGCUGGUAAAUGGGCGCGAGAAACGAGGAGGCUGAAGACGUGAUUAUCUUGCCGCAGAAACGCCUCGAUUCUCGGGAUGGUCAUUAAGAUAAGAUCCGUUGGGAUAUGGCGGAAUAAAAAAUGAAUUUAAUGGAAGAUGACGUCAUGGCGGGUUACCAAGAAUCCAAAAGAUGACGUCACGGCGGGUUAUAACCUUUGCACAAGCAGAAGCCGGAAGAUUUUGAAGAUUGACAUGAACCGGUUCAAAUCAAUCUGGGGCCUAAUGUUGAGGAUAUAACCAUUAGAGUCACCCGCCCAGGAGGGGCCGGGUUACGUCAUAAUGAUCAUCACGUGAAGCCCAGUACCAAGCUUGAGGAUGGCGCGUCAGUAAUGAGCUUAAGACUCGGAGGCGGCUUAAGGCCCGUAGUGAUAAACCGCCGUUAUGGCAAGACUUGUAGUGUAAGGCAAGAAUAGUUAAGAGCCCGAGCUGGACACUGUUAUAAGCCGGCUGGGACUCUGAGAGCCACGGGGGGUCAGCCUCUCUAUAUAAAGGGACGACCCGGCGGCGGUUCAGGACAGGUAAGAUCAGAUCGAUAGCCAGGCAGAGCGGUUUAGCUCCUGGUCAUCGAAACCCUAAGUAAUACCAUCUCAACUGGACGUAGGCUUUUACCUUCACCGUAAGGGGCCGAACCAGUAUAAUCCUUGUGUCCCUUGUCCCGUUUAACCCCUUUAAGCUUCCCAACUGCGAUGGCUCCACGACUAAGUCCUUGCACGAGGACAUCUGCCGUGACAAUCCCACGACAGGUUCAGUUAACAACCAUCGAUCGAUCGCUCGGGUUCAAUAACGCGUAGCCUGCAGUGCAAUCGCUCGGGUUCAGUUAGAGCCCAACGCCUCGCUCGGGUUCAGUUAGAGCCAACGCCUCGCACACACGCGCGUACGUGUACGAGAGAAACGCGCAUCGCUCGGCCCCCGACCUCCCACCGUAACCGGGAACUCCCCAAAAUUUUCCUCCCCCUCGCUUCUACCACGGUUUUUUUCCGUCAUGGACGGCCCAAAGAAUGUCAUGCAGCUGCAUCUCCGGCCCGCCCAGGACAAAAAGCCCAUUUUCUGUCAUGAUUUUUUGUCAUAGAAGUAGGAGCCCACCACAUCUAUGAUGAUACCGGGUUUUGUCACAAUUAUCGUCAUAGAAGUGUCAUAUGUAUGACAGAAAAAAAAAUCGUUCAGCCCAAAAUGUCACGGAUGUGUCUUUUUUUGUAGUGACAUCUUCUGGUAGUGCGGGUAGUUCUGCUUCGAGGCGGAGCACCUUGCUCAGGUAGUAGACGGGACGCUGGACAGCUUGGACCUUGUCCUUCUCUGGUCGCUCGACCACCAUCACCGUGCUGACCGACCGCGAGAUCGCGGCGAUAUAGAGCAAUAGCGGCUCCUUCUCGGUCGGUGUGGCCAGGACUGGUGCGGUGGAGAGCAUACGCUUGAGAUCCCGGAAAGCCUCGUCCGCCUGGUCGUUCCAUUAGAACGGCAUUGUCUUCUUCAUCAGCUGAUACAGGGGCAAGGCCCUCUCGCCCAGCCGGCUGAGAAACCGGCUGACCGAGGCCAAGCAGCCGGUGAACUUCUGGACAUCGCGUAGCCAAGCCGGCUUGCGCAUGCGCUCGAUGGCCUUGAUUUUCUCCGGGUUUGCCUCAAUGCCGCGCUCCGAGACGAGGAAGCCGAGUAGCUUUCUGGCCGGGACGCCAAAAACGCUCUUCUCCAGGUUGAGCUUGACCUUGUACUCGCGUAGGUUGGCGAAGGUUUCCUUUAGGUCGUCGAGGAGCGUGAGGUGCUGCUUGGUCUUCACCAUGAUGUCGUCCACAUAGACGUGGAUAUUGCAGCCGAGUUGUGGCAGCAAGCAUUUCUGCAUGCAGCGCUGGAAGGUGGCGCCGGCGUUCUUCAAGCCGAACGACAUGGCGAUGUAGCAAUACGGCGUGAUGAAGGAUGUCUUCAGGGCGUCGGCCGGGUCCAGCUUGAUCUGAUGAUAGCCGGAGUAAGCAUCCAGGAAGGACAGGAGCUCGCACCCGGUAGUGGAGUCGAUGACUUGGUCGAUCCGCGGGAGGGUGAACGGGUCUUUGGGGUAGGCCUUGUUCAGGCUGGUGUAGUCGACGCACAUGCGCGAGGUCUUGUUCUUCUUCAGGACGAGGACUGGGUUGGCCAACCACUCGGGGUGAAACACUUCCAUGAUGAAGCCGGCCGCCAAGAGCUUGGCGACCUCUUCACCAAUGGUUCUUCUCUUCUCUUCGGAAAAAUGUCGCAGGGGUUGACGGACAGGCUUGGCAUCCUUGUGGACGUGGAGUUUGUGCUCGGCGUACUUCCUCGAGAUACCCAGCAUGUCCUUUGGGGUCCAUGCGAAAAUAUCCCGAUUCUCACGGAGGAAGUCGACGAGCUCGCCUUCCUAUUUGCUGUCGAGGCGGGUGCCCACGACAACGUACUUGCUGCAGCUGGGGUCUUCCGGGUUCAGCUUCACUUUCUUGGUCUCCUUGGAGGGCUUGAACGAGGCCUCGUCUGCCGGCUCCUUGGCCGGGAUCGGCGCGGCCGACACUUCUUGGGCCAAGGCGACAAUCCGGUCGAGUUGGCGCCGCACCUUGGCUACGACCAGCGACUUGGCCAACUUGGCGCCGUCUCGGGCGCAUUCCAGGGACUUGCGGUAGUCGCCGGUGACGGUGAUGAGGCCCUUCGGACCCGGCAGCUUCAUCUUCAGGUAGGCGUAGUGGGGGACCGCCAUGAACUGGGCGAGCGCGGGCCGGCCCAGCAGCGAGUGGUACAUGUUGGACAGGUCCACCGCCUCGAACCAGAUCGGCUCGCGUCGGAAGUGGUUGAUGUCGCCAGACAGGAAGUCGAGCGGGAUCCGGCCGAUCGGGGAGCAGGAGAGGCCGGGAACGAUGCCGUGGAAGAUCGUCCGGGUUGGCUCCAGGUCUUUGGCCUCGAGGCCGAGCUUGGUCAUGGUGUCGCGGUAGAGGAUGUUGAUGCUGCUGCCGCCGUUGAUGAGAACCCGAGAGAACUUGCACGUGCGCCGAGGCACGACGAUGGUGGGGUUGAGGACGAGGGUGUAACCACCCGGGUUCGGCAUGACGGCCGGGUGGUCCUCCCGAGUCCAGGUGACCGGGCGCUCCGACCAGUGCAUGUAUUCCGGCUUGGCCAGGAUGACGGUGUUCACCUCCUGCCGGAGGAGGCGCUCGCUGCGCUUGUCAUCGCCAAGGCUGGUGAAGACGACGUAGGUCGCGUUCUGGGCCGGGUAGGCGGCGUCGCGCAUCGUGCCGCCAGCUGGCGGCGGUGGUGGAGGCGGAGGCGGCUGCCCUGCUCCUGGAGCCGGGGCCGGAGGGGGCGGGAUGUCACCCCUCAGGAGGCGCUUGGUGAUGGCGCACUGCCGAAGCGUGUGCGUCGAAGGCCUUGCAGCGCUGUGGUGCUUGCAGGGAGCGUCGAGCAUCUCCUCGAAACUCAUGGCGGGUUGCCACGUCGUCUUGCUGGUCUGUCGGUGCUUGGCGGCUGGGUCGGUCGUGGGCGCCUGCUCGGCGGCCGCGACGAGGCGGUUGUCGUAGCGCUGGGCCGGCUGAUCGGCCUUGCGCUUGUUGUUCUGCUGGUUGUGCUGUUGCCGGCAGCCUGCGCUGGCCGGCUUCGGGGGGAACCAGCUUUGCUUUGCCGGCUUCGUCCACCACCACCUGGAUCUUCAUGGCAGAGUCGGCGUUGGUGUACUUGUCCGCCGUCACCAUGAGCGCGGCCAUGGUGGCUCACUUGGAGCGUAAGAACUUGUGCUUGAGGAGGGUGCCGUCCCAGCACCCGUUGACGAAGUAUUGGAUUGCUUGGACUUCGUGGACGCCCUUGCAGCUAUUCCGGAGCUCGGUCCAGCAUGUGAGGUACUCGCGGCCGGUCUCCGCUGGCCCCUGCACGCACAUGGCGAGCUGACUGGGGCGGCCGGGUUGCUUGUAAGUGCCGGUGAAGUUGCGCGCGAAGGCCUGCUCAAAGUCGACCCACGUGUUGAUUCUGCCCACCGGCAGACUGUUCAGCCAGGUUCGGGCCGACCCCUGGAGCAUGAGAGGCGCGUAGCGCACGGCGAGGCGGUGGUUACCGCCGGCGAUGCCGAUGGCGGUGGUGUAGUCGGUGAGCCAGUCCUCUGGUUUCACGGUGCCGUUGUACUUGGGGGUGUCGCGGGGGAGCGUGAACCCUUUAGUAAAGGGCUCACCCCGGAUGCAGGGCCCGAAGCACGCCGGUCCGACGGGGCCGGUCUCCUCCAGCUCUUGGGAGAGGGCGAGUCAGUCGAGGCGGUGGCGGGUGUCAGUGUCGUCGAUGGCGCGCGGGCCCAGCCGGUCGGUGACUGUGCCGUGGGGGGCCGGGUUGGCUUCAGUCAGACGUCGGCCGGGUUGGAGCAGAGGGUCGAGUCGGCGUCGGACCUCCGAGACCAGCUCGUCGCCCAAGCCGCCGCCGGCCAUCGGGGCGGGGUUGCGCCGGGUCCGGGUGCGGCCGGAGUGCGCCUCGCCAGGUGGUGAAGAUGACGUGUGCUGGAUGUCGCCAGGUCCAGCGACGCGGGCGGAGCCGGAUCUGGCCGGCUUGCCGAGUUGGUUGAGGCGGUCCUGCUGCGUGUUGGCCGCAGCGAGGAGGUCGUUCACCCUCUUGAGGCGGUCCUGUAGCUCUUCGCCUGUGAGCUGGUCCAGGCCGACCGCGGCCGCCUGGGCAGCGCGCAUGUUCUUCAUGGGAGUCUCGUAGACGGGAGGGAUGGCACCGAAGGCGCGCCCGAUCGCGCCGCCCUGGGCCCGCACGUCGGCGACCCGGCUUGGCUCGGGCGCGUCCGGCGUGAAGCCGUAGGCGGUGUUGCACUCCAGCUGAGCGGAGUCGAGGCGGCGCUGCGUGGCAGCGAGCGUCUCGGUGAGGUCCAGCAGGCGCUGGCGGUCCUCGUCGAGGUGAGUCCGGGCCUCAGCAAUGUUGGAGGUGUUGAUGUCGGUGCCAAUGGGAUGCGAAGGCUCUGCAUCGUGGCGCGCAGCGGGUUGGGCGGGCUGGCCCGCUCCGCUGCGGCCCUGGCUUCGGCAGCCUUCCUCGCUGUGCUGGACGAGGAAGCGGCGCCGGUGUCGAUGAUGAAAACCUCCAUGCAGAGGUCCAUUGCCCCGGUGGGAGUGCCGCCGCCGAGGGAAAGGGGGAGUCGGAAAAGUCAAGUACCUCACUGGGGUACUCGUCGGCCGCAGGUGCGUCAGAGAUGCACAGCGCGGCGAAGGAGGCGGCGAGUGCGUCGACAACGUCGUCCGCCAGCGUGACUGGCUCGUCGGAGUCGGAGAGGAGCCCCGUCUGAAGCAUGCUCCCAGCCAGGACCUCGAGCUGCCUCACGGUGGGCGCCAACUGUCGUGGUGGGCGCACGGCAGAUGCCAAAGGAUGGCUAAAGAUAGGAGGAGGCUCGAGGGUACUUGUGGGCUCCAGAGGCGAGGUCGGCAUGAGCGAGCGCGGGACGCAAGACAUACCCAGGUUUGGGGCUCUCCGGAGAGAUAACACCCCUAGUCCUGCCGUGUGUAGUUGACGUGUAUCAGUACAGAGUUGCUCCUAGAGUUGUAUGGAGGAAGAAGGAGGGCGAGCCAAGGCUUAGGCUGCUCCCUCUCCUCGGGUGUUGCUUGCUAUGUGCGUAUGGGUGAGUGAUCGCCUGUGCGAAUGAGAGAGUUGCCCGUAUGCAUGAGGGCUCCUGGGGGGUUUAUAGGUCAACCCCCCAGGGGUACGAUGGUAAUGUUACAAGGCCGUGGGGCCGGGUUGUCAUUGUCCGAGAAGCCGGCGCUGGGACCCGCCGGGGAUCAGGGCUCGCCAGGUUCUCCGGGCGUGGGGCCCGCCGGGUACGGGGGCACUGUUGGCCGUCUUGUCGAUAGUCAGGGAGUGGCCGGGUUUAGUCGUCUACAGUGGCGCUCCGUCAGGUCGCCGCUUGCUGGCGUCAUGGGUGACGAUGGUUGCACUGUGGCCAUGCCAGCCCUGGUCAGCGGGGCACUGUUGCCACGCCCCGGCUGACCAGAGGCAUGGGCGGGGCACUGUUUUCUUCGUCAUCGGUAGGUGGAGACUCGUCCCAUCGUACGGCCGGGAUGGGACGGGAGCUGACCCAUGGCCGGGUUGGAGAACACGCCAAGGAUGGAGCUGGCUUGUUGGGGAAGUUUUGGUGCACCGGGCUCGGCCAUCUUGAGCUGGUUGUUUGGGCCGAGCUGAGGAGUCCGGCCGGGUCAAGGAUUAGGCCAGGUCGAGGGGCUUGGCCGGGUCGAGCAACCCGGCCAAGCGUGAGCCGUCUUGAGGGGCGAUGCUGGCCCCGUUGUUUUUGAAAAGGAUUCGGGUUCCGUUGCCUGCCCGGGGUUCAUCCCCCCAACAGUCGGUAACAGCUAAGUUGGCUACAGUAAACUGACAAAUUGACAAAUAGGCUAGACCCAUCAGAUGCUUCAAAAGUACCUGCGGCAAAUUAGGUCUAGGCGAUAGCUGAUGGUCUUCCUCCCAAGUCGGCGGAGGCGAUCGCAGAUGGCCUUGCGGCGAAGUCGACGGAGAUGACGGCUGCAAAGUCAACGGAUACGAUAUAUUACAGAGAUGUCAAAACCAAUUAAUUCCACUCCACUGAAUACACCUCAUAAUCCUAUUUUGCUAGGUGCAGCAAGCAUAUCUAUUCACAUGUAUGCAAUUAAGCUAAUUGAUAACUAAAGGAAGAGCAGAAUAUAUGAAACUUCAAGAAUUCCUCCAGCAUCAUGCCCAAGGAUUACCGUAACCAAGUUGAAGCCACCAUGUUCAGGUAUAUGUAGUCAGCAACAUGAAAUUUCUUGGUUCAAUCCUUGGCUAGUAACAAUAGUUUUGCAGAAAAAAUAAACUGAAACAGGGGCUUGUAUCAUAUCAUCCAAACUGAAAUAGUGAGCAAUUGGAAGUGGCACCAAUUUUCAGAAAAAAAAUAAACUGAAACAGGGGUAGAUCCGAGGGGGGCAAAUCAGUUACAUUCAUUAUACAUCCGUGCAAACAAAGGAAUGUCGAUUGAAUUCAUGCAGUAGUGACAUGCAUGACCUUUGGUAAAAUCUAAAUUUAUCCAAUCAAUCAUGUAUUUUUGUGUAACAUCUUCUAUUUAAUCUCCACUGAUGAUUGUAAUAACAACACAAAAGAAUUUAGACGACACAAAAAAGUUCAGUCACAAAUCAAAUCUUUGGGCAUGCAUGGCCUGUUGCAUUUGGGAGAUGGGCUGCAGGGAGCCCUUUGUUUCAGUGAUCUAUUCCAGAUCCUUUCAGUGGUAAGAUGGUAAGUUCAUUCAGUACAUGGAUUUUGUCUCAACCAUCAUUUAUUUCAGUGUCUGUCUCUAUAUACUUCAUUUAUGUUUGGCUGCGUGCUCUGUUUCUAGAGCGGAGCAAUAGCUACUCCACUGCACUUUUCUUUGUGUAGCAGCAGAAGCAGAUUAACAUAUUCCACUUUUGUACAAAGGGCAGGAGCAACAGAUUAACAUUAUAAUCUAUUUUGUUUGAUGUGUUAACAGAUUAACAUUAUAAUCCUAACUACACCCAUCCACCUUGUAUUAGUCUCAGCAUAUGGCCAGGAUGCCUCCUCUCUCUUUAAGAACUAGUCACUUAACUCUGAAUCACUUAGCAGUAUACAUUAUUAUUUCCCUGUUUUUAACGCAAUCACUUGAAGAAAGCAACAUGCUUCACGACUAUAUAAAUGCCCGUGUGUGGUCUGACCAAUCUAGUAUGUACACAAAUGAUCAAUCCGGCUAAGCACAUUCAGAUUCCAACCAUGCAAGGUAUGAAUCCAUUGAUUCUAAGCAUCAUGUAAUUCCAUCUGUUAACCACCAAAUACUAACCAAUGGGAACCCGUGGAAUUUAGAAAGAAGAUUAAACCUGAGGAAAUAUUGAGCGGUCCUUCUUGCAUCGUGCCAUUGGGCUAGAGUACCACUACCAUGGCGCCAUCCCACAUCACAGCUUCACCAGGGCAAGGAGCCGGCUUGAAUCAAAUUUGUCAUUGCCGCUGGAUCACUGUUUCCCUUCAGGACUGGCAUGUAGAAGCUGGGGAGGCCUCGAUAGCAAUCUUGCAGUCAGAUUUGUACUCGUCCGGAGGAGGAUACAUGGAUGUGUUGUGGCCGUGAAUGUGCCCAUGAUCUCGACCGGUAGCGCCAGGGAAGUGGCCGACGUCAAGGUGCAGGAGGAAGAGCCAGUGCGGGAAGGGUCGUCGUCUUGCUCGGGUCAAGGCGCUCGAGGAUUCCAUGAAGGAGGUUGUCAGGGAGUGCCGCCGCUUCUUCCAUUUGUUGGAACUCCUCAUCAUCCUUGGAACACCUCCGCUGUACGCGAUGUCCUCGUCCCCGUUCGCCUGCACGCUCGGCUCCAACGGGCGGCUGGCGAGGUGGCUGUGGGGCUCAACCGCUCAGGGGGCAUGGCGAGGCGUCUAGGAUGGCUAGCUAGCUCGUAGAGAUCGGGGAUUUGGUCUUCGGCAGCGGCUGGCAAGCUCACCAAGGCCACGAAGGCGGCCAGCCCCAUCAGCACAAGAUCCACGACGGCUCGGAGAUGGUGGUGAUGGAAAUAUGCUAUAGAGGCAAUAAUAAAAUGGUUAUUAUUAUAUUCCUUAAUCAUAAUAAAGGUUUAUUAUUCAUGGUAAAAUUGUAUUGACCGGAAACUUAAAUAUAUGUGUGGAUACAUAAAUAAAUACCGUGUCCGUAGUGAGCCUUUACUAGACUAGCUCGUUGAUGAUGGUUAAGGUUUUCUAACCAUAGACAUGAGUUGUCAUUUGAUAACGGGAUCACAUCAUUAGGAGAAUGAUGUGAUGGACAAGACCCAACUGUUAGCAUAGCAUAUGAUCGUUCAGUUUAUUGCUAGUGCUUUCUUAAUGUCAAAUACAUGUUCCUUCGACCAUGAGAUCAUGGAACUCCCAGAUACCGGAGGAAUACCUUGUGUGCUAUCAAACGUCACAAUGUAACUGGGUGAUCAUAAAGAUGCUCUACAGGUAUCUCCGAAGGUGUCUGUUGAGUUGGUGUGAAUCGAGAUUGGGAUUUAUCACUCCAUGUAUCGGAGAGGUAUCUCUAGGCCCUCUCGGUAAUACACUUCACAAGAAGCUUGCAAGCAAAGUGACUAAGGAGUUAGUUGCAAGAUGAUGUAUUACGGAAUGAGUAAAGAGACUUGACGGUAACGAGAUUGAACUAGGUAUAGAGAUACCGGCGAUCGAAUCUCGGGCAAGUAACAUACCGAUAGACAAAAGGAACUACGUAUGUUGUCAUAAAGGUUCAACCGAUAAAAGAUUUUCGUGGAAUAUGUAGGAAUCAAUAUGGGCAUCCAGGUACCGUUAUGGGUUAUUGACCAGAGGGGUGUCUCGGUCAUGACUACAUAAUUCGCAAACCCGUAGGGUCGCACGCUUAACGUUCGUUGACGCUAGAGUAGUGUUGGCAUAUUUGAUGAGUGGUAACCAAAUGUUGUGUGGAGUCCCGGAUGAGAUCCCGGACGUCACGAGGAGUCUCGGAAUGGUCUAGAGGUAAAGAUUUAUAUAUGGGAAGUCAUAUUUUGGGUUCCGGAAAAAGGUGUAGUUUUUUCGGUACUGUACCGGGAAGCUUCCAGAAGGUUCCGGAGGAUUCCGGAGGUGUCCGGAAGUCCACAAGUGGGUUUACCACGACCCAAGUCAGGCUGGCAAUGGGGAUUACCCAGGCGGGUAUUGAACUCCCAUCCCCGUCCCCGCGACAGCCUGCCCAUGCCCGUCCCCAUCCCCAUACCCGUCUGCGGGGAUAAAAAUAUUCACGUCCCCAUCCCCGCCGGGUUUUUUAUCCCCAUGGGGAAACCCAUACGCACAAUUAAUAACAACCUUCGAUAGCAUUUCAGUAGAAAUAAAUAACAUUUCGGCAAUAUAAAUAAUAUGUUGUGGCUAGCUUAGGGUUUUCUUAGGGCUUUUUGGCCAAAGGGAUGGGAUGGAAGGAAAUUUGGGUGGGUAAGUGCGGCAAUUACAUGGGGUCUACUAAUUUUAGAGCCCACAUGUAAGGCCUUAAUGGGUAAGGUGGGUAAUGGGCAUGGGUAAUGCUAUCCCAUCCCCAUCCCCGUCUUGCACGCUGGGUAAGGUACUUGACCCACCAGCUUCCUCGUGGGCAUUAAAACUGGCACAUACCCGUCCCUUGAUAGAGUAAUUACCCACGGGGACGUGGGUAACGGUUAAUCAUUGCCAGCUUGAGACCCAAGGGCUAGCAUGGGCUGCGAGGAGGCGCCCUGGCCUUAUUGGGCUAGGCGCACUAAGUCCUUAAAAGCCCAUGUGGCUAGGGAAGGCAAAAAAAAGGAAGGAGUCCUAGGAAUAGGAUUGGACUUGGAGUCCAAGUCCUCUCCCCUUAGCUGCGCCCUAGGGCUUGGAGGGUCUGUUUCCCACGCCCCUCCACCUAUAUAUAGAGGGGAGGGGGCGCCCCAAGAGGACACACCAAGCCCAUGGCGCCCCUCUCUGUCCCGUUACUCCGUAGUUCCACCGCCUCGUCUCGGCGACGCUUAGCAAAGCGUUGUCGGUGCUCCACCACCACUAUCACCACCACGCCAUCAUGUUGGUUGUGAUCCUAUCUACUUCUCCUCUCCCGCUUGCUGGAUCAAUAAGGAGGAGACGUCAUCGAGCCGCACGUGUUCUAAACUUGGAGGUGUCGUCCGUUCGGCACUAGAUCGGUUGGAUCGUGAUCGGAUGGCGAAGAAUACGACCACAUCAACCGCGUGAUAAACGCUUCCGCCUAGCGAUCUACAAGGGUACGUAGAUGCUCUUCCCCUCUCGUAGCUAUGCAUCUCCAUGGAUAGAUCUUGCGUGUGCGUAGAAAUUUUUUGUUUUCCAUGCAACAUUCCCCUACACUGACAUCAUGAGCCAGGUCUAUGCGUGAUGAUAUGCAUGAGUAGAACACAAAGGAGUUGUGGGCGGUGAUGUUCAUACUGCUUACCACCAACGUCUUAUUUUGAUUCGGUGGCAUUGUGGGAUGAAGCGGCCCGGACCAACCUUACAUGACCACAUACAUGAGACCGGUUCCACCGACUGACAUGCAACUUGUUUUGCAUAAAGGUGGCUGGCGGGUGUCUGUUUCUCCUACUUUAGUUGAAUCAAAUUUGACUACGGCCGGUCCUUGAAGAAGGUUAAAACAGCAAACUUGAUAAUCACCGUUGUGGUUUUGCGUAGGUAAGAACGGUUCUUGCUAGUUGCCCGUAGCAGCCACGUAAAACUUGCAACAACAAAGUAGAGGACGUCUAACUUGUUUUUGUAGGGUAUGUUGUGAUGUGAUAUGGUUAGGACGUGAUGUGAUAUAUGUUGUUGUAUGACAUGAUCAUCAUGCUUUGUAAUAUCGACAACCGGCAGGAGCCUUAGGGUUGUCUUUUAAUUAUUGUAUGACCUGCGUGUCAAUCAUUAAGCGUCAUGUAAUUGAUUUACUUUAUCGCUAUGCGUUAGCAAUAGUUGUAGUACCAAUAGUUGGCGAGACGACCCUGACGCAACGAUGGAGAUCAAGGUGUCGAGCCAGUGACGAUGGUGAUCAUGCCGAUACUUUGGAGAUGGAGAUCAAAAGCACAAGAUGAUGAUGGUCAUAUCAUGUCACAUAUUUUGAUUGCAUGUGAAGUUUAUCCUUUAUGCAUCUUAUUUUGCUUAGAAGGAUAGCCCAAUAGGUUGAACAAUAAAUUUUAAAAAAAGUAAACAAAUUCAAACAAUCCUUGAUUGUUUUUGCAAAAAAAUAUUAAUGUUUUUCUACACGCAUGCAAGUUUUUGCGAUGGAGUCUCAUUUGUGGAGGUGUGGACAAAAAAAUCGAUGCCCCAAAAUGCUCAUGUACUAUAUUUGCACGAAAACAUGUAGAAAAUUUGCACGCAUGAAGGAAAAACAUCAAUUUCUUGCCGAAAAUUGAUGCUCCAAAAAUCGAUACUCCAAAAUGCUCAUGAAAAUUUGCAUGCAUGUAGAAAAAGCAUCAAUUUCUGUCCGAAUUUUUUGUUUUUUGUUUUUAACUAUAUUUUUGGAUUUUAGUAUAUACAAAUAGAAACGUCGGCAAAAAAUGAUAUGUGGGCUCAACCAGUAAAAGACAUGAAAGUAAGAAGGGCCAAUUGAUAAGCCCAGAGUAAUAGCACGGGCAAAAUGAAAAAACUGUCUCACAUGAGCCAACAAUUACAUACCUAAGCUUUUAUGUGGGAAGGACGAGUCGUGCCCUUAGGCUUCGCCCCUGGGUCCAAUCUAAUUUUUUCUAUGGUCCAUUAAUGUACGUAUCCAAUGUCUCACGUACUGUGAUAUAUAGGCGGUGCAUAUUUACAAAGUGUGAUGCAAUAUUGUAGCCAUUUGCUGUUAAUGUUGUAGCCUGUAGAUAAAAAAUGACCCUAAAUAUGAUCUAACUUAUGAAAAAAGUGUCAUGCUACUUUACAAAAAAAACCAUCUCUCUAAUUUAUAUCUAUAUCUAUACCUACUAAUAAAGCAAUGUGCAUUUCUCCGAUAUUUUCAUCCGUUCACCAACGUAAAGUUUUUUUCUAUCUGAGGUGGUAUUAAAUUUUUGUGCAUCCGUCUGCUAGAAAAGAUAAAAUAUUUUCCGUACAUGGGCCACACGCGUUGUGGCCCGGCGAAGCCAGCCCAAAUAUUUAUCUGCCCAGACAGCUGCGAAAGCCUAUUUGCCGCAUGCCACGUCUAAUAGUUGAAGCUUCGCACAGCACGCCGAAGACUGGGCCGGCCCAUUUUCUUUUUCUAUUGUGUUCUGUUUCUAUUUUUUCCUAUUCCUUUCUCUUUUUCUUUCUUGAUUCUUUUUCCUACCAACUUUACAUUAUUUUCCCUUUUCUCGGAAAUUUAAAUCUUAAAAAAAUCGUCCAAAAUUUCACUUUUUCCAUAUUUAGACAAAAAGUUAGAAUAUAAAUUUUUUGUUCCUAUCUUGUAAAAUGUUCAAAACUUUAAUUAGUUUUGUUCCCAUUCCAAAAUGUGUUCAAAAUUAAAAAUGUUCCCAUUUUUAAAAAUGUUUGUGAAUCACAAUAAAAAAUCAAAAUUUUCAAAGUAAGUUGUAUUUUAAAAAAUAUUCCAAAUUUAUAAAACUUUCUUGUUUUAGUGAAAUGUUCACAAAUUCAAAAUAAUGUUUGUGGUUCAAAAACAUAUGUUCUGAACUUUUUCUAAAUGUUCAAAACAUGUUCACACAUUCAACAAAUGUUCGUCUUUUUUCAAAAGGAUCAUGUUGUCAAAAAAUGUUUAAGAAUUUUUUUAAGAAAAUCUACCUAUUUCAAGUGAUGUUCGUCUUUUUUCAAAAAUGAAUGAAAUUUUACAAAAUGGUUCGUAUUUUUUAAAACUGUUUGGGGUUUCAAAAUUAUUCAUGUUUCCAAAAAUAUUCGGCAAUUCAUAAUAUUAAUUUGAAAUUUGGAAAAAUUCAGAAAAAAGAAAAACAAAAACUUGAAUCUGAUGCUACAACAUAUUCUUAAAUAUUAAUUAGUUAGCAGGACCCAUUUGUUCGAGUGACUAGCAGUCGAUGGUCGAGUUUUUGAGGCCGCGAGUUCGAUCUUUCAAUACAUCUUUUUUUAUUUAAUUUAGAGAAAGCCUAUUUUCCGCAUGCAGCGCAAAAUAGUUGGAAGUUCACACAGCACGCCCAAAGCUGGGCCCGCCCAUUUUCUUUUUCUCUGUAUUCUUUUUUUUCCUGUUCUUUUCUCUUUUUCUUUCAUGAUUAUUUUUUCCUAACAAUUUUAGAUUAUUUUCGUUUUUCUCGUAAAUUAAAAUAUUGAAAAAAUCGUUCAAAGUUUCAAUUUUCUUCCAUAUUUUAGAAGAAAACAAAUCAGAAUUUAAUUCUUUUGUUCCUCUUUUGUAAAAUGUUCAAAUUUUUAAAAAAUUUCCAGAUCCAAAAUGUGUUCAAAAUUUAGAAAAUGUUUCCAAUUUUUCAUGAAAUGUUUGUGUAUUACUCCCUACGUAAACUAAUAUAAGAGUGUUUAGAAUACUAAAGUAGUGAUCUAAACGCUCUUAUAUUAGUUUACAAAGGGAGUACAAAUUAAGAUUUUCAAAAUAAGUUGCAUUUAAAAAUAUUACAGAUUUUAAACAUUGUUUUCCUGAAAUAUUUGCAAAUUCAAAAUAACGUUCGUGGUUACAAAAACACAUUUUCUGAACUUGUUCUAAAUGUUCAAAACAUGUUCACACAUUCAAAAAAUGUUCAUGUUUUUCCAAAAGUUUCAUGUUGUCAAAAAAUGUUUAAGAAUUUUGAAGAAAAAUCUACCUAUUUCAAAUGAUGUUCAUAUUUUUCCAAAAAUGAACGACAUUUUUAAACAUGGUUCGCAUUUUUGAAAAUUGUUCGGGGUUACAAAAUUGUUCAUGUUUUCAAAUAUAUUUGGCAUUCAUAAAUAUUAAUUUAUUUUGAAUCUGACGCUGCAACAUAUUGUUAAAUAUUAAUCUGUCGGUUAGCAGCCCGUGGAUGACUUUUUGAGGUCGCGAGUUCGAUCCUUCAACACGUCAUUUUUUAAAUUUAUAUUAUGCCUUACAAACAUAGGUCGUUUUGGUGCUUGUCAAUGGGCCGGCCCAGAUGUGAACUAUUGGGCGUCCCACACGCUAUUUGACGAUAAAAGAGAAUAUGUUUGUUUGCUAUAAUUGAAAUAUAUUGUGCGUACGUGUCAAUGUAAGAGAAUAUGUUGGUUUGACUCUAAUUUUGAAGAACUGUGGGCACGUGAGCAUUGAAAAAGAGAAUAAACCCUAGUAAAGAAGGUAUUGUCUGGUUAUGCAUGGAUAGCACAUAUGCACGUGCGUUGCAACAGGAGAAAUAUUUUUUCGAGAAGCAACGAGAUAAAUAAAUUAUGUGUUCACCAAAAACGGUAUCAACAGUAUCCACAAUGGUGGGGCGACAGAGCGAGGAGCUGUGGUCUUUUCGCGAGUCAUGUUUGUCCCGCGAGAUCUUGAUAGUGGUGACAUUAGUCGGCAUGGCGGUGACCAGACAACUUGUGUUUUUUUCCUUCAGGUUCACCUCCGUGUUUGGGCAGUGGUUGUCUCCUCAUUUGGUAGCUGCGCGUCAAAUACCCAAAGUGUCGCACAAGUCGCCCAACACUGGGCCGGCCCAUUUUCGUUUUAUCCUGUAUUCUGUCAUUUUUCUCUUUCUUUCUCUUUUUCUUUCCUAAUUAUUUUUACGUUUUACCCUUACAAAUUUUUCAAAAAAUGUCAGAAUUUCAAUUUUUGGUUCAAGUUUUCGGUAAAUACUCGAAUAUCUAAAAAAAUAAUUGUUUUAUAAAAGUUCAGAACUUUGUUUUUGUUCUGAAAUUUGUUCAAAAUAAAACAAAAGUUCCCAAUUUUCAAAAAAGGUUUAUAUUUUAUGCAAUUAUUCACAAUUUCCAAUGUUUCUUUUUGCGUUUAGAAAAAAUGUUUCAAAUUUGAAAAUGUUUUUUUGUGAAAUGGUUACGAAAUUAAAAUAAUUUUCUUAAUUGAAAAAACAUUUUCGAAAAAUUUCUGAAUGUUCAAAACAUGUUACCAUUUAAAACAAUUGUUCACUAAUUCAAAAAAUGUUCAGUUUAUUAUAAAAGGUUCAUGUUUUCAGAAUUUUUUGUGAAUUUAAGAAAAUAUAUUUCAAUUUAAAAUUUUGCUCAUGUCUUUUGGGAAUAUUCAGAAUUUUCAACAACUAUUUGAAAUUUCAAAAAAUGUUCAUGUUUCAAAGAAUAUACGCAAAUUCUUUCUUAUUUUUUAUGAUAGGUUUGAAAAAAAUUAAAAUAUGUUCCAAAUCUGAUACUGCAUUAUGUUCUUACAUAUCCGCGCUUGCCAUUGGUCAAUAGAACAUGUUUGUUCAACUAGCUAGCAGCAUGUUGUCAAGUCUUUGAUUUAUGCGCUGCAAUUAGUAAUACAUUUGGUUACGUCGUGAUAGGAGAUGCAGACCAACCCCACCACUAUCAAGAUCUCGUCGGCCAAACAUGAUCCAUGAGAAGAUCGCAGCUCCUAGCUCUGUCGGCCACCGCUACGGAGACUAUUUUCGGAGGACACAUCAUUUCUCUCCUGUUGCUUCUCGUAAUAAAUAUCUCCCGUUACAACGCACGGGCAUAUGCGCUAGUAAAUAAAAAAUAAAAAGUGGUACAAUGGGAUUUGAACCCAAGUGUACCAGGUGGAGGGACGUGUUGCUAGCCAGUGGGGUGGCUUCUAUGUCAUGAAAAUUAGUUCGUCGGAUUGUUUCUUGCAGCGAACCAGUUUGAAAAUCCGACAUGGCUUGGAUCCCGCGUCAGGAUUUGUGCAAACGAAUCAAGGGUCACGGUGAAAACUCUCAUAGCUGCGGUCUCUAGCUAACAUUUCCAAUAAUUAAUGUAAGUAUUGUACACAGUCAUUUUUUUGAUGCAGUAGCAUAUCUUCAAGAUAUAUAUAAUUAAUGUAAUGUUGUAGCCUGUAGAUAUGCAAUUAAUGUACACAUUCAUUUUUUUGAUGCAGUACAAUACCUUCAAGAUAUAUAUAUAAUUAGUGUAAUGUUGUAGCAUGUAGAUGUGCAAUUAAUGUAUACGUUCAUUCUUAGAUGCAGUACCAUAUCUUCAUAUCUUCAAGAUAUAUAUAAUUAAUGUCAUAUUAUAGCAUGUAGAUGUGGAACUAAUGCAUAUAUUCAUUUUUUUAUGCAGUACCAUAUCUUCGAGAUAUAUCAUAUAUUGUACUCCCUCCGUUCGGAUUUACUUGUCGUAGAAAUGGAUGUAUCUAGACAUUUUUUCUUAGUUCUAGAUACAUCCAUUUCUGCGACAAGUAAUUUGGAACGAAUGGAGUACAACUAAUGUAUGUAUAAACAUGUCGAUGUGAAGUUACUGUACACACUCAUUGUUUGAUGUUAUUUCGUAUCUUCAAGGUAUAGCCUGUAGAUAUAGAGUUAAUGUGCACAUUUAUUGUUUGAUACAAAAUCGUAUCUUCAAGAUAUAGAACUAAUGUAUGAUGCAGCCUCUAGAGUGCAAUUAAUGUACAUAUUAAUUGUUUGACAUGGUGCCAUAUCUUCAAGAUAUACAACUGAUGCAUGCGCCCAUAUCAUCAUCUCAAACAAGGCUAUAUAAACCAAGCCAUAGCUAACGAAGUCAUGUAUCCCACACAUUCACAGAAAAGCCACACAAACAAUUAUAACAUCAAAGGGAUAAAGAAGGCUCUAGUGUAGCAGAUACAAAAGACAUAGCCAUGGCGAAACUAAUGUGCUUAUGUUUCAUCAUCCUCACUAUUGCGGUAGCCGUGUCGGCUGACGAAUGUGAGGGUGACCGACAAGCCAUGAUCAAGGAGUGUGCUAAGUAUCAACAAUGGCCAGCAAACCCGAAGCUAGAUCCGUCGGAAGCAUGUUGCGCCGUGUGGCAGAAGGCAAACAUCCCAUGCCUUUGCGGGAACCGGCUCCUCUACCGUGCCUUGUGGCACGGCAGGGUGCUACAGUGUUCUACCUUUGGGCCUUUAUCAGCCAUCAGAUCUAGUAUAGAUGUCUCAGAUCUUUUGCUACAGAGAGCAAAACAGUGCAUGCGCUACAGUUCAGGAACAAUGACUUUUAGCACAGUGUUUAAACAGUGAACUUGCUACAGUAGCCGUGCCGUGCCUUCUAUUCCUUCCACUGCGCGAGCACUGUAGCACCUGCCGUGCCACAAGGCACGGUAGAGGAGCCGGUUCCGCCUUUGCGCUGGUGUCACCAAGGAGAAAGAGAAGAUAUAUUGUAUGGAGAAGGUUGCCUACGUUGCCAAUUUCUGCAAGAAGCCCGACUUGAUUUCCUAAGGCACCACAACAAAAUAUUUUCUAGCUGAGAAAACUGUAUUGAUGGACCCUACCUGAACUAGACUAAUGAAUGGUGUGUCUCGCCUUCACCGAGGGUCACGGUGUCUACCCUGACUACUAAAACUAUAGUACCAGAAUAAGCAUAGAUGUGUAUGGAGGCAAAUUAGAUAUUUAGUCAUUUUCAUACAUCUUACAAAAACUAAUCCGUAGGAAGUUUUGUCAAUUUUUUUGGGCUGAACGUUGUGCAGAAUAUGGAAACCUUUUUUUACGCGACUCACAUGUACUAAAUAAAAGCAUAAAACAACCUCUACAUAUAAAAAACCCUCUAUAUAAGCAGGUAAGUUUUGUUCGUUAUUUGC
This 336882-nucleotide long non-coding RNA is filed under the name Triticum aestivum (bread wheat). RNAcentral describes it as "long non-coding RNA (TAES_LNC013831)". The stretch from base 335442 to 335559 matches the Rfam family "MIR1120/MIR1122 microRNA precursor family". The record is from RNAcentral. Lineage: Eukaryota; Viridiplantae; Streptophyta; Magnoliopsida; Poales; Poaceae.